CAGCGGUUGCACAGGCAAACAAUGCUGCUCAACCAGCACCUCAACUUUACUGGAACUCCGUCCUGCCAAACACACAGAUGCCAAGAUCUAUCAGUGAACUUCUGCAUCCUGGUUUGUGUUGAGCUCUUUAGAAUCUUAGAUAUCUCUUCUACCUGCCAUUUUACUUAAAUAUGUUCGACCACAUAUUUAUCAGUUAACUACUGUCAUUACAUGAGUGACACAUAUUCACAAAUCGGCUGAUCACUUAUUUUCCAUUAUGACGUUGAUAUAUAAUUUGCAGACUCCACAAAUGAAGAAAAGAGCACAAAUGACGUUGGCAAACCUGAAACUUUCCCAUUGGGCAAUCAAAAUUACUCCAGUCAAAAAAAUUAUGGAACAGGCAAUAAACGUUACUGCAGUCAAAAAAGGUAUGGAAGAGGCAAGAAACGUUACUGCGAUCAAAAAAAGUAUGGAAGAGGUGCUUCUCCAUCUGACAAUCAACUACUCCAUUAUAAAGACUUAGCUAUUUUCUUCUUGGAGAAGGACAUGCGCCCUGGCACAACAAUGAAGUUCCAAUUCUCUAGAAAUUCAAACACGGCUACUUUCUUGCCACGAGAAAGCGCUCAAUCGAUCCCCUUCUCCUCUAACAAACUACCAGAAAUUUUCAACCAUUUUUCAGUGAAGCCAACAUCUGAGGAAGCCAAAACAAUUAAGCAAACAAUCGAAGAGUGUGAAGCUCCCGGCCUUAAGGGAGAGGAAAUAUAUUGCGCCACAUCUUUAGAAUCAAUGGUUGAUUUUAGCACUUCGAAGCUUGGAACAAGAAACGUUGAAGCAAUCUCGACGGAGGUAUUGGAAAAAGGAGCCACCAUGUCCAUGCACAACUAUACAACAAUGCCGGGACUGAAGAAGUUGGCCAGUGACAAAGUCGUUGUGUGUCAUAAGCAGAACUAUCCCUAUGCUGUGUUUUUCUGCCAUGCAAUAAAACAUACAGCAGCUUAUGUUCUCUUCCUGAAAGGCGAUGAUGGGGAGAAGGUUAAAGCAGUAACCAUCUGUCAUCUAGACACAUCAGAAUGGAACCCAGAGCAUAUGUCCUUCCAAAUCGUCAACGUUAAGCCCGGAACCAUUCCCAUCUGCCAUUUCAUUUCCACUGAUGCUAUUGCCUGGGUUCCGAACCACAAAUCUGCAUGAUCAUCACUUAGCACUGUACGUAUAAUUAUCUCCUUACUUAUUUCUGCCUCUUCAUCAUGUGGUGUAAGAUAUAUGAUGAGAUGAAGUUUUUGGGAUUAGUGGUUGGGUUGCCUGAAAAACACAGAUUACAGAAACUGCUUGAAAUUAACCCGAUCAUGUUUUCUCUUGUAACUAUAUAGACUUCAACUUGUACUCAUAAUAAAGCAUGCUAUAUUUAUGAAGAGAUAUUAAUCUAUAUAUAUUUUUUAUAUAUGCUUUGGCUUUGUGGUUCUACCCAAUGUUUGAGUGUUGAAUUGUUACGUUGGAAUAGGCUGCUAAUGCAUGUAGUUAGAGAAGCCUUCAUUUAUAUCAAAGUCCUCAAACUAUCAAGAACUAAUGUAUCCAGAAACAUAUACCAAGACGCAAAACAACAUAUUUUCCAUGCUCUGUCUGUAACACCAAAGCAAACUUCCUUGAUCACAAAAGGAUCAAAUUCCAGUACUAAUCUAAUCCAUCAUGUAAAGCAUACAAGUGCCUCCCUAAAUACUAUACUCUUUUUGUUAUUUCCUACUAUACUAUUUAAGAUUUAAAAUUCAGGUCAACCCAUAGAUUUCUCGCCUUUUUCUUCUUCAUCUCGUCGGGCUUGUCUUCUUCUUGAGGAUUGUAUAGGCCAAGGAAAUGCUUUGAGUUAGUUUUUGCGCUUUUGCGUUUUGGGCCUUGGAAGUUGGGACCCAAACCAACUUCACAAAAAGAAAACGCUCAGACUAUAAUGAGUGGAAAGUUAUAAGGGGUAAGUUAUAAGGAGUUCACUUUAUAGCCAUCAGAUCAAUCUAAGGGCUGGGGAGAAUUGAGAUAAAGUUUUAAAAUCGGGUAGGUGAGGAACCCAAACCCGAAUUGAAUAUCCAGCACGUCCGAAAAAGAAGAAGAAGAGGCAAGCACGUCCGAAAAAGAAGAAGAAGAGGCAAGGUCGAAGUUUGAACAGAAAAAACUCAUCUCUUUAAAACCCAUAGCUCUGAGAAACGGUUGAAGGCAACGGUUAACGACGGUUGUUGAAGCCACUCCGUUCUCCAGACCCUGAAAAAGUAUUUAUUUUGAGUAGAAGGGGCAAAUGUGUGGAUUCCGAAACAGUGAAGGGGCGAAGCAGUGGAAGGGGAAGGAGAGAAGCCGUAUUCGUUGGAAGUGGUAGGUUCCAUUUGUGGAGCAAAGCAACACAAAGACCCCGCACAGACACCUUGCGAUUGUUCAAUAACCAGCAUUUGGUGAGUAAUUUAUGGAAUUUGAGUUUAGGGUUAGAGUAAUGGUUUUCCCCAAUUUGUACCAUCAAUUUUGUUGGAUUUGGCAUCUCUUCUUUGUGCUUCAGUUGCAUGUUAAUUUUUGCUUGGGUAUAUGUUAAAAAAAGAAUGAAAAUCAAGUCAAUAACAAGUGAAUAACAUGUCAAUAAUGAUAUGAAUAAGAUAAUGGUGUUGAAUUGGAGGAGGCCCUCAAAACAUUCCACAUUUGAAGCAGUGCAUAGUGCAGAUUAUCUCUCUGGCGCUAGAAUAUAUAUAUAUUUUGAAAUAAAUAUGAUUUCCUUUGUUACUAAAUUUGCCUGAGAAACAUGAGAACAGAUAAUAAUAAACUCAUGAAUAGAAGUGCAAAGCAUUUGAUGAGUAAUUUAUGGAAUUUGAGUUUAGGCCCAGGAAAUUCCUUGACCCCAAAAAAAAAAAAAAAGUUGAUUUAAAAUUCAGGUCAACCCAUAGAUUUCUCGCCUUUUUCUUCUUCAUCUCGUCGGGCUUGUCUUCUUCUUGAGGAUUGUAUAGGCCCAGGAAAUGCUUUGAGUUAAUUUUUGCAUUUUUGCGUUUUGGGCCUUGGAAGUUGGGACCCAACCCAACUUCACAAAAAGAAAACAGAUUUGCCAAAAAUCAAAUUUCAAGUCUCUCCUCCGAUCGAAAUUUGGAUUUGAUGAACUAAAGUGGUUUUACUUUCUCCAUCAGUGUUUGAUAACUUAAUUUGUUAUUUACUUUUUUUUUAAAAAACUUUGGCUUAUAUAUAUUAGUUUUCUUUUUUCCUUCAUAUUCACCACCUUUAUGUUGCAUAAGUAUUUCAGUCUUAAUGGGUUUCCAUCUACCACUCAUCUUUGCUCUUCUCAGUGUAAGCCUUUUUUUUUUUUUAAAGCACAAGAUUAGAGGGGAGGGGGAUUUCUCAAUGUAAGCUUUGCAGUUUCAUAAUUAAUAUUUCCAAUAUCUCACUGUUAGUAAAAUACAGAAAAAGUACUAAUAACAUAUGCACAUGUUACUAAUUUAUUGAGAUAAAACACCAUUUUGCCCCUAGAAUAUUUUAUUAGGUUUAAAGUUGACUUUUUGACCAGGAAGGAAUUUGGGUAUUUAGACUAUAUCGUUGCGUAGAGCAUGGCGAGAUGAGUCCGUAGACACAUGAUUGGCUCGAAUCAGAGUUAUAAUGAGAGAGAUACGAUCAAAAUACCCUCAGUGGUAUAACCGUAAUUUUGGCUUAAAGGGUUUGAUAAAAUAUAAUUUUUCUUUCUUUCUUUCUCUCUCUCUCUCUCUCUCUCUCUCUCUCCUCUCUCUCACGACGGCAGUGAUAGCCGGCCACUUUUUGGCCAGCCAUGCUCUCGUCCGGCCACUAAAGUUGACGGGGCCGGUACCAAAAUGACCGGGCCACCAUCCUUUUCCAACCCCAGCCAGGCCCCACUGCCAGCAGUCGUGAUUUUGCUGAAAAAUGGAGAAGAAGCGGCCGAUUUCGUUCGAACUUCUCCGACUUCGUUCUCUCUCCUCCGGCCACCGAUUUCGAUGAAUGAGGUAUGGUUUCUCACCUACUUUUUAUGCUCUAGCUGCCUGUUGGGUAGGAUUCGAUCAAUUCCUUGCGUAGGUAGCUUGAUUUUCGAAUUGGAUUUCGGCCGGUUUUGGGAUCUCGAUUCCGGCCACUUCCGGUCAGUUUUUGGGGUACAUCCCAAAACAAAAGUGGUUCUAAAUAGGGUGUUAUACCUAGGGUAGGAACCUUGAACCGUAAUUUUGAGAAUUUUCGGUGAUGCCUAAUCGCUUUGGACACCUACGCUAUGCCUGCGUGUGGGCACUAUAGAAAAAGGGCAUUGUGUCCCGAUGCAAUCCCCUUGUUGUCUUGAGCGCGUAGGUGUGCUCGGAUUUCAAUUUGGAUACCGUUUGAAUCUCGAACGAAUAUCGCAUAUUGUGCGUUAUUCGGGGUCGAUAGGUUUGAACUGUUGGAUAGUCUUAGAUUUAUAAUAUGUUAAUCUAGACAUUCUUAGGAUCGAAUGGGAUUAAACGGAUCGUAAAACGGAGUCCCGGAUACUCCAAAAAUGCCAACCCUAGGGCUAGGUUCCUAGUAACCGUCCGAUCGUGCGAUCGUGAGCGAUCCGACCGUUUGAUCCGAACCAAACUUGCAGGACGUGUAUCCUAAACCUUGUAGAACCCAUAGGAACUUUCGGAUUAGAAUUUGGAGGUCGUGGGCCCCUUGGGCCGUUUGACUAAGUUUGGGUAGUUUGACCCUUGGCUGAUCGUGAGUCUUCAGAGGUCUUGAGCGUUGUUGAGCUAUGUUGACUAGGUUUAGACUUUUAGAGUGUUUAUUAUUAUCAUAGGAAACUAUUAGAUAUUAUUUUAAUAAUUGAAAUUAUCAAAUUUAUGUUUAUGUGCAUGAUUGUUGGUCUAAAAAUAACAUUGUUUUCUUGAUAAAAUUACGUUGCAGUCUACUAUAGACUGGUAUCACUAAAUGGAGAUUACCUCUAUUAUUAGUUUAGAUAAUUAAGAGUAUGUCAGUUUGAAGUGCUAUAUGCACUACCCUAAGUACCACCCUGUGAUUGUUAGGUCCCAUGUGGUGUAGAUUAUACAGCGUCAGGACAGACCCCAUACGUGGCUUUGGAUGUUCUGGCGCAUGGGGGAGAUUAUGUAAUGGUUAGGUCAUACGUGGCGUAGGUUAUUCAGCGUGUUGACAGACCCUAUACGUGGCGUUGGAUGUUCCAGUAUGGAAAGAUUUUGUGAUUGUUAGGUCCCACGUGGCGUAGAUUAUCCGGCGUGAGGACAAACCCCAUUCGUGGCUUUGGAUGUUCCUGCGUAUGGGGGAGAUUAUGUGAUGGUUAGGUCACACGUGGCGUAGGUUAUUCGGCGUGUUGGCUAACCCCAUAAGUGCCGUUGGAUGUAACGACCGGUCCUAAAUAAAUUAGUGAAUAUUAAUUUAUUCAGAGAAAAUACCAUUUUGCCCAUAGAGUAUUUUAUUAGGUUCAAAGUUGACUUUUUGAUCAGAAAGGAAUUUGAGAAUUUCGAUUAUACCGUUGCAUAGAGCACGGCGAGAUGAGUCCGUAGACACGUGGUAUGCUCGAAUCGAAGUUGUAACGAGAGAGAUACGAUCAAAAUACCCUCAGUGGCAUAACCGUAAUUUUGGCAAAAAGGGUCGAUAAAAUCAUAUAUAUAUAUUUUCUCUCUCUCUCUCUCUCUCUCUCUCUCUCUCUCUGCGAUAUUGUCCCUCUCUCUCUUUGAUUCACUGCCAUCUGCCCACGGCAGGACUUGAGACUGGUCACGUUUGAACCGGCUCGAUGUCCCGAUCACGUCGCACCCAAAAUGCAAAUGGAAACCUUGAAUUCCAGCCACGGCUUCGACUGGUUUGAACUGGGUUUUUCCCGGCGUUGCGCCACCGCCUCCGCCGCCCAAUUCCGGUGAAACAGGUAUAAUUCCUCACCUAUUUUUCGAGAUCCAGCUGUUGUUGUGUAGGAAUUAGACGAUUUUCAUGUUUAGGAACUCGAUUUAGAAUUUAGGUUUUGGUCGAAUUUUCAAAGUGAAAUUUCGGCCACUUCCGCUGGUUUUUCGGGGUAUGUCUAAGAACAAAAGUGGUUCCAAAUAGGGUGUUAUACCUAGGGUAGGAACCUUGAGCUGUGAUUUUGAGAAUUUCCGGCGAUGCGUAUUCGCUUUGGACACCCACGCGCCGACAGCGCGUGGGCACUGUAGAAAAGGGGCAUUGUGUCUCAAUGCGAUCUGCUUGUUGUCUUGAGCUCGUAGGUAUGCUCGAAUUUCAAUUUGGAUACUGUUUGAGUCUCGAACGGAUAUCGCAUAGUGUACGUUAUCCGGGUUUGAUAGGUUUGAACCAUUGGAUAGUUUUGAAUUUGAUAUAUGUUAAUCUAGGCAUUUCUAGGAUCAUGUAGGAAUUCAGGGAUCAUGAAUCAGAGCCCCGGAUGUUCCGAUUUAAUAACUUAAAGUUUAUGUUUAUAAUAACUAUCAGAUCGUGCGAUCGUGAGCGAUCCGACUGUCUGAUCUGGACCAAACUUGCAGCACGUAUAUCCUAAACCUUGUGGAACAUAAAAAAAUUUCGGAUUAGAAUUUGGAGGUCGUGGGCCCCGUGGGCCCAUUUAACCAAUUAUGGGUAGUUUGAUCCUUGGUUGACCGUGAGUCUUCCGAGAUAGUUUUACCUUCCUAGGAGGAUUAUAAUGACCCUAGUGAUAGGUCUUGACCGUUGUUCAGCUAUGUUGACUAGGUUGAGACUUCUAGAGUGUUUAUUAUAUUAUUGUAGGAAACUCUUAGAUAUUAUUUUAAUAAUUGAAAUUAUGAAAUUUAUGUUUAUGUGCAUGAUCGUUGGUCUAAAAAUAAUAUUAUUUUCCUGAUAAAAUUACGUUGCAGUCUACUAUAGACUAGUAUCACUAAAGUGGGAAUACCUCUAUUAUUAGUUGAGAUAAUUGGGAGUAUGUCAGUUUGAAAUGUUAUACCCUAAGUACUACUCUAUGAUUGUCAGGUCACCCGUGGCGUAGGAUUUUCCGGUGAGAUGACAGACCCCAUACGUGGCGUUGGAAUUUCCAACGUAUGGAGAGAUUAUAUGAUUGUUAGGUUUCACGUGGCGUAGGAUUUUUCAGCGGGAUGACAAACCCCAUACGUGGCAUUGGAAGUUUCAGCGUAUGGGGAGAUGAUAUGAUUGUUAAGUCACACGUGGCGUAGGUUAUUUGGAGUGCUGACAGACCCCAUACGUGGCGUUGAAAUUUCUGGCGUAUGGAGAGAUGAUAUGAUUGUUAGGUCACUUUGGAUGUUCUAGCGUAUUGGGAGAUUAUGUGAUUACCAGUGAGAUGAAUAAAGGAUUGUUAUGUUAUAUUGGGAAAAACAUGUUUGUAGAAAGAAUUACGUGUGGCUUGAUCCCUCAGUAAGGGUACGUAGGCAGCCUAGGGUAGUGCCUUGGUGCAGUCGCUGACUAAACAUUAUAAUGUUGUUUUUAGGUUUGAUUAUAUGGUAUUAUGGGGCAAGGCCCCUAGGACUAUUGGUGAUAAUUCAUAGAUGGUAGUGGAUGCAUGCUAGAAAUUUGUAGGAAGUUAUUUCAUGUGGAUUGCAGUGGUACUCGUAAAAUUUAUUUGAGUUCCUUAAUUGCAUUGUUAAUAUAUUAAUUUACUUAAGAGUACUGCUAGUAGUUCUGCCUUGAUUUAUUUGAAGGCUGGAGGCCUUGUCUGGAAACUGUGUGCAAUUAGAUUGUGUGUGCUGGCAGUUGACUUUUUAAAUUGUGAAUUUUGUGCAGGUUGAAAUUUGGGAAAUGUUCAAUUUACAGGGGAGACUCUGCUGAAAUUUCGGUAGAAAGUCUUGUGCCCUUAUUCCUUUUUGGGGAAAAGGAUAUAGUUUUAGAAGUGGCGAUGUCGGGAAUUUCCACAGGAUUCGUCUCGGGUUUCGGGAAAUUCGGGGCGGGUCUGAAAAAGUUGUUUCAGUUUUGGCAAGUAUCGGAAAAGACCAAAAUUUUCCGACUUUAUUAUUACUAGAAACAAGGUCGAAGUAUUUACCAAUCAUGUGGCCUUCCAAGUGCUCUAGGUUAAGCCAGGAACCGUUCCUAUCUGCCGUUUCCUUCCCAACUAUGAUCAUGUUGUCUGGGUUCCAACCCACAAAUCUACAUUGGGCUACGUAUUUGAAUUUGUACUAAAGCGUGAUCUAUAGUAUGCAUAUAUUGGAUAAGUUUGAGAUCAGUGGCUUGGGUGUCCGCUGAGCUUGAACAAGUUUGGGUGUGCUGAGUGUUUCCAUGGGUGUGUUGAUGAUCAUGGUUAUUAGAUUUGUGAUAGUUUGGGCUCAAUUUCAACAGAACUCAUCUCAAGCCUAGAUAGUUGAUUCUUAAGUUUAUCAGGAAAAAAAAUUAAAAAUUAAAAAAUCUAAAGUUAAGCCCAAGGCGCCGAACUUGGACUUCUCACCAAACUGUGCAUAAAUUGAAAUAUUUAAUAGAAGCCCAAGAUUUUUGAAGCACAUAAUAUCUACAAAAAUCUACAAAGUGUAAUACUUUACAAACUUCUUAUGUGUACCAAUUUCUGCUCAAAUUAAUUUCUCUGUGGUGCUGAGAUUCAUCAUAAUUUUAGUAGAAAUUGGAAGUUUUCAUCAUUUUUGCUUUAAGUCUCUCCUCCACUCACUAAUAAAGAUUACUCAAGUGAGUUUACAAAACAUUUUUUUUCUACUCUCUCCUGAAGACUACACAUCUUCUCAAAAGAUUAGAUCACUUCACAUCUUGUAUAUGUGAAAACUAAUGCAAAAAGUUGAAACUUUAUCAUAAAACCUCGACAAAAAUUAGCUCUACUUAGAACAUUAAAUUUGGAUUCGUUGAUUUAAAUGGCAAUUUGACACUUCAUAGAAAUUUUUACAUACAUGUGUUAGUGUUUGAUCACUUCACUUAUUACUUACUAUAUUUAUUCCAUGAUUCUCCCUCAAGUUAUGUAAAUAUUAUUAUCAAACAUUUCAAUUCAUUUGUGAUAUUUCUUGUCCAUCUUUCAAUGUACCCUGAAAUCCAUUAGCCACAUAUGAUGACCAAAAUCCACACUCUGUUGUUUGCAAACGUUCAAUAUACGACUUGCAUCCACAGUCCUGACCCAAAUGAAAUGCGGAAACUGUCAAGCUAACUGUAGGGAGGACUAUAUUUGAUUUUACCUUAAAGACUGAUCCGAAACCACCUUCUCCAAGUUUAUUGUUGUUUGAAUAGUUUUUGGUUGCACAAACAACAGCGGCCAAGUCAAAUAAUGGCAAUUCCAGAUCUUCCUUUUGGCCGGGCUUCAGUUCUCCUGUGAAGUACGUAGUGAAGUAAAUAAUGUAGCAUGGAACCUUAGCUUAGAAACCAGAGAGGCAACAGCAAAAAUUUUCUAUAGAACUGAACCUACCUAUCUUAGAAAAUGAAGGGGCAGAAGAGUAGAAAAUCAAAUAGCUUACCAUAUUUUUGUUGCUGGUUCUUCCUCACAUAUAAUAGCAGGGUAAGGCCCAGGGUCAGCAGUCCAGUAGACAACACAGUACUGGUUACUAUGAUCUUUGUAUUGUGUCCUUGAUCUAGGAAUGAAGUAUUUGAAAGCAGAAGAUUGAGGAGUCAGAAAUUCAUAAAGAAAAAAUCUCUACUUUUUAUCAUCCAACGAACAAUUAAUGCUAGUUUCUGAGACAGUUCUAAAGAAAUAUUUUUCUAACAAUGUCAAAAGUUUUCUGGCUCUAUCUUGUUUCUAAUCAUGUCACUGUUGGAAGAUUUCUUUCUUCUUUUUUCCUUGGUGGCUUUUAUUUUUCUUUCAAACUUUGUUUUAAACAGCAAGAUGAUUCCAUACCUAGUUCUGACGAAGCCAUUCUUAUGUAAAUAUCUUGCCCAUUUAUAUUGGAAUAUCUUAUAUCAACCAGAUCGCUGAACCACAGCAAGGACCCCCUUCCUCCAUCUCGGAUAUCCAAAUUUGAAAAAGCGGCGCAGGAGCAGUUGUUCAUGCACAUCAUCUCACAUUCCUUGAGGUUCAUAAUUGUGUUAUACUAGGAUUGUUCUGUACUUUAUUUCACCCCAGUGUACUUCUUAAAGAUGUCUCCACUGCAAUUCAGUUGGCUCUUUCUCACAGAUCUAUAUGACCAAUCCACCAAGUCCCAGUCUUGUUGAAAGUCGGUAUAAAUCCUUUCAAGCAGCUACGUACUGGGGACUUGUCAAUACAACAUGCACCAUUCGGACCACAUAUUCCAUAUUUGUCGCAGAUAUCAGUCGUUGCUCUUAGAUAAACAACCCAACCUUGGUUUCCAUCACUCCCGAUGUAGCUCAGCCCAAAUCCAUCUUGAGUUAACGCCAGCCUGAAAAGAGUUGAGCUGUUGAGAAGCUUAUAACCAUAAUAUACUUCAUCAUCAUUAUCCAACACAAAAUCAUAUGUUGGAUUUAAAUUAUGCAUCCCACUAAAUUGGAUUCCAUUCCAUGGUGCAGUCCGAUAUUUUAUAACAGAACCCUCCCUCAGAAUUAAUUCAUGGUACCCAUAAGGACCAAGUUGAUAUGGGUAAUGUCCUUGAGAAGGAUCCUGGGGGCUUUUCCAGGGUGUAAGAUGCCAAUUAAAACCUGUGAUUUUGUUCCUAACAAGCUUCAUACCUGGUAUUAAUGUAUCUCCUGGGUAAUCAAAACUCUGCCAUAAAAUAUUAUCAGAGUCAUUACGACCAUUGCCAUCUAUCACAACAAGAUUUCCGGAAUCCAAAAUCUGUGCCACUGGAUUCUAUGAAGAACUUGAUGUGUUGGAAGACCUGUAGUGUUCUUUGUUGAAUAUUUGGAUUGCAAAGGGAGCAAGAAAUGUACUGAGAGAGAAAGAGAGAGAGAGAGAGAGAGAGAGAGAGAGAGAGAGAGCAGUGAGCCUUAGAUUGUUCUAACAGUUUUCUUACUCUGCAUGAACAUAGCAGCAGAGCUUAUAUUCCUUCAUGACUGUUACAUGUUCUCUCUUACAUCAGUAGAUUCAAAUCUAACGGUUUGUAAUAGUAAGCCAAUGUGAGUAUGACACAUGGCAAUACACAGCUGUCCUAACAGCUGGGAAUUCAAAACAGACUCUAGCAUUGCACCUGGCAUAUAAGCACAAGGCACUCAGCUAACACAAAGAUUAAAAACAGAUUGAAUAUAAACUGACAUAGAACUUACUAACUAAUCUGAAAUUAGCUAGACAGUUUACAUUUUAACACUCCCUUCUAAAGUGCUAGCUGAUUUCACUCCAAGCAUUCUCCUCAAAUAGUCAAACCUGUCUUUGGGAAGAGCUUUGGUGAAGAUAUCAGCAAUCUGCUCUUCUCCUUUGCAGUAGAGCAGUUCAAUCACUUCUUCUUGUAUUGCAUCUCUAAUAAAAUGAAACUUCCUUUUAAUAUGCUUGCUCCGUUGAUGAAAAACAGGAUUUUUAGCCAUUGCUAUGGCUGAAGUGUUGUCACAAAACACAGUUGUUGCAGUGGUCUGUUCUUCCCCAAAAUCUUCAAGAACAAACCUGAGCCAAAUGGCUUGUGAUGUAGCUUCUGCUGCACUCACAUACUCUGCCUCUGCAGUAGAGAGAGCCACACUGUGUUGUUUGACUGAUGCCCAUGAAAAAGCACCACUUCCAAAUGAAAAUGCAUAUCCAGAAGUGCUUUUCAUAUCUUCCUCAGAUCCACUCCAGUCACUGUCACAGUAACCAACUAAGAGUGCAGAUUUUCCUGUCACAUACUCAAUUCCAUAGUCAAUUGUGCCUUGUAUGUACCUUAGAACCCUUUUAGCUGCCCCAUAGUGCAUCUUAGAAGGGUUAUGCAUGAAUCUUGCAAGCAGGCAGGCAGAGAACAUGAUAUCUGGCCUGGUUGCAGUAAGGUACAGCAGGCUGCCUACAAUUUUUCUGAACAAACUUUCAUCUGCAGCAUCACUUCCAUCCUCUCUUUUCAAUUUAUCAGUAGCCACUAAUGGAGUGCUUACUGACUUGCAGUCUUUGAGUCCAAACUUAUCCAAGAGAGUGAGAGCAUACUUCUUUUGAUGAAUGAAGAUGCUCCCUUCAGUUUGUGUUACUCCCAUACCAAGAAAAUGGUGGAGUAAACCCAAAUCAGACAUCUCAUACUUGCACAUCAUUUCAGCUUUGAAUUCUUUCAUCAUUUCAUCUCUACUUCCUGUGUACACUACGUCAUCUACAUAGAUUGACACUAUUAGUGUUCCCACCUUCCUUUGUUCUCACAUAGAGAGUGGCUUCACUUGGACUUCUGUGAAAACCACACUGAUUCGAGUAGGUGUCAAUUUCACUAUACCAGGCCCUUGGAGCCUGCUUCAACCCAUAGAGGGCUUUUCUUAACCUAUACACCUUAUCCUCAUCAUCUUUAACCACAAAACCAUCCGGUUGAUCAAUAUAAACUUCUUCUUCAAGGACACCAUUUAGGAAGGCUGACUUGACAUCCAAUUGCCAUAGUUUCCAGCCUUUCUGAGCAGCAAGAGCUAUGAGAGUUCUAAUGGUGUCUAACCUUGCUACAGGAGCAAAGGUUUCAUUGAAAUCAAUCCCUGGUUUUUGUGUGUAUCCCUUGGCAACAAGUCUUGCUUUAUGUUUUUGAAUGGAGCCAUCAAGAUUAAGCUUAAUUUUGAAUAUCCACUUCACUCCCACAAUUGGUUUACUACUUGGCCUGUCAACCAAUUCCCAACUGGAGUUUUUCUCUAUCAUAAGUAUCUCCUCAGUCAUAGCCUUCCCCCAAGCUUCAUCUUUGACUGCUUCUUCAAAAUUUUCAGGUUCAAUGAUGCUCAUCUUGCAUUGAGCAUACACUUCACUCAAACUCUUCCAUUUCUUUGGGGUGUUAUCAUAAGUUUCUAAUGGAGCAGAGUCUUGAGUAGCAUGCACAUCAUUACUUGUUUGUGUUUCCAUAGGAGACUGUACAAUCUGUUGCUGUAACAGAUUUGGUUAUGAAUCCAAAUCUGAUACAAUUGAACUUACUCCAUCACCCCAAGACAUAGGGAUUUGCAAUGCCUCAUUGGUUUCCCAAUUCCACAUUGCUUCUUCAUCAAAAAUAACACUCCUAGACAGCUCAAUCUUUUGAGUUCUCAAGUUGAGCACUCUAUACCCCUUUUCACAUACACCAUAUCUUACAAAUACUCCCUUCUCACCUGUGUCUUCCAGCUUGUGCCUUUUCUGUGUGGGGAUGUGAAUAUAGCAUAGAGAACCAAAUAUUCUCAAAUGCUUGACACCUGGUUUUCUUCCACCGAACUUUUCAAAUGGAGUGGAAUUGUCCAGUGCACUUGUAGGACAUCUGUUCUGCAAAUAUACAGCUGUAUUGACAGCUUCUGCCCAAAACUUCAAAGGGAUUUUCUUCUCAUACAUCAUGGCUCUUGCCAUUUCCAUCACAGUACGAUUCUUUCUCUCUGUAACUCCAUUCUGUUGUGGAGAGUAGCCUACUGNNNNNNNNNNNNNNNNNNNNNNNNNNNNNNNNNNNNNNNNNNNNNNNNNNNNNNNNNNNNNNNNNNNNNNNNNNNNNNNNNNNNNNNNNNNNNNNNNNNNNNNNNNNNNNNNNNNNNNNNNNNNNNNNNNNNNNNNNNNNNNNNNNNNNNNNNNNNNNNNNNNNNNNNNNNNNNNNNNNNNNNNNNNGGUGUGGUCAUCAAUGAAGGUGAGGAAAUAUCUGUUCCCUCCAAGAGUGAUGGUCUGCAUUGGACCACAAAUGUCUGAGUGAAUCAGUUCUAGAGGUUGAGUGGCUCUCCAAGCUCCUUCCUUAUCAAAAGAGCUUCUGUGAUUCUUGCUUUCAGCACAACCUGAGCAGACCUUCUCAUGUUCUUGUAAAUUAGGCAUUCCCUGAACCAUAUCUCUCUCUUGUAACAACUUCAAACUAAUAUAGUUUAGGUGCCCAAAUCUUCUGUGCCACAGCCAGGAUGUUUCUCCAACUGUUGCUCUGUUUGCCAUAGGAGGAUUAACAUAGUCAAGAUUUAAAGGAAAACAUUUGUUUCCCUUCAUUGGCACUCUUGCAAUGCAAUCUUCCAACUGCCUAUCUCCAUAGAUAUCAACUGCAUUAUCACCAAAUACAAGCCAAUGCCCAUGUUCUAUCAUUUGACCUACACUUAGCAAAUUUUCAUCUAAACUUGGUACAAUCAUGAUUUCUUUGAUAUAUCUAGUCACACCCUUCAUUUCUAUAGCCAAAGUCCCUUUGCCUAUUAACUGCACUAGAUCACCAGUCCCCAUUUUGACUUUACUCUUCAUACUUUUAUCAACAUUUACAAGUAAUGACUCAUGGGAAGUCAUGUGAUUGCUGCAUGCACUAUCAACAUACCACAUAUUCACAUUCUUUCCAAUUGUUGCAGCAUGACAUGCAUAGAACAUAAUGGCAGGUUCAGUUACCUGAUUUGCAAUGUUAGCAAGUUUCCCUGCCUUGUUUGCUUGGUCACAGUCCUUAACAAAAUGACCAAAUCGAUUGCAGCCAUGACACUUUGGUUUUCCUUUAAACCAACACUCACCAUAGUGUAACUUCUCACAAUGUUUGCAUUUUCCAGAUUUGUCUCCUUGACUUGGUUUUCCCCCUUGAUUGGCACUGUUUUGGGGUUUAGAAUCCCAUUUCUUAUCCUUGGACUUCCAAUUCUUCUUUGAUUUAUUAGAGCCAGAACUAGAACUUGAUUGAGAUCCUUUUGAGUUUAUGCUCAUGCUGCUGAAAGCUUUCUCAGUGGUGCUUUCUGCAUGUCUGUCAAGGCGCUGAGCAAAACCUCUUAAUGCUGCAAUUACCUCCUGCACUUCAAUGGUUUCAAUGUCUCUAGUUUGCUCAAUCACAUAGCAGACUGGAUCAAAUUCCUUGGUUAAGCUUAUUAGCAGUUUUUGAACUAUCCUCCCUUUGGUCAGAUCUUCCCCAUAUCCCUUCAUCUGAUUUACAAGCUCAAGUAACCGAGUGAUGUAUCCAGACAAGAUCUCAUCAUCCUUCAUCCUGGUGUACUCAAAAUCUCGACGCAGACCCUGCAACAUGAUGGAUCUGACUUGCUUAUCACCAUGAAACUCCUGAUGCAAGAUAUCCCAAACACCUUUUGAGGUUUCUUCAUUUGAGAUUCUGGGAAAGAUGUCAUCUGAAACAGCACCUUGGAUAAUACCAAGAGCCUUAGCAUCUUUCAUCAACAAGGACACCAUCUCUGAAUCUGAUGACCCUUCUUUAUCAGCUUUUGAAUCUGGAACUUGAAGGCCUUUCUCAACCAAAUUCCAGAUUCCAUGAGAUUUGAAAAUUGUUCUCAUUCGAAUCUUCCAAAACUCAUAGUUCUCCCCAUUGAAUAUUGGAGCUCUAAGAUCACUCCCUCCUGACCCAGCCAUCUGAGACCAGACUCAAUGAGUUGAGAGUAGGAAAUUUCCCGUUGGAUUUCCAGACUCAGCUCCCACAGCUUCAACGCCCUCUAUCCAGAUCCAACCUGCGCACCUGAUACCAUGUUGAAUAUUUGGAUUGCAAAGGGAGCAAGAAAUGUACUGAGAGAGAGAGAGAGAGAGAGAGAGAGAGAGAGAGAGCAGUGAGCCUUAGAUUGUUCUAACAGUUUUCUUACUCUGCAUGAACAUAGCAGCAGAGCUUAUAUUCCUUCAUGACUGUUACAUGUUCUCUCUUACAUCAGUAGAUUCAAAUCUAACGGUUUGUAAUAGUAAGCCAAUGUGAGUAUGACACAUGGCAAUACACAGCUGUCCUAACAGCUGGGAAUUCAAAACAGACUCUAGCAUUGCACCUGGCAUAUAAGCACAAGGCACUCAGCUAACACAAAGAUUAAAAACAGAUUGAAUAUAAACUGACAUAGAACUUACUAACUAAUCUGAAAUUAGCUAGACAGUUCACAUUUUAACAUUCUUAUGGUCGGCAGGGACAAGAAUUCCAGGGCUGCUCAACUUGAAUACACCUGAUGAACCAGUGAGGGGUGUGUUUCUUUUAGUCUGCACUAUAUAUGCAGGGUCUGACUCUAAUUAGAAGAUAAUUGUAUUAAUUUGGUAAAGCUUUGUCUGUAACUGUCUCGCACCUUAAAAAAAUUUCACAAUUAGCAGCAUUGGCAAUACUUGAUUAGAAAGCAGAAACCCUACAGUAUAUAGUUAAGUUGAGUAGCUGGGAAGACAAUUAGUAAGCUUUCAAUACUAAAGUUGAAUAUUGGGGAGACAAAUUACUAGAGCUUCAAGUUCAGAUAAAUAGGAUGAAUUUCUCUUAAGGGAUCCCCUUUCACUGUAGCUUGGAGUAGAAUUCAUUUUGACACAAUAUCAAUUAUCAAUGUAAACACGUUACUGAUGCACUAUUGACAAUAUCGAUGCACGUCAUAUCAUAUUUGUGGGAGUAAAUUUCCUCACGAGAAUAUUUGGUUCAAAAGAUUCCCCUUUUUUUUUUUUUUGCCGCCUCUUUCUCCUUGCAAAAUAGAACAAAUAAGAGGACCACACCCGGGGGGUGUUGGCCAAAGGCCCUCCGAUGCUAAAUUAGUUCAAGUAUUUGUAAGAAAAAUACUAGCUAACUAGGGUACAGAGGUGUAUUUAAGGUGUAAACCGGGCAGCCGAAGUCUUAUGUAAAAGAGAGAGAGAAAGGAGGUGGCUAGCGUUUGAGAGGAAUUUUCUGCAGAGUUUUUAGUAGAGAUUUCAGACGUACCUCAACCAUUGUGUGUGGCCAUCUUUUUAUAGUGGUCUUGGAGGCUAGGGUUUCAGAGGAAUAAUUCCGUAGAUGGAAAGGAAUUAUUCCUCCCCUAUUUGGAAUUGAUUUGAUUAAUUAGGGAUUUGAUUUAUUAGGGUAAAUCAAAUCCCUAAUUGUGGUAGGUAUCAAAUCAAAUCCUUUUUUAAUUAGGUAACUCCUCAUUUAAUUGGGAAUUGUGGUAGGAAUCAAAUCAAUUCUCAACCUAAUUAGGUAACGUUCAAUUUAAUUGGGUAAUUCCCAAUUAAAUUGAGUAACUCCCAAUUAGGUUGAUUAAUUCCCAAUUAGAUCAAAUAAUCCCCUAAUUGAAGGAAUUAUUUGACCUAGGGUCUGAUUUAAUUCGAUUCCCACAAAUGCCCCCCAGCUUCUGCAUGGUGCAUGGUGGCACGUAGGAGAUGUAAAUUAUCUGUUGGGCUGUCCAGCUGUAACUGGGCUUCCUUCGUGGACCUGGGCUCCCGAGUAGAGGAGGUGUUUGACUUGCCAAUUUUAUGAACACCCAAUUGGAAAGGGUUUGAGAUUCCUUGUAGGUCAAGGAAUUUUGCUCCUUAUAAAUGUAGGGCUCCUCCAAAUUAUUCUCGACAUCAGAAAUCUACUCCUCCAAAUUUGUUAGUGAGAGAGAGAAGACUUUGGAGAAUUUUUCAGCGUGCUUGAGACUUCAUCUUUGCAGCCCAUCCAAGGUAAUUUGAUAGGAAGAAUUUUAUUUUGAGUUGCUAUGACUUUUGGCAGCAAGCUGUGAGACUAAGGGCAUGUCUUGAGGUGCGCGCUAGGGCUUUAGGCAUGGCAAGAGACUCGGAAAGGCUAGCAGGUUCGUUUCCACCUACGCUGGGCUCAAGGAGAAGGCAACAGGGCUUCAGGCCUUGUGGAUGAAGUGGGCUUUCGCUGGGAGCAAGAGGCCUGGAGCUGAGGCAAGGAGACAAUGGGCCUGGUACGAGGUGUGGGCUGAGCAUGCCAGCUUUGGAGCAAGGGGGCCAGGACGACUGCUGGGCAGGAGGUGCGCUGGGCUGCAUGCGCGAGCUGCGCCGAGUGCUGGCUGGAGGAGCGAGCUGGGCUGCGCGCUAGGCCAUUCAUGCUGGGCUACUUCCGUUUUUUUUUUGUUUUUUUUUAAAUUUUAUUUGCUGUUGCUGCUUUUUUUUUUGUUUUUUUGUUUUUUUUUUGUUUGGUAUUCUAACUCGUAAUUUUUUUUUUCUUCUUACAGCUACUUGUUGAUCAACCAUGUCUUCCGGAGAUGGUAGCAAGGCUCCAAGCUCUUAGGUCCUUUUGUAUUUAUGGGGAGGCUCCAUAGUGCAUGGCAAGAAGUUUGUGGUCAACUUGCAUCGCGUCACGACUUAUGCUCAGUUCCAGAAGUGGCGGGCCACUUAUGCGUCUGCCAUUCCAGAUGACGUGCUGGUCAAGCUAUUGAAAUCUCAAACUGAUAACGAGCCUUUGGUGGACGUGAGUGAUCAUGAUGCUAGGAUCAUUACCUUCCGUCCUUUUUACUUCUCUUUAGGCUUCAAAUUCCCGUUGUCAAAGCUCUUCAAGAAGGUGUUCUGUGCCAUGGGGUGUGCUCCGAGCCACUGUACUCAUGUGCUUCAAGAAUUUGAGUCGUUUCUUCAUGUUGGAGCUGACGAUGCGAGAGUUCUUUUAUUUUUUUCGAAGUGAGGCACUUUGAGCGGUACGCCCAAGUUCGUAUCUACAAGGCCAAGCUGUUCCACGGUCUCAGUCAAGGAGAUCACGCUUGACAUGAAGAUGUGUUGGAGGUCAGCAGACGGUGGGAGGGUGACGUCGGUGACGGCCCACCUGUUCCCAUCACCUAUUGUGAUGGUAUGUCUCUUUACGAUUUUUGAUAUGCUCCUUUUAUUUGAAUUUCUUGAAGUGUGGCAGACUAACUUCUAUCUUCUGCUCGUAGUGAGUGACAUUAGCAAGCAAUUGGAGCUCCGACCAGACAUGGCUAAGGUCCGUCGUGCUUUGAACAUCCCUCUAAGGUUUCACGAGUGGCGCUGGCUGUUGAGUGAGUACCGGGAGGAAGACGGUGGUUUUCUCCUUGCCGAGGAUGUCGAAAGGUGGAAGCAGAACGAUCCUGACCCUGAUGAUCUGCUUGGCAGACAGGAAGAAUGUUCUGCUUAAUCGCUCUUAAAGAGAAAGGCUGCUGCCAAAUCUUUGAGAUGUGAAGCUACUUCUUCGCAUGCAAAGGAUGGGUCUCCAUCGAGGAAGAAACCAAGGCUCCCUUCUGCUGAGAAGACUCAAGUGGGGUCUGCUCCCUCAUCAUCUGCCAGGGUUAAGCAUCUCGUGGGUGCAGAUAGCAAGAAGGUUGGUGGUAUGCAUGGUACUCGGGGUGUUCUGCCCAAGCUUCCUGCUGACACGCUCGAAAACCAUGAUAUACUUCGUGAAGUGGCUCGUGCCCAACCUAGUUCUGCCAAGCGUCAAAGAGAUGUAGACAUUCCUCCUAGAAGUUCGAGUUGUCUGCAUCGGUCAAAAGAUGGAGACCGAAGCGGGAGGUCUGCUUAUGAUCCAGCAUUAUUGACUCAUUUGGAGAUGAGGUUGGCGAAGGCUAAGAAGGUGAAAGAGUCAUCUGCCCGGGUUAAGGGUUCUUCCUCGGCGUUGGUAGUUGGUCCCAAGAUGAACAAGUCUAGCUCUGUAGGGGAUGCAUGCGUAUCUGAUCUGCUCAAGAUGAACUUCCUAUCAAACCCGUCCUCUUGUGUUGAGUUGGUUGAUCACAUCCCUCAAGCGGGCGAUCUAGGCACUUUCUCGUGCCUUUCCUUAGAAAAAUGAAGGAAAAUGACAUUCCAUCUGAUUCAAAAAGGACUGGUUUUUGCUACUGAGACUAUUUGGAACUCAUCUGCUAUUGCCCCUCUUCUGUCCAACUCAGCGAGUUGGAGAAGAAGAAUGCUGAUUGGCUAGACAGCUUUCCGCCGAGCAGGCCCGUUACGAGAAGAAGAUGUCUGAUUUGAGGGCGAUGAUAUCUGAGCUGAAAAGCUCCCUUACCGAGAAGGAUUUCGAGCUCAACUCUUCUGCUGCUGAUUUGGCUAGUCGAAAAGAUACCUUCUUUCGUCUUGAGCAUAAGAAUGCUGACAUCUUCCUUAGCUAUAACAAACUCCUGGCUAGAUUUCAUGCCUACCAUAAGUCUGCUAAAGAAUCCAAGACAGAUGGAGCUGCUGAAGGCGUAGCCGGUCAGGUGGAUGCCGAAGAGGCUGCAGCUUAAAAGUCUUCUGCUGGCGUCUCAGAGUAGAUGAAGACUCUUUUUUGUUUCUUUUCAGCUUUUGUAGUUUGCUUUAUUGUUUAGAAUAACUGGUCUUAUUUGACCAUCUUCUUUUUGUUGAACUUGGCUGGUUGGUCUGUUUGUUAGGGAAAUUUCAGUUACAUUUUCCAACUUCAAUUUGCAUAUUUGACUUGUGAACUGCUUAAGUAACCAGCCUGUGUUUUGAUUGCACAUCCCCCUUUAGAGAUUUGUGAGUACCAGGGUCCCCCUUGGAGGACUCCGGCCAUGCACAGUAUAUCUCGUAGGAUGGUUCCCCUUAGGAAGUUGGCGAGUACCAGGGUCCUCUUUGAGAGACUCCGGGUGUGUUCUGCACAUCCCGUAUGAUGCCUUAAUCGUCGCCUUGCUUCUCCCGUAGGACGCUGCUUAUAGGCAACUAUAUGACUAUCCUGCCUUUCUUAGGAAACGGAUAGGAACCUGGAUAUUUCCCGCAUGAAGCAUGGAGACCUCCUUUUAAGAAAUUUUUGGUGCACCAUGCUUCUCCCUUAGGACGCUUUUUUCGCAGGCUGGGUCUCCAAAUGGACGCUUUUAGUCGUUGCCCUGCGUCUCCCUUAGGACGCUCCUUAUGGGCAACUGUGUGACUAUCCUGCCUCCCUUAGGAAAUGGAUAAGACUUGAAUAUUUCCCGCAGUAAGCAUGGCGACCCCCUUUUAAGAAACUCCUGGCGUACCCUGCAUCUCCCUUAGGAUGCUUUUUAAGAGGGCUGCUUCUCCAAACGGACGCUUUUAGUCGUUGCCUAUGUCUCCCCUAGGAUGCUCCUUAUGGGCAACUGUGUGACUAUCCUGCCUCCCUUAGGAAACAGAUAGGAAACUAGAUAUCUCCCUUAGGAAAUUCCUAGCGCACCUUGCGUCUCCCGAAGGACGCUUUUUUAGCUGGCUACGUCCCGAAACGGACACUUUUAGUCGUCGCCCUGCGUCUCCCUUAGAAUGCGCCUUAUAGGCAACUGUGUGACUAUCCUGCCUCCCUUAGGAAACGGAUAGGAACCUGGAUAUCUCUCUUAGGAAAUUCCUGGGGCACCUUGCGUCUCCCGAAGGACGCUGCUUAUGGGAAAAUAUUGUGUUUCGUGGGCAGAUGAGACAUUUUGGAAUGAGAAACUGAACUUAUAUUGAUAUUCAUAAGAUUACAGUCCUUUAUUUGAAAAUGGAAAUAACUUGGUUCAAAAACUUAGAACUUCUAGCAGCUACGAGGAAGCACUAUGGAUAAUACUUUCGGAGAUGGUGAGCAUUCCAUUGUCGUGGUAUUUCCUUCCUAUCCAUGGUGUCCAGUGUGUUGCUUCCUCUGCCCCGGACCUGCUGAUCACAUAAACGCCCUCCCAGUUAGGAUUCACUUUUUUUGACCCGUGUCUUGGUGCAGUAAUGAAAGCCUUAGCACGAGGUCGCCUGGUUGAAACUGUUUGACCUUAGCUCUUUUGUCGUAGUAAGACUUCAACUGCUAGUGAUAGGAGGCGACCCGAAUAAUGGUCUUCUCACGCCUGCCCUCAAGUAAGUUGAGGUUGAGCCUCAUCUGCUCGGAGUUCUGAUCAACACUGCCUACCUUAAGACUUAUAGAGAGGACAGUGAUGUGAGGUGGUAUGAUCACUUCUGUUCCAUAGGCGAGAGAGAAUGGGGUUUCACCAGUCGAUCUUCGCUUGGUGGUGUGAUAAACCCAUGGUACUCUGGGGAGUUCAUCCACUCAUUUCCCUUCAGCGCCUUCCAGCCUUUUCUUUAAGCAGUCCAAUAUGACUUUGUUGGAUGCCUUGGCUUGUCCAUUUCCUUGUGGAUACCUCGGGGUGGACAAGUGUUGUUUGAUCUUGUAUUUCACAAAAAAAGCGGUGAUCUGCUUGCCAAUGAACUGUGAGCCAUUGUCGGUAACCAACGACUGUGGGCAGCCAAACCGGCAUAUGAUGUUUCUCCAGAUGAAUCACUCCACAUCGGCUUCUUUAGUAAAUGAUAGAGCUUCGGCCUCGAUUCAUUUAGUAAAGUAGUCGGUGGGGACGAUCAUCAUUUCUUUCUUGGCGGGCGCUAGUGGCAAGGGAUCCACUAGGUCGAUGGCCCAUUGCAUGAACAGCCAUGGACUGUUUUGCGGAUGAUAGACUUCGGCAGGCAAGUUAGGGAUCGGCUUGUAUUGCUGACAGCGUCACAUUUCUUGGCACAUUCAGCACAGUCGUGACGUAUGGUAGGCCAGAAGUAGCCUAUGUUUAGAACUUUCUGGGCGAGUGACCUGCCCCAGAAUGGUUGCCAUACUCGUCGUCGUGAAUUUUACAGAUAAUCUCAAGUGUUUGAUGGUACUUUAUGCAGGUGAGAUGAAGGCCGGAGUAUGAUCUGUGGAUGAGCUUGUUGCCGUGCAUGUAGUAUCUCUCGGCCUUUUGCUGGACUUUUCUAGCUUCGGACUUGUCCGUUGGCAGGUUUCCAUUCGUGAAAUAGUCGAUGAUGAGGUCUUGCUAGCUGGGGUCCUCGUCAAUCUGCAUGGUAUUAAUCGGCUCUAUUUCUUCAAUGCUUGGUCGGUCAAGGUGUUCGACCUAGAUGGAGUGUUUGAACUGGGUAUCCAGCGUUGAACCUUGGCUUGCCAGUGCGUCUGCAUGCGCGUUCUUUGCCCGGGACACUUGUUGGAUAGUGAAGGUAGGAAAUGCCUUCAACAGCUCUUGGACUCUAUCAAGGUAUAAGAUCAUCCUUGGGUGCUUUGCCAUAUAUUCACCUGAGGCUUGAUUCGUGAUCAACUGUGAGUUUGAGUAGAUGGCUAGCUUUUUGAUUGCGAGCUCCUUUGCCAAGCGUAAGUCGGCGAGUAAUGCCUCGUAUUCUACCUCGUUGUUCGAGACCGAGAAGCCAAGCGUAAUAGCUUGCUCUAACAGGGUUCUAUCCAGGGUGGUGAUAACGACCCCUGCUCCAGCUCCUUUUUGGUUCGACGCUCCGUCUACACGCAACUGCCACAUGUCUCUGGGAUGGCUUGGUUCUGCGGAGGUCCUGUCUGCUUUUGAACUUCCCUCCUUUUGGUUGACUAACUUCUCUUUUUUGGCUGAUGGGGUGAAUUCUGCGACGAAGUAUGCUAAAGCCUGGGCUUUUAUUGCAGUUUUUGGCCCGUAGAGGAGGUCAUAUUGGCUUAGCUCUAUAGCCCACUUCAUGAGUCGCUGAGAAGCAUCAGGGCUGUGGAGGAUUGAUCUCAAAAGAAAGUCAGUCAUGACUAUGACUCGAUGAGCUUAGUAGUAGGGUCGCAGCUUUCUCGCAGAAACUACAAGAGCCAAAAUAAGUUUCUCCAAUUUCGGGUAACGAGUCUCUGCAUCGAGGAGAGCUUUUGACGUGUAGAAUACCGGAUAUUGGGCCCCUAUCUCUUCUCGGAUGAGAGCUGAACUGACAGCUGAGUUGGACUUACCUCACUAGGGACUGGAUUUGAGAGCAUGGAAGGUGAGGUGAGGUAAGUCUUCAGAUUAUGGAAAGCUACUUUGCAGUCCUCAUCCCAUUUCUCUCUUUGUCCUUUCUUCAAAGCUUUGAAGAGUGGUCUGCACUUGUCGGUUGAUCUCGAGAGGAAUCGGUUGAGAACCGCUGCUUUGUCCGUCAGACUUUAUAUCUCUUUCACCGUGGAAGGCGACUUCAUCUCUAGAAUGGCUUUGAUUUGACGUGGAUGUGCCUCGACACCUCGUUGCGUGGCUAGGUAUCCCAAGAAUCGGCCGGAGGAUACACCAAACAGGCAUUUACUUGGAUUCAACUUCAUGCGAUACUGGCGGAGCAAGCUGAAUGAUUGGGUAAGACUUCCGAUGUGAUCUGCACGUUUUGGGGCUUUGACCAGCAUGUCAUCCACGUAGACCUUCAUAGUUUUGCCGAUCUGCUUAUUGAAGAUUUUAUUCCCGAGCCUUUGAUAGGUUGCUUUGGCGUUCUUCAGCCCAAAGGGCAUGACCUUAUAGCAGCAGGUCCCUCUCUCGAUGAUGAAAAAAGUUUUUGCCUUGUCAUCCUCGUGCAUCAGGAUUUGUUUAUAGCUGGACUAGGCGUCCAUGAAGCUAAGCAGUUGAUUGCCAGAAGUGGAAUCCACGAGUUGGUCGAUUCUCGGCAAUGAGAAGUUGUCUUUAGGGCAUGCUUUGUUGAGGUCUGUGUAAUCGACACAAACUCUCCAUUUGCCAUUUUCUUGUUUUGCCACCAAAACAACGUUGGCAAGCCACUCUGAGUAGGAGGCCUCUUCGAUGAAGCCGACAGCUAGGAGUUUGUCAAUCUCGGCCUCGAUGAUAGCAAGUCGCUGGGGUGCGAAGUUGCGUCUCUUCUGCGCCACUGGCUUGCAGGCAGGGUUGAAGUGGAGUCAGUGACAGAUGAUGUUCUUGUCGAUGCCAGACUUGUCUGACGGCAACCAUGCGAACAUGUCUCUGUUGCUCUGGAGGAAGGUGGUAAGCUCCACAUUCUCUUCUGGCCUUAGGCGCGAACCGAUCCACUCUUUCCUAUCUGGUUGGUCAGGAUCCAAGGGUAUUAACUCGACGUCCUCCUUGGGUUUCCAUCCUUCUUCAGGAAAGACCUAUGGACGGAUUUCCUCGACUUGGUCCUGACGCUUUAAUUGCUAUAAGAUAGCAAGAUCCAGUUGCUCAACCUCCUCCAGAUCUGCCUGGCUCACAGGGAGAAACUGCGCUUGUUUACCUUUCUUUAGCCCUUGGGCGGAGCAUUUCCUCGCCAUUGCCUAAUCGUUGUUGAUUUGGCCGACACCGCCCCCAAGGAUUGGGUACCGAAUUUUCUAAUGUGUGGCGGAGGUGAUUGCAUUAAUUUUGCCAAUCGAUGGUCUGCCCAGAAUGCCGUUGUAGGGUAAGACCUUAUUAAUGACCAUGAAGGUUAUGAGCUGAUUAUAAGUGGGGAGUAGACGUCGAGGUCUAUCAUGCCCACGGUAACCGUUGUUGCACCAUUAAAAUCGCUCAGCAACCUAGCUAAUUUGUAAAUCUUUGUCUCCAAUCCCAUCUGUUGAAUGACCUCCAGUUGCAGGAUAUUGGCUGCGCUGCCCUCGUCUGUGUGGAUUCAGUCUACCAUGACCUGAGCAAUUUGAAUGCUGAUGACAAGGGCUUCGUUAUGUGGCAUGUAGAGGCCGAUCAGAUCUUUCUUUUGGAAGCCGAUUACAGGAUCGUCUUCUGCUGGUGGAAGGUCGGUCGAGAUUUGGGAGAUCACAGUGGUCUGUUUGAUCUUCCUCUUUUUUUCCUUUCUGGUCAGCCCAGACUCCUCGGAGUCAGCUAGGAUUGUGUUAAUUCUUAUGACCUUCUGAGGCGGCUCCUUGGCGAUGUCACGAUCUUCUAUCCGCUGGAUGACCUUCUUUGCAAUGAAUUCUGUGCAGUGACCUUCUCUCACGAGUUCUUCAAGAUGUGCUUUCCAAGCGAAGCAGUUGUUCAUAGUGUGUCCGUGCAUUUCAUGGACGGCACAGUAUUUGCUAGUAUUCCUUUUGUCCGGAUCUUCUUUCAAGGGUGGUGGUCUUCUUACCCAAGGUUGUUCUUCACUUGGGCUAAGAUUUGAUGUAUGGAGAUGGUGAACUUGGUGUAGUUCUCUCCUGCCGUAGCAUCCCCUUAUGGGUGCGACCUGCGCUUGUCCUUGUCCCUGUUGCUAAAUCCGUCGCUUCUUUGGCCUGCCCCCUUAGUCGGCUGAUCUUCCUGCUUAGUAGAGUUCUUUGCGGCGAUUCGAUCGUCAUCCCAAAGCGCAUAGCUUUCCGCGGUCUCGUAGACCUCUGCCAAAGUUUGGCUGGGAGUGAUGGUCAGCUCGUGGUACAAGUCGUGCUCAGUCGAAAGGUCUUUCUUGAAAGCAGAGGACGCAAUUUGGUCAUCACAUCCUACAAUGUUGGCCUUUUCUACUUUGAAUCUCUUGAUGUAAUCUCUAAAGGAUUCGUCGAACUUCUUGCGCAGGUUAUACAGGUGGUCAGGGUUCUUCUUGAUUGUUCGGUAAGAGGUGUAUUCUUUGGUGAAUAAGUAAGUCAGCUCCUUGAAGCUGCUGAUCGACCUGGAUGGCAGAGUAUGGAACGAGUCUUGGGCUUCCUCACAAGGUCAUUGCAAACACCUUGCACAUCAGCGCGUCGUCAACCUUGUGGAGGAUCAUGACACUUUUGAAGUGUUUUAGAUGGCUCUCAGGAUCGGAAUCCCCCUUGAAGUGUGUGAAUGUGGGCGUUGAGAAUCGCUUCAGGAGAGCAGCCUGCUCGAUUUUGGCAGUGAAAGGUGUAGAGUAUGCCUGGUCUACCUCAUUUCGUACAUCUUCGAAAUUUCCACCGGUCUUCAAGUCUCGAAGUUGGUCAUUCACAAGCUUCUCUACGUCUUCCGCACACAUUGCUUGUCGGCCACAUUGGCGACCUUCACGAAUUGUUCGAUGCUGACUGACUUCCUCGUUGAUUUCCGAGGAUCGACCUUCUUGUCUGCAUUGCCUAGGUGGAGUGUUGGUGGAUUGCGCCUACGAAAGAUUCUCUGUGGCUUGUCAAUGAGAAUCGGUUCUUCGAGAGUGAGUAACGAAGUGCCUUUCCUCAUGGUCCUUAUUGUGAGGGUUAUCCAGCUGACCUCCCUGGGGCCUAGCCUUUCCUGAAUGCUUCUCUGCGAGUAGACAGUUGAAUGCUUUUCUUCACGAUCCUCGUUGUGAUGGUUGUUUGGCUGACCUCCUUAGGGUCUUAGCCUUUGAUGUACAUUUCCCUGCCUGCCCAAGUAGGUGCGGACGUCGAGUCGUGGGCCCAGCCUUUCGUGCACGUCGUUCCUUAAACUCAAUCUGCUCUGAGUGUGGCUUGCAGAUGCUUGCGACAUGUCGGCAGGUCGAUCACGUUGUUGUCCCUCGACUUGUCUGCCCACUCUUGCUUGACCUGCUUGGUACUCGUUGAGCUGUCUACCGGCCCGUUCAUCCUUCCUUCUUUCCUCGCCUGGUUGUCCAAGGCCAAGGUUUUGAGCAAAGCUUAUUUGGUUGAGGAGCUGCCUCAUUAGAUUGUUUUGGUCGUCCAUUCUUUAAGCUAGCUGGUCAACUCUCAGAUUAAGGUCUGCUUGAUUUCAUGGAUCAGGAGGAGAGAAGUGUGUGGAGCUCAACUGCACAUAGGCUAGGGUUUCAUUAGAGGUGUAUGCGGGAGCGUGUGUCGAGCGUGGAGGCAAUAGAGGGAAUGCUUGGAGUUGCUCCAAGACCGGCCCUAGGUCGGCGGUGGUAACGAGUCCACCUUGAUGGGAAGUUCCACCAUGUUUGGCGGCAGUGACCGAUGCAGUGGUGAGAGGUGGUGGUGCCACCAUGUCGAUCGCGGGAUCGUUGGUGGAGUGGCUUUGGGCCGUCGCAAAUCUAGCCAUCAUGGCGGCUUUGCCUCUCGUGUUCAUGCUUCCAACCAUGGUUGUUUGGAAGGCUUAGGUGGAUUGGAAAAUUAGAGGAACGGAUUCCUUGAGCACGCAUUGAGUAUAACUCGUGCUCUCAAUGAAAGCACCAAUUUGUGGGAGCAAAUUUCCCCACGAGAAUAUUCGGUUCGAAAGAUUCCCCUUUCUUAUUCGCCGCCUCUUUCUCCUCGCAAAAUAGAACAAAUAAGAGGACCACACCCGAGGGGUGUUGGCCAAAGGCCCUCCGAUGCCUAAAUUAGUUCAAGUAUUUGUAAGAAAAACACUAGCUAACUAGGGUAUGGAGAUGUGUUUAAGGUGUAAACCGGGCGGCCGGAACCUUAUGUAAAAGAGAGAGAGAAAUGAGGUGGCUAGGGUUUGAGAGGAAUUUUCUGCAGAGUUUUUAGUAGAGAUUUCAGACGUACCUCAACCAUUGUGUGUGGCCAUCUUUUUAUAGUGGUCUUGGAGGCUAGAGUUUCAGAGAAAUAAUUUCGUAGAUGGAAAGGAAUUAUUCCUCCCCUAUUUAGAAUUGAUUUGAUUAAUUACGGAUUUGAUUUAUUAGGGUAAAUCAAAUCCCUAAUUGUGGUAAGUAUCAAAUCAAAUCCUUUUUUAAUUAGGUAACUGCUCAUUUAAUUGACAAUUGUGGUAGGAAUCAAAUCAAUUCUCAACCUAAUUGGUAACGUUCAAUUUAAUUGGGUAAUUCCCAAUUAAAUUGAGUAACUCCCAAUUAGGUUGAUUAAUUCACACUUAGAUCAAAUAAUCCCCAAAUGGAAAGAAUUAUUUGACCUAAGGUAUGAUUUAAUUCGAUUCCCACAAUAUUUAGAUGCAUAAUUGAAUGCGAAUAAACAUCACUCUCUCCAGUGUGAAAUGGCGAAAAUUCUCUUCAAUCAAAAGUGGGCUUACUUCAAAUUUAGUUGAAGAAUGAUGGUGUGUCUUGCCUGACAAUUGACAAUUAGGUUUAGGAGCGUUCCUCUAGUAGAAAAAUCUAAAUCAUUUGUGGUCAUCCACUCACUUGGUUAGUCUUCCAGAAUCAAAUACCAAAUCAACCCAAAGGAAGCUGCAAUUUUCUGAAUUGUAUACUUGUUUUAAUUCUUCCUAUCUUUUUCUCUCUUUCAUUUUUUUUGUCUCCCUCAAGUUAAUACUUAAGUGAGUUGCCAAAUGGGGGUAAAAAAGAGAGUAGAAGAGAUGAACCCCACAUUUGACUUUAAUAGACAAAUGCCCAAGAGAAGUACCAGUAAGAGCAUCUCCAAUUGGGAGGUGCUAUCCUAUAAUUUGACACACAUUUCUUUUUUCUUUUUUUUCAAUUCUAACAACAUGUCAUCUAUAUCGCAAUAGGCCGUUGUAGUUAAAUUUUCAAAUAACCAAGUUGCUCUCUAUUUUCCAAAGAAGACUAGAAAACAACUUACCAUCUAUCUGGUGCUGCUUCUUCCAAACAUUAGAAAAAACAGAGCUACACCCAGGAGGAGCCCAGGAGAUGACACAAUACUGCCUACUAUGAUUCUUACUUUCUUCACAUUCAAUGAGACUAUAAAAUAUAACCCAAGUGGUCUAACCCCCCAGGGCGGAAAUUGGGUUUAGCAAGUUUAGCACUGAUUGUUGUAUAGUCUUAAACAGUCCUGAUCUCUUGGACCCCUGUAGUCCAAGAGAUUUAUGGUCACCCACCGUUGGAUGUAAAUUCAACGGUUGACUUGAAUCGGGUAAUAAUAAUUUAUGUCAUAUUGCAUUUAUAUAUAUCAUUUUGAACCAUUGGAUUAAUAUCCAACGGUGGGUGACCACAAUCUCUUGGACUCCUGUGGUCCAAGAGAUCGGGACUGUAGUCUUAAAAUAAGUAGUUUAGCGAGUGCAAACUUCGACUUAAAAAAACUCUCAUGUAUAGCCGCGCGGCUAUACUAUUUACAUAUAAAUAUAUAAAAAAGCACCCCCUAGUCACGUGUCACAAAUAGUAUAGUCGAAAACAGUAGAGCCGCGCGGCUAUACUGUUUUUAAAAUAAAAAAAACCAUAUUCGAUUCUCCUUAUAUUUAAAAGGGGUAUAGCCGCAUGGCGAUACUAAUUUUUUUUUUUCAAAAAAAGGGACCCCAGUACUCCUUUUAUAUAUUAUAAUAUAUUGUCUAAUAUUUGGAAUAUUUACUCUAAAAUAAACAAUAUAUUAGGUUCUUUUUGUCUACAAAUUGACCAUUAAACUUCUUAAUCACUCUUAUACUUUCAAUUAAAUCUACUAGGCUAGGUUAUGAUAUUUUCACUAAAAAACUCCUCCUUUUUUUCUUCUCUUUCUCUUCCUGUUUUGUUUAACUUAAGCUUAAGUUUUGUAAUUUUUUUUCCCGCCCUUUUUACAUGUUUGAGUAGGGUACUUUAAUAUUGGGAUUUAUGAACUUUUUUUGUAUUUCUUCUUUAUAUUGGAAUAUAAAUUAUUAACUUUUGAGUCUUUAAUAGUGUAGAUGAUGAGAUUAUUAUUCAACCAUUUUAUAAUAUGAAAUGAAGGACAAUCAUGAUUGUGAUGAAUGGAUUAUUAAUCAAUAUGAAAUGAUAUUAUGAAGUGGGCUAAAUCGAGUAGUUAGUAUCGUAUUGUUGAGACCCAAAAAAUCCAAGGCUAGGCCCAAAUAUAUUAUGAAGUGGGCUAAAUCGAGUAGUUAGUAUCGUAUUGUUGAGACCCAAAAAAUUCAAGGCUAGGCCCAAAUAUAUUUCCGGUCCAAUGCGAUACCUUACCGAGAAGAAACCUUAUUUGGGCACGCGAAAGUUCGUCAUAUGCUCUUGCACACAUGCCAUGCCAAGCAAAUAAGCAACAUGCCACGCUACAAGCUUAAGUGGGCCCAAGCCACGUGAAUGCCUAGGGCCUGCUGAGUGGGUUGUGGUAUGGAUGGUUAUGAGUAUUCACGAGGCCCAUUGAUGGUCUAAGGAGUGGAAGUUUUGGGCUACUUGGGAGCACCAAAACUCAAGCCCAUUCAUUGAGCCCAAACAUAUGGGUAAGCAUGAGAUAAAACCUAGUAGCCCAUCACCUUAAGAAAUCCUAAUAGCCCAUAACAUGUGAGAAAAUCCCACAUCAACCAAAGCUUCCAGCAGUCUGACGAAAUCAAAGGGAACUCACAAGCCGUUGGAAACAAAACAACCCAACACUGUAACACCCCGACCCCAAAUUUCCCCAAAUUUAACCCUUAUUUAAUUAUUUAAGGGUAUUUUAGUCAUAUUUUUAACCGGAGAGAGUUUGGGGCAAUGACUAGUAUUUUUGGAUAGGUCGUACUGAGACGAGUUUAUGGACACGCAGUGAGCUCGAAUCGGAGUUGUAACGAGAGAGAUAUGGUCAAAAGAAGCCCAGUGGCACAAUCGUAAAUAUUUUGAAAUGAGAUUUUUUAUAAAAAUCUGGUUUUCUCUCUCUCUCUCUCUCUCUCUCUCUCUCUCUCUCUCUCUCUCUCUCUCUCGCUAGCGACCUCUCUCUCUCUCCCCCGUCGGUCUCUCCCCUCUUUCUCCUCGUAACUCCGGCCACCGGCCCCGGCUGUGGACGGGGCCGGUACCAAAAUGACCGAGGCGUCGUCCUCUUCCUACCCCAGCCACCUCCCACCGCCAGCCGUCGCGGAUUCGCCGGAAUCUGGAGAUGAAGCGGCCUACGUCGUCCAAAUUUCAAAGCUGCCGAUCUCCCUCCUCCGGCCACCAAUUCCGUCGACCCAGGUAUGGAUUUUGAACUUCUCGAGCUGCUCUAGCUGAUGGUUGGGUAGGAUUAGAUCGAUUCUUAGCUUAGACAACUCGAUUUUCAAAUUGAAAAUCGGCCGAACUUCGGCUGCCGUGAUCGGCCAUUUCCGGCCACUUUUUGGGGUAGGUCCAAGAACAAAAGUGGCUCCAAAUAGGGUGUUAUACCUAGGGUAGGAGUUUGGAGCCGUGGUUUUGAGAUUUUCCGGCGAAGCGUUAUCGCUUUGGGCACCCACGCGCUGCCGGUGCGUGCGGCGGCGCGUGGGCACUGUAGAAAAAGUAGCACUGUGUUCCGAUGAGAUCCUUAGGUUGUCACGAGUGCGUAGGAUUUUGCGGAUCUCAAUUCGGACGUCGUUUGACUAUCGAACGGAUAUUCGCAUAUUGCGCGUUAUUCGGGUUCGAUAGGUUGGGACCGUUGGAUGGACCCAAAUUUAAUAUAUGUUAAUCUAAUUAAUUCUAGGAUCGUGUAGGAAUUCACGGAUUGUGAAUCGGAGCCCCGGAUGUUCCGAAUAAUAAUUUUAAAGUUUGUAUUUUAUAUUAAUUGUCAGAUCGUGCGAUCGUGAGCAAUCUGACCGUUCGAUCUGAACCAAACUUGCAGGACAAGUGUCCUAUACCUUGUAGAACCCAUAGGGACCUUCGGAUCGGAAAUUGGAGGUCGUGGGUUCCGCAAGUCGGUUUGACCAGGGUUAGAGAAGUUUGACCCUUGGUUGACCGUGAGUCUCCCGGAGUAAUCUCACCUUUCUAGGGGAGAUUAUCGGGUACUAGAUGAUUGUGGACACAAUAUUAGAAUUAAUUUAUAUAAUUAUAAUUAUAUAUGGUUGUACAAGGGUACAACAGAGUCUAGAAUGUCAGUUUGGAGUGCUAUACGCACUACUUUAGGUACCUCCCCGGAUGUUGGGAUUUACUACAAGUACCACCAAGUGAAAUUGAGGUCCCGCGUGGCGUAGGUUAUCCAGCGUUGGGAUAGGUCUCAUACGUGGGGUUGGUUGUACCGGCGUAUGGGGAGAUUUGUGAUAUUAUGUUCAGGUCUCACGUGGCGUAGGUUAUCCGGCGUUGAGACAGGCCCCAUACGUGGUGUUGGUUGUACCAGCGUAUGGGGAGCUAUGUGAUAUUGUGUUGAGGUCGCACGUGGCGUAGGUUAUCGGGCGUGUCGACAGACCCCAUACGUGGCGUUGGUUGUACCGGCGUAUGGGGAGAUUUGUGAUAUGAAAUUGAGGUCCCACGUGGCGUAGGUUAUCCGGCGUUGGGACAGGCCCCAUACGUGGCGUUGGUUGUACCGGCGUAUGGGGAAAUAUGUGAUAUGAUGGCAUGGUCGCACGUGGCAUAGGUUAUUCGGCUUGUUGACAGGCCCCAUACGUGGCGUUGGUUGUACCGGCGUAUGGGGAGAUUAUUUGAAAUGCAGAGAAACGAAAUAUGGUAUCGCCCAAAUGUGGAAUUGGGUUUUAGGGAAGAACUACGUGUGGCUUGAUCCCUCAAGGAGGGUACGUAGGCAGCCUAAGGUUAAUAGGUGCAGCCGCAGACUAAAUGUUAGUCAUAAUUGAUAUUUGAAUUGUUUGGUAGUUGGUUAAGAAUUAUUGGAAGGCCGAAGGCCAUUUGUGUGAAUUGCAUGAAAUUAUAUUGUGCAUGCUGCCAGUUGGGAAUAUUAAAUGCGUUUUUAUGCAGGUAUAAAUUUUAGGAAAUGUCCAAUUUAUAGGGGAGACUCUGCCGAAUUUUCGGCAGGAAGUCUCAGUUUUUAGUAUCUGGGCCUGGCAUCGGGAGGAUGUCGGGAAUUCCAAAGGGUCGUCUCGAGUUCUGAAAAAUUCGGUGCGGGUCCUUUCAAACACCUUAUAAAAUAUCCAACGCCGUGCAUCUCUGUUAAAACCAGAUCACAGCCAAACCACCAAAACCAUGCAAACCCAUAUGCUGAUCACCAUUUUUACUAGCACCCUUACCCAUUCUUUCCUCUUCAAGCUUUGGUGAGAAAACAAGAAACAAAAGUGGGCGGAUCUUCACCCACAUGGAGAAAUCCAGCUGCCUGAGGGCCCUGGAACUCCAAAAAACUUCUUACCUACAUGCUCAGGCUAGGGAAGUUUCACCAAAUAAGCAAGAAUGGAAGAAAGUGAAGGAAAAGGGGAAAGGGUGGCUUGACGAAAUUAAGGUUUUCAGCACUUAUAAAAGGAAACACUUUCUAUCCAGCAAAAACAACUCACCCUGGUUGCUGCAAGCCUCCUAGCAACCAUGAGAAUUCAUUGAAGGCAAGCAUCCCCUUUGGAACCCUUCAAUUUCAUGCUUUGUUCUUCCAUCUUCCUCCUUUCUCUCUCUCUCAAAACCCACAUCCAGAGAGAGCAAGCAUCAUCUCUCAUCUUUGGAACCCUUCGAUUUGAAGCCUUGUUCUUCCAUUGCUUCCCAUUUUCUCUUCUGUCAAAUCACCUAGGAGCUUGACGAAACUUUCGUCAAGCUGCUGGAAAUAUGGUAAAGCCACCCAUGCUUCCAUCUUCUUCCUCUCUUUCCAUAAACACACAUCCAAAGAGCAAGCUUCAUCUCUCAUCCUCUAAACCUCUGCAAUUUCAAGCCUCAUUCCUCUAUCUUCUCCCAUUUUCAGCGGUAGUGAGAAUGAUUUCUGCGUGUGCAUGGGAAGGAUUGUAACUCAGAUGAGGAGGAGAUGGUUUGGAGUGGGGUGAGGCAGUUGGAUAGAGCUCUUGGCCUUUUCAAGUUUGGAUGGGAAAGAGCAGGGAUGAAAGAAGCUUUACAACUGCAAGGGCAUAUAUGGUGCGUAGGGGCUGAAGGCAGAACACUUACAUAUAGAGGAAACACAUUUUUUGUCCAUGGGAUUCAUGUUUGACAAACACUUGUCUUAGACUAUGAGUUCAAAUUUCAAAACCUUUUUUUUUUCUUUCUGAAAUCAGGACCAGUGUGGAGAACUAGCAAGGAUUGGAGAAACAGAUUUUUGGGCGUCACUUGACCACAGAUUGUUGAUUGCUCAAAUGUGUAGAAUUGGCCAUCUUAAAUGUCAAAAUGAUUUAUCAAUUGGGGUUUUUUUAGAAACGUUUAUGUUUGUCAAUAGAGACAGAAGUCAGAGAACAUAAACCUUUCUCAGCAAAUUGAAAUUCUCAGUGCAUGCUCUGUUCUUCCAUGGCUUUCAAACCUUCUCUGCCACGGUGAAAUGGAUCGAUAGAGAUAGUUUAGGCCGUUCCAUUUGUUUGAUGAAGCAUUCGUUCUAGGGAUUCUGUAUAUUCAUAACAAAAUCACUAGAAUGAUUCUUAGAAAUUCAUCACUGCUAAAGGCAAUGGGUUCAGCAUAAUAACUUCUUAGUCUUGCUUCUUGGUCCUUUAUUUUCUUUGCAUAAUACUCCAAGUUUACCUGGGUUCUACAGAGAAAAUCUCGUAGAUACCUCUUUUUGUGGUCUUCCAUGGCAUUUAAGUGCUGCUUUCCAUGGUGAAGUGGGCCUAUAGAGACUACCUGAGGUGUGUAGGCUUUGUCAUUUCCACGCCGUAAUCGCUCAGGAACUCUGUAGAUACACCUUCAAGGGGGACAAGGGAGACAAACUAUCCAAUUCCUUGCGCCUUACAAAUAGAUCGCAUGGGUUUUCUAUUUCAUCUGCAGCUUCAUCAAUUCCUUCCAUUUUUCUCCUGAUCAUCAUGCGCGGUGAUUCAAAUAUUUCAUAAUGAACAUUGAAAUGAGAUGCUACAAGCAAACUUAUGAAAAGAAACAGAAAUACCAAAAAGACAAAUCAAUGUAGAUGGUUUAGAAAAUCUAAACAUUGCAAUUAUACUCCUUUGCCCAACUUCUAGGAGCAAACGUACACAAAGACCUUAUUGCUUCCAACUUUUCCAACAGAAUUUCAUAUGAAUUGCUCCAAGUGAAAUCCGUAUGAAAAAUCGGUAGUUGGAUUUUCAUCCUGCUUUAAUAUGAUUAUUUAACUUCUAACAAAAAAACUCUUAUUACUUGAGCAAGUAAAAUACUAUUCCAGGUUUCUCCUAGUUCUAUAUGCGCUUAUAAUUGGUAUACUCUAUAAAUACCAUAAUCUGAAUUUCUCUGUUUUGAUUACUUUAAUUUAUUACUUAUGUUUUAAUUAUUGUUUACUUAGUGAAUUAUUAGUAUUUAAGAGAAGGCCUUCCAUCGAUUAGGCACCACGUGUCUAUAAUAAGUAAAGCCGUCCGGCUAUACUUAAAAAAAAAAAAAAUUGUAGUAUAGCCGACCGGUAUAGCCGCGCGGCUAUACUAUUUAAUACAUUAUAUUUAAACGGUAUAGCCGCGCGGCUAUACUAUUUAAUAAAAUAAAAAACAAAAGAAAAAGAAAAAUUACCCUCCUAUUUCAUUAGUUUGUACUUUAUAGAUACUAGCCCCUUGACACAUGCUCACGCAUGUGCCAAUUGGUUUUCUUUUUCUUUUUUAUUUUUAUUUUUAGAAUUAAGAAAAAAUAACAGGAUAGUUAUGUUCCAUAAAAGUAGGACCUAUUAUCUUAUUUUGUUUUUAAUUUUAAUUUUUUUAAUAUUAAAAAAAUAUGAAUUUACGAUAUUAUCCUCAUUUAAUUAAUAAUUUCAAUUCUUAAUGUUUGAAUUAACAAAGGGCAUUUUCUGGUAUUUUGAAUGUUUCACCAUUCUCUGCCUUUUGCUUUAUAUAUAUAGAUUAAUUUGCCAGUUUCAAGAUAUCCAAAGUACAUAUUAGACUUUCACUAUAUAAAUUUCAAUAUAUAUUUUUUAUAACAUGUGUUGUUCUUAUUCAAUAAUAUGUGAGAAUUAUUUGUAUAAUACGUGAAUUUUGUGUGUCUUACUGAAUUUUUUUAAAUACGUGUAUUAAACGUUACAAAUACGUACAUAUAUGUACAACACGACUAUUGUAAGUUUGCUAUAUAAAAAAAAGUGAGAUGUAUCUAGAACACGAAUGUAUUAUCGAAAAAUAUAUAUGUAUGUAUAUAUAUAUAUAUAUAUGUAAAAGCCUAUAGCCUCUCACCUAUACUAUUUAUUAAAGACAAUUUAAAAAUUACAACAACAAAAAAACCAGUACAGCCACAAAGCUAUACUAUUUUAAAAAAAAAAAAUAGAAAAAAUAUCAAGUACUACACAGGGCAAAGGCCCAGUGUAAAAUAGUAUAGCCGUACGGCUAUACGUUUUUAAGAAGAAUUUAAAAAACUAAGUAUAGCUCACCGACUAUACUAUUUUUUAAUAUAAAAAAACAACCCCAUCCAUUAGGCGCCACGUGUCAACAGAAGUUUAUUUUUAAAAAAAAAAAUUAAAAGACAAGGAGUAUAGCCGGGUGGUUGUACUAUUUUUUUAUUUUAAAAAGAAGACAGUCCAUCGAUUAGGCGCCACGUGUCCAUAAUAAGUACAGCCGCUCGGCUAUAUGUUGGAUAUUUUGAAACUAGCAAAUUAAUAUCAAUAGCCGGUCGUAACCUAUGCUGUCCACGUCACUCAUGUUUUACCAGAGUUAAAGCAUCCACAAUGAGCUCCCCAAACCAUCUCUUUAGACAAAUUUUAGGGAGAAAUUGGAAAAGUACAACUCCAACCAUGCUCCCUAUCCACCAACUAAAAUAGGGAGACCUCUAGGAGCUCCUAAAUCUGAGGAGAGGGAAAGGACUCUUAGUGACUCCCUAUAAUUUAAUGUUGCUUUGUUUUAUGCAUAUUUUAAACUUUUAAUUAAAUCAAAUUAUUAUUUUAUAUUAUUUUGUAUACAGAUGGACCAAUUAUAUUAAAUUAAAAAAUAAUUAAAGUAUUUGUGACUCUCUAAACUAAGGAGUAUGAUUAGAGUUCAAAUUUUAUAAAAAGCUCUUAAAAUAGCUUUUGUGUGUUUUUAGCUAAAUUUUAACUAAAAAAUUUGAAGAUUCUUUAUUUGGGUUUCUUUCAAGACGAAAACCAUAUCCACAACAGACAUCUUUGGCUGUUCAUCACAAUUGAGAGACAAUGAAGAAGACAUAAGGGAGAGGCUGCCAAAUACUUAUCACCUUAGCCACCACCAACACCACAAGACCAAUAUGUGUAGGCCAGGAGGCUUUCCAAUUUUAAUAUAUAUAUAUAUAUAUAUUAAAAAAUAAAAUAAAAAUCAAUCUAUUAUCAUAUAUAUUAUAAAAUAAAGAUUAUUGCUCCAUCCUCCAUGCACUUGCGUGCCCUCUUACAAAGUAUGAAGUAGAUUUUGUUAGCUGGAUUUAUAAGAUCUUUUGUUUUUUGGAAAUUUUCUGAAAUAAGGAAAAUCAAGUAAAAUUAAUAAAGCAUAAAUUGGAAAGGGAAAAUAUCUAGAGGAUGCAUUGUAGGAUUGCUCAAGCCAAUAAUUGUACCCUCUAAAUAUAUAGGGACAUAUUUUUUUUGUUUUCAUGACAUGUCGUCCUAAAAUUAUUGUUCUUAGCGGGCUCUCCACCCCCUCUCGAUUGAAAACCUAUUGUGUAAAUCUUCAAUCCUGAAUUAGAAAAGUACAACUCCAACCAUGCUCCCUAUCCAUCUCCUAAAAUAGGGAUACCUCUAGGAGCUCCUAAAUCUGAGGCGAGAGAAAGGACUCUUAGUGUCUCUUUAUAAUUUAAUGUUGCUUUGUUUUAUGCAUAUUUAAACUUUUAAUUAAAUCAAAUUAUUUUUUUAUAUUAUUUUGUAUACAAAUGGACCAAUUAUAUUGAAUUAAAAAUAAAUUAAAGUAUUUAUGACUCUCUAAACUAGGGAGUAUGAUUGGAGUUCAAAUUUUAUAAAGAGCUCCUAAAAUAGCUUGUGUGUGUAGGGGUCUUUUUCUUCUGGCAACUACAGAUGGGUUGGGCUACCGUAAGGAGCAAACUGAAGAAAAUAUCCCCUGUGUCUGAGUUCAAAGAUUCGGCCCCAAAAUAUUUCGAAAAGGCAGUAAAGCCUUAGGAAACACCUUAGUUACCUUCACCAACGAAAAUGACGGCUGCUUACAGGUAGAUUCUUAGUGCUUACAGAUGAAUUCUUAGCUUAGCAUGAGGAGAUCGUGGCAUGGAAGCAAAGUUAGCAUGAGUUUAGCACUAAAGAGAAAAUUAUGUGUUCUUGGGAGGAAGAAGGGGUGUCCAGGUAAAUGGGAAAAGGUUUUGCAAGUAGAUUUGGCUAAGAGAGAAGGGAGAGAGAGAAGAGGGUGGCUAGAGUGCUUCUUCCGGCAGCUUGACAGUGACUCUGUCAAAUGUUAGAGCAAUCUGCCAUAAGAGGGAAAAUGGGGAAGAAGGAUGAACAGUGCACAAAAUUGCUAGGUUUUUGCAAGUAAGAGAGGAAGCUUGCUCUCUGGAUGUGGAUGAUCCGUUGGGUAGAAGAGGCCCCAUUUUAUAGCCGCUGGAAACUAUCAUUUCUCAAGAAACCCUAAUAGUUUCUACCCAAUUUGGUCAAGCUUUUCCCUUCCUUUCUCAUCUCCUCCCUUGACUUUUCCUAUCUUGGUGAAAUUUCCUCUGUCUAUUUGCACAAAAUCAGGAGCUCAAGGCCUCCCUUUCCCGCAACUGUUCAAUGGGAGACUCCAUUCUUAGCUAUUUUUCUUCUUCUUUCCUUCCUCCUUCCCUGACCAAAUCUGAUGAAGGAAAGCAAAUAGGUGCACACAUUGGUUUGAAGGGUGCUUCUCCUUCUAGCAGCUUACAUGCCAAUAUCCCUUGGGUCCUUGCAUGUUUUUUGCUUUGAAACUUGUUUCUUCCUUCCCGUCAACUCACGUGGUCUUCCAUGCUUCUUCAUGGCUUUAUCUUUCAGCCAAAAGAUGGAGUUUUUACUGCUUGCUACUUUUAAUUGUAUGGGUCUUCUAGGAUAGGAAGUCAACCUACCAAACAAAUGGGCCACCUUUAUCAAAUAUUGGGCUGUUGGGGUUAGUUUUAGUGGGCCAUUUUGACUGGGCUUUUUGGUUGGGUUAUUUAAGUUAUUUUCCCUUUUGUGCUCACCCAUGUAUUUAGGCCUAAGAAAUGGGCUUGGGCUCCGAGUCUCCCAAGCAACCCGGAACCUCCAUUUCUUGGCCCAUUAAUGGGCCUCAUGACAACCUAUUACCAUCCAUACCACAACCCACUCAAGCAAGCCCCGGGCAUUUGAAUGGCUUUGGCCCACUUUAGGCUUGUAGUGUGAUUGGGUGUGGCAUAACGAUUUCUCGCUUGGCAUGGCAUGUUGCUUGGCAUGUUUUUUCAUUACGAUGCUUGAUGGAUUUGUAGAGCUACCUAUUUUUAUGAUCUUAAUCUUGAUUCCUAGCAUGACAAAUUUAUUUAUUUGGCAUGGCAUGCGGAGCGUGACUUGUGCGUGGCGAGUUUUGUAUGCUCCAACUUGGGCCUUUCCUAAAUAAUGUAUCAUUUUGGGUUAUGAAUUCUUUCGGGCCCAACCGUGAAUUUUUUGGGUUUCAACAGUGUGUUUUUAGCUAAAUUUUAACUAAAAAAUAGGGAGCAUGAUUGUAGAUCAUCUUAUAUACCUUAAUUUGAAGAUUCUUUAUUUGGGUUUCUUUCAAGAUGAAAACCAUAUCCACAACUGGCAGACAUCUUUGGCUGUUCAUCACAAUUGAGAGACAAUGAAGAAGACAUAAGGGAGAGGCCGCCAAAUACUUAUCACCUCAGCCACCACCAACACCACAAGACCAAUAUGUGUAGGCCAGGGGGCUUUCCAAUUUUAAUAUAUAUAUAUGGAGUGAAAAAAAUAAAAUAAAGAUUAUUGCUCAUCCUCCAUGCACUUGCAUGCCCUCUUACAAAGUGUGAAGAAGAUUUUGUGUGCUUCAAGUCAUUGACUAGAGCUGAAACAUGGUUAGCUGGAUUUAUAAGAUCUUUUGUUUUCUGGGAAUUUUCAGAACCAAGGAAAAUCAAGUAAAAUUAAUAAAGCAAAAUGGAAAGGGAAAAGAUCUAGAGGAUGCAUUGUAGGAUUGCUCAUGCCAAUAAUUGUACCCUCUAAAUAUAUAGGGACAUAUUUUUUUUGUUUUCAUGACAUGUUGUCCUAAAAUAUUUGUUCCUAGCGGGCUCUCCACCCCCUCUCGAUUGAAAACCUAUUGUGUAAAUCUUCAAUCCUGAACGAUGCUCCUAAAACUCAAGUGUCCCAGGCCAAUUAUUGCUCUCAUACCACUUGUUGCAAUACACAUCCACUCAUUCUCAGGGAAAGAAACCCAUCGAUAUUAUCUCAAAUUUAACCACUUUAGUCUAUUAUGAUUAACUAUGUAUUUUAUGGAUCAAUGCAGUUGUGAGGUUUUAUACCCAAUUAGAUCGACCAAUACAGAGAUCACAUGUGGACUGAAAAGCGCCAUCGGUAGGGGAGUGUUUGGCACCCUUUACUGCCGAGUGCAACACAAGACCCCUUACCAGGAACUUAUCUACUAGGACACGUGAAGCCACCACAAGUAAUAUCAACAGUCCCACAUCGAAGUUUAACAUAACAUGUACACUCCCCAGGACUGAUAAAAGUGGGCACAAGUCCCAAAAAUGGGGGAACUUGGACUUUCAGCAAUUCAUCCAUUAUUAUGUCCAAAUUACUAUACACUCCGUACUUAUUCUUACUUAAGCAUUGGAGAGCCUUCGGCCGGUACCACACCAGUGCCUAAGGGCUUACCGAGCGUUCUCUAUCUUGCAUAUUGAUCGCUCUACUGAAGCCCAUAAAGAGUUAAAGGUCAAGACAUCACUAAGUUGAGCCCAAAAGUGCUGAACCACAUCAAAAAUAUGUAUAGAUUGAAAAAAUAAAAUAAAAAUCAAUCUAUUAUCAUAUAUAUUAUAAAAUAAAUAUUGGAUAAAUUACUCAAAUGGUCCUCAAACUUAUACUCGAUUUACAUUUUGGUCUCUCAAUUAAAUUAUUUGUUCAAAUGGUCCAUCAACUCUAUAUUAUUUCUGCAAAAUCUACAAAGUGGUGGGAGGCAGACCAACAAAAAAAAUUAGCGAAGGCUUAUAACUCUGGUAAAACAAGAGUUACUUGGAUAGAAUAAUGUUACGUCGUACUGAAGAUUUUUGGGUUUCUUUAAUUGGUUAAGUGAAGAUUCUUUAUUUGGGUUUCUUUCAAGAUGAAAGCCAUAUCCACAACCACAACCACAACUGGCAGACAAUCUUUGGCUGUUCAUCACAAUUGGGCGACAAUGAAGAAGACAGAAAUUGGAGUACUGUAUGUUAUCACCCACACCACAAGACCAAUAUAAGGAGGAUGGGGAGGCUGCGGAAUACUUAUCACCUUAGCCACCACCUACACCACAAGACCAAUAUGUUGUAGGCCAGGAGGCUUUCCAAUUUUAAAUUAGAUAAAUCGGAAACUGUUUCGAUAUCCAAUUGUAUUCUAUAAAAUCAAUGAACACGGUGCUUCAAGAAAGUAAUAAAAUUUCAAUAAUUCAAUUGAGUGGUCAAAUUCAAGUGAUUUUUUGUAGUGAUGAUCUUUGAAUGAGUAUCUAUAAAAGAGACGGUUUGGAUUAGUGAAAUACAAUAUGGAGUGGGCCCUACCAGCAAUCCACGACAAAAUGUCUGCAAGCUUUCGUAAUAUAAGGAGGAUGGGGAGGCUGCGCAAUACUUAUCACCUUAGCCACCACCUACACCACAAGACCAAUAUGUUGUAGGCCAGGAGGCUUUCCAAUUUUAAUAUAUAUAUAUAUAUAUAUAUAUAUAUAUAUAUAGGGAUGUGAUUUCUCUACUCCCCUUUUCUCUACUUAUACUCCCUUUUGCUUUUAAAUACUUUUUAAUCAAUUUUUUUUCCGCUUUCCUAUUAAUAUUCUACCAUUUCCCUACAUUAAUUUCUUUUUACUUCACUUUUAUAUUAGUUCUUUUUCUUUAUACUUAAUUUUUCAACUUGCACUCCAUUUUCAUUAUUUUUUUCCUAAUCGAGUAAGAAAUUAAGUUUUUUUUCCCCAUUUAAUACUGAAAAUGGAGUGUAAGUUAGAAAAUUAGGUAUAAAGAAAAAGAAAUAAUAUAAAAGUAAAGUAAAAAAGAAAUUAAUGUAGGGUAAAGGUAGAAUAGAAAAGAGAAUGAACAAAAUUGAUAAAUAAAUAAAAAAGGUUUAAAAAGCAAAAAGGAGUGUAAAUGGAGAAAAGGGGAAUGAGGAAAUCAGCUCCAUAUAUAUAUAGAUUGAAAAAAUUAAAAUUAAAAUCAAUCUAUUAUCAUAUAUAUUAUAAAAUAAAGAUUAUUGCUCCAAGGAAAUGACAUCUUUUGUUUUCUGGGAAUUUUCUGAACCAAGGAAAAUCAAAUAAAAUUAAUAAAGCAUAAAUUGGAAAGGGAAAAGAUCUAAAGGAUGCAUUGUAGGAUUGCUGAUGCCAAUAAUUGUACCCUCAAAUUAUACAUGGACAUAGGGGUGGGCAUUCAAAUAGGCAAACUAGAAAUCCGAGCUGAACCGCACCUAGGAAAACCGGAAAAAAAACCGAGUUGACCAAAAAGUCAACAACUGGUCAAAAAUCGAACCGGACCGAUUUGGACUGGUUUUGGAUUCAGUUUAUAUGCAAUGCUACAUUUUUAGUCUCAUAACUAAUAUUUAUCCAAGUUCAAUUUCAAAACAUCUUUCUUUUUUAGCUUUAAUAUUUAUUUUUAUAUGAAAUUAAAUAAUUUAUUAAUUUUCAAGUAAAUAAAAUAAAAUUUCAGUUGAAAUUUAUAUUAAAAAAAUAAUUUUAAUAAUCCAGUUCAAAACCAAACCGGACCAUCCAGCUGUGAGGUACAUUUCUCCCACAUGCCACAAUUGUAUAUUCACAAUUACGUCUGAUACAUCACAUCAUGCCACUUGCCUCAAAUGAAUUUAAGUGAGUGUGGCAGUGGAAAGUAAUUAAGCUCUAUAUUGGUGGGUGGACUGUUACUUCUGGGUUCCCCUCAUCAUUCGUCUAUAAAAUGGUGAAGGCAGUUGCUAUUGUUACCAUAAGAGCCAGCUCCGACUUCCUUUAAUUUCUUGCUUCAUAUCCACUAGCUACAUCUGUUACCAAGUUAAUUUCAGUCCUAAUGGGGUUUCAUCUCCCACUCAUCUUUGCUCUUCUCAGUGUAAGCUCUGCAAUUUGAUUAACUUUUCCAUUCUCUCUCAUUGUACUCUAUAUAAACGAAAGUUUUGUGUUCCUAUAAUUCUCUCCGAUUUUAUUUAGUACGUACUUAAGUGUCGUCCACUAAUUAAUUACACUUUGUGAUUUGAUUUUAAUUUGAGUUCGAAUUAAUGUUGCAGCUAGCAGCAGUGGCACUGGCAAACCAUGCUGCUCAACCAGCACCUCAACUUUACUGGAACUCCGUCCUGCCAAACACACAGAUGCCAAGAUCUAUCAGUGAACUUCUGCAUCCUGGUUUGUGUUGAGCUCUUUAGAAUCUUAGAUAUCUCUUCUACCUGCCAUUUUACUAAAAUAUGUUCCACCACAUAUUUAUCAGUUAACCACUGUUAUUACAUGAGUGACACAUAUUCACAAAUCGGCUGAUCACUUAUUUUCCAUUAUGACGUUGAUAUAUAAUUUGCAGACUCCACAAAUGAAGAAAAGAGCACAAAUGACGUUGGCAAACCUGAAACUUUCCCAUUGGGCAAUAAACAUUACUCCAGUCAAAAACAUUAUGGAAGAGGCAAACCUGAAACUUUCCCAUUGGGCAAUAAACAUUACUCCAGUCAAAGACAUUAUGGAAGAGGCAAACCUGAAACUUUCCCAUUGGGCAAUAAACAUUACUCCAGUCAAAGACAUUAUGGAAGAGGCAAACCUGAAACUUUCCCAUUGGGCAAUAAACAUUACUCCAGUCAAAAACAUUAUGGAAGAGGCAAACCUGAAACUUUCCCAUUGGGCAAUCAGCAUUACUCCAGUCAAAAAAAGUAUGGAAGAGGUGCUUCUCCAUCCGACAAUCAACCACCAAUUCCAUAGAAAUUCAAACACGGCUACUUUCUUGCCACGAGAAAGCGCUCAAUCGAUCCCCUUCUCCUCUAACAAACUACCAGAAAUUUUCAACCAUUUUUCAGUGAAGCCAACAUCUGAGGAAGCCAAAACAAUUAAGCAAACAAUCGAAGAGUGUGAAGCUCCAGACCUUAAGGGAGAGGAAAUAUAUUGCGCCACAUCUUUAGAAUCAAUGGUUGAUUUUAGCACUUCGAAGCUUGGAACAAGAAACGUUGAAGCAAUCUCGACGGAGGUAUUGGAAAAAGGAGCCACCAUGUCCAUCCAAAACUAUACAACAAUGCCGGGACUGAAGAAGUUGGCAGGUGACAAAGUCGUUGUGUGUCAUAAGCAGAACUAUCCCUAUGCUGUGUUUUUCUGCCAUGCAAUAAAACAUACAGCAGCUUAUGCUCUCUCCCUGAAAGGCGAUGAUGGGGAGAAGGUUAAAGCAGUAACCAUCUGCCAUCUAGACACAUCAGAAUGGGACCCAGAGCAUAUGUCCUUCAAAAUCGUCAACGUUAAGCCCGGAACCAUUCCCAUCUGCCAUUUCAUUUCCACUGAUGCUAUUGCCUGGGUUCCGAACCACAAAUCUGCAUGAUCAUCACUUAGCACUAGUACUGUGCGUAUAAUAUGCCUGUAUAAUUAUCUCCCUACUUAUUUCUGCCUGUUCAUCAUGUGGUGUAAGAUAUAUGUUGAGAUGAAGUUUUUGGGAUUAGUGGUCGAAAUUAACCCGAUCAUGUUUUCUCUUGUAACUAUAUAGACUUCAACUUGUACUCAUAAUAAAGCAUGCUAUAUUUAUGAAGAGAUAUUAAUCUUCAGGCAAAUAGAUAUUAUGAAAACAUAUAUAGCAAUUUAUCCAGAAGAAAUAUUAUGAAAUGAAAAGAAUAAAAAGUAAAAAAACAGAAGGAAAGGAAUUCGCACCUGCUAUGUAUGAAAGGACCAAGAUUGUUUUCCCUUUGGUUAAUGACUAGAAAAGCUCACUUGCAGAUUGCUUUCUCUGACCGUAGAUGCAACAGAAAUUUUCUCUUAAUAAUAGCACAAUGAUCGGGUAAUUGUAAGAACAAGUUGAUUUAAAAUUCCUUGACCCAAAAAAAAAAAAAAAAUCAUUUCAAAUUCAGGUCAACCCAUAGAUUUCUUGCCUUUUUCUUCUUCAUCACGUUGGGCUUGUCUUCUUCUUGAGGAUUGUAUAGGCCCAGGAAAUGCUUUGAGGUAGUUUUUGGCCUUGGAAGUUGGGACCCAACCCAACUUCACAAAAAGAAAACAGAUUUGCCAAAAAUCAAAUUUCAAGUCUCUCCUCAGAUCACUAAUACAGAUCAAAUUUUGGAUUUGAUGAACUAAAGUGGUUUUACUUUCUCUGUCAGUGUUUGAUGACUUAAUUUGUUAUUUACUUCUUUUUUUUUUUUUACUUGAUCUUUGUAGGGGUUUUUUUCUUCCGGUAACUUAAACGGGCUGGGCUGCCGUAAAGGGUAGAUUGAUGAAAUUGUCUCCUUUGUCUGAGUUCGAAAAUCAAGCCCCAAAAGCGCUUCGAAAGGGCAGUAGAGCCUUAGGAAGCGUUCUAGUCAUCUUCACCAACUAAAACAACAGCAACUUACAGAUGAUUUCUUAAGGCUUACAGAUAAAUUUUCUAGCUUGGCAUGAGAGGCUUGUGACAUGGAAGCAAAAUCAGCAUGAGUUUAGCACCAAAGAGGAAAAUAUGGCUUCCUAGGGAGAAAUGGGAGUGUUUAAGGUGAGGAAGAAGAGGUUUGCAGGCUGAUUUGGCUGAGGAGAGAGAAAGAAAGAACAAUGUUCUUCCAGUAGCUUGACAAAGCUUCUGACAGAUGUGAAAGUCGUCUGCCAUAAGAGGAAAAUGAAGAAGAAUGGUGAAUAGUGCAUGAAAUUGCUGGGUUUUUGCAGGUAAGAGAGAAAGCUUGCUCUCUGAAUUUGAGUUGGUUUUUGGUUGGGUAGAAGAGGCCCCCUUUUAUAGCUGCGGGAAACCAUCUUUUUUCAAGAAACCCUAAUGGUUUCUAUCCAUUUUGGCCAAGCUUUUCCCUUCAUUUCUCUUCUCCUCCCUUGACUUUUCCUAUCUUGGUGAAAUUUCCUCUGCCUAUUUGCACAAAAUUAGAGAUUUUGAGGAGCUCAAGACCCCUUUCCCGCAGCUGCCUCAGUGGAGAAUCCCCAUUUUCAGUCAUCUUUCUUCCUUCUUUUCUCCCAUCUUCCAAGGUUAGGUCUGAUGAGGGAAAGAAAUGGGUAUGCACACUGGUUUGAAGGGUAUUUUUGCUUGAAACUUGUUCUCUCCCAUGUGCUGGAGCUUCCCAGCAACUUACACACAUGGAUAUUUUGGCUUUCAUCGUGGCUUUUGUUUUCAGCUAGGUGCUGGAGAUUUCGCAGAUAUUUUCAUGAGUUGCUUGGGCCUUCUAGGACAAUAGGUUGGUUUAUCAAGUGAAUGGGCUAACUUCAUCAAUUGUUGGGCUAUUUUGGUUGAGUUAAUGGACUAUUUUGGUUGAAGUAAUGGGCUAUUUUGGUUGAAUUAAUGGGCUAUUUUUCUCUCUUUGUGCUCACCCACAUAUUUGGGCCUAAGAAAUGGGCUUGAGUUCCGGGGCUCCCAAGCAACCCCGGGACUUCCAUUUCUCGGCCCAUCAAUGGGCCUCAUAUCAACUUAUUACCAUCCAUAUCACAACCCACUCAAGCAAGCCCUGGGCAUCUUGCGUGGCUUGGGCCCACUUAAGCUUGUAGCGUGACGUGUUGCUUAUUUGCUUGGCAUGGCAUGUGUGCAAGCGCAUAUGACGAACUUUAGCGUGCCCAAAUUGGGUUUAUUCUCGGUAAGGUAUCGCAUUGGGCCGAGAAUUUAAUUGGGCAGAACUGUGGAUUUUUGGGCCUCAACAAUCUUAUAUAUAUUGGUUUUCUUUUUUUCCUUAAUAUUCACCACCUUUCUGUUGCAUAAGUAUUUCAGUCUUAACGGGUUUCCAUCUACCACUCAUCUUUGCUCUUUUAAGUGUAAGCUUUUUUUUUUUUUUUUUAAGCACAAGAUUAGAGGGGAGGGGGAUUUCUCAAUGUAAGCUUUGCAGUUUCAUAAUUAAUAUUUCCAAUAUCUCACUGUUAGUAAAAUAUGGAACAGGAAAAGUAUGAAUAAAAUACACACAUGUUUUAUUUAGCAAAAUUUUGACAAGAUACAACUGAAAAGUUUGGCCACUAUAUAAUAUUUUGAUAUAAUUUCUACACUUCUUCUCAAAAGAUUAGAUCACUUCACAUCUUGUGUAUGUGAAAACUAAUGUAAAAAGUUGAAACUUUAUCGUAAAACCUCGACAAAAAUGAGCUCUACUAGAAAAUGUUCAAUUUGGAUUCGUUGAUUUAAAUGGCAAUUUGACACUUGAUAGAAAUUUUUACAUACAUGUGUUAGUGUUUGAUCACUUCACAUGUUACUUACUAUAUUUAUUCCACUCAAGUUAGGUAAAUAUUAUUAUCAAACAUUUCAAUUAAUUUGUGAUUUUUUUAUUAUUUAAUCAAUUAUGAAUUAAUGGAUUCUUCUUGUUGUUUUGAAGACCAAUAAAAAAAAAAGGGUAAGGAUGGCUUAUAACUCUGAUAAAACAACAGUGACGUGGACAGCAGAUGUUACACCGUACUGAAGAUUUUUGAAGAUUCUUUAUUUGGGUUUCUUUCAAGAUGAAAACCAUAUUAUCCACAACCACAAUGAAGAAGACAGAAAAUGGAGUAAUUCAGAUGUUACCAGCCAUCCACGACAAACUGAAGUCUGCAAAGCAUUCGUAAUCUAAAGGGAGACUUUGGAAAAGCCCAAAGGAGAGAGAAAAUUUUUAAAAGAAGCAAAAAUGGACAAAAUUGCCCUUAUUUAUUUUUUGAUUUCCUAAGAAAUCCUUUACAUUUGCAUGUCUUUGGUUUGAAAGUUGAGAGGUUAUUCUGUCUUUUUUCAAAAAGCUUUGGCUUUUUCCAAAAGUGAAAGUUUUUUUAUGGGUAAAACCUAAAUUUACUUAAUCCCUAAAAAGGAUGGGGAGGCUGCGCAAUACUUAGCCACGUGUAGGCCAGGAGGCUUUCCAAUUUUAAUAUAUAUAUAAAUUGAAAAAAUAAAAUAAAAAUCAAUCUAUUAUCCUAUAUAAAAUAAAGAUUAUUGCUUCCAUGGGCAGUGCUAUGCACAGGACAGUGCCUGCCCAGCACAAAUUUUUUUUAAAUAAAAAAAAAAAAUCUACAUAUGUUAUAAGCUCAUCCAAAAAAAUAAAAUAAAAUAAAAGUAAAUUCUACAUAUAUGUUGCCCAUCUAGGUGGUUCCAUAUCUUCUCUCUCCUUCUCUUUUGGCUAUUAGACUUCUUGUUUCUCUCUCUCUCUUUGCUACCUCACAUCAGCAAGUUUCUCCCUCUCUUUUUUUGGGGUCAAAUUCUUCCUCUAUUGACAAAAUCUUCUAUUAUCUUGGGUGGGCAACUUGGCAACAACAUCUUCUCUUCUCCUUUUGUCAACAACAAGUAUUAUUCUCAUUCUCUCAUUUGCUAUAUAUCUUUAAUUAUAGUUUUAAUUUAAAAUUGAGUAUUCUAGGGUUUAAUUAGGGAUGAAUUAUAAUUUUAGAAUUUUGUUGAAAUUAAUUAAGGCUUCGAUUAGGGGUGAAUUAUUCUACUGCUUUGGUUUGGAAUUUUGUUAAAAUUGAGUAUUAUAGGGUUUAAUUAUGGAUGAAUUAUAAUUUUUGAUUUUGGUAUUAUUGAGAUGUUAUUAUGAGAAUUUGUUUCAUUUUUUUAUUGGUAUAUUUGAUUAAAAUUCUUUCUACAUAUUAUUCAUAGGCUAUCUUUUAUUAUGUCGGAUCACAAUCGGAAUCCCAAGAGAACAAAGAAUUUGAAUAGUGUUGUUUUGUAUUGCAUUGCAUUUACUUUUGGUUUUAGUUUUGCUUUUAGUGUAAAUUACUCAAAUGGUCCUCAAAUUUGUACCCGAUUUACAUUUUGGUCCAUAAACUAAAUUAUUCAUUCAAAUGGUGCACCAACUCUUUAUUAAUCAGUGCUUUGGUCCUACCGUUAUGUUUUCUAUUAAAUUUAGUCAUGUGAGCAGCACAUGCUACAUUUGUAGGGGUAAAUAAGACUUUUGACCACUUUAUCACCUAUGUAUCACCACUUUAUAACCUAUUUGGAGAACAUAGGUCAGUUAUGGACGGUUUUACAAUUAUAUUUGACGGCAACAUUAACAUAAUGUAACAGUGGGAUCAAUGGAGCGAUUAAUAUAGAGUUGAUGGACCGUUUGAACGAAUAAUUUAAUUGAGGGACCAAAACGUAAAUUGAGUAUAAGUUUGAGGACCAUUUGAGUAAUGUACCCUUCGCUUUUAUAUUUGUUGAACUUUUAUUUAUGGAUAGAUAUGCAUUUGAGGGUAAGACCCAUUAUGUUCCCCCUGACUUGGUGUAUCUUUUUAUGUUUAUUAAUGAAAUUCACUCGAACUGUUGAGUUUAGUAUGUAAGUUUUGCCUAACCGGCUUUUGAAUCCUAGAACCGCCACUGUUGCUCCAUCCUCCAUGCACUUGCAUGUGCUCUUACAAAGUGUGAAGUAGAUUUUGUGUGCUCCAAGUCAUUGACUAGAGCUGAAACAUGGUUAGCUAGAUUUAUAAGGACCCAUCUCUCUAUUUCCUAGACAUAUACCCAUCUCUCUAUAAAUCUAUAUGUAAAACUCAAUUUCAAACUUAAAUGACCAGUAAGAUAUAAGAGGUCAUAGUAUUCCUAUGUUUUUACAUCGUUGCCACCAGACUUCUUAUUUUAUUUAUAAUUUAUUUCAAGCAUUUCAUUAACUGCCAUAAUUGUAAUUAAUACUCCAUAUUAAUAGCAUAUCAAUCACCCCAUUUCUUUUGAUUGCCAUUCCCUCUAACAUAUCGCCCCUUAAAAUUGAAAACCAAAAAAAAAAAAAAUGUAAAUUACAUAUCCAAUAAUGUACCUAUGAAAAAUAUAAAUAUAAAUAUAUACGUAUAAAAAUAUAGGUUUAUUAUUUACCAAAUAAAAAAUAUAAAAAAACUAGGUCAGUUGCUUUGUAAUUGAAAUUUCUAUACAUUUUCCACAAAUUAAAAAUAGGUACACAAUAAUUUAUAGAAAAUAUAGGUGCAUUAUUUAUCCAUAGGUAAAAAUACCUAUAAAUGCACAUAGGUAAAUUAUUUACCCAUAUAUUAUUUUUUUGCUAAGGAUUUACCUUAGUUUUUAGUAGAUUAAUUUACCUACCUAGAGGCAUAGGUAGCUUAAAAAAAUUGUAGCACCUUAGUUGGUUGCAUACUAAUUUACCUACCUAGAGGCAUAGGUUGCUAAGAAAAAAUGUAGGUAAAUUCAUGUACCUAAACACAUAGGGGUCAAAUAGAGAAUAACAUGUUAUUUCCCUUCGAACAAAUUAAUUUCAAACCAUAACAAUAAUUGAAUUCGGAAAUUGGUAUAAAUAAAAGGAAAUAAAUAAGCUAUCAAUUUGAAAAUUAAAAUAAGAAAUGAUCAAGUAGUCAUAUUUGAAAAAAAAGAAAAGAAUAUAUUCUUGGUUUUUAUAGGAACAACGUGUAUAUUCAAACCAAAUGGCAGUAACUACACCAAGCUUUAAUUACUUUUUUUUAAGGCCAAAAGUCACUUUUGGUCUCUGUAGUUUGACACUUCUAUUACUUUUGACGCUGUAGUUUCAAUUCCGUCAAUUUUGCCAUUGUAGUUUCAUAUUUGUAGCAAUUCAAGGACAUGUUAAUAUUAAUGUCAAUUUGUUUAAUGAUGCAAGGGGUAAUUUCGUCAUCCCAAAAUCCUUGAGCAUAAAAGCUUGUCUGAAAUUCUCCCCAUUUCAUAUUAGGGCUCGAAAUUCAACCACUAAUCCCAAUUUUUGAAGAACCCUAUACCCAAAUGACCAAUUUCAAGCCCUAAUAACAAAUUAGGGAAGUUUUAGAUGAGCUUUUAUGCUCAAGGAUUUUGAGUUGAAGAAAUUGCCCCUUGCACUGUCAAAGAAAUUGAUAGGAAUACUGACUUGUCCUUGAAUUGCUACAAAUACAAAAAUACAGGGUCAAAAUUAACAGAAUUUAAACUAUAUGGUCAAAAGUGGUUAAAGUGCCAAACUACAAGGACCAAAAGUGACUUUUAGCCUUUUUGUUUAAAUAAGGAAAAAACUUACCUAUUAAAUCCUUGGAAUCUAUACAAAAUUGAAACACAGUUAAUCAGCAUUGAAUUGCAGCUAAUUUCUUAAACAAGGGUAUUAUAGGAAUUUAAAAAGUAUAACAUUUAAUCCAUUGAGCUUGAUUAGGAAUCUUGAUGAGUUGGAUCCUAGUUAUAUAGUUUCUCUUAUAAAAAUCGGGUUUUAUUUAUAGACAAAUAAAACAAUGGGUUGUAGGUAAGAAAAUAUUAAUUUGAAGGGAAAGUGUCACAUCCUGGGAUCGGCUCCGCCGUAGCACGAUAUUGUCCGCUUUGGGCCCCCCUCUCUGCCCGCACGGUUUUGUUUCUGGGAGCUCACGAGCAACUUCCCAGUGGGUCACCCAUCCUGGGAUUGCUCUGGCCCCCAACUCGCUUAACUUCGGAAUUCCUAUGACUCCGAAGCCAGUGAGCUCCCAAAAGGCCUCGUGCUAGAUGGAUGCGGGUGUGUACAUAUAAGACACAUCACCCCCUCUCCGUUGGUUGAUGUGGGAUCUUACAGAAAGAGUCAAAUUUACUAAAUUAAUAAAGCAUAAAUUGGAAAGGGAAAAGAUCUAGAGGAUGCAUUGUAGGAUUGCUCAUGCCAAUAAUUGCACCCUCUCGAUAUUGAAAAACCUAUUGUGUAUUAUUAUCUUCAAUCAUGAAUGAUGCACCUAAAACCCAAGUGUCCCAAGCCAACCAUUGCGCUCAUACCACUUGUUGCAGUACACAUUCACCCGUUUUUAAAGAAAGAAAUUCUACCAAUCGAUAUUGUCUCAAAUUUAAUCACAUAGGUCUAUUAUGGUUAACCAUAUGUACUUUUAUCGGCCAUAUAGAGGUACCUUUUUCCAACGUGCAACAAUUGUAUUUGAUUCACAAUUAUGUCUGAUAUACAUCACAUCAUGCCACUUGCCUCAAAUGAAUUUAAUUGAGUGAGGCAAUGGGAAGUAAUUAAGCUCUAUAUUGGUGGGUGGAGUGUUACUUCUGGAACCCUCAUCAUUCGUCCAUACAAGGGAACAAUUCCCUUCCUUCUAUAAAAUGGUGAAGCCAGUUGCUAUUGUUUGUUAGAGUUUUAGGAUCUGAGUGUUAGAUUUUGUGAGAAGAGAGAAGAGAAUUUAGUGAAAACUUCCAAUACUGCUCUGCUAUACGUGUAGCAGAGAGAACAUUCUGUUUUGUUAUAUAUUUUCAGUACAACAACACACACUUGGUGUGAGAAGAAAAAUGACUGUUAUGCACAGUACCAGCUGGAUGCUUUCCAUCAAAGUAAUCUCAGCCAUUCACUAUCUAACCAAUCAAGCUAUGACACCUGGACUAAGUAUAAAGAAAUACAACUAAGCAGAAAACAAGACUCUUAAUCCUGAAAUCAACUUAAGCACUUAUAAUUCAACACUCCCCUUUAAGUCUUGAGGUGAUUUCACUCCAAGCAUGCCUCUGAGAUAAUUGAAUCUGUCUUUGGCCAGAGGUUUGGUAAAAAUGUCAGCCAAUUGUUCAUUUGUAGGACAAUAUUCCAGAUUGAUUACCCCUUCUUGCAAUGCAUCCUUGAUGAAGUGAUACCUCCUGUCAAUAUGCUUUGUCUUCUGGUGGAAUACAGGGUUUUUAGUGAUUGCAAUUGCUGAGAUAUUAUCACAAUGCAAUGGAGUAGCUUCAGUUUGAAGCUCUCUAAAGUCUUCUAGCACAAAACGGAGCCAAAUAGCUUGAGUAGUAGCCUCAGCUGCACUGAUGUACUCAGCUUCUGCAGUAGACAGUGCAACACAGUUCUGUUUCACUGAGGCCCAAGAAAAUACUCCACUUCCAAAACUAAACGCAUACCCUGAUGUGCUCUUGCAAUCACCAACUGAUCCUCCCCAAUCACUGUCACAGUAACCAACUAGAAUUGAUCUUUUGCCUUUCACAUAUUCAAGACCAUAGUCCAGAGUUCCUUUGAUGUAUCUCAAAACCCUUUUAGCUGUUCCAUAGUGUCUAUUUGUAGGACAGUGCAUGAAUCUAGCUAGCAAGCUUGAGGCAUACAUGAUGUCUGGUCUUGUAGCAGUUAAGUACAGCAAGCUACCAACAAUGCUUCUGUAUUGUUCUUCAUUUGCAGCUCAACUCCCAUCAUCCUUAGCUAGUUUCUCAGUGGCAACAAGGGGUGUUGUCACAGGUUUGCACUCAGUCAAACCAAACUUGCUCAACAAGGUGCUAGCAUAUUUCUUUUGAUGUAGAAAUAUACUAGACUCAGUCUGAAUAACUCCCAUGCCAAGAAAGUGAUGAAGUAAGCCCAAAUCAGUCAUCUCAUACUUAGCCAUCAUGUCUUCUUUGAAUUCAGCCAACAAUGCUUGACUGCUCCCUGUAUACACAAUAUCGUCUACAUAGAUAGACACAAUUAGAAUCUCCUUAUCUCCCCUUACUUUGGUAUAUAAGGUUGUUUCACUUAAGCUUUUCACAAAACCACAUUGAGUGAAGUAGCUGUCUAUCUCUCCAUACCAAGCCCUUGGGGCUUGCUUCAGACCAUAAAGGGCUUUAUGCAAACGAUAAACCUUGUCUUCUUUACCUUUAAUUACAAAACCUUCAGGCUGACUGACAUAAACUUCCUCUUGCAGCACACCAUUAAGGAAAGCAGACUUCACAUCAAGCUGGAACAAUUUCCAAUCCUUUUGAGCAGCUAGAGCAAUAAGUGUUCUAAUGGUGUCCAAUCUGGCUAUAGGUGCAUAAGUCUCAUUAUAAUCCAGUCCAGGCUUCUGAGCAUACCCCUUAGCCACUAAUCUUGCUUUAUUCUUUUGCACUGAGCCAUCCAAAUUCAGCUUUGUCUUGUACACCCACUUAACUCCAAUCACUGGUUUUUCAGUUAGUCUAUCUACCAAUUCCCAUGUUUCAUUCUUUUCAAUCAUCUGCAGUUCAUCUUCCAUAGCCUUAAGCCAAGAUUCAUCCUGAGCAACAUCAGCAUAUUUUUCUGGUUCCAUGAUACACAAGUUACACUGAGCUAGAACAUCAUCUAGCCUUCUCCAUUUUAGAGGGGUGUGAUCAUAAGCUUGAGUUCUCCUUUCUUCACUGCUUAUAUCACCUGGAGUUGAUGAAAUGCUCUCUUGCAUAUCCAAAGUUUGAGGUGUACCAGUAGAAUUCUCAUUAGAACUGUCAGAUUUCAAGUCCAAAUCAACUUGGUUUUCAAUUGAGUAUGUUGUCAUAACUGAACCAUUUUUGUUUGUCCAAUGCCAAGCAUUUUCUUCAUCAAAUGUCACAUCCCUUGAUAGUAAAAGCUUGUUAGAAACAGGAUCAAAAACUCUAUAUCCUUUUUCACAAGUUGCAUAUCCCACAAACACUCCCUUUGUACUCUUAGGAUCCCGCUUGUGUCUCAAUUCAGUUGGCACAUGAACAUAACACAGAGAACCAAACACUUUCAGAUGUGCAAUUCCAGGCUUCCUUCCACUAUAUGCUUCGAAUGGAGUAAUGUUGUUGAGAGCUUUGGUAGGACAUCUGUUCAGCAAAUAGAUAGCUGUAUGCACAGCUUCUGCCCAUAGGAAAUAAGGCAUUCCCUUCUCAUGUAACAUUGAUUUUGCCAUCUCAAUGACAGUUCUAUUCUUCCUCUCAACUACUCCAUUCUGCUGAGGAGUAUAGGCCAUUGUAAGCUGCCUUUGAAUGCCAUUAGCUUCACAAAACUCCAAAAAAUCAGUAGACAUAAACUCUCCACCCCUGUCACUUCUUAUGCACUGAACCUUGUGUCCAGUUUGUAAUUCAGUCAUGGACUUGAACUUCUUGAAACAAAAGAAGGCUUUUGACUUGUUUCUCAAGAAGUAUACCCAAAUCAUUCUUGUGAAAUCAUCUAUAAUCAGCAUGAAAUAUCUGUUCCUUGCAACAGACUCAUUUCUCAUGGGACCACAGAGAUCCACAUGUAUUAGCACUAGUACUUUGCUUGCUCUUUGAGCUUGAUCUUUUGGAAAAACAUUUCUGUGCUGUUUUCCAAAUUGGCACCCGUCACACACACCACUUUGUUCUUCCAAUUUUGGUAAACCAUGUACCAUUUCUUUAUCACUUAGCUGCUUCAAUCCUCCAAAAUGCAGAUGACCAAAUCUCUUGUGCCAAAUCCAUGUGGAUUGAAGAAAACUAGUCUUCAUUAGUAACUGUUUUUCAGCUAGAAAAGAGACAGGAUAGCAUCUGUUACUCUUCAUUUGCACCUUUAUGAUGAGAUAAUCCAUGGAUGGGCUAUCAAAUACCCUGCACAUCCCUUCUCCAAACACUAGACAGUACCCAUGUUCAUCCAUCUGCCCAACACUUAGCAGAUUUUCUUUCAAUCCUGGCAGAUACAUUACUUCUCUGAUGUAUUUCCUGCCCUUUGCUGUAUCAAUACUCAGUGAGCCAAUACCAGCUACACUCACUAAUGCACCAGUUGGCAUUUGUACUCUCCCAGCUACAUUAGUUCUCACAUCAACCAGCAAAUCUAAAUUUCCUGUCAUAUGAUUGCUGCAGCCACUGUCAAUGUACCAUUCAUUGGUUUUGAUCUCAGUGGUUGAGCAAUUGGCAUAAAACAGGUUUCCUGUAACCUCCAUUUGAUUUACACAAUUAGCCUUCUGCACAUUUUUGCUCACUGUACAGUCUCUAGCAAGAUGUCCAACUCUGUCACAGUUAUAGCAUUUUGGUUUUCCCUUAUACCUGCACUCACCAAAAUGAUGCUUUGAACACACCUUGCAUUGAGGCUUUGUGUUUUCCUGAUUUGAGAACUGUGUUGAAGUGUGGUUCUGUGCAGAAUAAUUAUUCUGCUGUGUCUUGUCUUUUGCCUCCCAUGACUUCCCUUUAGAGUUCCAGCUUCUCUGUGACUUAGAUGAACCAGACUGAGAAGCAUUUUUGUUCUGACCCUUUGAAUUCACAGUGAAUGAGGCAAAUGCCUUCUCAGCUGUAUCAACACUAUGCAUUUCAAGCCUUUGCUCCCGACUCUUCAAAAUGGCAGUUACUUCCUGCAAAUCCACAGUUUCUAGUGUCUUUGUGUUUUCAAUCACAAUGCAUAUAGGGUCAUACUUCUUACUUAGACUAAUUAACACCUUCUGAACCUACCUCUCAUUUGACAGAACUUCACCAAAUGUUUUCAUUUGGUUAAUCAAUUCAGUUAGUCUAGUAAGAUAUUCAGAUAAGGUUUCACUAUCACGCAUCCUACUGUAUUCAAACUCACGUCUAAGGUUUUGAAGCUUUACCGAUCUAACAUGCUCUCCACCAUGAUAUUCUGAGUACAGCAGAUUCCAAGCCAUCUUUGCAGAGUCAGCAUUGGCAAUUCUGGGAAAAAUCUGAUCAGAAACAGCAUUUUGAAUGAUACCCAAGGCCUUCGCAUCCUUCAUGAGAAUCGCAGCUGUUUUCUCAUCAACUUCUUCUUCUGAACCAUCCUCAGAUUCCUGCUUCGUCUUUGAAUCUGGGAUUAAAAACCCCUUCUCUACCAAACCCCAUAAACCAUAUGAUCUGAAUAUGGUUACCAUCUUAAUCCUCCAAAAUUCAUAGUUCUCACCUGAGAAAAUGGGGAUUCUAGCCUCUGAACUUCCAGAUCCAGCCAUUACGAAUUUCAGAUUCGCCUGGAAACAAGAUGUUUUCAGAUUUGACCCUUGAUCGAGCUCAAUCAGCUUCGUGAGCUUAGAAUGAGCUCACCUCGAUCGAUUUUCUUCACAGAACAACGCCCAGCUUCAGAUAAUCAAACUUGGCUCUGAGGCCAUGUUAGAGUUUUAGGAUCUGAGUGUUAGAUAUUGUGAGAAGAGAGAAGAGAAUUUAGUGAAAAUUUCCAAUACUGCUCUGCUAUACGUGUAGCAGAGAGAACAUUCUCUUUUGCUAUAUAUUUUCAGUACAACAACACACACUUGGUGUGAGAAGAAAAAUGACUGUUAUGCACAGUACCAGCUGGAUGCUUUCCAUCAAAGUAAUCUCAGCCAUUCACUAUCUAACCAAUCAAGCUAUGACACCUGGACUAAGUAUAAAGAAAUACAACUAAGCAGAAAACAAGACUCUUAAUCCUGAAAUCAACUUAAGCACUUAUAAUUCAACAUUGUUACCAUAAGAGCCAGCUCCGACUUUCUUUAAUUUCAGUCCUAACGGGGUUUCAUCUUCCACUCAUCUUUGCUCUUCUCAGUGUAAGCUCUGCAAUUUGAUUAACUUUCCCAUUAUCUCUCACUGUACUCUAUAUAAAGGAAUAAGUGUCGUCCACUAAUUAAUUACACUUUGUGAGAUUUGAUUUUAAUUAGAGUUCGAAUUGAUGUUGCAGCUAGCAGCGGUGGCACUGGCAAACCAUGCUGCUCAACCAGCACCUCAACUUUACUGGAACUCCGUCCUGCCAAACACACAAAUGCCAAGAGCUAUCAGUGAACUUCUGCAUCCUGGUUUGUGUUGAAUAAAUAUAGUAUGUUACUGGAGUACGUAUGGCAACAUAUUCACAAAUGUGUCACGUAUUUUCCAAUAUGACGUUGAUAUAUAAUUGCAGACUCCACAAACGAAGAAAAGAGCACAAAUGUCAUGAAUGCUGUUGGGAAUGGAAAGCCAAUUGACCACAAGGGCAACCUGAAAAUACUGUACUACCACAGCUUGCACGACGCCCAUUUUCUUACAAGAGUGAUGAUCGUCCCACUGACAAUCAACUCCAUUAUAAAAACGUAGCUAUUUUCUUCUUGGAGAAGGACAUGCGCCCUGGCACAACAAUGAGCUUCCAAUUCCCUAGAAAUUCAAACACGGCUACUUUCCUGCCACCAGAAAGAGCUCAAUCGAUCCCCUUCUCCUCUAACAAACUACCAGAAAUUUUCAACCAUUUUUCAGUGAAGCCAACAUCUGUGGAAGCCAAAACAAUUAAGCAAACAAUCGAAGAGUGUGAGGCUCCAGGCAUUAAGGGAGAGGAAAUAUAUUGCGCCACAUCUUUAGAAUCAAUGGUUGAUUUUAGCACUUCGAAUUUUCGAACAAGAAACGUUCAAGCAAUCUCGACAGAGGUAUUGGAAAAAGGUGCCACCAUGUCCAUGCACAAGCAUACAACAAUGCCGGGACUGAAGAAGUUGGCAGGUGACAAAGUCGUUGUGUGUCAUAAGCAGAACUAUCCCUAUGCUGUGUUUUACUGCCAUGUAAUAAAACCAACAGCAGCUUAUGUUCUCUCCCUGAAAGGCGAUGAUGGGGUGAAGAUUAAAGCAGUAGCCAUCUGCCAUCUAGACACAUCAGAAUGGAACCCAAAGCAUUUGGCCUUCCAAAUCCUCAAAGUUAAGCCCGGAACAAUUCCCAUCUGCCAUUUCCUUCCCACUGAUCAUAGUGUCUGGGUUCCGAACCACAAAUCUGCAUGAUCAUCACUUAGCACUGUACGUAUAAUAAGCUUGCACCCCUGUAUAAUUAUCUCCCUACUCUACUUAUUUCUGCCUCUUCAUGUGGUGUAAGAUAUAUGAUGAGAUGAAGUUUUUGGGAUUAGUGGUCGGGUUGCCUUAAAAACACAGAUUACAGAAACUGCUUGAACUUAACCCGAUCAUGUUUUCUCUUGUACUCGUAAAGCAUGCUGUUGUGGUUCUACUUAAUUUCGUUCUCCCCAAUGUUUGAGUGUUUAAUUGUUACGUUGGAUAAUGCUUGUAGUUAGAGAAGCCUUCAUUUAUAUCAAAGUCCUCAACUUGUAAAGAUAUCAAUGGUCCUAGUGCUGCCACGUGUAAGAAGAUUGAAGAAUAAAGCUGUUGAGAUAUUGUUAGACCUGUUAUGCAGUUUAGGAAAACUGUUAGUAUUGAUAAGAGAAGGUUAGAGAUGUUAGAGAGGUUAGAAAACACGUGAACAAGGCUUUAACUCAGCUGAUAUAAAGUCUGUAGUUGUGCUCAGUUGAACUUAAUGAGAAAUACAACAAGUCUCUUCUCUAUCUCUGAAAUUCUCUCUGCUCUCUCUGCUUUACUUCUUUUGUCUCUGCUCUACAUUUUUUUUCAAUCUUCCUAUCUUAACAAAACUAUCAAGAAUUAAUGCAUCCAGAAACAUAUAUACCAAGACGCAAAACAACAUAUUUUUCAUGCUCUGUCUGUAACACCAAAGCAAACUUCCUUUAUCACAAAAGGAUCAAAUUCCAGUACUAAUCUAAUCCAUCAUGUAAAGCAUACAAUCUACAAGUGCCUCCCUUAAUUUGUCCAUUGGAUAUAUAUGUCACUUUUUGGUAAUUUGGUAUAGCAGCACCACGUAGUCUUGAAAUAGUAGUGCGGCUAUACCAAAUAUACCAUUUGCCCCUGCAUUUAACAGAAAAGUAAACAAAAUUGACGGUAGAACUAUUUGUCCUAACGAAACUGCAGUUGAAAGACCAUGAGAACGAUUUUGAAAAUUGAGGGACUCAAAUGAAAAUUGGGUCUAAGUUCAAGAACCAAUAAAACGAUUAACCCAUAGAUUUUGGAUCCAGUACCACAUCCCAAAGAGAAAACCACAAGUUUGCAAGCAAGUUUGUCCAUAAUAACACUACGUACAGUAUGGGCAGUGCGCUAGACUCAUCUCACUUUCUCAACCUAUCCUAUAGUUGUCUAAAAGAGUUUCUAAUUUAAUGUACUGAGAUUUACGAAAGAAAUAUCAGAGAAACAAUUUUCAGGCAAUAAAAAAAUGUCUUGGCAAGAAAAUGUACAAUUUGUUACAUAACUUAUUAAAUAUGAACAGUUGAAAGAAAAAAGAAUCUGGAUGAGGGAUUUGCAAAUUCCUAUGGCCCAAUUACCUUUUUUUCUUUGUUGUUUUUUUUUUUUUUUUUUUGGUUCUUUUGAUCCAGUAGCAUAUUCCAAAGAAUGAAAACCACAGGCAUGCAAUGCAAGCUCUUUUCCCACGUUUUCCUCUGUUUUUCUCCUAUCAUGGAAGUGAUUAAAACACACCUCUAAGCUUGUUUUGCGUUUGGUAGCCGAGUGUAAAAGCUCAAUGCAAGAUAGUUUGAGGUAGAAUUUUCUCCUAUUUUAUUAGGACAAUGAUAAUUAAAAAAAAGUGUGAUUCAUUGAAUAUUUGCGGGGUUUUGUUCAGACCUGACAAAGUUCUAAGUCAACACAUCAAAUUCCUUUUUCCAACAUGCAACAAUUGUAUUUGAUUCCCAAUUUUUUCUGAUAUACAUCACAUCAUGCCACUUGCAUCAAAUGAAUUUAAUUGAGUGAGGCAAUGGGAAGUAAUUAAGCUCUGUAUUCGUGGGUGGAGUGUUACUUCUGGAACCCUAAUAAUUCGUCCCUACAGGACUCUAGAACUCUCAAACUUCUUACAAGGACUACUUAACUCUAUAGCUUAAUGCAUAUAGCAUAUAUAUGCAAACACAAUUAGAAAUUCUACAACAGAAGCAAGAUCAAUCUCACUAUGCCUUCUAAACAAACAAACAAAUAAAACAAGCAUAUUAAUUGCUUUAAUCACUCUACUAACAUCAACACAGCACACUUAGUUUACUAACAGAUGAUAUAGAAAGGAAAAAAAAGGACCAAUAGGGAGAAAAUGGUGAACUAAGGAGAGACUAAUACUUCUGGUCCUUAGAAGGCAUAACAGAAAUAAUAGAGCACACUGCUUGAAUGCAAGUCAGUAUUAGGAGCAAAACAGCUGCAAUGAAAGAAAUAGUUGCCCAAGGUGUAUUGAAAUAAUGUUGCCUCAAAUUUGCCUUCCAUUUGUUCCAAGGCUUUCUGCAGUAGCUAUUAAGGCGCUCAGAAAGAAUAGCAAAGUAGAAGCUUUCACGAUACACUGCAAUUCCUUUUCCGAGGUUGUUAAUCAGAGUGCACACCUCAUUGUAGUCACCAAGCAUAUUUUUGACAAUCCCAUCCUUCAGAAGGAACUCCACAUCCUUUUCGGUGUUCACAAACUCAUCCAUGAGUGAAACAUAAUCACUUAUGUAAUUCUUACGGCAAUGGCACUAUUCAAAGGCAAUGAGGUUACGGAGUGUGAGCUCUGUGUAAUCGUGUAUUUUUAGUUUUGGAAUUUCUAGAAUCCCAUCGUUGAAUUGUGUUAACGCAGCUUUCCUUUCCUAGCCUACACGGAAGUCAACUUCACAAUCUCCUCCUAGCAAUUAGUCUUUCCUGCUGUAAAUCAGAUUUCCUACUGUAAAUCGGAUUGUAUUCAUGUCUAUAUUAUUUCCUACUUUAAGUAGAUAUCUUGUACUAGUAUAAAUAGGGACUUUGUGUAAUCUGUUAAAUACAAGGAAAUAUAUACUCUGCAUGGUAUCAGCCUAACCUAGGGUUCUCUCUCUCUCCCUUAUUCGAUCCUCUUCUCCUUUAGGUCCACCUCAUGGCUUUGUCUGAAUCCACCAUCUCCCUCCCAAGCCCCAACUCUUCUAUUUUAUCAAGCUUAUUGACUCCAACUAUCUUCUUUGGCUCCGCCAACUCAAACCCUUUUUAGUCGGCCAUGACCUCUGGAAAUUUAUCGAUGGCAUUCAUAAACAACCUUCUGCCCACACCUCCACCUCUACCACCGCAACACCCACAACCACCACCACUCUUACCCAAAUCAAUCAUGCCCAUGCUCAGUGGUACCAACAAGACCAACUCAUUGUUAGCUACAUCACCAAUACACUCUCUGAGUCCAUUCUCUUUCUCACUGUUGGUUGCACCUCUGCCCGGGAUCUCUGGGAGUGUCUCCAACGCCACUUCUCUCAAUCCAGUAUGGCCAGUGAAUCUACUCUUCGUUUUAAACUCAUGGAUUUGCAAAAAGGCUCUGAACCCACUUAUGCUUACAUUCGUCAUGCUAAGUCCUUUGCCGAUUCACUGGCUGCCAUCAAUGAACCUGUCUCCCCAAAAGAACUUGUCACUACUGUGCUUUGGGGUUUAAGACCCUAUUGCAACAUCCUCGUCACAGCAAUUCUCAAUUUCCCUCUGCUUCCUAACUUUGCUAAUCUUCGUGCUCGUUUGUUAGCAUUUGACGCACAGACUCCUUGAAUCUCUCCUGAUCAAAACACAGCGCAAAUGGCCACCCAAUCCUCUCCUCACACCACCGGUCAUACUUCCUUCCCUUCUCACCGUGGUGGUGGCUCUUCCAACAACAGGCGUGGUGGCCUCGGUGGCUGGCGCAAUAGCGGCCGGGGUGGCUGGCGCAGCUUCUCAUCUUCCUGGAGCAACCCGUGGAAUGGCUUCCAGCAGCUCCAAUGACCUAAUCAACCAUGGCCUCCUUUUGCUCCAAGUUCUGGAUCUCAAAGCAACUGGCCUUCCUUUCAGCCUCCUUGGGCCUAAUCUGCCGCUUCUAUCAAACACUUUGCCCGGCCCAACUCAGCUCCUGGUGUCUUGGGACCCGCUUGGUGCACUACCUGCAAUACCAAUCACAUACUACUACAAUAUGUCCUCAUCGCUACAAUGGCCCAGAAUCCUUUCUUUGCUAGGGCUCAAUUCAUGUAGCCACCUGACUCUACUUGGUACCCUGACACAAGUACCACUCAUCAUAUGAUUGGUAGUCCUUCUAAUCUCCAAAAUCAAUCCUUCUAAUCUCCAAAAUCAACAGCCAUAUCAGGUUCAUAAUUCUGUAUUUCUUGGUAAUGGAGAUUCUCUCCCUAUCUCUCAUACUAGCUCUCUCUUUUGUCUUCCAUCUCUUCGUACUAAUCUUCUUUUUGUUGCCCAUUUUACUUGUGAUAAUUUAGUUUUCUUUGUCUUUACUCUUGACUUUUAUCAAAUCUAUGACUUAUGUACUGGUUCGUUACUCUUUCAGGGCCCUUCUAAAGAUGGUCUUUACCCACUUUCCAUCUCCUCUCACUCAUCCAUAGUCCCCCAUGCCCUUACCACCGUGCACUCUCCUGCUUGGCAUCAUUGCCUUGGCCAUCCAUUCCAUCGUGUGCUCUCUCAUUUAGCGCCAUCUCUAGGCUUUAAAGUUUCUCAUGCUUUCUGUAAGGAUUGUGCACUUAGCAAAUCCACCAAACUGUCAUUUCUUAGUAAUAAAACCUUUGCCCCAUCUCCCUUUUAUUUAAUUCACUCUGAUGUAUGGAUGUCCUCGGUCAUUUCUGUCACUGGUUAUCGCUAUUAUGUCUUGUUUACAGAUGACUUUUCUCGUUACUCCUGGAUCUAUCAUAUGCACCGUAAAAAUGAGGUCUUUUCUCACUUUCAAACCUUUCUUGCUAUGGUUAAAAAUCAAUUUCACACCACUGUACAAAUUCUUUAAAGUGACAAUGGCACUGAAUAUGUUAAUAAUGCUUUCUCUGAUCUUUGCAGUCAACUAGGCAUCCACCAACGUUUCACAUGUCCCCACACUCCCCAACAAAAUGGCCUAGCUGAACAUAAACACAGACACAUUGCCACCAUGAUCUGUCCCCGGUCAUUUAUUCAACCAUCUUGACCUUUUGCUUGAUCAUUUUCCACAAGCAACCGUCCACGUACCCCAAUAAUUUAAAAGGGCUGAUGAUCUUUAAUUUGGUGAAAGCUUCUAUCUACCUACCGUGCUAUAUAUGAGCUAUGCAAUCGUGACCGUGUUACAUGACGUCCCAAUGUCGUAGGGAUAAAAAAAUAAUAGUCAUGGUUUUCUUAUUAAUGUCAAUACAUUCAUAGCAAAGAGCUUGUAGCUCUAGUGGUUAAGAGCAAUUACCCAUGCACUUGAGAUAUUUUGUGUUUAAAUCCCCUCUUCCCCAAUAUUUCUUGUAUAAAAAUAAAAAUAACAAUAAUAAUGACAUUAAUGUUGUAUUCUAUAAAGUGUUGGACAUGUUUUAUACCCCUUUCUUGCAAAUUACAGUUUGCCACGUGUACAAAAAUAAUAGAUAAGUGUUGGACAUCAAGAGCACUUACAUAUAGGUUUAAUAGGUAAGUUUUGAAUAUUUCUGUAUUUAGCUUUAAAUAUUGAAAAUCAACCUAUUAGCAUAUUAAAGAUUUGUCCAUAUUCGACGUACAUUCUCUUAUUUUUCUCUCAUUGAAGUAAAUACAAAACUAAGCACAUAGUGGGAAAGUGCGUCACGAUUAGGGGUGGGUUUAGUCUAGGUUGGUUCAUUUUUGGGCUCAAUUUGAACACCGAACUGUAAGCUUCGGUUUGGCUAUUUUGGAAACCGAAACCAAACCAUAAUUGAUGAAAACCGACCACUUCGAUUACCUUCUGGUCUUCCAACCAGAAGAAAACUCAAAACUUUAACCAUACCAAGUGCAACAGAAUUACACCAGGCUGGAUUCAAGUUUAUGAUGGUUAAAGAUAAAAACUUAUUUGACAUACAAUUUGAGAAUGGAAUCCUCAAAAUUCCACACCUGCGAAUACGGGGUUUAACAGAAAUUUUCUUCCGCAAUCUUAUUGCCUAUGAGCAGUGUGAGCUUCAUGAUCAUUACAUCAACGACUAUGUCUUCAUCAUGGACCGCCUGGUCGACAGUGCCAGGGAUGUGGAAUUGCUUGUGAAGAGUGGAAUUCUUGAAUCUAUGCUACCGGACAGCGAGGCAGCAGGGGAAUUUAUUAAUUCUCUUGACUUGGGGCCUAUUUUAGGCAAGCUUGAAACAAGACUAUUUCAGUUCACCAUGGGCUGGCCUGUCUAUUAUUGUAGCCGCUAUACUAGUUGUGCUCACAUUUAUUCAAACAGUGUGCUCCGUAAUGGCGCUGUAGGUUCUUCAUUUCCUCAAUUUCAUGUUUAGUGGUUGCAGAUUUGUUGCUCAUGUACGUGUUUAUCUAAAGUUAAAUAAGAGUGAUUGACUGGAUUGACUGUUAGUCUGUUAGUUUGUUUUUCUGGGGUUUUUCCCCCCUGUUCGUCAAAAAAAAAAAUAAAAGAGUGAUGGCUUGUGCCUAUGAAAAUUACUUAGGAGUAUGCUCCACAGAGCCAAAAUAAAUAAACUAGGGAAGUGGAGGUUCUUCUGUUUGUAUAUAAAUGAGCAAUUCAAACUCUCAGUGCCAAGGGAGUUACCCUUGAUACAUUUGUUAAAAAUUAUAUAUUUGGUCUUACAUCAAACAAAUAAUUUGAAGGGCUUUUUUGACAACUGCUGACAGCGUUUGGCAGAAAAGUUUAGAAGCGCUUCUACGCUUCUAGAUCAUAAAAGUGCUUUACCAAAAAGCACUUAGAUUUCUUAUGAAAAUUUCAACAUUUUUAUAAUAAAAGCGCUUGCUAGAAGCACUUAUAAGCAGAAGUGCUUCAUAGAGAAGCAGUCCCAAACGAGCUUGAUUUUCAAAUGUGCUGCUUAAGAAGAAAUUUAAUACGUUUUGAAAACAAAAAAAAAUACGAAAUUUAAUACGUUUGUUUUACAAAUUGUAUUAAUUGUUAUCAAUAAUACUUGUGCACACCCACAACAUACUUCUUUCUUUCUUUAUUUUCCUUCAGUACAGUUCUGCCUUUCUUUAAUUAUUUUUAACGAAUGCAAAGAGUUUGUCACAAAAUCAAGGAUUGAAAAAAAAAGAGAGUAAAUUAUGUGCUAGAGAAACUUUCCUGCAGAAAUUGAAGAACAACUCUAGUUUCUCUCUUUCGCCUUGUACUCCCGCACUGAGGUUAGUAUUGUUAUAAUGUGCAGAUUAUACGGUCACUCUUGUAUAAUGGCGAGAAGGCUCUAAUUAUAUUUUUGAACCUCUUUGACAGGACCCGCCCCGAAUUUCCCGAAACCCAAGACGAAUUCUGUGGAAAUUCCCUACAUCACCCCGAUGUUGGGCCCACUUCUAAAACUAUAUCAUUUUUCCUAAAAAGGAAUAAGGGCACGAGACUUUCUACCGAAAUUUCGGCAGAGUCUCUCCUGUAAAUUGAACAUUUCCCAAAAUUUCAACCUGCAUAAAACACAUUUUAUAUUACCCAACUGGCAGCAUGCACAAAAUAAUAACAUGCAAUUCACAUAAACGGCCUCUGGCCCUCCGGUAAUUCAGAGCAAUGCAAACUAGCAACUCUAAACCUAAUAAAACAACAUAAGUAACAUUUAGCCAGCGGCUGCACCCAGGCACUACCCUAGGCUACCUACGUACCCUUACUAAGGGAUCAAGCCACACGUAGUUCUUUCAUACAAAAUUUCCAAAUCCAUCAACAUGCAAUCAAUUACAGAAUCCCAAACAAAAUCUUUCUCAAACAUCAUUAGUUCCCAACUCAGUAUAAUAAUCCUUAAUUCAUCUCUGUAAUAAUCACAAUAUCUCCCCAUACGCCGGAACUACCAACACCACGUAUGGAGCCUGCCUGUACGCCAGAUAACCAACGACACGUGGGACCUCAUCAUCAUAUCACAUAAUCUCCCCAUACGCCGAAACUACCAACACCACGUAUGGGGUCUGUCAACACGCCGGAUAACCUACGACGUGUGACCUCAACAUCAAAUCACAAUAUCUCCCCAUACACCGGAACUACCUACGCCACGUAUGGGGUCUGUCCACAUGCCGGAUAACCUACGACACGUGGGACCUCAUCAUCAUAUCACAUAAUAUAUUAACGAUCAAGAAAUAUCACUACGGUCAUUUAAUCCUCCUGGGAAGGUAAAACUAUCUCAGGAGACUCACGGUCAACCAAGGGUCAAACUACCUCAUACUUGGACAAACGAGCCCACGGAGCCCACAACCUCCGUUUUACUAUCCAAGAGUUCCUAUAGGUUCUACAAGGUUUAGGAUACACGGCUUGCAAGUUUGGUCAAGAUCAGACGGUCGGAUCGCUCACGAUAGGACGGUUACUGCAAACCUAGCCCUAGGGUUGGCAUUUUCGGAGUAUCCGAAACUCCGUUUUACGAUCUGUCGAAUCAUAGACGAUCCUAAGGAUUUGCAGACUAACUAUAAUAAAUUCAAGACCAUCCAACGGUCUAAACCUAUCGAACCCGGAUAACGCGCAAUAGGCAAUAUCCAAAUUGAAAUCCGAGCACACCUACGCACUCGUGAGGACUAGGAGAUUACAUCGGGACAUAGUGCCCUUUUUCUACAGUGCCCAUGAGCCGCCGCACGCACCAGCAACGCGUGGGUGCCCAAAGCGAUUAUGCAUCGCCAAAAAAUCUCAAAACCACGGCUCAAGACUCCUACCCUAGGUAUAACACCCUAUUUGGAACCACUUUUGUUCUUGGACCUACCCCAAAAACUGAUCAGAAGUGGCCGGAAUGGCUGAAAUGUAAUUCAAAAAUCAAGCUACCAACGCUCAAAAUCGAUGCAAUCCUACCCAACCAUCAACUAGAUUAUGAAGAAUGGAUAAAUUUCCAUACCUUGAUCGCCAACAAUGGCGGCCGGAGGAGAGAGAUCUGAUCCGGCGAAGUUCGAGUGAAAACGGCCAAAAAUCAUCUUUUUCAGGCGGCUGGAGGGCGACCGAUGUCAGGGAAGGGCAGGGUCGUGACGCUAAGGCUGAGCCUGUCCUUUUGGCACCGGUCCCUUCCGCAGCCGUGUCCGGUGGCUGGAGUUUCGAAGAGAGAGAGAGAGAGAGAGAGAGAGAGAGAGAGAGAAAUCUGAUUUUUAUCAAACCUUUUUGCCAAAAUUACGGUUAUGCCACUGAGGGUAUUUUGAUAGUAUCUCUCUCGUUACAACUUCGAUUCGAGCCCACCACGUGUGUACGGACUCAUCUAACUGUGUUGUACGCAACGGUAUAGUCGAAAUUCCCAAAUUAUUUCCUUGUCAAAAAGUCAACUUUAAACAUUAUAAAAUAUUUUAGGGAAAAAAUGGUAUUUUCUCUCAAUAAAUUAGUAACUAAUUUAUUUAGGACUGGGUCAUUAUACUCUUUUUCGCUUCAAUGGAUGGGAAAAAAUUUUAUGUAAUAUCCCACAUCGACCAACGAAGAGGGGGCGAUGUGUCUUAUAUGUACAUGCCCGCCUCCAUCUAGCAUAAGGCCUUUUGGAAGCUCACUGGCUUCAGAGUCAUGGGAACUCCGAAGUUAAGCGAGUUGGGGGCUAGAGCAAUCCCAGGAUGAGUAACCCACUGGGAAGUUGCUCGUGAGCUUCGAGAAACAAAACCGUGAGGGCAGAGAGAGGGGCCCAAAGCGGACAAUAAGGCCUCGUGCUAGAUGGAGGCGGGCAUGUACAUAUAAGGCACAUCACUCUCUCUCCGUUGGUCGAUGUGGAAUGUUAGAAUGGAAUUGUUACCUUUGGUGUGGAGGUGUUCUAUCAUUUGAGCAAGAAAUUCCCACAUAUUCUUCAACUAUUUUUCAAGCAUGCAUAUUCCUCCCUAUCAAUCUUUGGUUUCUUCCUUUACUGUGCAUAGUAAGGAUCCAGUCAGGGACGGACCGUCGCUAUGACUAUCCUGGGCUAUAGCCCAGGCAAAUUAUUUUUUUUUCUAGUCUAAAAUAGCAAUCCCACCGCUUGCUGUAGUACUUGUUCAGUUCGUCACAAACAUGAGCAUAAUAGAAGUUAUCAACAUCUAUAUAGGAACCCCAAUGAAAAGGCUGUUAACUAAUAAUGAAGUUAACCCGUCAAUUUUUCCGCAUAUCAGAUAUCUCUCAGAAUAUGCGAUUCCAUAUUCAAUAAGCCACUCCACAUGCCCUGAGGUUUUCAUCAAACCACCCAUUAAGGAAACAUACUGACUCAUGUAAUUAUCAUUACUCAUCGGGUAAUGCAAUUGUUCAAAGGCAAGGACAUUUCUCAUUAUUUAUGUAGCGAACCCCAAUGGAAAUGGUGGGAUCUUCAGAACCCCAUCGGUGCUACUGAAUUGUAUGUCAAAUAUGUUUUCACCUUGUCACGCCUCAAACUUGACUCCAGCGUGCUGUAAUUCUGUCAAGCUGGGUAUGGAUGAUGGGAGUUUGAUGCAGGAGCAUAGGGGUGGAUCAAGAUAGAUAUUUACUAUUUAAUUAGUUAUUUCAUGAUAUAUUGUUAUUUUCUUAUUUAGGUAGUUUUAUGAUAUCUUUUAUUAUUUAUGUGUGAUUUUAUAAUUAAUUAGUAUACUUUUGGACCAAGUAGCCUUGGUGCUCAAGUCUUGUAAAGCCUAUAAAUAAGGCUAAUGUAAUAGUUGUAGAAUAGAUGUCGAUGAUUAAUAAAAUCGUUUAUUUGUGGCAUGGAUUUGCUACGAUAUAUGUGAGUUUGCACUAGCCCUAGAUUUCAGUGCUCGUGUAUGUGGUUGGUGACCUGUGUCCGGAUCCCGAUCCCCAUCAAUUGGUAUCAGAGCUAUGGCUCAAGAUCUGCUAUAUCGGGGAGGUUUUUGGAUGGAGGGUCGUUUUAACAACUACAACGACAUGGAGGAAAUUAGGAGGAUGCUACGGCAACUUAUGGAACACAUUGCUCGCAUUGAAGCUCGAACCCAGAUAGGUAAGAGUUCUGACGGGGAGGGAUGUGUGAACCCUUAUCUGAACCGAGUAGCUCGCAUCGACACUCUAAGCCGUGAGAGUCUCGACGGGGAGUACGAGGGAGAUAGCCCUUUUCAUUAUUGUGCUCCGCUGUGUGAGUCAAGUGAAGAGGGGCACGGUUAUUCUCAUUGUGUCUUUGAAGGUAUAAAUGAAUUUAGUAAUUUUGGUGCAUCUUGUUAUUCAUCAAAGUUAUUAAAUUUGGAUUUACCUCCAUUAUUUGAUCCUUGCAAUUGUGAAAAUUGCAAUAAAAAUUGUUUGGGUGUUCAAAGCAAUUUUGAUAAGCAAUUUAUUGACCAGAACAGUGAAGAGAUGAGAAUUGAGAAAACUUUCGAAGAUAUUAUUGAUUUUAUGGGCAUUAAUAUUUUCACUUGGAAGGUUGCCAAAAAUCUGGUUGAUUUUGUCAAUCGGUUGAAGAUUCUAGAGAGAAACAUUUGCAUUGCUAGAGGGAGUAAGAAGUCAAGAAUAACGAAAUAUUCCAAAUAUCUUUUUAUUUGGAAAGGAAGGUUUCAAUUGGAUGCUAAAAGAUCCAAAAUUAAUAUGCAGCAAUUGAAGAUUCUACUCGGAUUUUCCUUAAUCAAAGGCUUGAAUUCGAGGACGAAUUCUUUCCAACUAUGGGAGUCUGAUGCAGGAGCAUAGGGGUGGAUCAAGAUAGAUAUUUACUAUUUAAUUUGUUAUUUCAUGAUAUAUUGUUAUUUUCUUAUUUAGGUAGUUUUAUGAUAUCUUUUAUUAUUUAUGUGUGAUUUUAUAAUUAAUUAGUUUACUUUUGGACCAAGUAGCCUUGGUGCUCAAGUCUUGUAAAGCCUAUAAAUAAGGCUAAUGUAAUAGUUGUAGAAUAGAUGUCGAUGAUUAAUAAAAUCGUUUAUUUGUGGCAUGGAUUUGCUACAAUAUAUGUGAGUUUGCACUAACCCUUGAUUUCGGUGCUCGUGUAUGUGGUUGGUGACCUGUGUCCGGAUCCCGAUCCCCAUCAGAGUUCCCCUCCAGCUUUUGAUUCCAACGGUUGAUAGAGUUUAAAUAUUUUCCUGAAAAGAUCAAUAAUAUGUGCCACUGAUCUAAAAGUCUCCAAAUUGUCUUCCAAUUUGUCAACAGGCAAUAGAUGUUCGAAGAAACUGAAAGAAAUACAAAUUAUUGAAAGCCCCUCAGUAAUGCUGUUAUUGUCAGCAUUAGCAGGGAGUGUAAUUUUCUGUGGGUCGAAAAGAUCCUCGAGAAUGAAGAAUGGCAACUGAUUUUCAAGCAACCACGUAUCUGUCCAUGCAUCUUGCAACAUACCUGGUUUGUCAAAUAUGCGGUCAUUUUCGUCCCAAAAUUUGAAGUAGUCCUUCAAUAAGGGCUCAAUAACGAAGGCGGCGCCCACUAGAAUGAUUGUUACAAAUUCAUCACUGCUAAACUUGAUGGGUUCUCCAUAACAACGUCUCAAUCUUGCUUCGUGGUCCUUUAUUUUCUUAAUAUAAUCCUCCAAACUCACAUUGGUCCGACCUAUAAAAUCUUGCAGGUAUCUCUGUUUGUUCUCUUCCAAUACGACAUUCAAGCCUUCCUUUCCAUGGUGAAGUGGACCUAUAGAGACCGACUGCCUGAGGUGUGCAGAGCUUUUCAUUCACACAUACGUAGAUAAAAUGUCUGGGGGCUCAGAGAGUGAUGAAUGUGCAACAGCUAAUGGGAGGGUUUAUAUUCCUGAAGUAAGAAAUGAGGAAACACCAGCAGUUGGGAUGAAGUUUGACUCGCUUGACCUCGUUUACAAUUUCUAUAAUAGAUAUGCAUUCUUGGCUGGCUUUGGUAUUCGACUUCAUUCUAGCUUUUGGGGGAAAAAUAAGAAAGAGAUUUUGAGGAAAGAAUUUGUAUGUUGCAAACAAGGUGCAUACAAGAAGGAUGAAACUCGGGAGAGAAAAAGACAACGGGGAAUAAGUAGAUGCAAUUGCAAAGCAAAGAUUGUGGUUGUGAAGACAAAUGGGAGCAAGAAGUAUACCAUUUCUCUUUUUGCAGAGGGACACAAUCAUAAGAUGACACCCUCAGAAAGAAUGCAUUUAUUGAGAUCACACCGUCAUAUUUCAGAUUCUACAAAAGUACUCACAAAACAGUUGGGUUCAGUUAAUAUUCCCAUUCAUCAGAAGGUAAGUAUAUUCGAGGUGCAAUCCGGAGGAAUGGAUAAAAUCGGUUUUAUCAAAAAAGAUAUCUACAAUCUUGAAUGUAGUGUGAAUGGGAAGCUGAGGAACCACGAUGUUGAACUAGUGACCGAGUAUUUUAUGGCUGAACAGAAAAAAAAUGAGGCUUUUUAUUUCAAGAUUGAGGGAGAUGGGCAUGACAGGUUUAGUCGAUGUUUUUGGGCAGAUGCAACUUCUAGACGGGCGUAUGGGUUUUAUGGAGAUGUUGUUGUAUUCGAUACCACAUUCAACACGAAUCGAUACGACUUGACAUUUGCACCAAUGUUGGGAGUUAAUAACCAUGGUCAGACAAUUGUCUUAGCAUGCGCAUUUUUGAGCAAGGAAACGACUGAGUCGUUUGUUUGGAUGUUUGAGGAGUUUAAGAAAGCCAUGCCAGGUGGGGAACCUAAAACGAUCAUUACAGAUCAAGAUGCGGCAAUGGCCAUAGCGAUUUCAAUAGCCUUCCCGAGUACAUUUCAUCGACUUUGCAUAUGGCACAUCACAUCAAAGUUCUCUGUUAAGUUACCACGUGACGCUUAUAAGGAGUAUUGGCCUGAAUUUCAGAAAGCCAUAUGGGAUACUGACAAUAAGGAUGAGUUUGAUGCAAAAUGGAAUAUUGUGGUUAUAAAGGCUGGUUUGACUGACCAUCCAUGGCUAAGUUCAAUGUUUGAUUUAAGGGAAUCUUGGGUUCCAGCCUACGCACGACAAUUUUUUGCCGCUGGAAUGUCAAGCAGCCAAAGAGCGGAAGGUUCUCAUGGUUUUUUCAAGCAAUACAUAUCAAGGAGAAAUUCGUUGAUGGAUUUCAUAAUACGAUUUGAGAGGGCAUUUUCUCAUCAACGUGAAAAAGAGUUAGUUGCUGAUCACGUAGAUGCAUUUGAAGUGGCUCAAUGUCUUCUACCGAUGCCAAUGAACAAACAAAUGGCUACCUUGUACACAAGGACAAUGUUUCAAAAGUUUGAGCAAGAACUAAUACAAAGUACAGCAUGUUUCCUAGAGCUCAAAACAGAGGAUGCAUGUAAAGUUGUGUUCAACGUGAGCGAAAGGAAAAAUUGGGAAACAAGAGUGGCAGAAGUCGUAUAUGUCAAAGAUUCUGACCACGCAUCGUGUAGCUGCAAAAGAUUUGAAUUUGUUGGAAUUAUUUGCAAGCACAUCCUAGCAUUGUUCAGAAGGGACCAGAUUGAAUAUAUGCCCGAUAAAUAUAUUUUGAAGAGGUGGAAGAAAACUGCGAAAUGUGGAUUGGUGUCAGAUGCAAAUGGCAACGAAAUUAAAGACUGUGCAGAUCCUGGCCUUCUAAUAAAGCGGAGUACAAUGUCUCGACUUGCUUCAAAUGUGGUUGAGGAUGCAUUAAUGAGUGAAGAAGGAUGUGAGCUACUGUCAGAGACUCUAAAAAGUUUGCAGGUGAAGUUGAAGUUGCUGAAGGAUGGACCAAGUAAUAACGAAGUUGGAGGGUCCAGCUCUCAAACACAAUAUAUGAAAGACCCUAAGAGAGUGAGGUGCAAAGGAAGGUCGAAAGGAAUAACGGGAGCAAAGGAAAAGGCAAUGAAGCGAGGGAUUAGACACUGUCGGGAGUGUGGACACAUUGGUCAUGAUAGAAGACAAUGCCCAGCCUUGAACACACCGUAAGAUGCUACCACUAUUUGUAAUAAUAUCUAAAAUAUGAAAAGGUAAAAUUUUUAUGUGCUUGUGUUUGAUGUUUAUGCAGGACAUCACCGUCGAACAAUGACAAAUCAACUCCAAUACAUCGUAGUGACCCAUUAUUCGACGAUUUUGACAAGAUGCACAGACCAACUGAAUGAUUGAUAUUUGUAUUAGACGAAAUGUGGUUGUUAUGAAGAUUAAUGAUCAAGUGAAGUUUUAUAGAUUCAGUUUUUGAAUGUUAUUGUGUUUUUGUUCAUGUCCACCGAUGAGCUCUUACUAUGUCCACUGGUAAUUGAAAUGAAAAUUUUCUUGGUUUCAUUCUUCCAAGACAUUUGGAGACAUGUUAAUUUUACGUCUUCUCCCUAUUUAUAAAUUUUCAUAGACAUUUGAUCAAGUUUGAAAUUUGUAGUUAUGUGAAGAAGCAAUGACUCUUACCAUGUAAAAUGGGCAGUUUAGGGUGAAAUUUGUUUUAACAGAGAUUCAUUUUUCAAUUCCUCAGGGUAAUGCAGCAAUUACAGCAGCCAGCUGUUGUUUCCAUUACCAGUAAUCAUUUCCAGCAGCAGCCACUUUUUCCGACUGGUUAUUAGGGGCACGAUUUUGUACACUUUUGUAAGUGAAGGAUACUCGAAGCACUUUGUUGGAACAGAGCAAAUAGAAACCAGCGGGUAAAAAAAAAACAUAACAUUGCAGCUAAUUACAUUUCGAUACAUAGGUGAAAAAUAUUAAAGGGUACACUAACUUACAUAAAUACUCAUAAUUCCACACACAAAAGAACAUUUGAUUGCAAAACAUAUUAUGUGCUUCCUCAUAGCAAUACCACGAUCUCCCCAACCAACUGAACAACGGUAGCCACAAUCACUGGGUCGUACUCGUCAGCUUCUUCUUAGCAGGUCUCACAUGCUUAUGGCCACUCAUAUCCCUAGUGAUAUACACGAAAUAAAUCUUCAGCAAUAUUUGGAAUUUUAUUAUAUAUAAAUAAACCAUAAACCAUUCAGUAAACAAUGUAUAGCACAUGUUAUGUAACUUAUGACUCACGUGUCAGUUUUUUUUUUAACACAUUAGUACUCCAGCUCUUUAAUGUAAAUGGACAUGAUAAGGAGCAUUUACUGAUUCCCGGCUUUCUAUGAUAUUGACUGCUUCUUGAAUAAUAUUUCCAUAUUUGCAAAAUAUAAUGUUAGACAUUAUAACACAUGAUGACUUGCAAUACAUAGUCCCAAUAAUUAUAUAUCAAGCAAAUGAAACUGAUAUUUGUGUUAUUUUAAGUUAGAUAAUGACAUUAAGGGAGUAUAUGUGCAAUACCACGGUCACCCUCAACCAACUGAACAGCGGUAGCCGCAAUCACUUAGUCGUAUCGGUCGGCUUCUUCCGAGCAGCUUUGACGUGCUUAUGCUCAUUCAUGUCACCCCCAUCGUCUAGUAUCUCUCUCACAGCAUCAGGGGACACAUAGUUCCAAUCAUAACUUGUAUGAGUAGUUGCCGCAAAUGCUCGGAAUUUGUCGAAUCCUUCGUUGAAUGCCAACUCCAGUUCAGUAUGGUGCUCUUCGCAUCGCAUAUGGUUCAUCAAACAACCUUUGAUUUCAUCAUUCAUUACUGUAUCCAACUCCUCAGCUUUCAGCUUCCUGCUAUGACUCAGCUUCAAGUACUUGUUCUUUUGGGAUAACGCUUUGUUCACCCUAAUGUUAAGAUCAGCCAAAAUUGCCUCGUCUUCAACACAUUUCUCGUGCCAUGAAUUGAUCAGUCUGGAAUUAUAAUCCAGCUUGCCACUGACUGCAUGUAUUGCCUGUAAUGGAUCAUCGGAGUCCCCCUCACUCCCAAAUGAUGUUGAAAAAGGAAGGGGUCGGCGAGUACAAUGUGGAAAUAGAACCUGCCACUCCAAUUUGUCAUCUUCGAUUGUGUUGUUGGCGCCUGAAGAGGUUGACAUGCUUGAAUAAUCCUCUUUGUUUUGGGAGGAUGAGGAUUGCAUAUGCAAUUUCGUUUGAGAAAGGGAACAUAGGUUUAUAGACCAACAUACCAAAGCUUGUGUGUAGUCAACAUAUGUACUUUUUGGCGGGAAUUUUUUAAAAAUAGGUGUUAGGUUUUGCUUUUCAAGCAUGUCAACCUCACACUCUCCUGACACCACUGCUAGUGGUUGAAACAAAGUCAAUGGAAGUGACAUCUACUUAGUUAACUCAACCAAACUAGUUAGGAUUAAACUUAGAUUGUAUCAGACCAAAAAAUAAUUUCUACUUUGUCAACCAAAUAUUUUUUGGCGGGAACCCUUUUCUUGGUAUUACUAUCACCCCUUUCAUAUAAAAUCUCCUUCCACACAAAACUCACUCCUCCACCGAAUCUGUCUCCAUCUACCGAUACUCUCUCAAGCAAACAAACUCAUUCCCCCCAAAGAAUGAGCAUAAGCACAACCAAGUUUGAUGUGAGCAUAAUAAACACCCCUCCAAACAAAGACCGGCUUCGACACGCAAGUGAGUCACCGGACAAGCAAUGUCACAUUGCUAGACAGAAUGACCAUUUUGUUGGAAGUUUUGAGUCUGAAAGAGUUGUUGCUUUUUGGAAGGAGAGGCAUCUUCAACUUGGUGAUGAAAUCCAAAGGGCAAGGGCACGUUUGGAAUUUGUGGAAGGCCAAAUUGAAGAUGACAAAAGGCAGGCCAAUCUGGAUAGGGCGAAGUUGUAGCGCAUGAAGCGUAGACACAAACGACUUCGGAGUGUAGCUGUUCAAAAAUACAAGAACUCAUCUAAUGUAGUGGAGUCAAAGAAGCGUGUGAUGCAAGCUGGAUUCGACUACUUCCGAUCCUAUGCAAAACUCGUCGUACCCGGGUUUGAUUGGUCAUCUAUUACCGUUUCCGACGUCACCAAAUAUACUCAGCAAGGGAAGUAACCAUUUUGGUUCUCGUGUUUUAGCAGAGGCAAAUAAGUGGAAUUGGAAUUUUGGUUACACUCUGCUUCAAAGCUAUUUUGAUGCUAACUACUAUGGAAGAUUUAAACCUUAAUAUUUUGAUGUCUUUAAUUACGAAAACAGAAGAUGCAAAGAGCUCAUCUACUUCAGCCAUAUGUUGCUGCCAUGUCCAUUUGUUUUUGAUCACUUAUCAGAUUUGGACAUGGUUGCAUCAUAUGCAAUGUUGCCUUUAUUUAUUAUAUGUUAGGACAAGGUUUAUGGAAAAGCUUUUGUGAGUGCGUUUGUGACAAGGUUAUGGAAUUAUUAUGUACACUUUAUAUAUUGUUUUUUGUACUGGUUCAUUUCCUACUAUUUCUUGCUUUCUUUAUAUUUUAUGUUUGUGGAAUCCCUCUCAAAGUUAACAUAUACUGUGAAAAAAAUAUUAUGCAACUGAUUAUAUAAUCACUCAUAUAGACUAGGACAAAUAUUCACUAAGGGUUUUAAACUUGCUUCACUUGUGUGAUGUUAUUGACAAAAAGUAUGGCAUUAUUUAUGUGAUUUGACAUGAUUGAAAAUAUAUUACUGAUUCCCAAUGCGGCGUCAUAUGGACAACGUAUUGAAUACCUGUGACGUGUUAAUAACUCAAGGUGCAGUUGCAUGUGGACAACUUCUUGAAUACCUCUGACGUGUUGAAAACUCUAGGUGCAGUUGCAUGUGGACAACUUAUUGAAUACGAACUGACGUCUUCAAAGCUCUAGGCGUAGUUGCAAUGAUGGCUUCAAAGCAUGUGCAAUUAUUUUUUAUGUACAUUAUUAUAACAAAACAUAUUAUUGUAUAUAGUGAAACUAAAUAUUGUAUUAUUAGAAAUUAUAUUUCGAAUAUUAUCCGAAAUAUACGUGUUAACGUGAAUUUGGGUUAAGAGGAAAGUGAGUUAUGUACAAAUAAUUUUCAUUUUCUCAUUUUCCGGGCAUUUUUUGGAUUUUCGUAGAAUUUAUUACCUAUGUCCACAGAUUGUUGCACUAAAAAAGCCAAAAUAAUAGCAAGAGGACACCUGGAGCGAUCUCAGCCCGUCACUGAUGACUACUUGCACAAGUGUACGUCAGUCAACAUGGCCACACCCUCCCAUUUUACCCUAAAUUAUUAUUUUAUUACUUUUCCUUACAAAAAUCAGAACUAAUUACACACAAAAUAAAAAAAUUAUCCGAAAAUUGCUACGAACUCAUUGACACUCCAUCUCCGUUGCUGAAUUCUCCGAUUCAUUGUUACGUAUUUGUAAAAUUAAUUCCCAACAUUAACGGGAGAUGCUUGUUGAAGUAGGUUAUUCAAGUUGAAGUUAACAAACAUCAAUACUUAGGGUUAAGAGGAAAGUGAGUUAUGUAACACAAUUUGGAUUAUUUCAUUGCGAGACGAAUGAUUUAUAGGUUCUCCUAGUUUUAUGACGUCACAAGUAGGCCGGAGUAAUUUUUGGGGCAUUUUUACGAUUUUCCUACUAUUUUUUACCUAGUUUCAAAGAUUUUUGAACAAAAGAAUCCAAAAUGUAAAAGAAGAUGACACCUGGCGCGAUCUCAGCCCGUCACUUUUCACUACUUGCACAAGUGUACGUCAGUCAACAUGGCCACAUCCUCUCAUUUUACCCUAAAUUAUUAUUUUAUUACGUUUUGUCUUGGAAAAUUCAUAACUAAAUACACAAAAAUUCAAAAUUAUUUCUGAAAAUUGCUACGAACUCAUUGACACUCCAUCUCCGUUGCUGAAUUCUCCGAUUCAUUGUUACGCAUUUUUAAAAUUAAUUCCCAACAUUAACGGGAGAUGCUUGUUGAAGUAGGUUAUUCAAGUUGAAGUUAACAAACAUCAAUACUUAGGGUUAAGAGGAAAGUGAGUUAUGUAACACAAUUUGGAUUAUUUCAUUGUGAGACGAAUGAUUUAUAGGUUCUCCUAGUUUUAUGACGUCACAAGUAGGCCGGAGUAAUUUUUGGGCCAUUUUUACGAUUUUCCUACUAUUUAUUACCUAGUUUCAAAGAUUUUUGAACAAAAGAAUCCAAAAUUAACAAGAAUAUGACACCUGGCGCGAUCUCAGCCAGUCACUUUUGACUACUUGCACAAGUGUACGUUACCGAACAUGGCCACAUCCUCCCAUUUUACCCUAAAUUAUUAUUUUAUUACCUUUUUUCUUGGAAAAUUCAUAACUAAAUACACAAAAAUUAGAAAAACGAUCCGAAAAUUUCUACGAACUUAUUGCGAUUUCAUCUUCCUACUGCAUUCCCUGUUUAAUGGUUAUGCUACAUUAGUAUUUUAUUAUUAUUUAUCCACAAUUAUUAUAAUUAUUAUGAUAUUACUUUUUAGGCUGUCCAUUUGUUAAUUAUACCACAUCCAACUUGUUGAAAACAAUUUUAUUUUCCGUGCGAAUAGGCCAUUUGUAGUGCUUAUCGGUUUCUCUGUUCUUCAAUUUGUUAAUUUUUUUAUUUUUUAGGUUGAAGGGAUGUUUUGAAACAUAAUAUGGAAAUAUACAAGUCAUCCAUUGUACUCCUUCCACACAAAAAAAUAGUCUACGUCAUUCACUGUUCAACACCCUAGGUUAAGACACGUGUAACCAAAUCCGUUCGGAUAUGCUAAGUGGGAAAAUGUCAUUCCCAAGCACUGGUGAAAAGACACUUAUUUACUCCAUGCAUGACUUUUGGUUUACCAAAUAUGAAGAUUGGGGUCGGUGAGCAAAAUAUCUGUGUCAGUAAAAUGUCAUUCCUAGCCAUCUAUGAUGUAAGUAAUAAUUCCGCUAUAUAAUAAAUAUUAUACAUUUAUAUAUAAAACGGUUUAUGACAAAAUACCAACAUUUGAACAACAUUUAAACUGAGAUAGGUAUAACGUAGCCAGCCAACCUAGAAGUGAAGAGAAGCAAGUCCACAAUGCAUCAAAACUGUAAAUUCGUACUAAAACUAAUGCAAAAAUACGUGAUUCCCUCGCACAACUUACUCACGCAGGAUUUUGCACCAAAAAAUACUCUCACGGUGCCAUUUGCAUCGGUUGCAGCAAGUCCAAAACGCAGGAUUUAUCUUGUCUUCACUAGGCCACCCUGGAAUAACAAAAUACCAUUCAUUGUUGUUACAAGCGCUGCACCGAUUGAACUUAAUCUUCCCAUAGUCAAACAUAUCUACGAUAUGUCUUGCAACAAAUGCUCCGCGACAUCUUCCUGUUAAAGCAUCCCUGGUUCCUUUCAUAUCAAUGUUGUUACGUUGAUUCAAAGAACACAAGAAUUGUAAUGCAUCCUCUUUUGACUGACCAAUUCCGGACAUACCAAGUAGUCCAACUACAUAUGCCGCUUCCAUAUGGCCUGCCGUGGCUGCAAUGCGCAUCCCAUACAACGCUUCCACCUUACCGUCUGUGAAAAAACCUUCGAAUGCUUCUCUAAAUAUGGACUCAGGGUUAUCGCAAGCCCUGCAUUGUUGCAAGAAAUGCUGGACUGCAGGUUUGGCACGGUAGCAGAUAGGAUGGUGUGGGUACUUUGCCAUUGAAAUGGUGUUCCACACUUGUGGACUGUUUGCCAAAAUGUUGAACAAUCGGCACACACAUGCCAUACGGAAGAGAUCUUCCGAUGAUUCGGUUGCCACGUAUAACAUCACUUGAAACCAAGCGGACUCCGGGAUAAAGGCUUCGGGCAUAUCGAAAUGGAGAUGCUUCCUUCUCUUUCCUCCGACUGUAGUGAAGUGUUUCGAAUUCAUUGAAAAGUUUUUGGAAUGGAACGAUUUGAGGAGUGGCAGAGGGGAUAAAUGAUAAUAUUUGGGGUACACGUUCUACUUCCGAGCCUCUGUUUAUAGUGUUUUGAAAAGGUGUUUCCAGUUGGGGUUUUUCCAAGUUGACCCUUUUGAAAGAAACUGAAUCCAAGUGAAUUAAAACUUAAGACAAAAGAAGGGAAAACGUCAUAACGGUGCAUACAGAGUCAGACAGUUAAAAAGUUAAUUAAAUGGCUAUUUGCAUAGCCAUUUUUGGGUUUAUCCCACUAUCAAAUUCAUUGAUACAAAUGUGAUGGAUUACUGACUAGUGACAGAAGGUCCCAUCAUAUACUUUUUCAUUUUCGCACACCCAACUAUCCCUAGUAAUGUUAUUAAAAUGGAACCAAUAAUGACGGAUUCUUAUCCAACUAGUUGCCUUAAUGAAAUAUAAAUAAAUUAAUAAAAUUGAAGCAGUGUCCCGUCAUUAGUCAGAAAAUAUAUUUGGUAGUGAAGUAGUUUCUAUUGCUUUUCGGGCUAAAAGAUGUCACAAUGCUGACGGUACAGGUGUCGACAUCGUGACCAACCCACCAAAUGAUCCCAAAAAAAAGUAAUAUAACUCGAUUUGGGCAGAGAUGAGAGAGAGCUGAGUGACAAGUUUAGGGUUAUGAGUGAAGGGGUAUGAAUGACAACUAUGAGUGAGAAGGUAUGAGUCCGAAGAGGUUUCAGUGAGAAGAUUUGAGUGAGAAGAGGUACAACUGAGAAGAUUCAACAUGUCUUCGUCUUCAUCUCCUGCUCAAACAAAGAGGUGUCAGUAUUGUGGAGCUACAAUGGUGCUUCGGGUUUCAAAAUCUGAAAAAAAAUCGAGGGAAGCCAUUCUGGAAGUGUCUAACCUCCUAUGUAAGUUUUAAUUUAAAGAAUAUGUAUGUGGGUGAAAAAAAACCUAUGUCUAACUCUGACAGAAUUAUAUUCCAUAUAUGAUGCCUGCAAUUAGGGAGCCACCAGUUGCAAUGGAUUCGAAUGGGUUGAUGUAACCUCCGCUGAAGCAGAACAUCAAGAUGACACGUAUGAUGUUAGAGUGCUGAACAUGCUGAAGUCCAUUAAGGACUUGGUAUUAGUUUUAUUAGUUGUAUUAAUUGUCAUUUUAUUUGUUCUUUUAAUGAUCAUUUAACUGCACGGUUUAAAAGAUUGUGAAAGUUCUCUCGCACAAGACAUAUUGCACGCACCACCAAUGAGACCCUAAACCCAUUUUGUAAUAUUUGGUAACUGCAUGUAUUUCGCAUGUUAUUGAAUGUUUAUUGAAGGUUUAUUGAUAGUUUGCUGCAUGUAUAUGGAAUAUCAUUGCCCCAAAAUUGGAUGUUUAUUGGGGCCACAAGUAUCACUCAAGUAAGAAUGAAGGGGAGAAACGGACCUUAUUCUUUCUUAUAGUAGGAAGAACAACUGUUAAGUUUAAUAUCCUAUUCAAUACGACUUCCCUAUGGUUGGUGUACUUGGGGACUGAAGUAUAUUGCAUCAUUAUUGUGGGCAAGGGCAUGUCUAUUGUGUGUGUUAAGGGAGUAUUGUGUGGGCAAGGGCAUGUCUACUGUGUGUAUAUUGCAUGUCUACUGUGUGUAUAUUGCAUAUCUAUUCUCUGUAUAUGGCAGGCCAAGUUUGUGUAUAUUGUUUGUCUGUUGUGUGUGUAUUGCUUGUCGGUGCGUUUGUGAAUUGUGGUUCAUUUUGUGUAUAUUGUCUUUGUUUCUACUUUUAUGCUACUGAGCUGCGGAAAACCUCGCAUGUUUAGACACCUAUUAUGAUGCAACACAUUGCGAUUAAUGGUGGCUUGCAUCAACAAUGACAUAUCACUUUGCAAUGAUGUAAUACACUUAAAAAGCCGUCUUCAAAUCCCAAUUCACAUAUGCAGUCUUAAAAUUCUAAUUCAAUGCAGUUUGGUUAACAAACAUGUAAAUGUCAUGAAGGAGUUAGCGGUAGAAUUCGAUAAGGACCCGUACGUCUCUAUUGUGUAUUUACAUUAGUUUGAGAAUGGACAUUCCCAAAACCUUCUCAUGUACCAUUUGUCAUCUUCAACCAAUAUCAUGGGAAGUAAGCAUCUCCCCUUGUUAUCUCCGCAGCCAAUUUCAACCGAAAAAAAGGCAUGUUGUGCGAGGUGCAAGUAGCUAACGGAAGCUUAGCGCUGAAAAGCUCAAUGUACUUUAACACAAACAUGCCACAAUCGCCUCUGAAGCAAAACAAGAACUCGAUCAAUUCAACUAAUGACAUUCUAAUGUAAUUGACAAUUGAAAGUAAUAAAAUUAAAUUGCAAGUUGUGCUUACUCAUUAGACUGUUGUGGAACAUCCACACGCUCUAUUGGCCACGGACACCACCAAUCUCGGCUGCAAUUGUUUGCAUAAACACCUUCUUCAUAAAAGUCGAUGGUGUUGAGAAGAUUUGGAAGCGUAAUUGAUAGCGGGCCGAGUUCUUCCUUUACGAUGUCAUCUGGAAUUAGUGAAACCUUUGAAUCGUACACUUUGAUUCACACAAUACCAGAUCAAACANNNNNNNNNNNNNNNNNNNNNNNNNNNNNNNNNNNNNNNNNNNNNNNNNNNNNNNNNNNNNNNNNNNNNNNNNNNNNNNNNNNNNNNNNNNNNNNNNNNNNNNNNNNNNNNNNNNNNNNNNNNNNNNNNNNNNNNNNNNNNNNNNNNNNNNNNNNNNNNNNNNNNNNNNNNNNNNNNNNNNNNNNNNNNNNNNNNNNNNNNNNNNNNNNNNNNNNNNNNNNNNNNNNNNNNNNNNNNNNNNNNNNNNNNNNNNNNNNNNNNNNNNNNNNNNNNNNNNNNNNNNNNNNNNNNNNNNNNNNNNNNNNNNNNNNNNNNNNNNNNNNNNNNNNNNNNNNNNNNNNNNNNNNNNNNNNNNNNNNNNNNNNNNNNNNNNNNNNNNNNNNNNNNNNNNNNNNNNNNNNNNNNNNNNNNNNNNNNNNNNNNNNNNNNNNNNNNNNNNNNNNNNNNNNNNNNNNNNNNNNNNNNNNNNNNNNNNNNNNNNNNNNNNNNNNNNNNNNNNNNNNNNNNNNNNNNNNNNNNNNNNNNNNNNNNNNNNNNNNNNNNNNNNNNNNNNNNNNNNNNNNNNNNNNNNNNNNNNNNNNNNNNNNNNNNNNNNNNNNNNNNNNNNNNNNNNNNNNNNNNNNNNNNNNNNNNNNNNNNNNNNNNNNNNNNNNNNNNNNNNNNNNNNNNNNNNNNNNNNNNNNNNNNNNNNNNNNNNNNNNNNNNNNNNNNNNNNNNNNNNNNNNNNNNNNNNNNNNNNNNNNNNNNNNNNNNNNNNNNNNNNNNNNNNNNNNNNNNNNNNNNNNNNNNNNNNNNNNNNNNNNNNNNNNNNNNNNNNNNNNNNNNNNNNNNNNNNNNNNNNNNNNNNNNNNNNNNNNNNNNNNNNNNNNNNNNNNNNNNNNNNNNNNNNNNNNNNNNNNNNNNNNNNNNNNNNNNNNNNNNNNNNNNNNNNNNNNNNNNNNNNNNNNNNNNNNNNNNNNNNNNNNNNNNNNNNNNNNNNNNNNNNNNNNNNNNNNNNNNNNNNNNNNNNNNNNNNNNNNNNNNNNNNNNNNNNNNNNNNNNNNNNNNNNNNNNNNNNNNNNNNNNNNNNNNNNNNNNNNNNNNNNNNNNNNNNNNNNNNNNNNNNNNNNNNNNNNNNNNNNNNNNNNNNNNNNNNNNNNNNNNNNNNNNNNNNNNNNNNNNNNNNNNNNNNNNNNNNNNNNNNNNNNNNNNNNNNNNUUUUCCUCUCCCUCAUCUCUAUUAUUUGGCCCUUCACCCCCUUCAAUCCCUUCAUCUUCUUUUUCCUCUCCCUCAUUUCUGUUACUUGGCCCUUCAUCCCAUUGAAUGUCAUCCAUUUCCCCAUAUCCCUUAAAUAGAUGUGAGACGACACAACGAUUCGUCCUCUGUUUCAGUAAAGCUAGGUCCCUCCUUACUUCCUGCUCAAACUGAGGACCUAAACAUUGGUCCAAUAGUUUUUCCAUCCGUAUGACCUUUAAGUGAAGGACGUCUUUUUCCCGCUUUUCUUGAAACAACUCGGACCUCAACAAGCUUACCACCUUGUUCAACUCAUCAAGAUCACCACAUGAAGAAGGAAUUGACUCUGCCGAGACAACAGCAGGGCGAUCCUGUGGCCAACUCCAAUAUGGCUGUCUCAUUUCCUCUUCACUUAGACAUAGCGCCCGCAACUGAACUGACUGUUUCAGAAUACAGACAAGAGUCAUAUUAAAUCAUUCUACUUCAUAAUUUCAUUCAAUCUUAUCAAUAGUUCUAAGGGCUGCAAACCAAACCUCUUUGCUCUGGAAAAAAUAAUUGUUCAACUUUCUCAUCUCUGGAACAGACGUAGUAGUUCUCCAUCGCAAAAUACGCGGGACAGCGGUCGGAUCAACAACCUUGCAGUAAUUCAGGUCCGCCAUUCUAGGAAUUAAUUCAUAUACCCAAAUCUACACAAUUCACAGGACAAAAGUCAUUAUUUAUGUUUUAAAGAAAAACAAAACAUAACUGACAUGAACAUUAUUACCAUGUACCUGGAAAGCAUACGUGAAACCUUUAAAACUCCAGCCACUCCUUUGCGCUUCACUAUGCUUAUCCUUCUUGCCCUUCUCAUUUCUCCGGCUUGUUCCCGUUACCUUACUUUUCCCCUUCCCUCUUCCCUCUUCAUUUUCCAAGCUUUUCACAUACUUUGUUGGUGCAGAAAAUAGACUGUCUUGGGUUUUGUCAAAGGACACCGAACCCCACGGAUACCUGUUGAACGCAUCCAAGUCCUCUACAAGGGUCAGGUAAUUUAGAUUGAUGUUCAAAUGUUUGUCCCUUCCCAAAACCACUAACUCAGCAAAGUAAACAAGAGGUAGCUUGAAGAUGUCAUCUUCCUCUGUGCACCUCACAAAUGCUUCUUCUAAAGCAUUGCAUGUAAUUCCUUCGUCUAUAAAAUAUCUUUUCUGAAGUCUGAUUUCAUUACUCUCUCCACUGGAAACUUCAGGCACUUCCCCAAAACGAAGCCCUGUGAUCAAACAGAAAUCCUGACGAGUGAACUGAGCAACGUCACACCCUAAUAAGAAACUCAGUCCAUCCAAGUCUUUCACACCCUGCCCCGCUACUCUACGCAACACAACCCCAUGCACAAUCUGUCCGCUAAACUGAAUCUUAUCUAUAUUCAGAAGAUGGCCAAAGCAUGAUGUCUUGAAUUGUUCUAAUUGUUCCGCACUCAACUUCGCUCGAAUUGCAGCUAGAGAUGAAUUUGCAUGUGAGCAGUUGUUCACCCGUGAUGAAUAUACCUCUGCCUCUGGCCAUACCAGCUCCACGUUGGAUCCCAUUUCCUCAAAUACAAUGUGAAAUAACGUGAACAUAUAUACUACCACGUAUUUGCACAAUCACAACUAGUCAACCAGGCACAUUACAACUUUUACAAAGUACAUGAGCAUAUGGAUUACUCAUCACAGGCUUUAACAUCAUCAAAGCAAUAUGACAAUUUUUGUGCAAAUACCUGUUAAUGCAAUGAUUAUGUGAAUUACAAACAAUUUCACGUGUUUUAUUUAUGGAUCCAUACUCGUGUGAGUGCAAUGUAGGCAAGUUCUGCACUUCACACACAUGACAAUUAUUGUCAUCUCAUACACAACCCAAAAUAAAUAAAUAAGAAAUAUAGUGGAAGGAAGCAAAGCAAAGCAUGUACUCUGCUAUCUGCUUGCUAAGCAAUUGCCACAUCCUUCUUUCUUUCUACCUUUUUCUUCAGUCACCCACAAUCGUCAUAGAUCAACCUUCAUUUCAAAUGCUUUGCACUUUUAUUCAUGAGUUUAUUAUUAUCUGUUCUCAUUUCUCAUAGGCAAAUUUAGUAACAAAUGAAAUAAUAUUUAUUUCACAAAAUAUAUAAAUUCUAGUGCCAGAGAGGUACUCUUCACUCUGCACUGCUUCAAAUGUGGAAGGUUUUGAGAUGUUAUUGACAUGUGAUUGACUUUAUUUUCAUUCGUUUUUUAACAUAUACCCAAGCAAAAAUUAACAUGCAAUUGAAGCACAAAUAAGAGAUGCCAAAUCCAACAACAUUGAUGGUACAAAUUGGGGAAAACCAUUACUCUAACCCUAAACUCAAAUUCCUUACAUUACUCAUCAAAUGCUUUGCAGUUCUAUUCAUGAGUUUAUUAUUAUCUGUUCAAAUGUUUCUCAGGCAAAUUUAGUAACAAAGGAAAUCAUAUUUACUUCAUAAAAUAUAUAUAUAUAUAUAUAUAUUCUAGCGCCUCUUCUUAAUCUGCACUAUGCACUGCUUCAAAUGUGGAAGGUUUUGAGGGCCUCCUCCAAUUCAACACCAUUAUCUUAUUCAUAUCAUUAUUGACAUGUUAUUCACUUGUUAUUGACUUCAUUUUCAUUCUUUUUUUAACAUAUACCUAAGCAAAAAUUAACAUGCAACUGAAGCACAACGAAGAGAUGCCAAAUCCAACAAAAUUUAUGGUACAAAUUGGGGAAAACCAUUACUCUAACCCUAAACUCAAAUUCCAUAAAUUACUCACCAAAUGCUGGUUAUUGCAAGGUGUCUGUGUGGGGUCUUUCUGUUUCUUUGCUCCACAAAUGGAACCUACCACUUCCAACGAAUACAGCUUUUCCCCUUCCCCUUCCACUGCUUCGCCUCUUCACUGAUUUGGAAUCCACACCUUUGCCCCUUCUACUCCAAAUAAAUACUUUCUCGGGGUCUGGAGAACGGAGUGGCGAAUCGUUGCCUUCAACUGUCGUUAGCCGUUGCCUUCAUUGGGUAUCUCAGACCUCUGUGUUUUAGAGAGAUGAGUUCUUUCUGUUCAAACUUCGAACUUGCCUCUUCUUCUUCUUUUUCGGACGUGUUUCCCUCUUCUUCUUCUUUUUGGACGUGCUGGAUAUUCAAUUCGGGUUUGGGUUCCUUACCUACCCAAUUGUGAAACUUUAACUCAAUUCUCCCCAGCCCUUGGAUUAAUCUGAUGGCUAUAAAGUGAACCCCUUAUAACUUACCCCUUAUAACUUUCCACUCAUUAUAGUCUUGGCCAGGUAUGGCGGCCAUGCUAGUAAGUGUUGGGUCUUUGACCCAACUUAAGCUAAAUGGGUCAUAAGAUGACCGAUCAUCUUAUCUCAUAAGGAUAUAUAAGUCAUGUUAUGAUUUAGGAUUUUAUAGGGUUUCCUUUGUAAGAGGUAAGAGAGAAACAAGCUCUCUCUCUCUCUACACAAGGAGGUCAGCCAUAGCAAGGGAAAGGCUCCUAGCACUCUCCUCUCUCUUAUUAUAUCAUCCUUCCAAGGACAGCUUUGGUAUGGUAAAGUUGGAGGUUGCACACUUUGUGCACUUUGGUAAGAACUCAUCCAAGGGAGCCAAGAUUAAAUUGGUUAGCUGUUGGAUUAAAUUGGUUAGCACGAUUCAACGGUUAAUAGAUAAAACUUCACAUAAAAGUCAUAUAUAAGGCCCUCACUAUAGAAUGACUCGUUAGUUUAGUCUCUUGUUACAUAUCAAAUGUUAGAGAUAUUUUUUAAUAAGGAUCUGCCAUACCACAUAGUUGGAUAAGACAUUAUACACGGCUUUUGUAAGAGCAUCUCCAGCGCUCCAAACUAGCCCAAGCAGCAGGGGGGCCUAAGUCUAGGAAGCAGCUCCAGCUCGCAAGAUUCAACCCAGGCAAGGUGUGGAACCCACGAGGAGAUCUAGCCCGUCACCUUGCCUUUGGGUUUCAGUCAAGCUGAUGUCAACGAAAGAAUUUCAAAUUUUUUUUACCGUUACAAUGUACGCGCCAACGAUAAAUUUUCUUUGGAUUUCUUGCAUUGAUCCACAGCUACCAAAAACCAACAGCUACAAGCCACGUGGCUUCUCCAGGAGCCUCCGAUCCAAAAAUCAUGUCAAAUCUAACGGCAGUCCAUUUUUUGGCUAAAAAUAUCAAAAAAUUAUGGAAACAUGUUCUAUAAAUUCCUACAAAUAUUAUUCACUUCCCACACCAAAUCUUCAUACAAAUUCAUAUCCUUUCAAUAUUUUUCACUUUCCAUACAAGAUUUUCUACUACUAAGUUUCGUUUGUGUAAAAAUACAAAUGACCUCUUCUAUCGAAGCCGGAGGCGCGUGUACAACCGUGGAAGAUAUUUUGUUGCGUGAGUGUUGGGUCAAAGUUGGUCAUUCCCUGAUCACGGGCAAUGAGAUGAAGUCCUCUCGUAGGAGUUUCUGACAUCGCAACGAAAGUAAGAUGUGAUAUGAAAAUGUAAGGAAUUUGAUGAGAGGAAUGGGAUUUGAGGAGUUUGAUGUAGGAAUUGAUGUAGGAAUUGAAUUUGGGAGGUAUGUAUAUAAGAUUUGAGGGUAUGUGUUUAGGGAUUUUGAUAAGAGGAUUUGAGGAAUUUAGAUUUGAAGGAUUUGGAUUUGGGGAAUUUAAAUAUGAGGAAUUUGAUUAGGGUUUGGGUUUGAAUAUGUGAAAUUUGAUAUGAGAGUUUAGAGACAACAGAUGAUCGAUUGCUCUGAUACCAUGCUAAAAUAUGAUAUGGUUUGAAUACUUUAGGUUGAGUUUUAUUCUUUUCCAUAAAAAGGUAUAUAUAGGAGUUUACAUGAGUGCUUUACAAAGAAAUAGAUACAAUAAUCAAUUAGGAUAAUAUCUCCUAAUUAUACAAUAAUUUGUCAACUAUAUAGAAUAGGAAAGUAAAUUCCUUAAUUAAUCAAGAAAAUAAAUCUCAUUGAUUAAUUAGGAGACUAACGUCAACAUUUAUAAGCCAUAAAAGAGCAGAAAAAGAGGUACUUAGGAGAUUUUAUACGUCGGACUAAGGUAAGCUUAAAGGACUAUAUCAAAAAAAUAAGGGACCAAGAAGCAAGACAGAGAAGUUGUUAUGCAAACCCAUUAAGUUUAGCAGUGAUGAAUUUGUAAAAAUCAUUCUAGUGGAUUCUGCCUUCACUAUUGAGUUCUUAUUGAGGUUCUAUCUGAAAGGAUCUGGACAUGAAGGAGACCGCUUAUUAAACAAACCGUGGAUGUUUACAGCCUGACAUGUGGUUGCUUGAAAAUCAGCUCCCAUUCUUUAUUCUUGAGGAUCUUUAUCACACAUACAUAAUAACCGACUCUUUUAGGAAUUAUUACAGUACUCAUGAUCAUGAGAGGCUUUCAAUAAUUAAUAUUUCUAAGAAUUUCUUCACAGCCGGAAUAUUGAAUUUGGAGGGGAAGGGAGACAAAUGGAACAGAAUAUCAUCUUCUUCUAGUGUUGGAAAUUUUAUAUUAUUUAAUAAUAUUUAAUUUCUAUUGUGAAUGAAAAAUAAGUUUCUUUAAGAAACGUGUGUCUUAGGCCAGUUUUUCUAACUGGUCGGCUUCCUUAGAUUUGUGCCUAUUGCUUUUCAAAGUAUAAUGAUGCAAUGGUUGUAUCUCGUUCAGGCAAAUGGAAGGUAUAUAGCAAUUUAUAGAACAAUACAGUAAUCCAGAAGAAAUAUUAUGAAAUGAAAAGAAUAAAAAGUAAAAAAAGAGAAAGAAAGGAAUUCCCACCUGCAAUGUAUAUGUAUGAAAGGAAGGACCAAGUUUGUUUUAAAAUGGUAAGAACAAGUUGAUUUUAAAUUGGGUUCAGAUCAACUCAUAGAUUUCUUGCCUUUUCUGUUCUCCUUCCUUGGACAUGAACUGUUUAAUCUUGGACUCUUCCCCAUCAUGUUGGGCCUGUCUUCUUCUUGAGGAUUGUAUAGGCCUAGGAAAUGCUUCGGGGUAGUUUUUGUGUUUUGGGCAUUGGGACCCAACUUCACAAAAAGAAAACAAAUUUGACCAAAACACAAAUUUGAAGGACAUUGAAAUUGUACCCGUAGGAUAGAUUAAAACACUAUAAGGGAGGUAAAUAGUACGUUUACAGAGUUUAAGUGUAAUAAAGGAAUAAAAACAUGCCCAGAGAAUUGAUAAGUGAUAUCAAUUCUUGAAUAUACGUGAAAAUUAUUUUAUGUGGUUAAACCCCACCUCUGGGGAAAAUCCACGGAACUUCUUAGUCCAACUUCUAUCACUUAUCCUAGACACAUUCUAGAUAAUGUUUGCCAACCUCUUCGUAACUCAACUUCUGUCACGAGAUGAUCUUUCAACACUUUAUGUCGAACGCAAUACUGGUCACGAUUUCUUCAAGCUCGCCGGAGUUCUUCCAAUUCUCCUUAUAUUGAAUCUGAUACUAGUCACGAUCGAUUCAAGCUCAUCGGAGAAAAAUCGCCACAACAAUCUUGGUGCCCUCAACCGUAUGAGUCACUGAACAUGCAAAUGAAUACAAUAUGAAUGAUAAAAGUGUUUGAUAAAUCACCAAGUUAUGGAACACUUGAUGAUUUAUCUCAAAUAAAAAUUCAGCUUUCCAAAGUUUAUGAAUUGAAAAUAUGACCGUUAAAGCUCUCUAAACAAAGAAGACGAAGGUCUUAUUUUAUAGACUUUUACUUUACAAGAAAGAAAACACGUUGAAAACCAAAUCUCCAAUUUCCAAGGCUUGACAGAAAAUCACAAAAUUAUCUUUCCUAUUCUAGAGAUUGGUCACAUGAAGUCCAACCAAUAGGAAAUGAGAUAUUUAAGAAAGGAAGAUUUUGAUCAAUAUCAAUAUCAAAUGAAUUCUUAUACGCCUAGUCAAUUGUUAUGGGUAUCUUGACUCCUUGAUAUUGUGAUAUGAUUGAAACAUGAUUUCCACGUUAGAAAAUUAAGGGGAUGUUAAAACAUGAAGGUAAUAGGAGAAUCAAAUUGAUUUGGGCCAAAAUUGCCUAAAAAGAAAACACUCCUUAAUAAACUUCAAUUUACUUUUAAAAAUAGUAAAACGUGAUUGAAUCGUUCUUUAAAACAAUUCCCUAAUAUACAUGCAUGAUAGUGAUAUCACUUACCUUUGAAUCAGAUGGCUUUCACGGGUCAAGCCACAAGUUUUUGUCUUGGGGAUUGCUGAGCUUCAUCAAUCCUGCCAAUGUCAAUUUUGCCCCUAAGCUCUCUCAAAGCACGUUUACAACCUAUGCUAACAUAUAUUAGAGUUUAUGUUAGUAUCAAGAAAAUGCCAACACUAAUUUCGUAACACGUAGAAAUUGUUAGAGAUUGAAGUUUUUAUCAUUUUUUCUUCCAGACUCUCCACCACUCACUAAUAUAGUUUACUCAUGUGAUGAGUUUACAAAACCUAUUUCUCUACUCUCACAAAGACUAUACUUAGGGGGGUGUAUUCAAUUAGGAUUCUAAAGCGUUUAAAAAGAUUUUGUUUAAGUGCCAGCUUUCAUAGAACUUGAUGGAACUUUAUAAUUCGUAUAGAACUUGAUAGACUUUCAGAAGACUUCUGUAUAAUUUUUUAAUAAAACUUUCUUAAGCUUUCAUAGAACUUGAUAGGCUUUCAUUCCAAACUUAUGUAGAUGGUAUAUUUCAUUUUAUCCCCAUCCUUGACAUUUAAAGAAAGAAACUUGAAUUUUUUCAAUCAAAUUUGUUUUUGUUACCAAAGCAGCAAAAACAAAAAGUACUUGUUUGCGAUGGAAGAACAUAUGCACAGUUCAAAAUGAAAAGAAUAAGAAGCAAAGUACCUAUUUGACCAAUGAAUGCUGUGUCAACUAGAGAAGCAAUUGGAUCGGCUGUCAAAGCCAAUGCUGCAGGCAAUGCAUCGAUGGUCCAAAUUGCAAUAAAAAAAUAUUUUGAAUAAUGGCUCUUGCAGACAAAGACCACAUAAAUUCUGAACUGGUCUAGCUUGAAUAAUAAGGUUAGAUUAGCCAAUUGAUGAGAUUAAAAGCAAAGCAAGUUGAUGAAUUUAUCAUCAACUAUUUAAUAACCACAGUCCUGAUCUCUUGGACCCCUGUAGUCCAAGAGAUUUAUGGUCACCCACCGUUGGAUGUAAAUUCAACGGUUGACUUGAAUCGGGUAAUAAUCAUUUAUGUCAUAUUGCAUUUAUAUAUAUCAUUUUGAACCAUUGGAUUAAUAUCCAACGGUGGGUGACCACAAUCUCUUGGACUCCUGUGGUCCAAGAGAUCGGGACUGUUAAUAACCAAUAGAGUAUUUAAACAUAAACAACAAUGUUUGAUCAACAAAACAAAUAGUCCAAAUAUCAUCCAAAAAACAAUAACAAAAAAUCAAUCAUUCCAAACAAACUAGUCAUUCUCAAAAACUCUCAAAAAACCCACUCAUUCCAAAUUGUAGGAUAUCCAAUUUGAGCACUCCUCAGGAGACAUUUUCAAAAAUGCAUCCUUUUUUGUGUUACUAUGCAACAAAGAGAGUGCUUUAUAACGAGCAUGUUCAUCCAAAUUUGGGGUCUCCUUAAUGGCAUCCCAUAUAUAACUCCGCUGCUCUCUCUCUUUUUCCCUUUUUGCCAAUAGGUUAUGGACCUCCCGGAAGUCGAUGACAAUUGAAUCAAUGCUAAGGCUAAUUCUUCCCAUAGCUUGCUGGGUGGUCACAUUUGAGAUAGCAUUCCCUUCCAAAUAUGUUCUAGUUCGUUUCCUCUAGUAACAAGCAUAAAUCCUAGUAACAAGCAUAAACCCUAACCCCAACCUAUAACCUAAUAACAAGAAGAAAACCCAACGAGGUAUUGAUCAAAGAAAAAUUAGGGAGCAUACCUUCACAGAUGGAGGAAGGAAGCUGUUCGUCUUCGCAGAGAGAAAAUCUAGGGAAAGAGAAAAACGUCUUAUGAAAUACUUGGGGGGGAGGUUGGAUUUAUUUUGGUCUUUUUUAUUUAUAACUCUCCCCUUAAAACCUACGUAAAUUUAUCACUUAAUGAAAUCCUUCCAAAUAUAUGACCUUUCGAAUACACCUAGAUUUGAUUCAACUUUUUUAUAAUCAUAAUUGAAUACACCCAUAUUUGAAUGGACUUUUUAAAAGUUCAUAUAGGUCCGAAAUGAAUAUACUCAAACUUGUAAAACCUCUUUUAAAGUUUGUAUAAAUCCAAAUUGAAUACACCUGGAUUUUUAAAAUCUUUUUAAACACUUUAUAAUCCUAAUUGAAUACACCCCCCUUAUUCUCAAAAGACUAUAUUACUUUACCUCUAUCUCUGUGAAAUGUAAAAAGUUGAAACUUUAAUGUCAAACCUCAACAAAAGAUGAACUUUCAUCAGUUACGUUGAAUUUGGAUUUGUUGAACUUAAGUGGUUUUAUUUUCUUUGUCAGUGUUUGAUGACUUAAUUUGGUAUUUAUUUCUUCUUUUUUUUCCUUGGAAAUGUGUUCCACCAACGUGAGGAAGAAAAAUAUGCACAAAUUAAUAUAUUUAAUAGAAGCCCAAGAUUUCGGAUGCAUAUAAUUUCUACAAAAAUCUACAAAGUUUUUUACUUUACAAACUUCUUAUGUCUACCAAUUUCUACUAAAAUUAAUUUCUCUGUGGUGCUCAAAUUCAUCAUAUGUGUGUCGUUAAUUUUAUUGAAAAUUGGAAGUUCCCAUCAUUUUUGUUUUUUGGGAAUUUUCUGAACCAAGGAAAAUCAAGUAAAAUUAAUAAAGCCUAAAUUGGAAAGGGAAAAUAUCUAGAGGAUGCAUUGUAGGAUUGCUCAUGCCAAUAAUUGUACCCUCUAAAUAUAUAGAGACAUAUUUUUUUUGUUUUCAUGACAUGUGGUCCUAAAAUUAUUGUGUAAAUCUUCAAUCCUGAACGAUGCACCUAAAACUCAUCCACCCAUUCUCAGGCCAAUUAUUGCACCUAGUGGGCUCUCGACCCCCUCUCAAAUUUAACCACAUAUUUUAUGGACCAUCCAGCUGUGAGGUACAUUCCCCCCACAUGCCACAAUUGUAUAUUCACAAUUACGUCUGAUACAUCACAUCAUGCCACUUGCCUCAAAUGAAUUUAAGUGAGUGAGGCAGUUGGAAGUAAUUAAGCUCUAUAUUGGUGGGUGGAGUGUUACUUCUCGGUUCCCCUCAUCAUUCGUCUAUAAAAUGGUGAAGGCAGUUGCUAUUGUUACCAUAAGAGCCAGCUCCGACUUCCUUUAAUUUCUUGCUUCAUAUCCACUAGCUACAUCUGUUACCAAGUUAAUUUCAGUUCUAAUGGGGUUUCAUCUCCCACUCAUCUUUGCUCUUCUCAGUGUAAGCUCUGCAAUUUGAUUAACUUUUCCAUUCUCUCUCAUUGUACUCUAUAUAAACGAAAGUUUUGUGUUCCUAUUGUUCUCUCCGAUUUUAUUUAGUACGUACUUAAGUGUCGUCCACUAAUUAAUUAUACUUUGUGAUUUGAUUUUAAUUUGAGUUUGAAUUAAUGUUGCAGCUAGCAGCAGUGGCACUGGCAAACCAUGCUGCUCAACCAGCACCUCAACUUUACUGGAGCUCCGUCCUGCCAAACACACAGAUGCCAAGAUCUAUCAGUGAACUUCUGCAUCCUGGUUUGUGUUGAGCUCUUUAGAAUCUUAGAUAUCUCUUCUACCUGCCAUUUUACUAAAAUAUGUUCCACCACAUAUUUAUCAGUUAACCAUUGUCAUUACAUGAGUGACACAUAUUCACAAAUCGGCUGAUCACUUAUUUUCCAUUAUGACUUGAUAUAUAAUUUGCAGACUCCACAAAUGAAGAAAAGAGCACAAAUGACGUUGGCAAACCUGAAACUUUCCCAUUGGGCAAUCAACAUUACUCCAGUCAAAAACAUUAUGGAGGCAUACCUGAAACUUCCCCAUUGGGCAAUAAACAUUACUCCAGUCAAAAACAUUAUGGAAGAGGCAAACCUGAAACUUUCCCAUUGGGCAAUCAGCAUUACUCCAGUCAAAGACAUUAUGGAAGAGGCAAACCUGAAACUUUCCCAUUGGGCAAUAAACAUUACUCCAGUCAAAAACAUUAUGGAAGAGGCAAACCUGAAACUUUCCCAUUGGGCAAUCAGCAUUACUCCAGUCAAAAAAAGUAUGGAAGAGGUGCUUCUCCAUCCGACAAUCAACAACUCCAUUAUAAAGACUUAGCUAUUUUCUUCUUGGAGAAGGACAUGCGCCCUGGCACAACAAUGAAGUUCCAAUUCCCUAUAAAUUCAAACACGGCUACUUUCUUGCCACGAGAAAGCGCUCAAUCGAUCCCCUUCUCCUCUAACAAACUGCCAGAAAUUUUCAACCAUUUUUCAGUGAAGCCAACAUCUGAGGAAGCCAAAACAAUUAAGCAAACAAUCGAAGAGUGUGAAGCUCCAGACCUUAAGGGAGAGGAAAUAUAUUGCGCCACAUCUUUAGAAUCAAUGGUUGAUUUUAGCACUUCGAAGCUUGGAACAAGAAACGUUGAAGCAAUCUCGACGGAGGUAUUGGAAAAAGGAGCCACCAUGUCCAUCCAAAACUAUACAACAAUGCCGGGACUGAAGAAGUUGGCAGGUGACAAAGUCGUUGUGUGUCAUAAGCAGAACUAUCCCUAUGCUGUGUUUUUCUGCCAUGCAAUAAAACAUACAGCAGCUUAUGCUCUCUCCCUGAAAGGCGAUGAUGGGGAGAAGGUUAAAGCAGUAACCAUCUGCCAUCUAGACACAUCAGAAUGGGACCCAGAGCAUAUGUCCUUCCAAAUCGUCAACGUUAAGCCCGGAACCAUUCCCAUCUGCCAUUUCAUUUCCACUGAUGCUAUUGCCUGGGUUCCGAACCACAAAUCUGCAUGAUCAUCACUUAGCACUAGUACUGUGCGUAUAAUAUGCCUGUAUAAUUAUCUCCCUACUUAUUUCUGCCUCUUCAUCAUGUGGUGUAAGAUAUAUGUUGAGAUGAAGUUUUUGGGAUUUGUGGUCGAAAUUAACCCGAUCAUGUUUUCUCUUGCAACCAUAUAGACUUCAACUUGUACUCAUAAUAAAGCAUGCUAUAUUUAUGAAGAGAUAUUAAUCUUCAGGCAAAUAGAUAUUAUGAAAACAUAUAUAGCAAUUUAUCCAGAAGAAACAUUAUGAAAUGAAAAGAAUAAAAAGUAGAAAAACAGAAGGAAAGGAAUUCGCACGUGCUAUGCUAUGUAUGAAAGGACCAAGAUUGUUUUCCCUUUGGUUAAUGACUAGAAAAGCUCACUUGCAGAGUGCUUUCUCCGACCAUAGAUGGAAGAGAAAUUUUCUCUUAAUAAUAGCACAAUGAUCGGGUAAUUGUAAGAACAAGUUGAUUUAAAAUUCCUUGACCCAAAAAAAAAAAAAAAGUUCUUUUCAAAUUCAGGUCAACCCAUAGAUUUCUUGCCUUCGUCUUCUUCAUCACGUUGGGCUUGUCUUCUUUUUGCGUUUUGGGCCUUGGAAGUUGGGACCCAACCCAACUUCACAAAAAGAAAACAGAUUUGCCAAAAAUCAAAUUUCAAGUCUCUCCUCCGAUCACUAAUACAGAUCAAAUUUUGGAUUUGAUGAACUAAAGUGGUUUUACUUUCUCUGUCAGUGUUUGAUGACUUAAUUUGUUAUUUACUUUUUUUUUUUUACUUGAUCUUUGUAGGGGCUUUUUUUUUUCCGGCAGCUUAAACGGGCUGGGCUGCCGUAAAGGGUAGAUUGAUGAAAUUGUCCCCUUUGUCUGAAUUCGAAAAUCAAGCCCCAAAAGCGCUUCGAAAGGGCAGUAGAGCCUUAGGAAGCGUUCUGGUUACCUUCACUAAUUAAAACAACAGCAACUUACAGAUGAUUUCUUGAGGCUUACAGAUAAAUUUUCUAGCUUGGCAUGACAUGGAAGCAAAAUCAGCAUGAGUUUAGCACCAAAGAGGAAAAUAUGGCUUCCUAGGGAGAAAUGAGAGUGUUUAAGGUGAGGAAGAAGAGGUUUGCAGGCUGAUUUGGCUGAGAAAAGAGAAAGAAAGAACAAUGUUCUUCCGGCAGCUUGACAAAGCUUCUGACAGAUGUGAAAGUCGUCCGCCAGAAGAGGAAAAUGGAGAAGAAGGAUGAAUAGUGCACGAAAUUGGUGGGUUCUUGCAGGUAAGAGAGAAAGCUUGCUCUCUGAAUCUGAGUUGGUUUUGGUUGGGUAGAAGAAGCCCCCUUUUAUAGCUGCGGGAAACCAUCUUUUUCCAAGAAACCCUAAUGGUUUCUAUCCUUUUUGGCCAAGCUUUUCCCUUCCUUUCUCUUCUCCUCCCUUGACUUUUCCUAUCUUGGUGAAAUUUCCUCUGCCUAUUUGCACAAAAUUAGAGAUUUUGAGGAGCUCAAGGCCCCUUUCCCGCAGCUGCCUUAGUGGAGAAUCCCCAUUUUCAGUCAUCUUUCUUCCUUCUUUUCUCCCAUCUUCCAAGGCUAGGUUUGAUGAGAGAAAGAAAUGGAUAUGCACACUGGUUUGAAGGGUGUUUUUCCUUGAAACUUGUUCUCUCCCAUGUGCUGGAGCUUCCCAGCAGCUUACACACAUAGAUAUUUUGGCUUUCAUCGUGGCUUUUGUUUUCAGCUAGGUGCUGGAGAUUUUGCAUAUAUUUUCUUGAGUUGCUUGGGCCUUCUAGGACAAUACGUUGGUUUAUCAAGUGAAUGGGCUAACUUCAUCAAUUGUUGGGCAAUUUUGGUUGAGUUAAUGGACUAUUUUGGUUCAAGUAAUGGACUAUUUUGGUUGAAAUAAUAGGCUAUUUUUCUCUCUUUGUGCUCACCCACAUAUUUGGGCCUAAAAAAUGGGCUUGAGUUUCGGGGCUCCCAAGCAACCCCGGGACUUCCAUUUCUCGGCCCAUCAAUGAGCCUCAUGUCAACUUAUUACCAUCCAUACCACAACCCACUCAAGCAAGCCUCAGGCAUCUUGCGUGGCUUGGGCCCACGUAAGCUCGUAGUGGCAAUGUUGCUUAUUUGCUUGACGUGGCAUGUGUGCAAGUGCAUAUGACGAACUUUCGCGUGCCCAAAUUGAGUUUCUUCUCGGUAGGGUAUCGCAUUGGGCCGAGAAUUUAAUUGGGUAGAACCGUGGAUUUUUUGGGCCUCAACAAUCUUAUAUAUAUUAGUUUUCUUUUUUUCCUUAAUAUUCACCACCUUUCUGUUGCAUAAGUAUUCCAGUCUUAGCGGGUUUCCAUCUACCACUCAUCUUUGCUCUUUUAAGUGCAAGCUUUUUUAUUUUUAUUUUUUUAUGCACAAGAUUAGAGGGGAGGGAGAUUUCUCAAUGUAAGCUUUGCAGUUUCAUAAUUAAUAUUUCCAAUAUCUCACUGUUAGUAAAAUAUGGAACGGGAAAAGUACGAAUAAAAUACACACAUGUUUUAUUUAGCAAAAUUUUGACAAGAUACAACUGAAAAGUUUGGCCACUAUAUAAUAUUUUGAUUUAAUUUUUUUUAUUUUUUUAAUAUAUAUUAUUUUUAUUCAAUAAUAUGUGAAAAAUAGGUGUACAAUAUAUGAAAUUUGUAUGUAUUAUUGAAAAAUUCGUAAAAAAAAAACAUGUUAUUAAAUGUGAAAAAUAUGUACGUAUAUGUAUAAAACAUGUAUUGUACAUUACUUUUUAACAAACUUGUAUUUUACCUAGUCUUUAAACCGUAUAUGGAAAACGGAAGUAUUAUUGAAAAAUACAUAUGUACGUAUAUGUAUAAAACAUGUAUUGUACAUUACUUUUUAACAAACUUGUAUUUUACCUAGUCUUUAAACCGUAUAUGGAAAACGGAAGUAUUAUUAAAAAAUACAUAUGUACGUGUAUAAUAUGAGUAUUAAACAAAAAAAUGUGCUAAGUACUUAUCUUUUAAUUUAAUAAUUCAUUUCAUUUUGUGAUCUCAUACGUAGUAAUGAGAGUUCAAAUUAAUGUUGCAGCUGACAAUGGUGGCUCUGGCAAGCCAUGCUUGAUGCAGGAGUAUAGGGGUGGAUCAAGAUAGAUAUUUACCAUGUAAUUAGUUAUUUCAUGAUAUAUUGUUAUUUUCUUAUUUAGGUAGUUUUAUGAUAUCUUUUAUUAUUUAUGUGGGAUUUUAUAAUUAAUUAGUUUACUUUUGGACCAAGUAGCCUUGGUGCUCAAGUCUUGUAAAGCUUAUAAAUAAGGCUAAUGUAAUAGUUGUAGGAAAAGAGAUGUCGAUGAUUAAUAAAAUCGUUUAUUUGUGGCAUGGAUUUGCUACGAUAUAUGUGAGUUUGCACUAGCCCUAGAUUUCGGUGCUCGUGUAUGUGGUUGGUGACCUGUGUCCGGAUCCCGAUCCCCAUCAAUGCUGUUCUCCCAGUACCUCAACUUUACUGGAACUCUUUCCUGCCAAACACAAAUGCCAAGAGCUAUCAGUCAACUUCUGCAUCCUGGUUUCUAUUAAGGGACUUUUCGUGAGCUUAUCAUCUACCCAAAUUUUACUCAUCCGACGUAAUUUUAAAAGUGAUUUGAUCCUUUGGCAAAGUAAUCUUGAACUACAAAAAAGGAGGGCACUCGAAUAGGCAUGCCAUUUGGUAUUACCCACCUCUAAUUUCUUUUAAAAUUUUAGUAAUUGAUUUUUAAGAUUAGAAAAUGGGAAAGUUCAAAACCGAAAAAGUUGUUUCAGUUUUGGCAAGUAUCGGAAAAGACUAAAAUUUUCCGACUUUAUUAUUACUAGAAACAAAGUCGAAGUAUUCACCAAUCAUGUGGCCUUCCAAGUGCUCAAGGUUAAGCCAGGAACCGUUCCUAUCAGCCAUUUCCUUCCCAAGUAUGAUCAUGUUGUCUGGGUUCCAACCCACAAAUCUACAUCAGUACCUGAACUAAUCAGUUCUACAUGAAUAUUCAUUCAUGGCAACCUUGGGCUAAGUAUUUGAAUUUAUGCUCAUAAAGCUUUAAUGCUUUUGAGGGCCAAUCGUUGUCUACAUAUGGUAUUGUAGCAUCUUUAGAUGGAAGAGGUCAGGGGUUCAAUUCUUGUUUUCCACUUCUUUAUUUGUUGGUUUAUCGAGUGUAGAGUGGAGUUGCACCUAUAUGUUCGUCUCUCACCCCAUCAUUUACCAUUGAUAUAUAUUUAAUAGAAGCCUAAGAUUUCGGAAGCACAUAAUUUCUACUUUACAAACUUCCUGUGUCUACCAAUUUCUACUAAAAUUAAUUUAUCUGCGGUGCUGAGAUUCAUCAUAAUUUUAAUAGAAAUUGGAAGUUUUCAUCAUUUUUGCUUUAAGUCUCUACUCCACUCACUAAUAAAGAUUACUCAUGUGAGUUUACAAAACAUUUUUUUUUUCUACUCUCUCCUGAAGACUACACUUCUUCUCAAAAAAUUAGAUCACUUCACAUCUUGUGUAUGUGAAAACUAAUGUAAAAAGUUGAAACUUUAUCGUAAAACCUCGACAAAAAUGAGCUCUACUACAAAAUGUUAAAUUUGGAUUCGUUGAUUUAAAUGGCAAUUUGACACUUGAUAGAAAUUUUUACAUACAUGUGUUAGUGUUUGAUCACUUCACAUGUCACUUACUAUAUUUAUUCCACUCAAGUUAGGUAAAUAUUAUUAUCAAACAUUUCAAUUAAUUUGUGAUUUUUUUAUUAUUUAAUCAAUUAUGAAUUAAUGGAUUCUUCUUGUUGUUUUGAAGACCAACAAAAAAAAAAAAAAGGGUAGUGAUGGCUUAUAAUUCUGGUAAAACAACAGUGACGUGGACAACAGAUGUUACGCUGUACUAAAGAUUUUUGAAGAUUCUUUAUUUGAGUUUCUUUCAAGAUAAAAACCAUAUUAUCCACAACCACAAGCACAUCCGGCAGACAAUCUUUGGCUAUUCAUCACAAUUGGGAGACAAUGAAGAAGACAGAAAAUGGAGUAAUUCAGAUGUUACCAGCCAUCCACGACAAACUGAAGUCUGCAAAGCAUUCGUAAUCUAAAAAGGAUGGGGAGGCUGCGCAAUACUUAGCCACGUGUAGGCCAGGAGGCUUUCCAAUUUUAAUAUAUAUAUAGAUUGAAAAAAUAAAAUAAAAAUCAAUCUAUUAUCAUAUAUAUUAUAAAAUAAAGAUUAUUGCUCCCAUGGGCGGUGCUAUGCACAGGACAGUGCCUGCCUAGUCCAAAUUUUUUUUAAAUAAAAAUAAAAAUCUACAUAUGUUAUAAGCUCAUCCAAAAAAAAAAAAAAAAAUAAAAGUGUUGUAAAUUAUAAGGUGGAGCCCACAUGUUGGAAGGCUUUGCCUACAAAAGGGUUCACACCCUCCCUUUGUAAUUAGACAUUGAGAAUACUAAGGAAGACAGAAAUGAAUAGAGAGAAAACAUUCCCUUCUCUCCAUCUCAAUUCCCUCUCCAAUUCCUCUAGAUUUAUAACACGUUAUCAGCAGCACGAAUCGCUUUCAAACAAUACCAGCUGAAUUUUAUGAUGAAACCCAGAUCUCUCAUCCAUCUCUGCUGCUCCACUACUUCAAAAUAAAUCCCACAGAAAAAGAAAAAGCCUCAAUGCUCUCUCUCUCUCUCUGUCUCGCUUGGGAGACUUGGACAAUUCCUCAUCCCCGUUACUGACAAUUUCAACAGCUUCAGGGGAAGCUAGUUUAUCUUCCUCUGCUCACGAAACCAUGACUCUUUCAGAGCCAAACAACAACACAAUAGACAACGCAUGGAGACCAGACUGGAGCUCGUCGGCUAAGGCACCGACGAUCCGACCCUACCCGUAUGGACCUUCCGGAUGUGGUUCCUGGGUCUUGUCUCAUGUGCCCUCCUCUCAUUUCUCAACCAAUUCUACAAGCAGCAGAGCUUCAAAUCAAACAGAUCAUGGCAUCGCUUUCACACCUCCCCAUCUUCCUCUUCCUCCUGUUCACCGCUUUCUAUUCUACAGCUUCGCAGUCCUUCAUCGGCGCAUCCAAAGGCGACAUACCGGCGCUCGCCUCAGAUCCGAACGCGGCGGCUCAGUGGGUGAACUCGAAUGUCCUCGCCUUCUACUCGGCCAGCAACAUCGACCUCAUCAACGUCGGCAACGAGGUCCUUUUUCUCCAACGACCAGGGCCUCAUCUCGCAGCUCCUCCCCGCCAUGCGAAAUGUCCAAUCUGCCCUCUCCGCCGCGUCCCUCGGCGGCAAGGUCCGUGUCUCCACGGUCCACUGCCUCGCCGGAUCGGGAUCCUUCCUUCAAGUGUUUCUCUGUCUUCGACUUGAAAAAGAAGGUCAUGGCAGGCCUAUGUAAAAAUUGCGAAAAGGAAGGCAAUCUUCAACCUUUUCUCCUGUCUCUCUCUUGAUCAAUUCAUGGAAGGCACAUUUGGGUCUUCCGGGGGCUCAUCAAAUGAGUCAGCAAUGUCAAAGGUGGAGGUGGUGGAGCAAGACUACGUGGGGAUGUCAUAUGAGGCAACCUCAUACCCAGCUGAGGCAGAGCUUGUGCUGGGCCUGGGCCUUGGCCUGAGCCUUCGUGGUGGUGGUGCAGGGAAGCAGCCAAAGCCAUGUGCAUGGGGUGAGCGUGGUAGAAUCUUGACUGCUAAAGUUAGGUGCUGAGUUACACUGUGUUCUCUGCUACUGACCCUAAGAGGAGUGCUAGAAACUUCCAUGUUCCGCCAUCAUUUCGCUUUCACUGUUACAAGGCACUGGAGUAUGUUUAAUUGAAAAGUGAGAUACACAGCAAGUUGAUCAGCCUAGUGGAAAGCAAAGGAUUAUUGCCAGGGAUAUGAACACCCACCGAAAUAAAGGGAUAAGUACUCUUUUUCCCUUCGACCAGUUUUUUUUUGUCCCACUGGGUUUUUACUGGCAAGGUUUUUCACGAAACAUAUUCCGUAUCAUUUGUGGUCUCUAAGAGGGAGUGUUGUAAAUUAUAAGGUGGAGCCCACAUGUUGGAAGGCUUUGCCUACAAAAGGGUUCACACCCUCCCUUUGUAAUUAGACAUUGAGAAUACUAAGGAAGACAGAAAUGAAUAGAGAGAAAACAUUCCCUUCUCUCCAUCUCAAUUCCCUCUCCAAUUCCUCUAGAUUUAUAACAAAAAGUAAAUUCUACACAUAUGUUGCCCAUCCAGGUGGUCCCAUAUCUUCUCUUUCCUUUUCUUUUGGCUAUUAGACUUCUUGUUUCUCUCUCUCUCUUUGCUACCCCACAUCAGCAAGUUUCUCCCUCUCUUUUUUUGGGAUCAAAUUCUUCUUCUAUUGACAAAAUCUUCUAUUAUAUUGGGUGGGCAACUUGGCAACAACAUCUUCUCCUCUCCUUUUGUCAACAGCAAGUAUUAUUCUCAUUCUCUCAUUUGCUAUAUAUCUUUAAUUAUAGUUUUAAUUUAAAAUUGAGUAUUCUAGGGUUUAAUUAGGGAUGAAUUAUAAUUUUGGGAUUUUGUUGAAAUUAAUUAGGGCUUCGAUUAGGGGUGAAUUAUUCUACUGCUUUGAUUUGGAAUUUUGUUAAAAUUGAGUAUUAUAGGUUUAAUUAUGGAUGAAUUACAAUUUUUGGUUUUGGUAUUGUUGAGAUGUUAUUAUGAGAAUUUGUUUGAUUUUUUGUUGGUAUAUUUGAUUAAAAUUCUUUCUACAUAUUAUUCAUAGGCUAUCUUUUAUUAUGUCGGAUCACAAUCGGAAUCCCAAGAAAACAAAAAAUUUGAAUAGUGUUGUUUUGUAUUGCAUUGCAUUUACUUUUGGUUUUAGUUUUGCUUUUAGUGUAAAUUACUCAAAUGGUCCUCAAAUUUGUACCCAAUUUACAUUUUGGUCCAUAAACUAAAUUAUUCAUUCAAAUGGUCCACCAACUCUUUAUUAAUCGGUGCUUUGGUCCUAUCGUUAUGUUUUCUAUUAAAUUUAGUCAUGUGAGCAGCACAUGCUACAUUUGUAUGGGUAAAUAAGACUUUUGACCAGUGGCGGAUCCACGUUGGGACAAGAGGGGUCGGACGACCCCUUGGAAGGCUGGAAAUUUGGCAAGGGAGUCCAUGAAAGCCCCCUUGGACAGCUGCUGGAAGCCCCCUUGUAUGCACACAAUGUGCUCGACGAAAUGCCCCAACGAAAUGUCCUGCGCAGCUGUGCUGCGCCUUGCGCGUAAUUUUUUUUUAAAACCAGCCUUGCCAAACGACGUCGUUUGGUCAAGGCUCAGUCAAAUUUUUUUUUAAUUAACCUGGCCUCAAAACGACGUCGUUUUGGGCCAGGUUUAAAAAAAAAAAAACAGAACAGUACACACGCACAGCAGCUCUGCACAGAUUCAUUUUCUCCAAACCUUUCAUUCCCAAUUCCACAGCCCCUCUUCCCAUCCUCUCAAACCCUAACCUCCCAACCUCCCAACCUUGGACAACCUCCAUCAACUCUUCACCGGUGGCCCAAUGCCGAUCACCACCACCUUCUACCGCCGUCCGCCGCCCAUUUUUUAAACUACAAGUAAGUAAGCAUGGAAAAUCUGAUAUUAAUAAUUAUAGUGAUAAUAUAUAUUGUUGAUAUUGAUAUUUUUUUUUUAUGUAAUGAAAUUUAUGGAUAUGAAUCAUAUUGAUUGAUUGAGUUUAUGCUUGAAAUUUAUGGAUAUGAAUCAUAUUGAUAUUUUUUUUUAUGUAAUUAAAUUUAUGGAUAUGAAUCAUAGUGAUAAUCAUAUUAAUGUAGAUUGAUUGAGUUUAUGCUUGAUUGAUAAUAUGAAUUGAUUGGGUAUAUUAAAUAUUGAUUGCUAUUUGAUAUGAUAAUUUGGUAUAUUGAAUAUUGAUUGAUAUGGGUUUAGGGAGUAUAUUGAAUAUUGAGAGUGGGUUAUUGAAAUUUUCAUAUUCAUAUGAUAAUUAGGAUAAAAAUUAAUGAUUGAUUGAAUUAAUUGAUUUGUAGAUUUAUGGAACGAUUCUUUAAAAGAAAAUUAUCUACGGAUAGUUCUUCUCUGUCUAAUCCGGGUAGUUCAAAUGCAAGACCAAUUGAAGUAGAUGAGAUCUUAGCUAAUCUUCAAGCAGACCCUGGACUAAGAACUCGAAUGGCGGAUUAUAGUCCUAAUAUUAGGGAUGAGAUCCGAAGAGCAUAUCUACAAAAGGGACCUUGUCAACCUAGAAGUUAUAAAUUCCCACAAACUAAUCAAUCAGGAAUUAAUAGACGCUUCAUUGCUCAUUGGUUUGAUGAUCAUGAUUGGUUGGAAUAUAGUAUUGCUAAAGAUGCUACGUUUUGUCUUCAUUGUUAUCUCUUCAAAUCUAAUUUUGAUCAAGUGGGUGGUGAUGCAUUCACUGGGGUAGGCUUCAAUAAUUGGAAGAAGGCGAAAGAAAGAUUUAACCUUCAUAUUGGACCGGUUGGUAGUGUUCACAACCAAGCUAGAGAAGUUGCUUACAAUUUGAUGCAUCAAACUACACACAUUGAAACAAUUGUGCUCAAGCAAACAAGCCAAGCUCGCACGGCUUAUCGCACUUGCUUGAAUGCAUCACUUAAGUGCACUAGGUAUUUGUUGCGGCAAGGGCUUUCUUUUCGUGGUCAUGAUGAAAGUGCACAAUCAAGUAAUAAAGGGAAUUAUUUAGAGCUCUUGCAAUUUCUUGCGGAUCAUGAUGAAAAAGUUAAGGCCGUUGUAUUGGAAAAUGCUCCGGGAAAUUUAAAGUUAAUAGCUCCUUCAAUUCAAAAAGAUCUUGUCAAUUCUUGUGCCAAAGAAACCAUUGAUCUUAUCUUGAGUGAUGUAAAAGAUAGAUAUUUUUCAAUAAUGGUGGAUGAAGCACGUGAUGUUUCAAUAAAGGAGCAAAUGGCAAUGGUGUUGCGUUAUGUGAAUGACAAAGGACAAAUAAUUGAAAGGUUUGUGGGGGUUCAACAUGUAACCGACACUACUUCAAGUGCACUAAAGGAAACAAUUGAUGAAUUCUUUUCUUCCGCGAAUUUGAGCUUUUCCAAGCUACGAGGACAAGGUUAUGAUGGAGCUAGCAAUAUGAGAGGUGAGUUCAAUGGCCUUAAGAGAAAGAUUUUGAGAGAACAACCUUGUGCAUUUUAUGUUCAUUGCUUUGCUCAUCAACUUCAACUAGCUCUUGUUGCGGUAGCAAAGAAAAACAUUGAUGUCAACUCUUUUUUCACAACGGCUAAUAGUUUGGUUAAUGUGGUUGGAGCAUCUUGUAAGCGUCGCGAUGCACUUAGAGCACAAUACCAAGAAGAGCUUGUGAGAGCUUUUGAAGAUGAUUGUCUUAUAACGGGGCGGGGCUUAAAUCAAGAAAGGACUCUCAAACGUGCCGGCAAUACACGAUGGAACUCACAUUAUGGUACGUUGAUUAGUAUCAUUUCUAUGUUCCCAUCUGUGGUGAAUGUGCUUCAAAUGAUUGUUGAUGAUAAUCUUAAUGAUAGUUCGGGUGAAGCCUAUAAGUUAAGGAGAGAAAUACAAUCUUUUGAGUUUGUGUUUCACUUAUUUGUAAUGAAAGCUAUAUUGGGAAUAACAAACACUUUGUCUCUAGCAUUGCAAAAGAAAGAUCAAGACAUUGUGAGUACAAUGAAUUUAGUGAAAACAUGCAAGGAAAACCUGCAGUUGAUGAGGGAUAAUGAGUUUGAAGAAUUGGUUGGGCAAGCAUCCUCGUUUUGUUACAAAUAUGAUAUUAUAGUUCCUACCAUGGAUGAGGAAUAUGUAAUUCCAGGGAGAUCAUGGCGUAAUGCUCCAAUGAAGACAAAUUAUCAUCGUUAUCGUGUGGAGAUCUUUAUUCAUGUAAUUGAUGGGCAACUUGCGGAAUUAAAUGAUCGCUUCAACGAGGUAAGUACUGAGUUACUUACUUGUUUGGCAUGCUUGAGUCCAAAAAAUAACUUUGUGACUUUUGACAAACGAAAGCUAGUUCGUCUUGCUCAAUUUUAUCCUUAUGAUUUUUCGGAUAGAGACUUAUUGAUGCUUGAAGAUCAACUUGGUGUUUAUGUUCAUCAUAUGCGUUCGAGUAGUGAUUUUUCUCAAUUGGAAGGGAUUAGUAGUCUUGCGGAAAAAAUGGUGGAGAAAGGAAUGCAUGAAAUAUUUCCUUUUGUAUUUGCUUCUUACAUUGGCUUUGGUUUUACCGGUUGCAACUGCAUCAGUGGAGAGGGCAUUUUCCGCUAUGAAUAUUAUUAAAAAUCCACUUCGCAACAGAAUGGGAGAUCAAUGGUUGAAUGAUAGCUUGCUUGUUUACAUUGAGAGAGAUGUUUUUGCUUGUAUUGAUAACGAAAUUAUAAUGCAAUGUUUUCAGAAUAUGAAAACUCGUCGUGGACAAUUGUAACUUGUAUUAUUGGUUUUGUUAUGAAUUAUGAAUGAAAGUACUAUCUUUCUAUCUUUUUAGCAUUAUUUUCUUUGUAGAAAAAUUUCAGAACUUUUACACUAAGCCCCCUUGGCUACAUAAUCCUGGAUCCGCCACUGCUUUUGACCACUUUAUCACCUAUGUAUCACCACUUUAUAACCUAUUUGGGGAACAUAGGUCAGUUAUGGACGGUUUUACCCUUACAUUUGACGGCAACAUUAACAUAAUGUAACAGUGGGAUCAAUGGAGUGAUUAAUAUAAAGUUGAUGGACCAUUUGAAUGAAUAAUUUAAUUGAGAGACCAAAAUGUAAAUCAAGUAUAAGUUUGAGGACCAUUUGAGUAAUUUACCCUUCGCUUUUAUAUUUGUUGAACUUUUAUUUAUGAUAGAUAUGCAUUUAAGGGUAAGACCCAUUAUGUUCCCCUGGCUAGGUGUAUCUUUUUAUGUUUAUUAAUGAAAUUCACUCGAACUGUUGAGUUUAGUAUGUAAGUUUUGCCUAACUGGCUUUUGAAUCCUAGAACCGCCACUGUUGCUCCAUCCUCCAUGCACUUGCAUGUGCUCUUACAAAGUGUGAAGUAGAUUUUGUGUGCUCCAAGUCAUUGACUAGAGCUGAAACAUGGUUAGCUAGAUUUAUAAGGACCCAUCUCUUUAUUUCCUAGACAUAUACCCAUCUCUCUAUAAAUCUAUAUGUAAAACCUAAUUUCAAACUUAAAUGACCAGUAGGAUAUAAAAGGUCAUAGUAUUCCUAUGUUUUUAUAUCGUUGCCACCAGACUUCUUAUUUUAUUUAUAAUUUAUUUCAAGCAUUUCAUUAACUGCCAUAAUUGUAAUUAAUACUCCAUAUUAAUAGCAUAUCAAUCACCCCAUUUCUUUUGGUUGCCAUUCCCUCUAACAUAUCGCCCCUUAAAUUUGAAAACCAAAAAAAAAAAAUGUAAAUUACAUAUCCAAUAAUGUACCUAUGAAAAAUAUAAAUAUAAAUAUAUACAUAUAAAAAUAUAGGUAUAUUAUUUACCAAAUAGAAAAUAUAAAAACCUAGGUCAGUUGCUUUGUAAUUGAAAUUUCUGUACAUUUUCCACAAAUUAAAAAUAGGUACAUAAUAAUUUAUAGAAAAUAUAUGUACAUUAUUUAUCCAUAGGUAAAAAUACCGAUAAAUGCACAUAGGUGAAUUAUUUACCAAUAUAUUAUUUUUUUGCUAAGGAUUUACCUUAGUUUUUAGUAGAUUAAUUUACCUACCUAGAGGCAUAGGUAGCUUAAAAAAAAUGUACCACCUUAGUUGGUUGCAUACUAAUUUACCUACCUAGAGGCAUAGGUUGCUAAGAAAAAAUGUAGGUAAAUUCAUGUACCUAAACACAUAGGGGUCAAAUAGAGAAUAACAUGUUAUUUCCCUUUGAACAAAUUAAUUUCAAACCAUAACAAUUAUUGAAUUUGGAAAUUGGUAUAAAUAAAAGGAAAUAAAUAAACUAUCAAUUUGAAAAUUAAAAUAAGAAAUGAUCAAGUAGUCAUAUUUGAAAAAAAAGGAAAGAAUAUAUUCUUGGUUUUUAUAGGAACAACGAGUAUAUUCAAACCAAACGGCGAUAACUACACCAAGCUUUAAUUACUUUUUUUUAAGGCCAAAAGUCACUUUUGGUCCCUGUAGUUCGGCAUUUCUACCACUUUUGAUGUUGUAGUUUCAAUUCCGUCAAUUUUGCCAUUGUAGUUUCGUAUUUGUAGCAAUUCAAGGACCUGUUAAUAUUAAUGUCAAUUUGUUUAAUGAUGCAAGAGGUAAUUUCGUCAUCCCAAAAUCCUUGAGCAUAAAAGAUUGUCUGAAAUUCUCCCCAUUUCAUAUUAGGGCUCGAAAUUCAACCACUAAUCCUAAUUUUUGAAGAACCCUAGACCCAAAUGACCAAUUUCAAGCCCUAAUAUGAAAUUACGGAAGUUUUAGAUGAGCUUUUAUGCUCAAGGAUUUUGAGUUGAAGAAACUGCCCCUUGCACUGUCAAAUAAAUUGACAGGAAUACUGACUUGUCCUUGAAUUGCUACAAAUACAAAACUACAGUGUCAAAAUUAACAGAAUUUAAACUAUAGGGUCAAAAGUAGUUGAAGUGUCAAACUAUAAGGACCAAAAGUGACUUUUAGCCUUUUUGUUUCAAUAAGGAAAAAACUGACCUAUUAAAUCCUUGGAAUCUAUACAAAAUUGAAACACAAUUAAUCAACAUUGAAUUGCAGCUAAUUUCUUAAACAAGGGUAUUAUAGGAAUUUAAAAAGUAUAACAUUUAAUCCAUUGAAUUUGAUUAGGAAACUUGAUGAAUUGAAUCCUAGUUAUAUAGUUUUUCUUAUAAAAAUCAGGUUUUAUUUAUAGACAAAUAAAACAAUGGGUUGUAGGUAAGAAAAUAUUAAUUUGAAGGGAAAGAGUCAAAUUUACUAAAUUAAUAAAGCAUAAAUUGGAAAGGGAAAAGAUCUAGAGGAUGCAUUGUAGGAUUGCUCAUGCCAAUAAUUGCACCCUCUCGAUAUUGAAAAACCUAUUGUUUAUUAUUAUCUUCAAUCCUGAAUGAUGCACCUAAAACCCAAGUGUCUCAGGCCAACCAUUGCGCUCAUACCACUUGUUGCAGUACACAUUCACCUGUUUUUAAAGAAAGAAAUUCUACCAAUCGAUAUUUUCUCAAAUUUAAUCACAUAGAUCUAUUAUGGUUAACCAUAUGUACUUUUAUCUGCCAUCCAGAGGUACCUUUUUCCAACGUGCAACAAUUGUAUUUGAUUCACAAUUAUGUCUGAUAUACAUCACAUCAUGCCACUUGCCUCAAAUGAAUUUAAUUGAGUGAGGCAAUGGGAAGUAAUUAAGCUCUAUAUUGGUGGGUGGAGUGUUACUUCUGGAACCCUCAUCAUUCGUCCAUACAGGGGAACAAUUCCCUUCCUUCUAUAAAAUGGGAGCAAUUCUCUCACUGUACUCUAUAUAAAGGAAUAAGUGUCGUCCACUAAUUAAUUACACUUUGUGAGAUUUGAUUUUAAUUAGAGUUCGAAUUAAUGUUGCAGCUAGCAGCGGUGGCACUGGCAAACCAUGCUGCUCAACCAGCACCUCCACUUUACUGGAAUUCCAUCCUGCCAAACACACAAAUGCCAAGAGCUAUCAGUGAACUUCUGCAUCCUGAUUUGUGUUGAAUAGAUAUAGUAUGUUACUGGAGUACGUAUGGCAACAUAUUCACAAAUGUGUCACGUAUUUUCCAUUAUGACGUUGAUAUAUAAUUGCAGACUCCACAAACGAAGAAAAGAGCACAAAUGUCAUGAAUGCUGUUGGGAAUGGAAAGCCAAUUGACCACAAGGGCAAACCUGAAAAUACUGUACUACCACAGCUUGCACGACGCCCAUUUUCUUACAAGAGUGAUGAUCGUCCCACUGACAAUCAACUCCAUUAUAAAAACGUAGCUAUUUUCUUCUUGGAGAAGGACAUGCGCCCUGGCACAACAAUGAGCUUCCAAUUCCCUAGAAAUUCAAACACGGCUACUUUCCUGCCACGAGAAAGAGCUCAAUCGAUCCCCUUCUCCUCUAACAAACUACCAGAAAUUUUCAACCAUUUUUCAGUGAAGCCAACAUCUGUGGAAGCCAAAACAAUUAAGCAAACAAUCGAAGAGUGUGAGGCUCCAGGCAUUAAGGGAGAGGAAAUAUAUUGCGCCACAUCUUUAGAAUCAAUGGUUGAUUUUAGCACUUCGAAGCUUCGAACAAGAAACGUUCAAGCAAUCUCGACGGAGGUAUUGGAAAAAGGUGCCACCAUGUCCAUGCACAAGCACACAACAAUGCCGGGACUGAAGAAGUUGGCAGGUGUCAAAGUCGUUUUGUGUCAUAAGCAGAACUAUCCCUAUGCUGUGUUUUACUGCCAUGUAAUAAAACCAACAGCAGCUUAUGUUCUCUCCCUGAAAGGCGAUGAUGGGGUGAAAGUUAAAGCAGUAGCCAUCUGCCAUCUAGACACAUCAGAAUGGAACCCAAAGCAUUUGGCCUUCCAAAUCCUCAAAGUUAAGCCCGGAACAAUUCCCAUCUGCCAUUUCCUUCCCACUGAUCAUAUUGUCUGGGUUCCGAACCACAAAUCUGCAUGAUCAUCACUUAGCACUGUACGUAUAAUAACCUUUACCCCUGUAUAAUUAUCUCCCUACUCUACUUAUUUCUGCCUCUUCAUGUGGUGUAAGAUAUAUGAUGAGAUGAAGUUUUUGGGAUUAGUGGUCGGGUUGCCUUAAAAACACAGAUUACAGAAACUGCUUGAACUUAACCCGAUCAUGUUUUCUCUUGUACUCGUAAAGCAUGCUGUUGUGGUUCUACUUAAUUUCGUCCUCCCCAAUGUUUGAGUGUUUAAUUGUUACGUUGGAAUAGGCUGCUAAUGCAUGUAGUUAGAGAAGCUUUCAUUUAUAUCAAAGUCCUCAAACUAUCAAGAAUUAAUGCAUCCAGAAACAUAUAUACCAAGACGCAAAACAACAUAUUUUCCAUGCUGUGUCGGUAACACCAAAGCAAACUUCCUUUAUCACAAAAGGACCAAAUUCCAAUACUAAUCUAAUCCAUCAUGUAAAGCAUACAAUCUACAACUGCCUCCCUAAAUUUGUCCAUUGGAUAUAUAUGUCACUUUUUGGUAAUUUGGUAUAGCAGCACCACGUAGUAUGCAUUUAACAGAAAAGUAAACAAAAUUGACAGUAGAACUAUUUGUCCUAACGAAACUGAAGUUGAAAGACCAUGAGAACGAUUUUGAAAAUUAAGGGACUCAAAUGAAAAUUGGGUCUAAGUUCAGGGACCAAUAAAACGAUUAACCCAUAGAUUUUGGAUCCAGUACCACAUCCCAAAGAGAAAACCACAAGUUUGCAAGCAAGUUUGUCCAUACUAACACUACGUACAGUAUGGGCAAUGUGCUAGACUCAUCUCACUUUCUCAACCUAUCCUAUACUUGUCUAAAAGAGUUUCUAAUUUAAUGUACUGAGAUUUACGAAAGAAAUAUCAGAGAAACAAUUUUCAGGCAAUAAAAAAAUGUCUUGGCAAGAAAAUGCACAAUUUGUUACAUAACUUAUUAAAUAUGAACAGUUGAAAGAAAAAAGAAUUUGGAUGAGGGAUUUGCAAAUUCCUAUGGCCCAAUUACCUUUUUUUCUUUGUUUUUUUUUGGUUCUUUUGAUCCAGUAGCAUAUUCCAAAGAAUGAAAACCACAGGCAUGCAAUGCAAGCUCUUUUCCCAUGUUUUCCUCUGUUUUUCUCCUAUCAUGGAAGUGAUUAAAACACACCUCUAAGCUUGUUUUGCGUUUGGUAGCCGAGUGUAAAAGCUCAAUGCAAGAUAGUUUGAGGUAGAAUUUUCUCCUGUUUUAUUAGGACAAUGAUGAGCUAUAUGUGACAACAAAUUGCUUUAAUAAUGAAAAUUAAAAAAGUGUGAUUCAUUGAAUAUUUGCGGGGUUUUGUUCAGAGCUGACAAAGUUCUAAGUCAACACAUCAAAUUCCUUUUUCCAACAAUCGUAUUUGAUUCACAAUUUUGUCUGAUAUACAUCACAUCAUGACACUUGCAUCAAAUGAAUUUAAUUGAGUGAGGCAAUGGGAAGUAAUUAAGCUCUAUAUUGGUGGGUGGAGUGUUACUUCUGGAAUCCUAAUCAUUCGUCCCUACAGGACUCUAGAACUCUCACACUUCUUACAAGGACUACUUAACUCUAUAGCUUAUUGCAUAUAGCAUAUAUAUGCAAACCCAAUUAGAAAUUCUACAACAGAAGCAAGAUCAAUCUCACUAUGCCUUCUAAACAAACAAACAAAUAAAACAAGCAUAUUAAUUGCUUUAAUCACUCUACUAACAUCAACACAGCACACUUAGUUUACUAACAGAUGAUAUAGAAAGGAAAAAAAAGGACCAAUAGGGAGAAAAUGGUGAACUAAGGAGAGACUAAUACUUCUGGUCCUUAGAAGGCAUAACAGAAAUAAUAGAGCACACUGCUUGAAUGCAAGUCAGUAUUAGGAGCAAAACAGCUGCAAUGAAAGAAAUAGUUGCCCAAGGUGUAUUGAAAUAAUGUUGCCUCAAAUUUGCCUUCCAUUUGUUCCAAGGCUUUCUGCAGUAGCUAUUAAGGCGCUCAGAAAGAGUAGCAAAGUAGAAGCUUUCACGAUACACUGCAAUUCCUUUUCCGAGGUUGUUAAUCAGAGUGCACACCUCAUUGUAGUCACCAAGCAUAUUUUUGACAAUCCCAUACUUCAGAAGGAACUCCACAUCCUUUUCGGUGUUCACAAACUCAUCCAUGAGUGAAACAUAAUCACUUAUGUAAUUCUUACGGCAAUGGCACUAUUCAAAGGCAAUGAGGUUAUGGAGUGUGAGCUCUGUGUAAUCGUUUAUUUUUAGUUUUGGAAUUUCUAGAAUCCCAUCGUUGAAUCGUGUUAACGCAGCUUUCCUUUCCUAGCCUACGCGGAAGUCAACUUCACAAUCUCCUCCUAGCAAUUAGCCUUUCCUACUGUAAAUCGGAUUGUAUUCAUGUCUAUAUUAUUUCCUACCUUAAAUAGAUAUCCUGUACUAGUAUACAUAGGGACUUUGUGUAAUCUGUUAAAUACAAGGAAAUAUAUACUCUACAUGGUAUCAACCUAACCUAGGGUUCUCUCUCUCCCCCUUAUUCGAUCCUCUUCUCCUUUAGGUCCACCUCAUGGCUUCGUUUGAAUCCACCAUCUCCCUCCCAAGCCCUAACUCUUCUCAUUUUAUCAAGCUUACUAACUCCAACUAUCUUCUUUGGCUCCGCCAACUCAAACCCUUUUAGUUGGCCAUGACCUCUGGAAAUUUAUCGAUGGCAUUCAUAAACAACCUUCUGCCCACACCUCCACCUCUACCACCACAACACCCACAACCACCACCACUCUUACCGAAAUCAAUCCUACCUAUGCUCAGUGGUACCAACAAGACCAACUCAUUGUUAGCUACAUCACCAGUACACUCUCUGAGUCCAUUUUCUCUCUCACUGUCGGUUGCAUCUCUGCCCGGGAUCUCUGGGAGUGUCUCCAAUGCCACUUCUCUUAAUCCAAUAUGGCCAGUGAAUCUGCUCUUCGUUUUCAACUCAUGGAUUUGCAAAAAGGCUCUCAACCCAUUGAUGCUUACCUUCGUCAUGCUAAGUCUCUUGCCGAUUCACUAGCUGCCAUCAAUUAACCUGUCUCCCCAAAAGAACUUGUCACUGCUGUGCUUCGGGGUUUAGGACCCGAUCACAAAAUGCUCAUCACAGCAAUUCUCAAUUUCUCUCCGCUUCCAGACUUUGCUGAUCUUCGUGCUCGUUUGUUAGCUUUUGAUGCACAGACUCCUCGAAUCUUUCCUGAUCAAAACACAACGCUAAUGGCCACCCAAUCUUCUCCUUACACCACCGGUCAUACUUCCUUCCCUUCUCACCGUGGUUGUGGCUCUUCCAGCAAUAGGCGCGGUGGCUGGUGCAGUAUUGGCCGUGGUGGCUGGCACAACUUCUCAUCUUCCUAGAGCAACCCGUGGAAUGGCUUCCAGCAGCCCUAAUGACCUAAUCAACUGUGGCCUCCUUUUGCUCUAAGUUUUGGAUCUCAAAGCAACUGGCCUUCCUUUCAACCUCUUUGGGCCCAAUCUGCCGCUUCUAGCAAACACUCUGCCCGACCCAACUCAGCUCCUGGUGUCUUGGGACCCGCUUGGUGCACCACAUGCAAUACCAAUCGACAUACUACUACAACAUGUCCUUAUUGCUACAAUGGCCCAGAAUUCUUCCUUUGCUGGGGCUCAAUUCAUGCAGCCACCUAACUCUACAUGGUACCCUGACACAAGUGCCACUCAUCAUAUGACUGGUAGUUCUUCUAAUCUCCAAAGGAAAUUAAAUGAAGGAGUCCUACGAAGGCUCAAGGCUCGAAAGCACACGAUCCGGCUCUGCUGCGGAGCUCACUCAACUACUGGCUGAGGGGGCGCAAAACAGAAAAUUGUGAGUGGACAAAAAUAAAAAUUCAGUUCAGUGUAAACCAACGUAAUAUAACCCCACCGUUUAGAAAACCAUGCAAGAAAUCCAAAUGCAUCUCAAAACCAUCAUAAUCAUCAAAUCAAAAUCAAAUACUGGAUGCCAAGUCCGAAAUCCAUAAAGAAAGCUUUACAAACCCACCAUCCAAAUCUUACAAUCCCACAACUAAACUCUCGAAAGCGUACCCAUUGGCAGUACCAGCAAGGAAGUAUCCUCACCGAGAAACAAGAACAAAAGAAUAGCUAUAUAUAUAAUUAUAUAAUAUAACCACACCUAGUUGUACCGGGAAAACAAUCCAACCGGGGGAUUGUUUGACUAGUCACCAUGGCAGAGUCAAAGUAAACAAAUUCCUCAAUUCACCAUGUGACUAGGGAACGAGCUGUCCAACUGGGGGACCAACUCUCAGCCAGCAUGUACCGUCGAUAGCCUCAAAACCCGUACGUCUGUGACCAGUCCUACGCGUGCAGACUACCCAAUCAAGGGUUUACAGCAACAUCCCAUCAAGGAUGCCCUAGGUUCCCACAAUUCCAAGUAUCUCAAGUUUGCGUAUCCAAGUUCCAAAUCCGGGGAGGUACAUAGGGUAGUGCUUAUAGCACUCCAAAUUGACAUUCUAUACUCAUCACUUUCCACAAUCUCAUCUCAACAACCUAAGUACCCCACACAUAGCCAAACAUAUAUAGAAAUUCUCAAAAUCCAUAUAUACAUACUCAAGAUACUCAAAUAUGUCAAAAUCCAAAAUAUAUUUCCAAUGCAUCAUAAAAAUAUCACUUUUAACAAUUGAAUAAAUAAUAUAUAUCCAAUAUACCAAUUAAAACAUCAUGCAUAAUAUUUCCCAUCAUAAAAUCAUGCAUAAGAUUUGAAAACAAAGUCCACUCACAAGUAGUCCCACACUGCUUGACCUUGAGAGGGUCCCGCCUACUGCGUAUGCGUGGUUGGAGUACCUAUUUCAGAAUACGUAUACGAGAUUAAUAAGAAGCGUUUCGAACGAGAACUUUGAAUUAAAUAUCCUAAUUUCCCAGGUUUCUAGUAAGUGUACUAGGAACGAGACGUUCUAAGGUUCCACUACCCAAUUCGAACCAUGGAAGAGCUUCGGGAGACACUCGGUCAACCGGCGGUCAAAUUCCCAAAUCGGGUCAACUGGCCCACGGGACCCACGACCUCCGUUUUUAAAAUCCGUAAGUUCCUAAAGGUUUCACAAUGUCUAAGAUACUACUAUCACAAGUUUGGUCCGAAACGGACUGUUAGAUCGCUUACGAUCGCACGAUCAGACGGUUAUUGUAAAACGUAAACUUUAAGUUAUUGAAUCAGAACAUCCGGGGCUCCGAUUCACGAUCCGCGAAUUCCUACACGAUCCUAGGAAGGUCUAGAGUAACAUAUAUUGGAAUGGAGUCGAUCCAAAGGUCCGAACAUAUCGAACCUAGACCGGAUAACUCCUAAUAUGUGAGAUUCGUUCGGGGUUCGAACAUCAACCAAAUUGGAAUCCUAAGGUACCUACGUGCUCGUGACAUUAAGGGGAUCAAUUGGGACAAAAAUGCCCCUCUGCUACAGUGCCCACGUGCCACCACACGCGGCGGUAGAGAGUGGGUGUCCAAAGCGAUUUCUCUUCGCCGGAAAAUCUCCAAAUUACAAGCCACUCUCCUGGCUACAGGUUCUACUCAACGAGUGGAACACUUUAUUCAACUACAGCCAAGUCCAAUUCGGACGGCAAGUGGCCGGAAACUCACGGUUUAACCCGGAACUUCAUGGCUUGGAUUGGGCGACCAUCGUCACCAUUGUCGUGGCACAACCUAGGAAAUAGCUAAAAGGAGAGGAGGGCUACCUAUUCCAAGCGAUGGCGCAGCUCGCGGUAGCCGAAAAUGUAGCCGAUGACGUUGGCAGUUUUGGCCGGUUUUUCACGUCGUUGCCAUCGCCGUUUGUCGAGUUUUCGAUUGGAGAAAAGGGGUGGGGUGAGUAGAGGAGGAAGAGAGGAAGCUUUUGCAAGAAAUGACACUUGUCAGGGAGGGGGGGGUUGGGGGAAGAGAGAGAGAGAGAGAGAGAGAGAGAGAGAAAAAAAAAAAAUUUCAGAUUUUCAUCCAAACCCUUUUCGAAAUAUUUACAAGUUUGCCACUAAACUACUUUUGGUUGCCAAAUCUUCGUUAUAACUCCGAUUCAAGCCUACCACGUGUCUACGGAUUCGUCUCAAUACAACCUACCCAAAAAUACCAGUCACUGCCCCAAACUCUUUUUGGGUAAGAAAAUGACCAAAAUACCCCUACCCCAAGGGUAAAUUCAUAAUUUCACUUCAAUAAUUUAAUAAAGAAUUAAAUUUGGAGUCGGGGUGUUACAUUAACUACCUGUUUAGUAGGUGUGGGGUUUUAUACAAAAAGCAUCGAUGUUAUUGGGAGUGGAACCACUUAUUAUAAGUUGUGAUUUAUUUAGUCAAGUUUCCUAUGUGGGAUUUUCUAUUCUUCAACAAGCCCCCUCAUGUGGGACCACCACAUAGUGGGCCACAUGUAAAGCUAAGUCCACAUCGGAGUCAAUCAUUCAAGCCCAAUACCUAAACACCACGUAUUGUGUGAGGGGUAGGGGUAAACAUUCAAGCCCAACAUGUGAACCACCAAAUAUUAAGUAAGGGUAAAGGCUCAAUUCAGGCCCAAUCAAUGAACCCAUUAUGAUAUCAUGUUAAAUUUCAGAUAGACGGGACUGUGGCCCACCACUAGCAACAUUGAUAUUGUCCCCAACUUAACUACAUGUUUAGUAGGUGUGGAGUUCUAUACAUAAGGUCUCGAUGUUUUUAGGAGUGGAACCACUUAUUAUAAGUUAUAAUUUAUUUAGUCAAGUUUCCAGUCAACCUGACUUUGAUACCAUGUUAAGAUUUUAAAGGGACGAACUCUUGGCACUAUUAGUAACAUCGACAUUGUCCCCAACUUAACCACCUGUUUAGCAAGUGUGGGGUUUUAUCCUAAAGGCCUCGAUCUUAUUAAGAGUUGAGUCAUUUAUUAUAUGGAACUUUCUAUUUUGUUAACUCUGUGUAUUCUUCAUCAAUGUGAACACCCCUAAACCAAUCAUACCUGAUACGAAUUGAAACACAAGUUUGUUUUUUGCCUUUGGUAGAUGAGUAGCUAGAAAAGCUCAAUGCACUUGCUCUUCUGCUACAUUUCAAUAUAAGAACAAGGUUUGGAAGUCAGGUCAACUCCUCAUAGCUUCCUUGCCUUUGCUUUGACAUGUCUAUGCACUUCUUGGGGAAGUUUGAAUAAUCCAUUGCAGGCCCCAUGACAACUAAGGAACCAACAUUUUGUAGAAGGUUUUGUCUAUACCUUUUGACUAUAAGUAAAAUCUUUUGUAUCUGCUCUUAUGUUUCGGUGAAGUUUCUAUGUGUCCUUUGUGCCGAGUUUCUAUGCGUCCUUUGUUGAACCAAAAAAUGAGGUUGUUUCUUACUAGAUUCAAAUACUUAAAAGAAAAAAAGAAAUUGUUGUUUCUUAAUGGAUUUUAUGAUGAACAAUAUCAAACUCUCCUCUUAUACGUCUGUUGGUAAAUUUUAACAACAAUAUUAAAACCUUGCAAGUGCACAAAUCAAAUGAUAGUAUAGUAAGCAAGCAAGGGUCGAUCCCACGGAGAUUGUGAUCUAAAGAGAUGUUUAUCAAUGUCACGCAAUGAAAAUCAAAACAAAGGACUUCCAAACACACGCCAACACCAAGGGGGGUUUUGAUUUGUUUUUGUGAAUCAAACAAAAUAAGGAAAAGGAAACAAAAGAGAAUUUAAAUUAGAGUUUAAGAGAAAUUGGUUUAAAAUCAAUCAAGAUCAAUAGCUAGGACUUACUAUCCACCUCCAAACAAUCAAUCAAUCCAUAAACAACAAUAGAUAAUCAAUUUCUAGUAAGCACACUACUACAAAAAAGCAAAAAGACGACGGUAAAUCACCGUCGUGUAUUCGGUUUUUCAAUGGUCGUGGAAUCCACCGUCAUCUUUUCCCUCAUAAACCACGACGCUAAAUCACCGUCGUUGUUACAAUAUACAACGUCAUCAACAAAUACAAAACGACGUCUUUGUACUGCAAAAAGAUCUAAAAAAGCAAUCGAUGAUGAGAAAAGACGACCAACUCUCUAAACAAACCGUCGUUAAAAAGAAAAAAUAUGACACAUAUUAACAGAACAUGGCCGCAAGAUAGACAUACAACGACGAAAAUUAAAAUAAGACGCCGUUAAAUAUCAUUUUCACGACAAUAAAAAAUAUGUCGUCUUUAAAUACAUUAGAAGACGACGUUAUUGAUACCUACUACGUCGCCUAUAUAAAAAUAACCGUCGUAAAAUAAAUUUUCCACUUCGAUUUUUCUAUAAAAGAUGACGUGGAAAUAGUUGUCAGUGUCAUUAUUUACGACGUAUGUAUUUAUAGAGUAGACGUUGAACAACGAAACAACGUCGGUUACAAAUAUAUGAGAGUCGUAUUACAAAAUUUAUACGUCCUAUUUUCAGAAACAAACAACGACGAUAAAUAUUAGACGUUGUUAAAUAAAACAACGUCGAAAACAAAUAAAAACAGACGUGUUUAGUCUGCUAAAGUUCUAAAAAAUAGUCGAGGAUGAGAAUAGACGACCAACUCAAACAAAUCACCGUCGUUAAAAAGGAAAAAUAUGACACAUAUUAAAAGAACAAGGCCGCAAGAUAGACAUACAACGACGACAACUAAAACACUACGCCGUCAAAUAUAAUUUUCACGACAAGAAAAAAUAUGACGUCUUUAAAUACAUGAGAAGACGACGUUAUUGAAAUAUACUACGUUUCUUAUUUACAAACAACCGUCGUGAAAUAAAUUUUCCACUUCGAUUUUUCUAAAAAAGAUGAUGUGGAAAUAGUUGUCAGUGUCAUUAUUUACGACGUAUGUAUUUAUAUAGUUGACGUUGAAAUGCGAAACAACGUCGGUGGCAUUUAUAUAGUCGACGUUGUAUUUAUAUGUAUUCAUUACUCACGACGCACUUAUUAAUAUAGACGACGUUGAACUUCUAAACAACGUCGGUUCCAAAUAAAUGAGAGCCGUAUUACAGAAAAUAUAGAUGGCGUUGAUUAUGAUGAGAGCCGUAUUACAAAUAACGUCGUUUAAUUGAUAUUAGACGGCGGUUAUAAUGAAUUACCGUCGGAAUUCAUUUCGUUCCUCUUCGUUUAUAAAAGAACUUGCGACGUGGAAAAUGUAUGAUGACGUCGUAUUUUUUAACGUUCAGAUUAUAUAUCUCGUUUUUUAGACGUCGGUAUUAUGGGAUUGGAGUCGUGUUAUUUUGAAUUACAUGGCGGUUCUUAAUCCUUCCCCGACGUGAUAUCCUGAAUAAUUGCUUCAUAAUAGCGUCGUGGUUCUUCAUUGUUACGUUGCUUUAAGACGUCGGUAAAUAUGCUGAAUAACUGGUUCACAAUAACGUCGUGUUUUAUUUGAACGUAGAAAGUGAAGAAAUCACAUUACAAUAUAUUACAAAAUUAAUGUCAUACACUGCCAAUUACAUAAGCAUCAUUCAAUCCAUAUAUCUUCACACCCAUCUCGAAUAUUUUGACCGCCUAACUCACCCACCAGUUCAUCAAAUGUGUCAACAUUUGGCAUCCCUCUAGUAAAUGGCUCACACUCAAUUAUCACAUCACCUAAGACUUCAUCACCAAUAACAUUAUUAUAUUCUCUAUUAGGCAUUGAUAACACUACCGACCAACCACGAUGCAUCGGGUCGUCAACAAAAAAUAUUUGUUUGACUUGAGAAGCCAAAACAAAUUGGUCAUUCCUAUGUCCAAUUUUACUCAAAUCUACAAGGGUAAAUCCAAGUUCGUCGACUACAAGACCAGAACUAUCUAUCCAAUCACACCUAAAGACUGGGAUUGUAAACUUUUGGUAGUCAAGGUCCCAAAUUUCUUGAAUGACACCAUAGAAACCCAUAUUUGAGAGAAUUGAGUUUUUAUCCUUGGCACUAGCAACUUGCAUGGUAUGUGCAAGUAAAUAAACUCCACUAUUUUGAGUUGUCCGCACAUCAUCUUGUGCCUUGAUAUUGAAUUUAAUACCUUUAAUAAGAUAGCUCCUAUAUAAUGGCACAGCCAUGUUUGGACCAGCUGCUAGCCACCUUAAAUUUUCUGAUACGCCAUGAUUGUCUUCCUCAAGUUCACUUUGAACCUGCAAAUUAAUCAUAUAUCUUAAUGCAAUCUAACAUAGAAAUAAGAAGAAAAUUAAAAGAGAAAUAUGUUAUUCAACAACAUAUACCUUGAAGCGUAGCCAUUGAAUGAAAGUGUUAUUGUGCUUAUCCUGCAGCCACUUUGUGAUUUAAGGUAUGACAAUCAUGUGAUUUAAGGCCAAGAAGUCUUGAAUCUUGUAAAGAUACAAGAUUUUUAAUAUUUGAAGAAUAACCUUCAGGGACCUUCAUACCAUAGAAAGAAUUGCAAACCUCUCUCUUCUCUGCUCUUGACAAAUUCCAAGGCCCAGGAGGCAAACGAGUACGUCUUUCUCCAUACUCGGGUUGCAAAUCAGUUUUGACCCCCAUGUUCAAUAAAUCUAAUCGAGCAGCAAUCCCAUCUUUAUUUUUUCCAGGGAUCUCCAGCAAUGUACCAAUGAUACUAUCGCAAACAUUCUUCUCAAUGUGCAUAACAUCUAGGGCAUGCCUCACAGGAAGGUAUUUCCAAUACUCGAGAUCAAAGAAUAUUGAUUUCUUCUUCCAACAAACUCUGUCACCAUUUUCAACCAUGUGCAGCACUUCUUCUCCGGUUAAUGGCUCGGGAGGUAUGCCAUAUUCAGGUUUCCCAUUAAAAGCUGCACGUUGCCUCCUAUAUGGAUGAUUGAUUGGUAACCAUUUUCUAUGCCCAAUGUAACAAAUUUUGUGGCCAUUUUCAACCUGUGACUAGGUGUAUCAUCGCCGCAUAUUGGACAAGCUUUAUAUCCUUUAACAACACAACCAGAUAAGUUUCCAUAGGCGGGGAAAUCAUUAAUUGUCCACAUUAAUGCAGCUCUGAGUGUAAAGUAUUCUCCAUUAUGUGCAUCAUACACUCCUCUAAUCCCAUCCCACAAAGAUUUUAAAUCAUCAAUCAAAGGCUCCAAGUAGACGUCUAUAUCAUUUUCGGGUUGUUUAGGACCGGAAAUCAAUAAGGUUAACAUCAUGAACUUUCGUUUCAUGCACAGCCAUGGAGGGAGAUUAUAUGUAACUAAGAUAACCGGCCAACAACUAUAUCUGCUACUUAGAGAACUGUGGGGAUUGAAUCCAUCAGAUGAAAGAGCCAAUCUCAAGUUUCUCGGCUCAUUACCAAACUCAGGCCAUUUAUCAUCAAGAAGUUUCCAAGACGGGGAAUCCGCCGGAUGAGACAUCUGACCGUCAAUUGAUUUUCUAGCAGCAUGCCAAGUCAAACUCUUAGCUGUCUCAUGUGAUUGAAACAUCCUUUUAAACCUUGGAAUUGGAGGAAAAUACCACACCACCUUCGCUGGCACAUCCUCUUUCAAGAUUGAAUCUUUGCCUUCCUUCCACCUUGAGAUACCACAAGUAGGACAAUUAGUUGAAUCCUCAUACUCCUUCCUAUACAAGAUGCAAUCAUUGGGGCAUGCGUGCAUUUUCUCAUAACUCAGCCCCAAUGCACACAAAGUCUUUUUUGCCUCAUACAUAGAGGUUGGUAUUGUAUUUCCUUCUGGAAGCAAAUCGCCUUGAAGUAUCAAUAAUUCUGUAAAACAGACAUCACUCAUCCCAUGUUUUGCCUUCAAAUUAUACAACUUCACUAAUGCCGAUAACUUCGUGUACUUUCUACAACCAGGGUACACUGGUUGAUCUCCAUCCCCAAUCACAUUGGCAAACUCAUACGGAUCGGAACCAAAAUCACCAAAAUCAUUAUCAUCCAUAUCAAUUUCUUCAGACACAAAACUGUACCUACUAUGGCCAUCAUCUUCUUCAACAUUUCUACUAGCAUUAGUAGUUGCUUCCCAAGGUUCUCCGUGAAAUGUCCAAUUCUUAUAGCUUUGGUCAAUUCCAUUAAAGUAUAAGUGAUCCCUUAUAAUUCCAACCCCAAACAACUUCAAAUUAACACAUUUAACACAUGGACAACGGAUAUGUGUUGUAGUUAGAAGAUUUUCUACAGCAAAGUUCAAAAAUGCUUCCACCCCAAACUCAUAUGCCUUCGAUCUUCUAUCCGAGUGCAUCCAUGACUUAUUCAUCUCCGACACUAUAACCUAUUAUCUAUAAUAAAGUGAAAAUACAGGCAAUGACCAUCACUAUAGCAGAUUAUACAAAGAUCUAAUAGCAAGUAAUACAUAACAGAGACGACGGGUUUUAAACAAAAACAGACGUAUUUGGCAUAUAUAGACGACGGAUUUUCAACAGACGUCGUCUAAUAUAAGUAAUACAAACGACGGUUUAUGAAAAAACCGUCGUGUAUAAGUAAUACAACGACGGUUUUUUCAUAAACCGUCGUGUAAUCGUCGUCGUAUGCCUAAAAAGGCGUCGUGUCUCAGUUUAUUUUCAAGAACCCAAAACCCAUUAAGAACACAACAUAUAUAUGAAACCAAGCAAGAAACCAACAUAUACAUGAAGCCAAGCAUGAAAACAAUAAAUCCAUUCCCAAUUCAACAUAACAUAGGGUGAUUAAAAGAUCCGACAAAAUUAAAACCAUUCCCAAUUCAACAUAACAGAUAAUGUAAUCCAUGAACCCAUUAAACAGAAAAUCCAUGAACCUAUACCUAUAAGCACAUUAUUAACAGAUCGCAAAGCAUAUACCUAAAACCCUUUAACAAAACAACCUAAUAUCAUUCAAUGAAUUUACAAAGGGAAGAUAGGGUUUGUACUUACAGGUUGGACGAGCUCACAGAUUCGACGAAGCCUGGAGAGUGCAACUUUUAAUUAGAGCAGAAGUGAGAGAGCGAAUGUUAUGUUGCGCGAAAUCUGAAAAUUUUAGGGUUCAGGGUUAGAAGUAUAAGAAUAAGAGCCAAAUAUAAAAAAAUUUAGGGCGCGCGAAAAUUUUUAGAGCGCGCGCUCUUUAAAACGUCGAAAGAAAAACCAUGGCGAAAGUUCUACAAGAACCGACGUAAAUGUAAUAUUCCACGACGAAAACACUUAACGUAACGCCGUUUAUUUUGACGUUCAUUUUUCGGAUUAAUUUUAAAUUUAUUUUGAAUAUUUUGAUAUAAAGACGACUGAAAAACCACGUCGAAGUUAAGAAAUUGAAAACGUUGUAAAUUAUAAUAGACGACUUACAUAUUAAAAUGACGUCGUUUAAAGUGGAAACCAUGUCGGAUAUUUUACUGCACGACGUAACAUAUGUAUUCCACGACUCAACCACCGUCGUUAACAAUUAAUACCCUAAACCCUUAAAACUAAAUUAUAUAAUUUUAAAAAUUAAGUUUAUAAAAGGGUUUAUGGUUUUACAGCCUAAUAUAUACCCUAUACUACCCAAAAAUUAUACUUUAAAAAUAAACCCCAAUAAAUAACAACCCUAAUCUCUAAACCCUAGACUCUAAACCCUAAACCAUAAAACUAGAAGUGAUUUUAUGACUCAUCAAAACAAUUUUGUUUUGGAUGGUCAUUUUAAAUUUUUUUUAUUCAAAAUGAAUUUUUUCAAGGUUUAGGGGGAAGAAAAUAUAUCAAUGACUUCAUAGGAGUUGACUUUUCAUUUUUCUGAUUUAUUUUAAAUUUAUUUUGAAUAUUUUGAUAUAAAAAUAAUAAAAUAUUCUUAUCACAAUAACAAACCACGUCGGUGUUAAUAAAUUUUAGACGUUGUAAAUUGUAAUAGACGACUAAGUUGUUAAAAUGACGUCGUUUAAAUGAGAAACCAUGGCGGAUAUUUAACUAUCCGACAUAAAAUAUAUAUUCCACGACUUAACCGCUGUCGUUACAAAGUACUACCCUGAACCCUUAAGAAAUUGAAGACGUUGUAAACCAUAAACGACUCAAUUGUUCAAAGAACGUCGUCUAAAUAUCCUUUUACGUCGGAUUUGGUUAAAACGAAACAACAAAAAACGACGGCUUUUGACUUUAUUACGUCGUUGGAAAAGUAUUACACGUCGGUUACGCAAUUUGUAUGUUUGUUUUUUUUUUUAAUUUAAGAAAACCUCAACAAAUUUUUACAUUAUAUAUUAUAGACAAAAUUUGUACAUUAUACAUAAAUAUCAAGUGUUCAAUAAUUCCCCUAUUCCAGGUGAAGGCAAACAAACUCUGACCAUUCAUUCCGGACUUCAUCAAUUGCUUCUUGGGGGUAUGGCGCUUCCUGUUUUCCCUUGGCAUACUGCAUAAACAAUGACUAUUAGGGUUUAUAAAUAAAAAGAAAUUCAAUCACAGACGACGAUAUUUUUCAUAACCGACGUACUAUAUCUAUUCAACGACGGUAAUUUUACAUGACCGUCGUUGAUAAUACAAAAAACGACGUAAAAUGUAUGAAGGUAAUUUCUUCUUACCUUCUUCUCAAACCCCAAGGAAGGAUCCAUGAUGAUGUCCCUCAUGAAGCGCAUCACAUAAUACCCGCAUUCGACAUUGCUGGGUUGCUUUGGUGUCCCUGACAGAGUUUUCCAAAUGGCUGCCUUACGGCCUGGUCUGGCUAUGUGAGAAUUAUAAAUUUUUAUAGCACUGUUCACAAUGUUUUUGGCCUCUUCAUCGACCACACGAUUUCCUGGCAGAGGAUCCAGAAAAUAGACGGUUUCUCUCUUUGCUCUUACAAUCAGCAAGAUCCAAUGACGGCUGCACAAAAUUAAUAUAAAAACGACGGUUAUUUACAAUAACGACGUAUUAUAAUGUUUCACACGACGAAAUAAAGUAGCAAUCGACGACAUUUUACAUUUAUCACGACGAUAAAUAACUACCGACGUGGUUAGUAGUUUCAAACGACUCAAUAAAAUAAAACACCGACGUGGUUAGUUUAUACGCUGUAAUUUAUUGAAAAUCAUAAAAACAAAAUCCUGUUAAGGAGACUAACCCUGGAUUGUAAGGCAUCAGGAAAAUCUGUUCACCGUCAGUCUUUUGAAGUCGAGCUGCUAGUAAGCGUGAUCUGUCAGCUAUUGUGCCAGAGUUGGCACUAACUGUAGCAAGGUCGAUAAAGCCAACCAUAUUGCACAUAUUUGCUCGUUUCAAAACAUCGUGCAAGUGCCUAAAUAUAUAAAAUAAUAUAAACAAGUCAGCACAAAAAAACACACGACGGUUAUGUAUAACAAAACGACGUAUUAUAAAAUUUCACACGACGUACUGAAAUAGACAACGACGUUAUAAUAUAUUUAUCACGACGGUAAAUACUAACGACGUGGUUAGUUAGUUAAGACGACGUAAUAAAUAAACCAACGACGUAUUAUUUUAGAAUGACAAACCUCAUAUAUACAAAAAAACACGACGGUUAUGUAUAACAAAACGACGUAUUAUAAAAUUUCACACGACAUACUGAAAUAGACAACGACGUUAUGAUAUACUAACGACGUGGUUAGUUGGUUAAGACGACGCAAUAAAUACACCAACGACGUAUUAUUUUAGAAUGACAAACCUCAUAUAUACAGCAAUGACAGUGGCUCCUAUUUCUUCCAUGCCUGCAAAUUGUGUAAUAUCUUCAGGCAGGAGGAAGGUAUCGCGCUCUAGACCAAACACCUCCUUAUCAAUUGUAAAGUGCAGGGUCUUAUCCUGAGGCACGAGUGUCGUUUCCACAUAACGACAAAGGGAGUUUAAAGAAGAUGGCGCCUCCAUAUUUGAAUAAUCAACAACUUUAAUAACCUGUUUAAAGAAAUAUAAAAAAUGACGUGGUAAUUCAAUAAAAACGACGGUUUAAGGAAUAAAACGUCGUCUGAAAAGAAUUUAAACGUCGUCUGAAGAAACCGUCGUGGUGAAUAAUUUAUUACGUCUUAAAAAAAAUUCCGCCGUCUAAGUUGUAAACAAACGACGGUUUAAAGAAAAAUAUCGACGUCUGGAAUUUUGAAAAACAAAUAAAAAAGGCAAAGUUAUGUGAACAUACCUGGUCGUCAUCUUCUUUCUCCUUUUCAUCAUGUUUUUCUUCUGUCUUCCCUUCAUCUAUUACGUCGAGAAUGACUAACUCCGUCGUCUAAAAACCACAAAGUUUUAAAAUAACGACGUUUAAUGGCGUGUAAAACAAGUAAACUAAAUACGACGUGGUAUUGAAAUACAAACGACGGUUUAUGUUUAAAAUCGUGGUGGUAUGUAUUUCAAACGACGGUUUUAUUAAUAAUAACGACAUCUAAUGGUUUUUAAAAAAACAGAGAAUUCAAAGUUCAGAUAUGUUACCUUUUCUUCCUGAUGUUUCCCAUUUUUGGCAGUAUCAUCCUCAAAAUGCUGGGAUCUCACAUCACCUCCAGAGCAGCUUGCUUUGUCAGACAUUGGAUUUUUGGGACUUUGGCUAAUUCUGGGUUUAAGCAUGCUUGGAUCAAAAUUGGGAAUUAAUUGGGAAAGCUGACUCAGGAAAUGCUCCCUCUCAGCCUCUACCAAUUGUUUCGUUCUAGCCUCCAUCCUUAAAGCCUCUUCCCUUGCCUUAGCUUCCAUCUUUUUAGUCUCUUCUUGAAGGAGAACUCUUAAACUGUCCUUCAAACGGUCGUCAAAGCUCACUCUCUGUGGUUUGGGUAAAUUGAAAUAUUGCCUUGGUGAGAUCCCAGCACCUACUCCUCUCACUCUGCCUGGAUGCUCGGGGCCCAAAGCCAUGGUCAGCACAUCAUUGCUGCCAGAAACAGUGACUUUGCCUUCCGAGACUUGUUUUUGCAAUUCAUCCUAAAACAAAGAUAUAUAAAAAAGUAAGAACAAAAACACACGACGGUUAUUUAUAUACAAACGACGUAUUAUAUAAUUUCACACGACGCAAUAACAUAUAAAUCGACGUUAUUAUAAUUUAUCACGACGGUAGUUUUUAAACCGACGUGGUUAGUUUUUAAAACGACGAAAUGAAUAAACCACCGACGUCUUAUGCUUUAUUUACAGAUAACAGAGGGAUGAUUCAAUAUUCACACCUUUAACGACCUUGUUUAAAAUAUUUCGACGUAGUAAUUCAAUACAAACGACGCGAAAAUGAACCACCGACAUCUUAUGCUAUAAUUACAGAAAACAGAGUAGUGAUUCCUGAUUUAGACCUUUAACGAUGUGGUAAUAUCAUUCACACGACGCAAAAUAUAACAUAAGACGUAAUAAGAAUUAUUCACAGUUUAAUAAAAAUUUAAAACAGAGUGAGUAGGCUUACAAUUAAUUUUGCUUUCUCUGCCACCUUUGGAUCCGGGAUGUUACCAUGUUUGUCCUGUCUAGCUCUCUUCCAUAAGGUAGAUCGAUCAAUUUCUACCCCAGGCAUGGUUUCCUCCAAUUGAUCCUCCAAACCAGCAUAUCCUUUUCGAGACAAUCGAUGAUUGUACUCAAGUUUCUCCCUAAUCUGUGCAUGUUGAGAAUGCACAGACUCAAAAUCUUUGGAUAACCUUGAAGCUACAAAGGCAUCCCAUUGUGCUUUCUCUAUGAAUUUAUAUAUUUCAGGGGGUUGGCUUAAUCUCUCCCUGUCAUUAGUGUAUGGAAGGAUAUAUUGCCUCGUUAGUGUAGACUUGAAAUCCUUCCAUUUCUUGGCAGCAGAAGCUAACACAGAGCUCUUGCCCCCUUGACCUACCACAAAAGCAAUGUCAACUGCUUCCCAAAUCUGCUCCUUUAUAUCCUUGGAGAUUUGAGCCUAUUUCAUGUCCACAAGUGGAACUCUGGAGCGUGCCAACACACCAAUGUAGGACUGCAUCUCACUAUGUGCUUGGCCAAUUCCUUUCCCCCUUUUAUUGUACUCAACAAUUGGCCUCAGUUUCUGAAGUUUUCUCUUCACAACAUGAGGCAUUGUGCUCAUACCUCGACCAGACUUUGAAUCAUCAGAGAUUGUUGUCGUGCUGGUUCGUUCUGUCUCAGCAGAUGAUGAAGCAAACUUCAUCUUCUUCGAAGGCUUCACUUGAGGAGGUACCAUUCCAAGGUCCUUACCUCCAUUUUUCUUGGAGCCAGAAUCCUUACUUUGGUCUUAGUGAGAAACCAUUUUUACAGACAAAACUGCAAGUGAAAAUAUUUCAGGAAAAGAUUAAGAACACAAACGACAGUUAUUAAUAAAAUACGACGUAUGAUAUGAUUUUAAACGACGCAAUGAAAUAAUCUCAGACGUAAUAAAUGUUUAAAACCAAGGUAAUUAAACAACGACGAAAUAAUUAACUAUAAACGACGUGAUAAUUAACUAUAAACGACGAAAUAUUUAUAUAACGUCGUGGUAUUGAUGUUCACACGACGUCAGUCGUAAUAUACCGUCGUCUAUAUAAGGAUCCAAAACCCUUCUUUCUUUCUCUGUGAAUGUUUGAUUGCAGAUUUGAUUUUUCUGAACCAUGGUUUUUGUUUUCUAAUUUGAUAAAAUACAAGGCCAAGAAAGAAAGUUUUGGAAUCUUAUAUAGACGACGGUAUUUUAAUAUGACGUCGUGGUAUUAACAUUCACACGACGUAAAACAAUAAGAUACUGUCGUCUAUAUUAGAUACCAACCCUACUUUCUUUUUCUUUAUAUUUUAUCAAAUUAGGGAAAAACAAAAACCAUUGUUCAGAGAAAUCAAACCUGCAAUUAAACAAGCAAAUAAAAAAAAGACUAUAAUUUUAAAAACAACUUUGUCAAUUUUCAGACGACGCUAGAACGACUGACGAACCGUCGUGGUCUACAUAUUUAACCACGUACAUAAGAAGCUACCGUCGUCUUAUUUAGUUGAGGUAGUUGUCUUCAAAGUUGGAAACUUUCCCUCUUUGUCUGUAUAUUUUAUUGAACUUGGAAAGAAGUAAAAUGAUUUUGGCCAGAAAAAAGGUAAAAAGAUUUUUCAAACAAAAAACGUAUGAGCAUGCAAAACAACAACCAAAAUAGUGAAAAUGAAAGCUUACCUUUUGCGUGCAAUGAAAGCAAGAGGAAGAUUAUGUUUAAGUUCAGAGACGACGAAGAAGAAGAGAGGAAGACGAUGAGAUACUCUGACAGUGCUCUGACAAGGAAAAAAGUCUAAAAGUUUUCUCUGGGAGAUUGAACUUUUUAAUCGGGUUUGAAAACGGCGCAUGUGUAUGUCAGGUAGACGAAAAGUUGCUUACAUAUAAAACCAUUUCAAAAAAAUAAUACGGCGGUUACAUAUAACUACGACGUAUAAAUUACAAAAUACGACGGUACAUUUAACUUCGGACGUGGUAAAUAAAUACGACAGUAGUGUUGUAGGUACCGUCGUAGUAAACUCAAAAAUUAAAGUACAUAAGUAAUAACUCGCGUCAUGGUAGAUUAUUUAACACGUCGUUUUUAUUAAUUUACCGACGUGGAUUUCUGUAAUAUACGUCGAUAAUACCGACGUUGAUUUUACAAUUUAAACGGCGGUUUUUUUGUAAGGACCGCCGUUGGUUUUAAAAAUUUAUUCUAUAAAUUUGUCGCUUUCAUUCAUUUUCGGUUUACAUUUAAGGUUCCAAGUUCUUCCUCUCUCAGUCUCUCACGUCUCAAAGACAAUAAUUUGGAUGUCUUUCUCAAAGAGAAAUUGAGCUUACUCGCAUCAAAUAUAUGUCCACAAGAAGAAGCUUGUCAACUAGCCUUCUCACUUCCUUGAUCAAGCCUGAUAGGACACUUAGUGCUUCUGAAUACUCCUUGCUUUCCAUCAAAAGAGAUGCAAGCCUGGCCUCCACUCGCUGUCGAAGGAAAGUUCGCUUCUCAGGGAAAUCUUCUUGAUUUUCUUGGCUAAGAAGAUCCGUCAGAUUUGUGAUAGCCUCUUCCUUUAUCCGUAGAGCUUCAGAAGAAGAAGAUGGGUUUCAAGAAUGCGAUAAAGAAUAGAAAUGGCUUCAGAUGGCCUCUAAAGCAUGAGCAAUCGAAUCAGUAGUUGUUGGGAGAUAUGAUGAAGACAUUGUCAAUGCUUUGAACUAUACAAGUCCUGCAGAAAGAUAAAGGACCAAACUGUUAAAGAAACUGAAACAAUGGCGGUUUUCUGUUCUACCGUCGUCUUUUCUCGUCGUCUAUAUUAAGGUAAGAUGGCGGUAGAUUUAUAAUUACCGACGUAGAUUAUUUUGUUAAACGUCGUUAAGUGUACUACAACCGACGUGGAUUUUAUUUUUAAAUUAUAAAUAGAGUUUUUUUUCCCCUAUUCUUUCAGUUUUAGUUUUCAAUUACAAAGCGUGAUAAAUAGAUUUUUCUUUCCCGAGGAAAUUUAAAAUGAGGGAAAUUAAUGUUCUAGAAUUUGUAAACUAACACGACGCAAUAUUUGCAAAUCUGUGUCAUCUGUUAAGAUUAUGAUGUGGAACAGAGUUCCAUCUGGUAAGAUUUCGUAACCCUUGGGAUCUCAGACAAAUCUGAUUAUGUCGGCGGUUUUCUAUAUAAAUCGUCGUGGUUAUUUCAAUUCUUGUCAUUAAGUAGAUCUACCGACGUAGGAUAAGAAAAUCAAAGAAAAAAAUUGUUAACAAAAAUUCUUAUUAAGACGACGGUUAAAAUUAAAGGUACGACGUAUAAAAUGAAUAAAUACGACGUUAAAUUUUAUUGUACGAUUUAAAGAUAACGUCGUAGAACUAUAAGAGAAUGACGUCGAUAUAUUUAUAUUUUCCGUCGUUGUACAUUAAUUUAAUACGGCGAUAUUUUGUAUUUUAAAGCCGUGGAUUUGUUUGUAAUUAUACGGCGUCUUAUACGAAAACCUCGUCGUGUUAUUUUAUGAGUAAAAACGGCAGUUUUUAUUGAAAUCGUCGUCUUUACUUUCUACGUCGGUCGAUUCAUAACUUCUGCCGUUCUUUGUUGGCAUUGAUUUUACACUGCGAAAAUCUGUUUCAAAUAGACGUCGGUUGUUUAAUUAUGUACGUUGUUGUUUUUGAACAGCCAUUUGAAUCUCCAUUUUUUAGUUGUCUAAGGUUGUAUUACACGACGGUGUUUUUAGAACCGUCGUCUUUUUAAAAACCACGACGGUUUUCACUUAGACCGUCGUUGUUUUCUGGUCGUCUUUUUCACUUUUUGUAGUAGUGGCAUAUGAUGACGACACUCACAACAAGAUCAUGGCAUUUGACUCGAGUUGUAUGAUUCUCUCUUAAGUGUAUGUAAAGUGUAUGACAUUUACAUCAAUACGUGUAUUCUUAAUUGAAAUCUACUAUGGCAUUUACUCAAAUUAACAAUCAAGAAUCCAUUAAGAUCAAAGAGAAUAUGAGUGUCACAAAAACCCUAAAACAUGGCAUUUGUUAUUAGGAAUUCAAGAAUCGAUUUCUCAUAACUAGUUCUUAACCCAAUUAUUCGUUGCAAAUAAGAACACAUUCAAUAUGGCAAUUGACCUAUGUUCUACAACAAUUUAAUUCCAAUACAUGCUUCUAAGUUAGCUACUCAAAGAAACAAAAUAUCAGAAUUCACAUAACAUAUAGAAACCGAAAACAUCACGCUUGUAGAAACUAAAAAUCCAUUAACCUUGUUUAUAAAAUUGAAAUCAUGUUUAGGGCUUCAAGAUUAAGCCCUAACUAACAAGAAAUUAGUUACUCAUGGUCUUGGAUGAACUCAAAAAUAAAUACAUAAGAACUGAAAAUUAAAGAAGGAAGGAAAAGAAAGAACUCGUUCGCAGCUUUCUCCUCUUGCGCUGUUGAUCUCUUUAGGACGUGAAUCCUUUUUAUCAGCCUUGCCUCGUCUUUUAUAUCACUUAUAUCAGAGUUCUAAACCCUAAAAUUGACUGAAAAGUCGUCCAAGAAGUCUUGGUAAACAAGGAAUCCAAAUAGGAAAGUAAAAAUCACAAUUCCUAACUCCACUGGGAAAUACAGCUCAGCCCAAUGUUCACACGAUUUUGGGAUCUUCGACCUUGUAGAAAAAUCAUUAAAAAUAUAUUUUAGAAAGAUAAAUGUCUUAUCUUUCCAACCAUAUAUAGCACGUAACUUGAAAAAUUCGGAAAGGCUUCCGUUUCUUCACAUUCACGUAGCAUGUACGAAACUGUCCUGUCUGCACGUGGGCUAACUUUACUUGUAAUACUGUACCAAUUGGCUCGGUAGAAAAUUCUAGAAAAAUCAUAGAUUGAACUUCAAGAUGUUAGCUUUCAUCUCCAAUCAGGGGCGGCCUUGGGGAGGUGCAAGUGGCGCCACCGCACAGGGCCCCCGAAAAAAAAAAUAUUUAUAUUAUAUAUAUAUAUUAAUAUUAUAUGAAUCGUAUAUAUAAUAUAGCGUCUGGAUAUUUGCACAACAGCGUGUUCAGGGGAGUUGGAUGGAGCACAUCUCUCUUUGGCAAAAGGGCCCGAGUUCGAUGCUCCUUGAUGUCGUUCUACUGGCUAGCCUUUUGUGAUAUUAUUUUUGCAUUCAAACUUUACAUAAUUAUUGAACCAUUGGAUUAAUAUGCAACGAUGGGUGACCACAAUCUCUUGGACUCCUGUGGUCCAUGAGAUCGGGACUGAUAUUACAUGACUUAUUUUAUUAAAUUAUUAUCAUGUUGAUGAUUGGUUGUAUGAGAAUAUAGUUUGUAGAAAUAUUUAUCUAUUUCUUGUUGGGGUUUUCUUCCAGGUUAUAGGGUUUUGGAAUUUUUCUUUGUAAUCUAAACAUGCCACCUACUAGAAAAUACGUUUAUGGAUAUACAAAACGGCUUAGAAAAAGAAAAUUCGAGGAAUUGACUCAAUCUCAAAGAGGAGCUCUUGAUAGAUUCAUUGUUAGAGAAUCACAUGCUACAAUUGAUGAAAAUAUUUAAAUUUUUAUGAAUUUAAUUUCUGAUUUUCAUUGCAUAUUUAUUGAUGGUGAAUUUUAGUUAUAAAAAAAAAUUGUUUAUGACAUUAAGUUAUGGCAAAUUUUUAUAGUAUUUUCGUAUUAGAUUAUGCAAGGCCCCAAUUUAAGUUUCGCACAGGGCCCUCAAAAUCUCAGGGACGGCCCUGUCUCCAAUUGGUCUUGUGCUAAAAUUCCUCCGAAAAGUUGAUUUUCCCUUAAAAACCUUCUAAGAGUGCAGAAAAGCUGAAAAUCAGAAAAAUAAAGUAAUAAGCCAUUUUUAAAUCUAAUUCUCUUACAAAACCAAAGUAAAAAGAGUACAUAAAUGAGUAUAUUUAUGGACUUAUCAACGUCUUCUUCGUUGGACUUGGGGUUGUUUUCCUUAUAUGUCCCCUAUAUAUAUAUAUGGCCUUUAGUUGAGCCCACAAAUACCUUCAGUUAGUUUUUGGGUUUAGGGGCCUACAGAACCUGCACUAAACAAUAAAAGAAAAUACCUAAUUAGUUUAGUACGAAUUUAUAAUGAAGGCUUUAUUAGGUGAAGUUUUAUUUCUUAAUCGUUAGAUCAAAUUGGUUAGCAUCUGAAGUCGCCCAAAGAUUUGAGAGGGAUUCCACAAACAUAUAAUAUAAAGAAAGAAAGCAAUAGUAGGAGAUGAACCAGUACAAAAAACAAUAUAUAAAUAGUACAUAAUAAUUCCAUAACCUUGUCACAAACGCACUCACAAAUGCUUUCCAUAAACCUUGCCCUAACAUAUAACAAAUAAAGGCAACAUUGCAUAUGAUGCAACCAUGUCCAAAUCUGAUACGUGAUAAAAAAAAAAGGACAUGGCAGCAACAUAUGACUGAAGUAGAUGGGCUCUUUGCAUCUCGUGUUAUCGUAAUUAAAGACAUCAAAAUAUUAAGGUUGAAAUCUUCUAUAGUAGCAAGCAUUAAAAUAGGUUUGAAGCAGAGUUUAAAGAAAAUUCCAAUUCCACUGAUUUGCCUCUGCUCAAAGACGAGAACCAAAAUGGUUACUUCCCUUGCUGAGUAUAUUUGUUAACGUCGGAAACGGUAAUAGAUGACCAAUCAAACCCAAGUACGACGAGUUUUGCAUAGGAUCAGAAGUAGUUGAAUCCAGCUUGCAUCACACGCUUCUUUGACUCCAUUGCAUUAGAUGAGUUUUUGUAUUUUUGAACAGCUACACUCCGAAGUCGUUUGUGUCUACGCUUCAUGCGCUGCAACUUCGCCCUAUCCAGAUUGGCCUGCCUUUUGUCAUCUUCAAUUUGGCCUUCAACAAAUUCCAAACGUGCCCUUGCCCUUUGGAUUUCAUCACCAAGUUGAAGAUGCCUCUCCUUCCAAAAAGCAAGAACUCUUUCAGACUCAAAACUUCCAACAAAAUGGUCAUUCUAUCUAGGAAUGUGACAUUGCUUGUCUGGUGACUCACCUGCGUUUCAAAGGCGGUCUUUGUUUGGAGGGGUGUUUAUUAUGCUCACAUCAAACUUGGUUAGUAAAUCCAUUCUAUGGGGGGAGUGAGUUUCUGUGGAGGAGAGAGUUUCAGUAGAUGGAGACAGAUUCGGUGGAGGAGUGAGAUUUUUGUGGAGGGAGAAUUUCUAUGAAAUGGGUGAUAGUAAUACCAAUAAAAGGGUUCCCGCCAAAAAGUAUUUGGUUGACAAUGUAUAAAUUAAUUUUUGGUCUGAUACAAUCUAAGUUUAAUCCUAACUAGUUUGGUUAGUUUGGUUGAAUUCACUAACUAGAUGUCACUUCCAUUGAGUUUCUUUCAACCACUAUCAGUGGUGUAAGGAGAGUGUGAGGUUGACAUGCUUGAAAAGCAAAACCUAACACCUCUUUUUUUUAAAAUUGAAAGAAAGUACAUAUGUUGACUACACACAAGCUUUGGUAUGUUGGUCUAUAAAGCUAUGUUCCCUUUCUCAAACGAAAUUGCAUAUGCAAUCCUCGUCCUCCCAAAACAAAUAGAAUUAUUCAAGCAUGUCAACCUCUUCAGGCGCCAACAACACAAUCAAAGAUGACAAAUUGGAGUCGCAGGUUCUAUUUCCACAUUGUACUCGCCGACCCCUUCCAUUUUCAACAUCAUUUGGGAGUGAGGGGGACUCCGAUGAUCCAUUAGAGCUAAUACAUGCAGUCAAUAGCAAGCUGGAUUAUAAUUCCAGACUGAUCAAUUCAUGGCGCGAGAAAUAUGUUGAAGACGAAGCCAUUUUGGCUGAUCUUAACAUUAGAGUGAACAAAGCGUUCUCCCAAAAGAACAAGUACUUGAAGCUGAGUCAUAAAAGGAAGCUGAAAGCUGAGGAGUUAGAUACAGUAAUGAAUGAUGAAAUUAAAGGUUGUUUGAUGAAUCAUAUGCGAUGCGAAGAGCACCACAGUGAACUGGAGUUGGCAUUCAACGAAGGAUUCGAAAAAUUACGAGCAUUUGCAGCAACUACUCAUACAAGUUAUAAUUGGGACUAUGUGUCCCCUGAUGUUGUGAGAGAGAUACUAGACGAUGGUGGUGACAUGAAUGAGCAUAAGCACGUCAAAGCUGCUUGGAAGAAGCCGACCGAUACGACUAAGUGAUUGCGGCUACAGUUGUUCAGUUGGUUGAGAGUGAUCGUGGUAUUGCACAAAUUAGAAGUAUAUUCCCAUAAUGUCAUUAUCUAAUUUAAAAUAACACAAAUAUCAGUUUCAUUUGCUUCAUAUUGUAACACCCCGACCCCAAAUUUCCCCAAAAUUUACCCUCAUUUAAUUAAUUAAUUAUUUAAGGGUAUUUUAGUCAUAUUUUUAACCGGAGAGAGUUUGGGACCAUGACUUGUAUUUUUGGAUAGGUCGUACUGAGACGAGUUCAUAGACACGUAGUGGGCUCGAAUCAGAGUUGUAACGAGAGAGAUAUGGUCAAAAGAAACCCAGUGGCACAAUCGUAAAUAUUUCAAAAUGGGAUUUUUAUAAAAAUCUGGUUUUUCUCUCUCUCUCUCUCUCUCUCUCUCUCUCUCCCGCGACUUCUCUCUCUCUCCCGUCGGCUCUCUCUCUUUCUCUCCUUGUAUCUCCGGCCACCGACCACGGCUGUGGGCGGGGCCGGUACCAAACUGACCGGGACGACGUCCCCUUCCUUCCCCGACCAUUCCCCGCCGGCAACGCGGCCGUUGCUGGCCGGAAAAUGCAGAAAACCGCCGGGAGGUCGUCGAAACUUCAACGCCGUCGAUCUCCCUCCUCCGGCCACCAUUUUCGUCGACCCAGGUAUGGAUCUUGAACCUCUCGAGCUGUUCUAGCUGUUUGUUGGUUGGGUUUUGAUCGAUUCGAUCUCUAGAUCACUCGAUUUUCGAAUUGAAAAUUGGCCGAAACUUCGGCCGCCGUGAUCGGCCAUUUUCGGCCACUUUUUGUGGUAGGUCCAAGAACAAAAGUGGCUCCAAAUAGGGUGUUAUACCUAGGGUAGAAGUUUGGAGCCGAGAUGUUGAGAUUUUCCGGCGAAGCGUUAUCGCUUUGGGCACCCACGCGUGCGGCGGCGCGUGGGCACUGUAGAAAAAGUAGAUGUGUUCCGAUGAGAUCCUUAGGUUGUCACGAGUGCGUAGGAUUUGGCGGAUCUCAAUUCGGACGUCGUUUGACUAUCGAACGGAUAAUCGCAUAUUAUGCGUUAUCCGGGUUCGAUAGGUUGAGACCGUCGGAUGGUCCCAAAUUUAAUAUAUGUUGAUCUAGGUAUUUCUAGGAUCGUGUAGGAUUUCACGGAUCGUGAAUCGGAGCCCCGGAUGUUCCGAAUAAUAAUUUAAAGUUUAUAUUUUAUAUUAACCAUCAGAUUAUGCGAUCGUGAGAAAUCCGACCGUCUGAUCUGAACCAAACUGGCAGGAAAAGUGUCCUGUACCUGGUAGAACCCAUAGGGACCUUCGGAUCGGAAAUUGGAGGUCGUGGGUUCCGCAAGUCUGUUUGACCAGGGUUAGAGUAGUUUGACCCUUGGUUGACCGUGAGUCUCCCGGAGUAAUCUCACCCUUCCAGGGGGAAUUAUCGGGAGCUAGACUAUUGUGGAGGGUUACACAAUAUUAGAAUUAUUUAUAUAAUUAUAUAUGGUUGUACAAGGGUACAACAAAGUCUAGAAUGUCAGUUUGGAGUGCUAUACGCACUACUUUAGGUACCUCCUCGGAUUUUGGAUUCGCUACAAGCACCACCAAGUGAAAGUUAGGUCCCGCGUGGCGUAGGUUAUCCGGCGUUGGGACAGACCCCAUACGUGGCGUUGGUUGUACCGGCGUAUGGGGAGAUUUGCAAUAUGAUGUUCAGGUCUCACGUGGCGUAGGUUAUCCGGCGUUGAGACAGGCCCCGUACGUGGCGUUGGUUGUACCAGCGUACGGGGAGAUUAUGUGAUAUGAUGUUGAGGUCCCGCGUGGCGUAGGUUAUCCGGCGUUGGGACAGGCCCCAUACGUGGCGUUGGUUGUACCGGCGUAUGGGGAGUUAUAUGAUAUGAUAGUAUGGCAUGGUCGCACAUGGCGUAGGUUAUCCGGCGUGUUGACAGGCCCCAUACGUGGCGUUGGUUGUAUCGGCGUAUGGGGAGAAUAUGUGAAAUGCAGAGAAAGGAAAUAAGGUAUCACCGAUGUGUGGAAUUGGGUUUUAGGGAAGAACUACGUGUGGCUUGAUCCCUCAAGGAGGGUACGUAGGCAGCCUAAGGUUAUUGGGUGCAGCCGCAGACUAAAUAUUAGUCAUAUUUGGUAUUUGAAUUGUAUGGUAGUUGUUUGAGAAUUAUUGGAAGGCCAAAGGCCAUUUAUGAGAAUUUGCAUGAAAUUAUAUUGUGCAUGCUGCUAGUUGUGGAUAUUAAAUGUGUUUUUAUGCAGGUUGAAAUUUUGGGAAAUGUCCAAUUUAUAGGGGAGACUCUGCUGAAAUUUCGGCAGGAAGUCUCGGUUUUUAGUAAGUGGGCCUGGCAUCGGGGUGAUGUCAGGAAUUCCAAAGGGUUCGUCUCGGGUUUUGAGAAAAUUCGGGGCGGGUCCUUAAACAUAUAUAAUUAUUGGGACUAUGUAUUGCAAGUCAUCAUGUGUUCCUUCUGUCUAACAUUAUAUUUUGCAAAUAUCAAAAUAUUAUUCAAUAAGCAGUCAAUAUCACAGCAAGUUGGGAAUUAGUAAAGCCCCAUUAUCAUGUCCGUUCACAUUAAAGAGCUGGCGUACUUUUUCUCAAAAAACUGACACGUGAGUCAUAAGUAACAUAACAUGUGCUAUACAUUGUUUAGUGAAUGGUUUAUGGUUUAUUUAUAUAUAAUAAAAUUCCAAAUAUUGCUGAAUAUUUGUUUUUUCUAUAUCCCUGGGAACAUGAGUGACCAUAAGCAUGUAAGACCUGUUAAGAAGAAGCUGACUAAUACGACCGAGUGAUUGUGGCUACCGUUGUUUAGUUGGUUGGGGAGAUCGUGGUAUUGCUAAGAGGGAGCACAUAAUGUGCUUUGCAAUCAAAUUUUCUUUUGUGUGUGGAAUUAUGAGUAGUUCAAAUGUUAGUGUACCCUUUAAUAUUCUUCAACCGUUUGAAAUGUGAUUAGCUGCAAUGUACUUUUUUACACGCUGCUUUCUAAUCACUCUGUUCCAACAAAGUGCUUUAAGUAUCCUUCAGUUACAAAUGUUUACAAAAUCGUGCAUCUAAUAACCAGUCGAGCUCAGAUCUUAAUAACAAGUAAAACACUAGAACAUAACAUUCGGAAAAAGUGGGUGCUGCUGGAAAUCAUUACUGGUAAUGGAAGCAAGAGCUGGCUGCUGGAAAUGCUGCAUUAGCCUGUGAUAUAAUCAAUGAAUCUCUGUUAAAACAUAAUUCACCAUAAACUACCCAUUUUACAUGGUAAAAGUCAUUGCUUCUUCACAUAACUCAAAAUUUGAUACUUUAUCAAAUGUCUAUGAAAAUUUCUAAAUAGGGGAAAGACGUAAAAUUAACAUGUGUCCAAAUUUCAUGCAAGAAUGAAACCAAGCAAAUUUUUAUUUCAAUUAUCAGUGGACAUAGUAAGAACUCAUCGGUGGACAUGAACAAAAAAAUAAUAAUAUUAAAAACUGAAUCUAGAAAACUUCACCUGAUCAUUAGUCUUCAUAACAACCGAAUUUCGUCUAAUAGAAACAUAAAUCAUUCAGUUGGUCCGUGCAUCGUGUCAAAUUCAUAGAAUAAUGGGUCACUACGAUCUAUUGGAGUUGAUUCGUCAUUGUUCGACGGUGAUGUCCUGCAUAGACAUCAAACACAAGCACAGAAAAAAUUUACCUAUUCAAAUUUUAGGUGUUAUUAUAAAUAGUGUUAGCAUCUUACGGUGUGUUCAAAUUUCUUGCGCAUUGUCUUCUAUCAUGACCAAUGUGUCCACACUCCAGACAGUGUCUAAUCCCUCGCUUCAUUGCCUUUUCUUUUGCUCCCGUUACUCGUUUCGACCUUCUUUUGCACCUCACUCUCUUAGGGUCUUUCAUAUAUUGUGUUUGAGAGCUGGACCCUCCAACUUCGUUAUUACUUGGUCCAUCCUUCAACAACUUCAACUUCACCUGCAAACUUUUUAGAGUCUCUGACAGUAGCUCACAUCCUUCUUCACUCAUUAAUGCACCCUCAACCACAUCUUAAGCAAGUCGAGACAUUGUACUCCGCCUUAUUAAAAGACCAGGAUCUGCAGAGUCUUUAAUUUCGUUGCCAUUUGCAUCUGACACCAAUUCAGAUUUUGCAGUUUUCUUCCACCUCUUUAAAAUAUAUUUAUCGGGCAUAUAUUCAAUCUGGUCCCUUCUGAACAAUGCUAGGAUGUGCUUGCAAAUAAUUCCAACAAAUUCAAAUCUUUUGCACCCACACGAUGCGUGGUCAGAAUCUUUAACAUAUACGACGUCUGCCACUCUUGUUUCCCAAUUUUUCCUUUUGCUCACGCGAAAGACAACUUUAGAAGCACCCUCUGUUUUGAGCUCUAGGAAACAUGUUGUACUUUGUAUUAGUUCUUGGUCAAACUUUUGAAACAUUGUCCUUGUGUACAAGGUAGCCAUUUGUUUGUUCAUUGGCAUCGGUAGAAUACAUUGAGCCACUUCAAAUGCAUCUACGUGAUCAGCAACUAACUCUUUUUGACGUUGAUGAGAAAGUGCCCUCUCAAAUCGUAUUAUGAAAUCCAUCAACGAAUUUCUCCUUGAUAUGUAUUGCUUGAAAAAACCAUGAGAACCUUCCACUCUUUGGCUGCUUGACAUUCCAGCGGCAAAAAAUUGUUGUGCGUAGGCUGGAACCCAAGAUUCUCUUAAAUCAAACAUUGAACUUAGCCAUGGAUGGUCAGUCAAACCAGCCUUUGUAACCACAAUAUUCCAUUUUGUAACAAACUUAUCCUUAUUGUCAGUAUCCCAUACGGCUUUCUGAAAUUCACGCCAAUACUCCUUAUAAGCAGAAUGUGGUAACUUAACAGAGAACUUUGAUGUGAUGUGCAAUAUGCAAAGUCGAUGAAAUGUAGUCGGGAAGGGUAUUGAAAUCGCUCUGGUCAUUGCCGCAUCUUGAUCUGUAAUGAUCGUUUUAGGUCCGCCACUUGGCAUGGCUUUCUUAAACUCCUCAAACAUCCAAAUAAACGACUCAGUCGUUUCCUUGCUCAAAAAUGCGCAUGCUUAGACAAUUGUCUGACCAUGGUUAUUAACUCCCAACAUUGGUGCAAAUGUCAAGUCGUAUCGAUUCGUGUUGAAUGUGGUAUCGAAUACAACAACAUCUCCAUAAAACCCGUACGCCCAUCUAGAAGUUGCAUCUGCCCAAAAACAUUGACUAAACCUGUCAUGGCCAUCUCUCUCAAUCUUGAAAUAAAAAGCCUCAUUUUUUUUUUCUGUUCAGCCAUAAAAUACUCGGUCACUAGUUCAACAUCGUGGUUCCUCAACUUCCCAUUCACACUACAUUCAAAAUUGUAGAUAUCUUUUUUGAUAAAACCGAUUUUAUCCAUUCCUCCGGAUUGCACCUCGAAAAUACUUACCUUCUGAUGAAUGAGAAUAUUAACCGAACCCAACUGUUUUGUGAGUACUUUUGUAGAAUCUGAACUAUGACGGUGUGAUCUCAAUAAAUGCAUUCUUUCUGAGGGUGUCAUCUUAUGAUUGUGUCCCUCUGCAAAAAGAGAGAUGGUAUACUUCUUGCUCCCAUUUGUCUUCACAACCACAAUCUUAGCUUUGCAAUUGCAUCUACUUAUUCCCCGCUGUCUUUUUCUCUCCCGAGUUUCAUCUCUCCUGUAUUCACCUUGUUUGCAACAUACAAAUUCUUUCCUCAAAAUCUCUUUCUUAUUUCCCCCCCAAAAGCUGGAAUGAAGUCGAAUACCAAAGCCAGCCAAGAAUGCAUAUCUAUUAUAGAAAUUGUAAACGAGGUCAAGCAAGUCGAACUUCAUCCCAACUGCUGGUGUUUCCUCAUUUCUUACUUCAAGAAUGUAAACCCUCCCAUUAGCUGUUACACAGUCAUCACUCUCUGAGCCCCCAGACAUUUUAUCCACGUAUAUUAUUGAUCCACUUCUAUAUUAUUGCAUAGCAAAUAUUAAUUCAUUAAUAAAUCAUUACUGCAUCACAACAUAUCAAUGCAUUCCACUUACACAAAACAUUGCCCAAAUUGACACAAAACACGCAUAGCCUAACUUGUUGGAUUCCGAUUACACAAAACGCAAGCAAAAUUUAAUAAUAGUUACGUCAUCUCUUGUGAAAUAAUCUAGAAAAAAUAACAUUAGAACCAACAUGUUCAACUAAGAACACAAAUGCAAUUCAAACCAGCAAUCACAUAACUUCACCCAAUAUCCUCUCCAAAUGCUUACUCCUAAUGUCAUUAAGCCUAAGUUUAGGAUCUUUUACCUACAUUUCAUAAUUUUUCACCCCCACCAAAAAUAAUCAACUAAGUAUACUGAAUAUUCAUAAGGAAAUGACGCAUUAUUGAUGCCACAAAUGACGAAUUUCCUACCCUCACAAAAAACAAAUCAAACCCAAUUAAAUCAAUCCAGCAAGAGUGAACUUACCUCUCAAAAUCAAUCGGGAGCUCCGAAGUCAGUAAGCUUGAGAGAAUGUGGUGGACAUUAGAGAAGACUCUUUGGUAUUGGAGACUCCAUCUCUACCAAAAUCGAGGAACGAACUGCUGCUACGGCGUCUAGCUACAGAAAAAGAUAUGCUACUUUACUUUCAUCUGGAAUCUUGUUUGCUGAACGAAAAAGAGAAAGGGUUUUCACUUGAGCCAUAGAAUCAAAACAAGGCAACAUCUAGGUAAGAGCCAUUAAUCGUCAUAUCGAGGAUACCAUAGAUCGCAGGCCUCCCAAGGAGCUGAUGACAAUGGAGCGACUAUAGGGUUUGGGAGCUUUGGAUCCUUCUAAUUGUGGGUUUGCGUUACAUUCAAAAAAAGAGGAGUGUGUUGUUGAGUUUUUCACAUAGAGGGAAAGAGGGAAAGAUCUUCAACUGAAGUUGGGUUUCCAACGGGUCAAAUUUCAACCCGGUUCUACAUGCACCCUCUUUUAAAAACUCACCGUUGGAUUUCAUCCAACGGCUCGUACAUACCCCUCAAAAACACCCCUUAUAACUUUCCACUCACUAUAGAAGCUCUCCCCAGGAAAUGCUUCGAGGUAGAUUUUAUGUUUUGGGCCUUGGGACCCAACUUCACAAAAAGAAAACAAAUUUGACCAAAAAACAAAGUUGAAGGACAUUGAUAUUGUACCUGUAGGAUAGGUUAAAACACUAAAAGGAAGGUAAAUAGUACGUUUACAGAGUUUAAGUGUAAUAAAGGAAUAAAAACAUGCCCAGAGAAUUGAUAAGUGAUAUCAAUUCUUGAAUAUAUAGAACGUAAAAUAAAGGAAUACGUAGAAAAUUAUUUUAUGUGGUAAAACUCAAUCUAUGGGGCCACGGGACUUCUUAGUCCAAAAAAAAUCCAUUGAACGAUGAUUACAAGAAGUACUCACACACUUAUCCUAGACACAUUCUAGAUAAUUUUUACUAACAUCUUUGUAACUCAACUUCUGUCAUAGGAUGAUUUUUUGACACUCCUUAUGUUGAACGCAAUACUGGUCACGAUUUCUUCAAGCUCGCAGGAACUCUCCUUAUAUUGAAUAUGAUACUAGUCACGAUAGAUUCAAGCUCAUCGGAGAAAAACAGCCACAACGGUCUUGGUGCCCUCAAUGGUAUGAGUCACUGAACAUGCAAAUAAAUACAAUAUGAAUGAUAAAAGUGUUUGAUAAAUCACCAAGUUAUGGAACACUUGAUGAUUUAUCUCAAAUAAAAACUCAGCUUUCCAAAGUUUAUGAAUUGAAAAUAUGAUCGUUAAAGCUCUCUAAACAAAGAAGACGAAGAUCUUAUUUUAUAGAAUUUUUCUUUAUAAGAAAGAAAACACAUUGAAAACCAAAUCUCCAAGGCUUGACAGAAAAUCACAAAAGUAUCUUUCCUAUUCUAGAGAUUGGUCACAUGUAGUCCAACCAAUAGGACAUGAGAUAUUUAAGAAAUGAAGAUUUUGAUCAAUAUCAAUAUCAAAUGAAUUCUUAUACGCCUAGUCAACUAUUAAGGGUAUCUUGACUCCUUGAUAUUGUGAUAUGAUUGAAACAUGAUUUCCACGUUAGAAAAUUAAGGGGAUGUUAAAACAUGAAAGUAAUAGGAGAAUCAAAUUGAUUUCGGCCAAAAUUGCCUAAAAAGAAAACACUCCUAAAUAAACUCAAUUCACUUUUAAAAACAGUAAAACGUGAUUGAAUUGUUCUUUAAAACAAUUCCCUAAUAUACAUGCAUGAUAAUGACAUCACUUACCUCUGAAUCAAAUGCCUUUCAUAGGUCAAGCCACAAGUCUGUGUUUUGGGGAUUGCUGAGCUGCAUCAAUCCUGCCAAUGUCAAUGCUGCCCCUAUGCUCUCUCAAAGCACGUUUACAACCUAUGCUAACAUAUACCCUAAACCCUAGUAUCAAGAAAAUGCCAACACUAAUUUCGUAACACGUAGAAAUUGUUAGAGAUUGGAAGUUUUUUUUCUUCAAGUCUCUCCACCACUCACUAAUACAGAUUGCUCAUGUGAUGAGUUUACAAAACCUAUUUCUCUACUCUCACAAAGACUAUACUUCUUCUCAAAAGACUAUAUCACUUUACCUCUAUCUCUGUGAAAUGUAAAAAGUUGAAACUUUAAUGUCAAACCUCGACAAAAGAUGAACUUCCAUAAGUUACGUUGAAUUUGGAUUUGUUGAACUUAAGUGGUUUUACUUUUCUGUCAGUGUUUGAUGACUUAAUUUGGUAUUUACUUCUUCUUUUUUUCCUUGGAAAUGUGUUCCACCAACGUGAGGAAGAAAAAUAUGCACAAAUUAAUAUAUUUAAUAGAAGCCCAAGAUUUCGGAAGCACAUAAUUUCUACAAAAUUCUACAAAGUGUUCUACUUUACAAACUUCAUAUGUCUACCAAUUUUUACUAAAAUUAAUUUAUCUGCAGUGCUCAAAUUCAUCAUAUGUGUGUCCUUAAUUUUAGUGAAAAUUGGAAGUUUCCAUUAUUUUUGUUUUACGGGAAUUUUUUGAACCAAGGAAAAUCAAGUAAAAUUAAUAAAGCAUAAAUUGGAAAGGGAAAAUAUCUAGAGGAUGCAUUGUAGGAUUGCUCAUGCCAAUAAUUGUACCCUCUAAAUAUAUAGGGACAUAUUUUUUUUGCUCAUACCACUUGUUGCAGUACACAUUCACCCGUUUUCAAAGAAAGAAAUUCUACCAAUCGAUAAUGUCUCAAAUUUAAUCACAUAUUUUAUGGACCAUCCAGCUAUGAGGUUUUAUCUCAAAAACCUUCGGUACAUUUCUCCCACAUGCCACAAUUGUAUAUUCACAAUUACGUCUGAUACAUCACAUCAUGCCACUUGCCUCAAAUGAAUUUAAGUGAGUGAGGCAGUUGGAAGUAAUUAAGCUCUAUAUUGGUGGGUGGAGUGUUAGUUCUGGGUACCCCUCAUCAUUCGUCUAUAAAAUGGUGAAGCCAGUUGCUACUGUUACCAUAAGAGCCAGCUCCGACUUUCUUUAAUUUCUUGCUUCAUAUCCACUAGCUACAUCUGUUGCUCUUCUCAGUGUAAGCUCUGCAAUUUGAUUAACUUUCCCAUUAUCUCUCACUGUACUCUAUAUAAAGGAAUAAGUGUCGUCCAUUAAUUCUCUCCGAAAGUGUCGUCCUGAUUUUAAUUAGAGUUCGAAUUAAUGUUGCAGCUAGCAGCGGUUGCACUGGCAAACCAUGCUGCUCAACCGGUACCUCAACUUUACUGGAACUCCGUCCUGCCAAACACACAGAUGCCAAGAUCUAUCAGUGAACUUCUGCAUCCUGGUUUGUGUUUGAGCACUUUAGAAUCUUAGAUAUCUCUUCUACCUGCCAUUUUACUAAAAUAUGUUCAACCACAUAUUUAUCAGUUAACUACUGUCAUUACAUGAGUGACACAUAUUCACAAAUCGGCUGAUCACUUAUUUUCCAUUAUGACGUUGAUAUAUAAUGUUGGGAAUGGAAAGCCAAUUGACCACAAGGGAAAACCUGAAAAUACUGUACUACCACAGCUAGCACGAAGCCCAUUUUCUUACAAGAGUGAUGUGGGGACCAAAUCUCAUGUAUCAUAGCUUAACCCAUAUGCCACAACUAAAAGACGUGGGAUGAUCGAACAGCAUACCCACAUGGUCAUGGAUCUCUUCAGAUAAUCAAUAUUAAACAACCCAUAAACUUCUCCCUUUGAAGAACAAAUUAAAACCAAUUUCUAGAGGAAGGUUACAAAACAUUUUAGCCCGUGAAGAACAAAUCAAGACAAUAUAACCCAUUUGAUAACAAAAUCAAAAUGAGAUUUACCAAUACUAGAUGACCACGGCGCCAGUAUAAUGGUACGACGGCGGCGUUAUUGUAACGGUGGAGAAGUGGAUGGUAUGACGACGGUGUUAGUGUGACGGUGGAGGAAACGAUAUUAUGAAGGAGGCGUUGCUAUGUUCGGUGGAGGAGUCGUGUGUUUCACAGUUCAAUAUAUCCUUUUUAGUCAUUUUAUAUUAGGGUAAAUCAGUAAUUCAAUAAAUAAUUUGAUAGUAUGGUGUACUCAGUUAAUAUUAGGGUUCAUUUAACAGCACUCAAAUUAACUAGUGUAGAGUCUAUCUAUAUUAUUAAUACUAAAAAUAAAUAUAUGACUAAAUAACUCAAAAAAAAAAUAAAUCUACAAUCUUUUUUUUAAAAAAUUUUUUUUAUAGAAUUUUAUUAGAUUAAUAGGCACUACUAAAAAAUCUCCUUAUAAACUACAAAUACACGCAUAACUUAUACUAAUGUGAGCUACUGACACCACCUGCCACAUGACAGUUGUCCAAGCAUAGUGUUGUCAUUCAUUAUUCCCCACAGCAACUAACAUCCAAUAAAGGGUUGGGGCCCACCCAUACUCCACCUCUCUGUAUGUAGCUCUUUGAGAAUACAGAAGAAAUAUUUUUUAGGGAAAUAGCUUAAAAUGAUACCCAUUUCAUAAUUUUAAUUAAAAAUACCACCCCUUUCCAAUUUUUGUACAACUAUCACCUAUAAAUAUAAAAUUAUUGUCCACUUAUUGCUGAUUUUUCACAAGUUCAGAAAUUUUGGAAAGAAGAAGCUCACACAGCUCUCUCUCUCUCUCUCUCUCUCUCUCUCUCUCUCUAGCACAACUCUCUUUCUUUGGUAUCUGUCUAUCACAGCUCUCUGUGUCUCUCUUGGCUCUCUCUAUCUUGGCUCUCUCUCUCUCUAGCACAACUCUCUGUCUCUCUCUUUGCUCUCUUUCUCAUAGCGCAGCUGUUUCUCUCUCUAGCUUCGUUAUGUCUCUUUCUCCCCUAUUCGAUCUCUUGCUUUCUGUUUGGAAUCGCGAACCCCUCCCUUUAGCUAUGUCUUCUGAAUAGCUGCUUGCAACCUUGAAGCUCUAGUGGAUUGCCGACCUCGAAAAGGUAGUGUUGAUGGUUAUUUUCUUAAUAUCAGUGGGAUUAUGUGAAAUGGGUUAUAGUUUGAUUGUUUGGGUUUGUGUUAAAUUCGUUUUGGCUUUAAUUUCUUUGGGUUAGGUUUUGUUGAAUAUUCAUACUCAUUCAUCUGGGUUUGUACCAAUUGCAUUUAGAUUGGUCUGGAUAUGUGAAUCUUGAAACUUGGGAUUUUCUAUUUGAUGUAGUAGAUCUGUAUAGUGUGAUUCUGUUGUGUUCCUCUUAUUUUACAGUCGUAUUGCUGUUAUAUUGUCAUUAUAUUGCUUAUAUAUUGCUGUUAUAUUGUGGUUAUAUUGCUAUUGUAUUGUUUGGUUAUUGUGGUUAUAUUGUGUUAAUGAAAUGUUGUUUUGUCAUGGUCAGAAAUGGAGACAAUUGUUAUUCUCGUGUGCUACAAUGGAAAAUGGGUCACCUCGAAGAAGAUGUGCAAAUACGAAGGGGGUGACUCAAAAGGCUUAAUAGUUCCACGGACCAUCAAAUUUGUUGAACUGUUGGACCGUGUGCAUUAGAUUGGUAAUACAAACAGCAGGGAAGACAAGGUUUGCUUAAAAUUCUCAGUUUUGGUGGCCUCGAAUGAGUGGAAGCACAUAAAUAUUGAGGACGAUGAUGAUAUCAAUUUUUUUAUGAAGUACAAUUCCGAGGUAACACCUUCAAAACUAGCUCCCUUACUCGUGAGUAUAGAAGAUAAAGGAUUGACAAAUGAUGUAGUUCAUAGUAUGCAUAUCACGACAGAUAGUAGUCGGAUGGGUCAUUCUUCAGUUGCCAUUGUUGAAAGCAAUGAAGUAACUUGGAAUAAUACGAAUGUCACUGAUGUGGGAGGUGAAGUAGGGACAGAUUUUGUGGAUAUGAUUGAUUUUAGCGAGGUGUAGGAGAUGCAUGGUGGUGAUAAUAGUACUGAAAGAAAUGAAGUGUCAGUGUACUCUGCCCCUCCUAAUUUGGGCUGCUUCAACAUAGCUGCCCAGUUGCCAAUAAUGCGUUUAGGAGGAGAAUCUGAACCCACUCGUCAACAUUAUUGGAGUCAAAUAGGUGAACAAAAUCGGUACAAUGCAGCCGGUGUAAAUGAUGAAGAAGCAUAUUUGGACAGCGGGUUUUCACGAAGUGAUUGGAAUCCGAAAAUUACAGUUGGGCAAAUUUUCUCUAGUAAGAAAGCAUUGUUGACGGAGUUACGGUUGACGGCAUUAAGAGGCCACUUUGAAUUUAAGGUGCAAUUCUCUUGCACUAAAAGGUUGCUUGUGGUUUGUUGUCAACGUCCAUGCCCAUGGCGGGUCCGAGCAUCGAGAAUUGGAGAAUACAGCUUCAUGAUUGUGAGGUGUACAACUGUCCAUGAAUGUGAUUUGAGGUUCGUAAGUGACAAGCAUCGUCAAGCAACCGCAGCACUUGUAGCCACUUCACUUAAAAGGAAGUGACAUUAUGAGAGAUGUGAAACACAACUUUGGUUGCACCAUCCAUUAUUCGAAAGCUUGGAAAGCAAAGGAGUUAGCUCUAUUGUCCAUUAGAGGAUCAGCGGAGGAGGCAUAUUAUAUCCUUCCAGCUUAUUGCUAUGAAUUGGAGCGUAUGAAUCCCGGCACAAAAACACACAUCCAAACUGAUGAGAACAAUCACUUUGUGUAUUUAUUUAUGGCGGUUGGCGCAUGUAUUAGAGGGUUCCGUUCUUCCAUGCGCCCAGUGAUAGCCGUGGAUGCCACUCAUUUAAAAUCCAAGUACAAGGGUGUUAUGUUUGUAGCAAAUGCAUUCGAUGGUAAUUGAAAUAUAUAUCCUCUUGCUUUUGGGAUCGGGGAUUUGGAGACGGAUGCAUCAUGGCAUUGGUUUUUCACUAAACUUCAUGAAGCCAUUGGUGAGUGUCCCAAUCUUGUUAUUAUUUCUGAUCGCAAUGUUAGCAUAGAGAAUGUGUGGAACAAAAUUUUUCCAACUGCACAACGUGGCAUAUGCUUUUAUCAUAUGAAGGGGAACAUGAAACGCACUUGCUAGUUGAAAAAGCGUGAUCACAUACUUAUGCACUUUGAGCAGGCUGCGAAAUCUUAUUCCAUUGCUGAAUUUGAUUGUCAUUUUUGCAAGAUCAAGCGAAAGGAACAUGUUGCUCAAUAUCUUGAAGAGACAGGGUUACAUAAGUGGUCUAGAGCUCACAUGGAUGGACGCCGCUACAAUGUAAUGACAACAAAUAUUGCAGAGUCAAUCAACUCAGUCCUUAGGUUUGCAAGGAUGCUGCCAGUGGUUCAUUUGAUAGGGGAAAUUGUUAAUCUCCUUGUGAAAUGGUUCACCGAACGUUGUGAGUUGGUUUUGAAUUGCACAACAACAUUGUGCCCCAAUUUUGGAGAGAAGAAGUUGAGGAACAGGUUGGAGGAUGCUGCAAGGAUGAAUGUGGUUAAAGUAAAUAAUGCACAGUUUAAUGUUUUGGACGGUGAUAUGGACGGCCUCGUAGAUUUGGCGAACAGCAGUUGUAGUUGUAGAAAGUUUCAGCUUGAGCAGCUACCUUGCAAGCAUGUAGUUGCAGUUUGCCGCUUCUUGAAAGUAAAUGUAUACGCAAAGGCUUCUCGGUAUUACACUCAGAAAACCUGGAUGAUGCUUAUUCGGAUAGCAUCUACCCGGCACAACCUCACGGAAUGUGGGAUAUUCCUGAAGAUGUUCGAAGUCGAGUUGUGCUGCCUCCCAUGGCAAGGGUCAUGCCAGGCAGACGAAAGAAGAUCAGAAUUCCCUCGCAAGGAGAGGGCACCAUUAGAAGAAAGUGCUCAAGGUGCGGUUCCGCAGGCCACAAUAAAAGCACAUGUAAAAACAAUAUUCCAUUGCGCAAUGUAUCUUAGACAAUAUGAUUUGUGUUGCUUUGGUAGGUCAUGUAAACUCUACUUUUAUUUGUGGUGGGUUUCGUGUUAUGUUGAAUGGGAAUUCUUUUAAAUUUGCAUAAUUUGGGUUGCAUUGCUACAGCAUGCUGUAUUGCUGACAGAUUGCUAUUAUAUUGGACUUUUAUUGUACUGGUAUUGCUUCCAGAUUGCUAUUAUAAUUUGAGUGCGAAAUUAAAGGGACUGGAAUGUAAUUCCAAAUGGAUCCAAAUCAUUAAAGUUCUUAGAAUUCCUAUAUUACACAGUUACUGUGAUACUCCGACUAUACCUUCUUUUAUGAUUACAAAUUCGGCCAAUGCAUAGGCCAGAUGUGGGGCAAAUACAAGGUGAAAUGUCCUAUGUGUUUGACUACAUAUACUUGUUGAAGGAGCAUUACGAAUGCUAACCUCAAUAGAUUGCUCAUGUCUUGCCAAGAACACUCUUGAAUUUAUGCAAUGUGCCCAAGCCAGUCCCAAAGCUGGACUCACCCGUCUGCCUGAUGUGUCCAGGGACUCCAAGUUUCCCAACCUCACCUCAUUCACUUUAUCAUGUGGCCCAAUAAAAUCCACCACUUGGUUGGUGACAACCACCGCCAACCCAAACUUAUUUGCUAAACCCUUCAAUGUCCCAGAUAUGUUGAAAAAUAUUUCAAACCGCCAUUUCAAAUCUGCUGGUGUUGUCUGAUACUGUGAUCGGAACAAUGCAGCAAUGGAAUCAAUGACAAUGAGUUUCACAGGUAGGUGGGUGUGAUCAAUGGCAAUAAAUGCUUCUAUGUCUCCAAGGACAUGGAUGAGUUGUUGAGCAUCAUGAACACCAUGAACAUAUAUGUCUUCCAAUGGCUCCAACCUUAUUAAGUUGGGGUAUGAUGCAUGAUAAAGGUUGCCUAGUUGUUGCAAUCGACGAAAUGGGAAGCUGAAUUCUGUGAAUAUGUAGACGGUGGAGCCCUCUAGUCCGCCAUGUGAGGGUGGGAGCUGAGCUGGUACCGUAAGUUGGAGACAAAGUUGCGUCUUCCCAGAACCACUCUCCCCUACCAAUUCUGUUAUAGAGUUGCAGGGUAUCCCACCCCCCAAGCAGUCAUCUAGUAUUGGGCAUCCAAUGGAUAAUUGAGGGGUUGAAAGAGGAAGGAGCAUGAGGUUUUAGGGUGUCAUAUUUGUGUAAUUUAGGGGGGGAUGUGAUGGUGCUACAAGGCAUGCAUUAUAUAUAUAUAUAUAUGUAGAGUUCAUUUUGAAGGUCUGUAUUGUAGGCCAUAUGUCUUUUAAGGGAUGUAUAAUCCAUCCUUUUUUCAGGUUGUAAUUAAUUUUUUGUUUAUUUAUUAGUAUUUUUUUGGACCAAAUAAUUUAAAAAACAUUAUGAUGCAGUACGUACUGUAAUAGGAUCAUAUUGUAACUCUAUCAUCACUCUAUUGUACUCUUAUUGACAUAAUAUUGCCGUUAUAUGCAUGUUUAUUAUAUAGUUAUUACUGCUAUAUCGCCACUGAACUGGACACCGAUAAACUGUAUACGCACAAAUACAAAAAGAGGCUUCAUCAUUCCAUAAAAUCCUAUUUCCAAACUUACAUAAUACAACAACAGGCCACCCCAUCGUUACAUAAUACAAAAAUACGCCACCUCAUAGUUCCAUUUCCCUACUGUUGACAAAUUCGAAGUUGCAUACUCUUCAAGUGCGGUGACCGCGACGCAUGAAAUUCAUGACCCCGGCCACAGUGAUGUUGGCCUAGUUUCCUGCCGGAUCCACUAUUUUUGCAAACUUACGAAAUAGUUCGAAUCCGCUUUCCACUUCUUCUUGCUUCAACUUGGCCGUUGCUUCUGAUUCCUUGAAUACCAUAAUUGCAGUGGUAGGGGCAAUUUCAAUUUUUGCUUUCAUUGUCUUUAUAUGUAGGAGAUGCAUGCGCGCAUGAUAACGAGAGCGAAUUGUGCGGUUUUUUAUGACACCCCAUCUAGUUUGGCCCUCCACAAUUUUGAAACUAUGUCUGCAUGAAGAUUUUUCCAAAACAUGGUAUUGCCUCGACAUUGCUGCAUGCCAUGGACCAAGUCUGCAGGGAGUGAAUUGGGUGACUUGGCUUGUGUUUCAGUCUUCUCUCCUUCAGUAAUUGAAAGUGUUGGGUGUGGUGUGAGGUUAUGGUCCAUGGUCUUCGAUAUUUAUUGUAGCCUAGUGUACAACUUAAUUGGAAAAAAAGGGGACUAAAUGCGAUGGGAGUGAAAUCAGUGGGGAAGGUAGUGGCUGUAAGCAGGAGUUAAUGUGAUGGAAGUUUUCAUUUCAAACAACUGGGUUGAUUAAUAUAGGCAAGUUUUAAUGACCUGGAGUAACUCAGAGAGUUAUUGGUGGGAGGGAUUAGAGGGAGUAAUUGGCGGGAGGGAUUGGCGGGAGUCUUAGGCGGGAUAGUAUUGGGCGGGAGUUAUUACCCAGUUGACUGUAUGCCUUUUUGUAAUAUAUUUGUAUGUUGGACGUUCCAAACUUGGUAAUUUUCCCAUUAUGUAAUUCAAAUAAGGGAUUUGCCUAUUUGCCUAAUUGACCAACUCAUUCAAAUUGACCAAUAUGGUUAUUGUCUUAUUUCUCAUUUCAGCAAUCUCAAUUCGUUUCCAUUUUUCCAUUCUUCAUAUUUUCCUAUUUUCCAUGUGUCAUCCAAUUUUCCAAUUUUCCAAUUUUUCAUUAUUUUUGCCUAUUUUUUCCUAUUCCCUAUUUUCCUAUUGUGCAAUUUCCCAAGUUUCCUUUUGUUGUAUUUCUAGUUUUCCAAUUUUUCAAUGUUCCCAUUUUCCCAUUAUGUAAUUUAAAAAAAGUUGCCUGCUUUGCCUAAUUCAGAAAGUAAUUAAAAUGGUCCAAUAUGGUAAUUGUCUUAUUUUCCAUUUCCACAAUUUCAAUUCGUUUCCAAUUUUCUUAUUUUCCAUGUGUCCCUAUUUCCUAUUUCCAUUUUUCAAAUUUUAAGUUUUUGUCCAAUUAUCCAAUUAUCUUUUUUCCAAUUGGACUAUUUUCUAAGUUUCCUUUUUUUCCUAUUUCCAAUUUUCCAAUUUUUCAAUUUGCUAACUUUCCUUUUGUUCUAUUUCCAAUUUUGCUAUUUUCCAAGUUGCCUUAUUUCCUAUUUUUCAAUUAUCCAGUUAUCCAAUAUUCCAAUUUUCCAAUUAUCCAAUUUUCAAUUUUCCAAUUUGCGAAUUUGCCUAUUUUCCAAGUGUCCUUUUUUCCUAUUUCCUAUUUCAAAUUUUCCAAUUUUCAUGUUUUCAGAGUUUCCUUUUUUUUUCCUAUUUUCCAAGUUUCCUUUUGUCCAAUUUCAAAUUUUCCAAUUUUCCAAGUUGCUUUAUUUUCCAAUUACCCAAAUUUCCUAUUUUCCAAGUGUCCUUUUUUCCUUUUUCCAAUUUUCCAAUUUUCCAAGUGUCAUGUAAUCCUAUUGCCUAGUUUCCUCUUUCCAAUUUUUCCUUUUUUCCUAUUUCCAAUUUUCAAUUUUCCAAAUUUCCCAAAUUUCCAACUUUCCAUUUUUUCGUAUUUCCGAUUUGCCAAUUUUCCUUUUGUUCUAUUUCCAAUUUUCCAAGUUUCCUUAUUUCCCAUUCUCCAAGUUUUCACUUUUCCUAUUUUUCAAUUUCGCUAUUUUCCAAUUUUCUGUUCUGAAAUUCGCAAUAAAUGCUUAGUUACACAGUCCUAUUUUGGGUUGAAAUCCACAAUUUUCAAUUUCCCAUUAAGGUUUGCUUUUUUGUCGUUUGGAAGCCAAUUUUAUUGUUGUUAAUGUAAUGUUGUACUGUUGUAAAUUACAGCCAAUGAGUUAAUGAUGUAGUUUGCAAUCCCAUCAAUUGAAUGCACCAACUAAAUACCCAAUAUACUUCAUAUAAGUUCGUACAUAUAACUCAACCUUCCUAUACAGAACUGCAACAGAGGCACCUUCUUAACGGGAAAGGUAAUUAGUCUUACUAAAACGCAAAUAUUCUCCACUACAGCUAACCAAUUGUCGUUUACAACUGGAGACUGAAUCUACCUUUAUUUGUUUUGUUGCAGGCAACAGCUGUGAAUUGUCCCCGGCAAUACUUAAAGAUGUCGGAUGUACGCCCUCCAAAUGAGCAUGUCACAGUUACCCGGGGGACCAGCCGUGGCAUGUGCCAUUCCCAUCUCCACCUCGGACUCCCAAUCAUGAUCCCACUUCAUCUGGAAGUGAGGCUGAGAGCAAUGAUCCGCUUGACAAAAUCUCUGCCGUCAAGCACCACCUCCAAUAUAUGUCAAAGGCAACGGAUUGGUGGGAGAGUAAGUGCGAUAUUCAUGGCCAAGUUAUGGGAAACUUGGCCAACAAGUUGAACAAAGCAUACGCUGGAGAGGUGAAGCAAACUCUAAAAGCAAAAAGUCGGAGCAAAGAGUUAGAGUCCUUGAAGUUGAAAUUGGAAGAGAGAAAGAAAAAUGCUGUCGAAAAAUUCACACAAUCUGAAGAAUAUAACCAUGAAAUGGUUGAAUGUUUCAACAACGGCUUUGAAAUGUUCCGAGAUUAUGCUUCGGUCAUCUCACCAGACUACAAUUGGAGUGAAAUUGAUGUAGCUGGUGUUUGGCAGGUGCUGAAUAUGGGUGCUGAGGGAAUGGCUCAUCAUAGCCUCGUGCAUGCAGCAAGGAGAAAGGACAAAGACUUGGAUCUUUUGAUGGACCUGUAGUAACAGUGAGUGCUGCUUCAGUUCAACUCACCUGAGUACAUGGAUCUUUUGUUGCCUUCAUUUUCCCUUCGCAGGCUAGUAUUGUUAAGGUUCGGUGGCGAUUUCUUUUGCAUGUGUAAAAUGUUGUCUGUAAUGUGUAUGUAUUGUAUGUAGAUUGACUUAAUAUUGUAGUUCUAUUGUAUGUAUAUUGCCUUAAUAUUGCCUUUGUAUAGCAUAGAUAGUGUAUGCAUAUUGCCACCGUAUUGGAUGUAUAUUGUAAAACUAUUGGUAUCGUAUUGCCCUUAUAUUGCUCUAAUAUUGCCUCUAUAGUGCACCUAUAUUGACCUAAUAUUGCUCUUAUAUCGUAUGUCAAUGGCAUGUGCUCUAAUAAGUCUCCAGUUCGUUGAAAGUAAUCCUGAAUUCAAAUAUGAUGGACAAGACAAUUGUUAUCCAUCCUUAUAUUACCAUGAAUUGAUUUGGACCUUUCAAAUGAUAGUUGGAGUUGCACAUGGAUUCAUAUUCAAAAGGAAAGUAAUUCUCUCCCUCAAUGAAUUGUCGUUCAAAAGAAGGCAGCUAUCAAAUUUUGGGUACAAAAAGGCAACAUCCACGGUAAAUUAAUUGGGCACAAACCACAUAUUACAAAACCAGGAUGAUUUUUGGCAUGCUUCAAAAGAGAAGGGCCAAAUACAACAGAAAAGAAAAUCCAUUCAAGCUUGUACAAUAGAAUGCACAAUAACCCUUUUACAUGUCCUUCCAACACCAGUGUUUUGCCUACUUUAGAGUCGCAGGAGGAGAGCUUAUUGCCAUUGUGCAAUUCGAGGGGGCAGUCAAUUUGGAAUGGUGGCAUAAACAUGUUUACUCCACGGAUCACCUAUAUGGGACAGAGCUUCCUUCUUCCCUUGUCGUCUGUAGGUUUCAACUUCACACUUUUUAUAUACAUGUAUGAGAACUUGUGGCUAUUUAUUUAUGGCCUUCUAACACUUGUUCUGCCAUUCCAAAGUGGGUUGGAGACUUUUUGAGUUGAAUGACUGGAAAGACUUCAGAUGACAGAAACUAGAGAGUUUGAAGAAAAAGGGUUACCAAGAACAGCAGUCAUGCCCACGACAUAAACUAAACAUGCUAUAAGCUCCACAGUAAUAUUUACUUCAUCUCCAUAAUCAGAAUAUUGGGAAAAAAAUACCACGGAGAAAUACGUGAAAUGAAAAACAACUCGGCAGUUACUGUGAGAUUGUGUACAUAAAACUUGGAACAACCAAACCAAUUAAAGCUAAGCCAUCUCAUACGUAUACCUACAUCAAAUAACAGUGUAUGGUCAUCUUGUUUAGAAUAUUGCAAUCAACACUUGGUUGAGACCGACCUGCAAAAACAACUGGGUUAAGUACAGAUGAAGCCAUUUAUGAAGGGCAGUUCCAGAAUUAAGACCUACGUUAAUUUGUAACUGCCACCGAAUCAGUUCAUAGUGCCAAAUGCAUCUACCAAGCACACAGAUAUGACCAGCCAAAAGAAAAAAAAGCAAAGUAAAAAAGAUAAAAGAGGCAUGCCAUAAAUGGGAACCUCAGCAGAAAUCAUCAGAUAUGCAUACAAGCAGAUUGAGUAACAUCUCACUAAGUAGAGGUCAUGUUGGUAAUCGCAUGUUGUGUUUGCACACAGACAUUUGGUUUUUGCAAACACAACAUGCAAUUGCAUUCCAUGAUGUGUGUGUUGUGUUUGCACACAGACAUUUGGUUUUUGCAAACACAACAUGCAAUUGCAUGAUGUGUGUGUUGUGUUUGCACACAGACAUAUGGUUUUUGCAAACACAACAUGCAAUUGCAUAUUGUGUGUGUUGUGUUUGCACACAGACAUAUGGUUUUUGCAAACACAACAUGCAAUUGCAUAUUGUGUGUGUUGUGUUUGCACACAGACAUUUGGUUUUUACACACACGAUAUGUAACAUUUAGUUUUACCCUUUUAUUCUUAUUUUCUUCGUUCAAACAUGGUGGUGAGAAAAGCACCAAACCAUCCCAUCAUAUAAAGCAAAACUCAUACAAUAUUUUAGAUGCAAAAGUUAUAUAUUUUAUAUAAAUGCAUCAUCCGCAUGGCUUGAAAUUACAAAUUCACGUUCACAUAUUACUUUUCACAAGCGCACAGACUAACAAUAAUAAUAAUCAACCAAGUAGUUGCGACAUUCAUCCUAUUACGUCCAUAUUGAUAAUGUCAGAAGUUUCAUCGAUAAGCCUCAUCAAACUACAAGUUUUUUAAUUUGAAUUAUGAAUUCAGAACUAAAAGCUCAUGAUAUGCAGAAAAUGACAUACAUUGUCCACAAUCGACUUUUCGAUAUAUUUCUGCUCUAGCAAUUUAUCGUCCAAAUUCUGGACUCUCUGUGUCAGGUGCUUCUUUGUGUUCUAUCCAGCAUAAGAAUAUUUAAUAGUGUGAUUUCAAUUGUUUAUACAAAUUCUAUAAGUAAUAUUGAUGAGUGCUGUAAAUCUAUUUGAUAUUGGGAACAAACAUGGUCCCACUAACAGAAACUCAAACAAAACAGGAAUUUUUUUUUAUUUUUUUUGGCAUAGACAGCCGAAAAGAAACUUACAGCAAUAGCCUCUGUCACGCUCUCCAGACGUUUAUGCAAUUUUGAAACAGCAGCAUUCAUACUACGCUUUGUCACAUACAGAAGAUCUGAGAAUUUUAGACCCUAACCAUUUGUGAAGAGCAAAUAUUAGAUUUGCUUAAAGAAGACAACAACUCACAGAACCAAUGGAUGAAAUAAUAUGAACAUAAAUAUAUCAUUUGGAUACCUUCCACCACAUGUAACCAUAACCCAAUGCCCCCAAGGUAGCUGUUGGCAUUAUUAGUGAUGUCAAACCUAUUAAAAAAAUCAAAAAAAAAAAUAUAACCAAGUAUAAAAUGUUUCUAUUGCAUUAUGAAAUACAUACGUGUAAGGAAUUAAUCGUUUUACAACUUAACCAAAAAGUCAAGGCAGGAGCAUGCAUUCAUUGAGUGGUUAUAAGCAAGAGGAAAAAGCACAAAGCAUGCUAAGAAUUCAUUUGAACACAGAAGAGAAAGUAAGCUACCUUGGAAUUUGGCUGUCAUUCCCCUUCAGGACGGCUCUCUGUAGUGACGAGUCUAGUUGUCGGACCUCAGCUGCCAGUCGGCGCACCUAAAACAAAGUAACACAGGAAAAUUGAUAUCCAUUACAAAAAACAAAAAUUGAACACGAGAAAGCAUCCUUCGACACUAAAUUUAUAGCAGUUUUUCCAAUACCUGUGAUGCGAUCGCAUAAAAGUCACCUUCUGAUUGUUCUCCGGUUCCAUUGAACAAAGGCUGCAAACAAAACAGAAAUAGACACAAAUCCAUCAAUUUUUUGAGCAACAAGACACAAGCUCCGAAAUAAAUAAACUAUCUAACUGAUCAAAACCCUAGUUUACCAAAUGCAUUACAAAAUUAAAAACUCAUACAAAAAUAACACCAAAUACAAAUGUUCUGCGAGUUCCACUAGCAAAGCAGAGUACAAAUCAUGAAAAUGGUACCUGAAGUUCACCGAUCAAUUCAGAUAAUUGACCAUUCUUACGCAGGAUGGUGCUCGUAUACCCUGUAGAAAGAGAACAAUCACUCAGAUCAAAUGUAGCUAAAUACACAAGGAAACUAAUCCAGUAUGCAAGAUGAAAGAGGAGUGAUUGGUACCUACUCCAGCGAAGAUCAGCAAACACAGUAUGAGGUUCCAAAUUCAAAUAACAACAUAAUGCUAAGCAGAGAAGUAGAAUUGCUGCCGAAAUUAUUUAAAACGAACUAAGUCAAAACUAAAUGGAGAAAUGUUAACAAAGUUGUAUGCUUCAGUAAGUCCAGUAACAGAUUCCCAAAACCACAGAGACAAAAUGUGAACAAUGGCUACAAAAGCAUCCAUAAAGAGCAACUAUGUUUAUAUAUGGAGGUGUACAAAAUAGUUAACCUUCAAAAUCGAAACAGUGUGUGUGCCAUGUAAGGCAAUUAGCCACUGCUUCUAGACUAUACAAUAUUACACCUCACAAUAAUAACUAAACCAACUAGCUCUAGCAAAAAGGCAGGAUGACCAUAUAAAGUACCCCCAGCAAAGCAUCUACGUCUGCAUCUUCAUAUCAAGGAGUUCCUGACAUAAGUAAUGAGCAAAGUGAAUUCCCAAGUCAUAAGUCCAGAAUGAGGUGAAUUCACGGACAUUAAAACAUUUACCUCAUAAAUAUGCCUCCCCCCUUAAACCCUCAAUUGCAAGCCUCAGCCGGUAAUAUUUGAUCUUCAAAGGGUCAACUUUAUCUACCGAAAUCCCAGCACUGAGAUGCUCGAUGAAUUUGACGGUCAUGAUUCCGCAAGACGUACUGUGAGACCAAUAAGUUGGGAAAUUAGAACUGCAGUUAUGUAAGAUUUGGAUAAACUGCACUAAAUUCACAAAGCUUACCCAUCUCGUUGUUGUGGCACAUCUGCAAUGCUGCAAACUGAGAAUGGCGUAAACGUCAACAUCUUCAGCCCCUUUUGCUUAACCUUUUCAACCUCAGAAUCUUCAUAAAAGUGCAUAUCGUACAGCACUCGUGCCAGCGUAUCGCUAAUAGGGUGCAGAAGUGUAACCAGCUUCGAACAUUUGGUAAAAGCAACAUAUGAGUCAUACACAGUUGCAGUAUGUCAGACGAAAUCAAUUUCGAUUGCAACCCAGUAAGACCCUUUAAGAUUAUAUGGAAUAUAGACCUUCCGGACUUUUGUCCAAGCUUGGCCAUACCCGUGUUGCCACGUACCGCGUACAAAGUAAUGUAUAUUCUGCAGCUUGCUGGGUGGAAGGUCAACGGUGUUUGAAGCAACUGCCUUCUUCGAUCCACGUUUCUUGGCAGUCGGUUUGAACGGAUCUAGAAAUUGCUGCAUAAAUUGAAAUGAAGGCAUAUUAGAAAAUCACAACCGAAAGCAAAUGAAGCAGCGAAUGUAACAUGGUAACAUGUUUACCUGCAAGCAACAAUCUGCUGUUGUCCAGUCAGUUCCAAAUACCAACGGAUGAGAGAGUUGCCUUUUCCAGAUAAGAAAGGUUGCCAUGUCCAGGUGCUGAAAGUUGACACACAUAAUAUCAGCACAAUUUCAUACAACUGUACACUUAAAAAAGGUGAGAAAACAAUUUAAUUAUCGCAAUAAAGUAGAGCUUUGUGUAUUCUUACCCUUGAGCUAAUCCAUUCCGUUUCAUCGAUAAGUCUGUAGAAAAAAUCAGCGCCCACUGAAAAUAAUUCCAGCUGCACCUCCGCACUACAAAAGGCAAACUUGCAAUGGUUACUUUUAUAGUCAUCUCAUAAUUCUGACUUUGUUGAUGACAAAAAUACACAUGUAUAUUAAAGCAAACUCUACGUUUUCUCAUUAGUCUAUGACUACAUACUAGAAUAGGAUGAAGAUUGGAAUUCAAAGGUAAAGAAUCCUAACCUGAUAUCGUUUUUCCAGGCAGUACAAAACUCUAUUACUGCCUUCACAUCUUCAAUGGGCACGGAUUUUGAUGGAUCAAAACAUGGCGGGGUUGCAGUCGCAGCCAACACACUCAUCGUCCUCUUCUUCCUCAAAGGAUCAGUAAAUGGGCUCAACAAUGUCUGCGCCGGGCGCUUCUGUCUGCACCCUUUACCUUCCACUUCUUUUUUUUCCACACUCGAACUACCUUCUUCAUCACCAGCCAUACUAACUGUGGGUAGACUUGGAGGAUUCAUCGGACCUCCCGAUGGCAUACUCUUAGUCACUUUCCAAUCUUCUAACAGAGACAACACUUUUUGGCAGAUUUCGUCACACCCGGCCACAUCUUCCGGGGUAGGCAGCUUCUCGGAUUGUGCCUGCUCAGCUGCUUCAUGCACUUGUAAGUGAGGAACUGAAGCGGCCAUUUCUGCCUCUUCGACUACCAUGGCUGCGGAAGGUUCGGCUCCAUCACCGGGAACUUGUGUUUCCAUUACCGCCGGUUCUGUAGGCGGACUAACAUGGUCAUGUAAUGGCGACAAGUGAUUGUCGCCUCCUUCAUUCAUAUGAGGACUACUGAGGUCCUCAUGUCCUUUCCCACCUUCAUUCACCCCACCAUUUCGUUUUUUCAGCUGCUCUAUCUCCACAUUAAAAUAAUGCUCCAUUAAAGCCAGGGUGUUGCGGAAAUCCUCCACACACUUUUUAUUUUUUUCGAACUCUCUUUCAACUUUCAAUGACUCCUUCCGUACCAUGUCUUCCAACUGAUGCACUCUGUUGCGAAGCGCUCGAUUUGAUAUGGCAACUUUGGCCAAUUCAUCCUUUGUCCUUUGAAAGUCACGCUUCAAAGUGCGUAACUCUCUGGACGCGACUGUACCCUGCAUUCAGUUAUAAUGCAAGUGUUACAAUAUUUUCAAAAUAUAUUGCAACAAUACAGCAGUUAUUUUCCUAUUGUAUUAUGACGUAUAUCUUGGAAAAAAAUGUAAUGCUUGCCUUAGAAGACGACGGAAGGCUAGCAGUUUCGUCAAUGUCCUUAUCUUUUUCUUCUACAGAGGCAGAAGUGCUGGUUUUUUGUUCAGCGUCAUCGCCAAACAACUGAACAAGUUCUUCAGUGUCGUCAACACUGUCACCCCAAGUCCAAUACGGCUGCUGCUUGUCGAUUACAGAUGGCCGGAGAAGUUGCACAUCAACCUGCAAUUUACACAUACAAUAUACAUAUCAGUAAACUUAUUAUAUUAUAUUUUCAUAUGCCUAACAUUAUCAUUAAAAACUUAACUAACCUCACGGUUCUCGAAUACUUGGCUCAUUAGCUCAUAAAAACACGGCGAACUAUUGCUCCUCCAAUGUAGUAAACGAGGGAUGUAGGCAUUAUCUUCGUGCACCACCAAAUGUAGUGCAGCCAACGCUGGAAAAACCUCAUAAGCCCAAAUCUGGUUUGAGGAAUAAAACGUGAGUCACUGUAAACAAAUGAAAUUUAACUUCAACAUGAAUGGAAAUUUGCUCACCUGAAGUGCAUAGGCAAAACCUUUGAGGUGGUACUCUCUUGGUCUACCAGUUGCCGUUGUUUUUGCUUUCUUUUCAGAUUUUUUUGUUUUUGCAGCUUUUUUGGGCACUUUCACUCGCUGGUAAUCUGUACAAAGUGCCCUCAGAAGUGACACAAUUGUCUUGGCAUAACACACAGCACCCCAUGGAUACUUCCCAAACUCUUCAAGGUCUUCCACCAACUUCAAAUAUCGCAUGUCAAUCUGGACAUGUUUUUCACUGCCCAACAGCACAAACACAGCAAAGUAUACAAAUCUGAGCUUCAAUACAUCGUCCGCAUCAACGCAUUUGAGGAAGGCCUUUUCUAAUUCCAAAACAUUGACAGUUUUAUAGUUGCCAAAGUACUUCCUUUUCAAUGAGCAGUUCUCAUUAGUGGGAAUCGGAAUAAAGGGAAGGUUUCCAAACCUUAGCCCUGUCACGAUGCAAAAUUGCUGCGCCGUGAAUUGGAUCACCUUAUUGCCAACGAUGAAUUUGAUCCCGUUGAGUUGGGAAACUGUCUUUGGAUCAGCUUUCCUCAGCAGCAAGCCGUGGACAAUUGGCGAAGUCCACUUGAGGUCCUCAAUCAGUAGGAGAUGCCCAAAACAACUCUCUUCAAACCUUUGUAGCUGUUGUUCACUGAAUUUCUCCUUUAUCGUGCUGAUUGCAGUCUUCGUAUGGGAUAGGGACAAUGCUUUUCCUUGGAACUUUUCUUCCUCUGCAAUCAUCAACUUCAUUUGAGCAACCAUCUUUCCCUGCAUGCCAAUAUUAUAAAAAAAAAUUCAGUCCGUUGCAAUCUAGACAAUAACAAGCAAUAAACAAUCAGCACUUAUCUACAGCCUAUUAUAGGAUAUUAAGUGAAAACAAAAAAACAAAAAAUACAGGGCAUAAACAAAACCCCAGCUAUUUACAACUGACCUACUAAUUCAAUAGCUCAAAGCCACAUCCCAAGACACCCAGUACUCUACCACUCUUGCAUAAUAUAAUAUCUAAAGACACAUCUCAACACACCAGAUAAUCAUGACACAGCUUCAGCUAGAAUGGGAAUGUGCGGUAGCACAAGCCUAAUUGAGAACAAUUCAAGACUAACGAUAGAAAUCUAUCUGACUAGAAAGAGUUUUAAAAAAACAAGAAGACAUCGGGAAAGAAUUGAUUGACUUCAAGGUAUAAUGUAAUGGAACAUCCUAUGAAUUAGUGGCAACCAUAAUAAUGACUCCACUAUGGCCCUCCUUUCAAAUGUAAGAAAAUGAAUGAAAUUGGCACCAUCCCUUCAGUUUUUUCUUAACAAAAUAAGAGAUUUGUAUGUAUUCUCUGCUUUAUCGAUAUCAAAGAUAAAUUAAUAAAUAAACCAUCAAAACUGUAUAAAAUGUUUGUUAGACAUGUACAAUUACAAAAUUAUAAGUUCUCCUCAGAAACAAAGUUCUCUAAGUACGCAAACAAGAAAAGCAAAAGCUUAAAGAGUUAGCUUAUAGCAAAAUCAAUGUCCCCAUUUCUCUAAACCACACCUGCUGGUGGUAGGUUCCCAUCUUCACUCAUUUCCCGCUUUCUUUUAAACAGACAAUGAUCAAGCACAAAAGAGCAAACUUUUAAAUAACUCAUAUUACACCACAAAUAGUUCUAAAGAAAACUUAUUCAUAUCCAAUAUGCAACCCCUAAAGUUAGUAAACAGAGUUAUAAAAAAAUAUGUCAAAUUAACAAGCAUUAUUCUCAAACAAAAAGUAUGAUAUGGUUGGGAGUUUACAAGUUCAAAAUGAUAUACACAGGUUAAUUGUCUUAGACUUUAGAUAUCAUCUUCAACAAAGAAAAUAGAUACCGAUUAGACUUGUAAGAAGGUUAAAUGCAAUGGUCAUAAAGACCCAUAGUAAGCCACCAAAUACCAAUCAAUAACUGCUAUAAAAACCAUAAUAAAACCAUAAUAAACUAAAAAUACAACAGCACUAAAAUGCCAACACAACAUCACUACAUUAGCAAUAUAGUAGCAACAAAACCACAAUACGACAUCAAUAGCAACAGCAAAACAACAGCAGUGCAAGCAUCAGUCCACAAAGAACAAACCCAUUCACUGUUUCAAACAAGGAAUCAUCAUACUAAGAUCAUUUCAGAGAAACCCCAAAACCAAUUUCAGUGAAACCCCUAAACCAAUUUCAGAGAAACCCCUAAACCAAUUUCAGAGAAACCCCUAAACCUUCAACCAAUUUCGAACAAAUCCCUGAACCAAUUUCAUAGAAAUGCAUAAACCCUAAACCAACUUCAAAGAAACCCUAAACUGUAAGAAAAUGACGAUGAACAGUACCUGUUCAAGGUGAACGAUGGAGUUGAGCUUCGAUGAACAAAUUUCGCUCGGAGAGGAAGAGAGAAGAGAGAGUCAGAGCUGAGCGACGAGAGAUUAAGGGCUGAGCGACGAGAGAGUGAGAGCUGAUCGACGAGAGAUGAGAGAGUGAGAGCAAAGUGACGACAGAGUGAAGAGAAAUUGAGAGAAGGAGCCAAGAGAGAGAGCUGAGAGAGAACUUCAGCAAAACUGAUAGAGAACUUCAGCAAAAGUGAUAUGUGUACAAUAAGGGGACAAUAAAUAUAUAUUUAUAGGUUAUAGUUCCAAAUUUUUUUAAAAAGAGUGGUAUUUUCAGUUACAAUUAUAAAAAUGGUGGCAUUUUGAGCUAUUUCCUUAUUUUUUAUUCAACAUGGACGCAGAAACUGUUGCUAAACUGCAAACUUCUUAAAAUAUUUGUCUCACUUUCUCAACCCUAUAUUUGUCUAACUUUCUAGAUCCAUGUACUGAGAUUUAUUAGGGAAAUAUUGUAGAAACUGAUUAUUUUGAAAUAUUAAAUGUGAAAAACUGAACAAAAAUUUGAUGGGUUACAUAUUUCAACUCAUUUCAGCAGCUUAGAUUUUGAAGACCUCGGAAGAGGCCAUGCAGUGAGCCUAGCUAGUGCACUGUUGAUCACUUCAGUGUCUACCGAUCUGUAAUUUUUCCAGAUUGGUUAUAUUUUCCUUUACAUAUUCUUAUAUUAUUCCCAGCUGUAAGUGUUUUACACACUUGUCUAUUAGAAAAGGGGAGACUUAUAAAUAAAUCCAAAAUGGGUACAGUAUUUAUAAAGAAUGACAAAAUUAAAGUGUUUGGGCAAUAAUGCCCUUAUUCAUUUUGAGAUUGCCUAAGGAAUAUUUUUUCUGAUUUUCAGAAGAUGCCAAAGGACCGUUGUUUGAUGAUUGCCGUAAGGAGCUAAGAAAACUUGCUUUGAUAGUUUUGGACAGAUGCAUGCUACUGUUGCUGGGAUGAUCUCUUCACGUGAAAUGAGGAUGAUGAUGCUUCUACACUACACAAUCCAACGAAUUCACAUGUCUAUUUCAGAUACAAGUAUAAACUAACAAGGCUUUAAAAUAUGGGCUGAUGCACUGUUGUUGAUGUUGCUGACACUGUUACUGUGUUGUUGAUACUGUCACUGCGUUGCUGUUGGAAAAAGCACAAGGACUUCACAUGUUGCUUUCGUCUUUUGUGGAGGAGAGAGACCUAGGACUUGCAUGUCUUAGAUAUUUAAGAUAAGGGGCUUUCGUUCCAUUUUGAAAAUACUUUGGGUGUUUUUGAAAGGUGAUUGUUUCUUUUGGGUUUCUCACUAAAUUUCGCUUUAGAAGGGAAAAUAAUAAUAAUAAUGUCAAACAAAGUAGGGUAAAUAUUCAGAUAUGCUCAUAUUAUUAUUCUUCUCCAAUAUUGAGGUAUUUAUACAAGUACAAAGAUGUGUUAACCCUAAAUAAAAUAGGAAAUAUAUCUAAAUUAUAAUAGGCAGUAAAUCUCUAUUACAAUAGGACUAAAUAAUAAUUGGUAAGUAACCAAAAUUCUAAUGAAAUAAGGAAUCAAAAUCCUAACUAAGUAAGGACUCGCCAACACUCCCCCUCAAGUUAGGGCAAACAUAUUUCGCAUGCCUAACUUGACAAGCGAGUCAUAGAACACCAUACUUGAGAAGCACCAAUUGUAGAGAAGGUCUUUUCGUCAACCACGAGUGAAACAAGUGACAAACUAAAGCAAAGUUCGCAGCGGAAACACAAGAGCGAAUCCUAAAAAAUAGGGCACAUAGCAGAACACAAAAAUCCUGGAGCACGACAGUAGAUAAGGCAGAACACAGAAACCCUGUUAGCACGGCAAUAGGUAAGGCAGAAAAAGUCAAGAGCAAAGGCAAGGUCAACAGGCGUGACCACAACGAAAACACACCAGCAAAGACAUGAGCAACAAUAUUAGCACCAUAAUAGACAUGAGCAACAAUACUGGUACCAACAACAGCAAUACAAGGCACUGGCACCAGCAAGAGCAACAAGGCAUGGACAUAACAUGCAUAAUCAAUAGUAAUCAACAUUGUCCCCAACAAGAGUCAUAAUAGGCAUGAGCAAUAACAUUGUCCCCACUAAGAGACUUAACAGGUAUGAGUAACAGUACUGGCACCAGCAAAGGGCAUAGUAGUCAGCAGCAAUAACAAUGACAAAUACUUCUAUUAUUGCAGAGACAACUUCUCUUCACUCCCCAUCUCCCCUUGAAGAGAAGGGGUCAUCGGAACCAUAAGAAAAGUGGCACUUAAGAAACAGAAGUUGACUGACGCUCAAAUGUAGAAGAAUCAGCCAUGGCAAAUAGGUAGCUGAAUUGCAGCGGAAUAGAUGAGCAGCGGUGUCACUCCCCCUCAUAUCUGAUAAUGUAUGAGAGUCGAGAUUUGGAGAAAGCAAUAUCGAAAAAUAAAGUUGCAGAACCCAAAUAAAGUUGCAUCUAUCUCCCCAUCAAAUCCGACACUGGUAAAGGGUCGAGAUUUGAAAGAGGAGAAAUUGAAAUAAUAGUAAAGAGACUCAAACAUGCAGUCUCAUGGCAGAAACAAAUGCAAGAGGGGAAGAUGGUAGCAUACGGUUGUCCCAUGAAGAAAAAACUUCAGAAAAGGAGAAUAGUAAGGGAGGAAACCUAGCAAAUCAUGAACAGAGACAAAGACAAAGAUGCUCAAACUGAGAAGCGGAAAGGCAACUCAAGAGAGCAACCGAAGAAGACAGAGGCCCGCAGAACAGUCAAAGUUAAGGCUCGGCGAGUGGUGACGAUGCUCGCGGAGGAAAGCAACGGCUCGGUGAGCGGUGAUGAGGCUCACGGAGUAAAGAGACUUGUUAUGAAGUUUCAAAGAUAGAGAAGCUGAGACAUCAAGAAAGACCAUCUGGCAUACAAAGAUGAAAAAUAAAAAUUUUGGAACAGUAGCAAAGAAGCAUGUGAAGGCUGGUGCGGUGAAAACACAUAUGAAAGGAUGAACAAAAGAAGAUGACUAUACAAGAUGAAGACCCAUGAUGGGUUAGGAAUGAGGAGUGCCAACGACUCUCAAUUUGGCAGAGGUUAUCGCAGGUUAGGAACCUGGCUCUGAUACCAUGUCAAACAAAGUAGGGUAAAUAUUCAGUUAUGCUCAGAUAUGCUCAUAUUAUUAUUUUUCUCCAAUAUGGAGAUAAUUAUACAAGUACAAAGAUGUGUUAACCCUAAAUAAAAUAGAAAAUAUAUCUAAAUUACAAUUGGAAGUAAAUCUAUAUUACAAUAGGACUAAAUAAUAAUUGGUAAGUAACUAAAAUUCUAAUGAAAUAAGGAACCAAAAUCCUAACUAAGUUAGGACUCGCCAACAAAUAAUAGUACAACUCUUAUUAGCAACAGGUUACAAACUUCUUCUACAACACACCAACAUGAAUCUAGCCCUGAUCCACUCUUUUACAUACUUGAAAACAAAACAAAACACGAAAAACAAAAAACAAGAAACAAGAUAGGGAGAAAAUGGCUACGGAGAGACUUCCUGCUAAUCAGGGGCGGCCCUGGGGUGGUGCAAGUGGCGUCACCGCACAGGGCCCCCGAUUCUUAAGGGCCCCCAAAAAAUAAUUCUUUAUAUUAUAUAUAUAUAUAUUAAUAUUAUAUGAAUCGUAUAUAAAGUAUAGCGUCUGGAUGAUAAAGAGACUCAUUAUCAUUAUCUUAGUCAUAAGAUUCAAAAUGAAUUGAUACUUUUGUUAGCUUCUGAGCUCAAAAGUGCAAUCAUUAAAAAGAUUGAAGAAGCUAAAUAUUUUUCUGUGAUUCUUGAUUGUACUCCAGAUGCUAGAAACCAAGAACAAAUGAGUUUGAUAGUAAGAUGUGUGGAUGUCUCUACUAAUUCAAUAAAGGUUGAAGAAUUCUUUUUGGAAUUUUUGAUUGUGAAUGAUACAACAGGACAAGGACUUUUUGAAGAGUUGCAAACGGUGUUGCAAAAACUUAAGCUUGAUAUUGAUAAUGUGAGAGGACAAGGCUAUGACAAUGGAUCAAAUAUGAGUGGGAAAUAUCAAGGUGUCCAAAGAAAAUUUUUGGAUGUAAAUCCUAGAGCAUUGUACACACCUUGUGGUUGUCAUAGUCUUAAUUUAACACUUUGCGAUAUUGCAAACUCUUGUGGAAAAGCAAAAGAUUUUUUUGGAAUCAUACAACGUAUUUAUACAUUGUUUGCUAAUUCUACAAAGCGGUGGAAGAUAUUGAAAGAUAAUGUUAAACACUUAACUCUGAAAUCAUUGUCAGUUACACGUUGGGAAAGUCGUAUUGAAAGUGUGAGAGCAAUAAGAUUCCAAGCUGCAGAUUUAAGAGAAGCUUUACUUCAGUUAGCAGAAAGUGACGGUGACUCCAAAAUAACAAGUGAAGCUAAUUCUUUGGCAACAUAUGAACUUGGAAAUUUUGAGUUCUUAUUGGGCAUGGUUAUUUGGUAUGAUAUAUUAGGUGGUGUCAAUGUAGUGAGCAAAAACUUACAAUCUGAAGACAUGCUUAUUGAUGUUGCUAUUGAUAAAGUGAAAGGGUUGAUUACUUUUUUUUUGAAAAGUAUAGAGAAAAUGGGUUUACAGAAGCUAUGUGUACUGCUAAAAAAAUUGCUACUGACAUGGGAAUUGACCCGGUGUUUCCUGAGAAGCGAAAAAUUCGUAGAAAAAAACAUUUUGAUGAGAAUACUUGUGAGCUAUCCCAAUCAGUUCCUGAAUCAACUGAAGAAAAGUUUAGAAUUGAUUAUUUCUUGUAUUUAGUGGACCAAGCUAUUGGUUCUUUACGAAGAAGGUUUCGACAAUAUCAAGAGUAUGAGAAUUUUUGGGUUUUUGUUUACUUCAGAGAAGUUAAAUUCAUUGGAUGAUUGCGAUUUGAAGAAUAGUUGCAGUCAUCUGGAAAGCAUUUUGAAAAAUGACAAGUUUUCUGAUGUCGAUGGGGAGGAUUUAUUUGUUGAGUUGAAAGUUUUACAAGAGCUUUUACCAAAAGUAAAUACCACAGCUACUGCAAUAUUAAAUUUCUUGAAAAGAUUAAAUUGUUUUCCAAAUGCAUUCAUUGCAUAUAGAAUCCUAUUGACUAUUCCUGUUACUGUUGCAUCUGCGGAAAGAAGUUUUUCAAAAUUAAAAUUGUUAAAAUCAUACUUGAGAUCAACUAUGUCGCAAGAAAGAUUAAAUGGACUAGCUUUGAUUUCAAUUGAAAGUGAACUUCUUGAAAAACUUGAUUAUGAACAUUUGAUUGAUGAUUUCUCUUCUAAAAAUUCAAGAAGAUCAAUUUUCAGACAUUAGUAUUGUACUAGCUGUGUUUUUUUUUUUCUUCUAGGGUAAAAGCUCUCAUAAUAAUUUUAAUUCUUCAAAUAAGACAGCAAAUACAAUGUGAUGAAUUUUGGAUAAUCAGGUAUGUUUUUGUUGUUGCUUUUGUGUUUAAUGCAAUAUAAUCUAAUUUUUUUAAUGACAUUUGUGUGCAACUACUCUUUGAUUUGUGAUUGCCAAUUUUUUUUUCUUUCUAUUAAACACAGAUUGCUUAUUGGAGGCAGCAAGAGACCUUAUAGGGGCACAAGGAGCUUAUUUUUGUACAAAACAUUUAACUUUAUCAAAUGGAAACAUUUAAAUUUUUAUGAAUUUGAUUUCUGAUUGUCAUUGCAUAUUUAUUGAUGGUGAAUUUUAGUUAUAAAAAAAAAAUUGUUUAUGACAUUAAGUUAUGGCAAAUUUUUAUAGUAUUUUCGUAUUAGAUUAUGCGAGGUCCCAAUUUAAGUUUCGCACAGGGCCCUCAAAAUCUCAGGAACGGCCCUGCUGCUAAUACUUGAUCAAUAACAGAGAUAAUAGAGCACACUGUUUGUAUGACAAUGAGUAUCAGAAGAAUAAUAGCUGCAAAGAGAGAAAUAGCUGCCCAAGGUGUGUUGAAAUACUUUUGUCUCAAAUUUGCCUUCCGUCUGUUCGUGGUCUUCUUGCAGUACUCGUUUAGUUUGCCAGCAAGAUCACCAAAAUAGUAGUUUCCGUGGUUCGGAGCAACUUUACUGCAAAGCUUGUUAAUCAUAAUGGAAACCUUAUUGUUGUCACCUAGCGUGUUUACAACAAUUCCAUUGUCAACAAGCAACUCUACAUCCUUUGGGGUGUUUACAAAUUUAUCCAGGAUGAAAACAUAAUCGCUUAUGUAUUUAUCCACGCAAUGGCCUUGUUCAAAGGCAAUGAGAUUUCUAUGUGUAAGCUGUGUAAUCAUGUAUUUCAAUUUUUGGAAUUUCCAAGGUGUUUUUCUUGAACUGUAUAUCGAAUAAGUUCUUGCUUGAUCCCACGUUAAACUUAACUCCGGCCUGGUGUAGUUUUGUCAUGCUGGGUGUACUUUGGAGCCCUCCAUUUUUUUUUCUUUUGGCAGAUGUAAAGUUCUAAUAAAAUCAACAAAAUGUAAAGGUUUUUUAGGAUCAGGAGGCAUAAAAGACUUACGGAAGGCUGGUGAGUUCUCCAAGUUUUCUAAACGCAGUGCCUGUUGGAAGAACUUGUAAGAGAGUUCAAUUAUUGAAGGCUCCCCAGUCUGAGCACCUGUGAGAUUGUAAAGAUCCUCGAGAAUGAAAAAUGGCAGCUGAUUUACGAGCAUAAGCAUGUCAGGCAAUAUAUUUUGUAGCACCCAUGGUUUUUUAAAUAUCCAAGCAUCAUCAUCCUGCAAUUUUUCUUCCUGAAAUUUUUCUUCGGAUUUAUUCCUCAACAAUAGCUCAAUGACAAAGGCGGCAUCAACUAGAAUGAUAUUCACAAAAGUAGCAAUGUUAAACUUCUUAGGGCUAGUUUGGCGGCGUUGUGCUUUUAAAAAAAUAUGCUUCUGCUGUGCUGUGAAAAUAAUUAGCUGUGAAAAAAAGCUACUAGGCGUUUGGUAAACUGUUUUUGAAAAACUGCUGUGAGUAGUCAAAGUGUUUGGUAAAUUUUUAUCAGAAGUACUUUUAGUGUGUAUAAUGACCAAAAAGGACAUGAUGAUGAAAUUGUUUGUUAUUUUCUUCAUUCUUUUUCUACUUUAAAAAAAAAAAAAACCCAAUUUCACUACAUAAAUUUUUAUUCUUUUUUAAUUCACACCUUUUUAUCAAAAAAUUUAAUCUACAAUUAACAUACAUAUUUUACCAUAAAUUAUAAAUUACUAUUAUAACAAAAGUAAUUCUAAAUAUUGUUAUAUUAAUAUGGGCUUCGGACAUGACAAAAAUACAAAAAUUGUUCAAUUUUAAAAUGCCCCAAUAGAUCACUACAAUAUAAAAGAAGCUAAUUAGAUGCAUUCAUUAAACUUGUAGCGAUGCUAUUUCUUAAUGCAUUCAUUAGCUUCUUUUUUUGGUUUCCAAUGGUUCUCUAACAAUUUUAACUAAAAAAACAACCAUAAUGCUUUGUGAACAAUAAAUUCAAGUCCAAAUCUGCUAUUGCCCACACCAUACAUAUAUACAUAAUUGUUCCUUUCAUAAAACUUGAAGAUUCAAUAGUAAUUACACAGUUUACCAAUCUUGAUUCCAACUAUAUCCAUAAAAUUAAACUAUAAUUAGAAAUAGAGGAGCUACAUGUGAUUACUCAUAAAUGCUUCCCACUCUCAUCAUCAUCAUCAUCAUCAUCUUCCUCCUCUGUACUUUGCCUUUCACAAAUGGACAAGACCAGAUGGUAACGUACACGACAUGGUCCACAUAUAGAUAAAUUUUGGGUUCACUGGAGAACAUAAAAGAGUUUUUACACGAAUACAAAGUUAGUUAAGUAGUGAAUAAAGUAAAACUAUUCUGUACAAUUCUAGCUGAUGCAGUCCAAAAAGAAUAUAUGUCUAAUAACUUAAAUAACAAUAAAGAGAAACAAAAGCCUCAUGAAAAAUGCUAGAGUAAAAGUUACAUAACUGAAUCGAUGGACAGAGAACUCCACAGGCAGAGAAACAGCAACAAAAAUUGUCAAAACAGUAGCAAGACCAUGUUGGAGUCAAGGCCAAAGAUCAUAUUUCCUGUGUAUCUUCUUCCAUUCUGAAUUAUUCUCGUAUUCAAAUACUGUAACUCUAUUUCAAGUGCACCCCAAAAUACUUAUCUAAGGCCAGUACAUAGGACUUCAUAAAGGGUGCGAUAAAAAAUAUUGCCCCUUAAUUGAUAAACAGAACCAAGAUCCCAACAGCACACCAAAACUAUACCAACCACACCUACAUAAUAUGGACAGAAAAUCCUGUUGUUCCGAUCUCUAACCACACCAAUGACAUUCAUUAGGAAAAUACAAAAGAUGGGUACCCUGCAUUUCUAACAUUUAAGAUAAAAUUCACUGCCAGCUAAUCACAAAUUUGAAAAGAUGGCAAGAAAAUUGGCUAAGCUUUAACAAAAACCAGAGCAGUCCUUGCAUAGACCUGACUUUUUGCUCCAAGCUUUAGCAGAUCACUUACUGGUAGAGAGCAGAGAACAUGUAUGUGAAUAUCUGAAGUUGGAAGGGUAAGCCAUCACAAACACCAAGAGAUCUGAUUCUCAUCUCUUGUUACAACAACAAAUCACAAACACCAAUACAUCUGAUUCAGAAUCUCAUAAACAAUGGAGGAACAAACACAUAUUCACACACAUAUAAAUCCCUAAACAGAAAAAAUAAAAAAUAAAAAAAAAACCAUGAAAGUCAUAGGAGAAUCAAAUUGAUUUGGGCCAAAAUUGCCUAAAAAGAAAACACUCCUAAAUAAACUUCAAUUCACUUUUAAAAACAGUAAAACAUGAUUGAAUCAUUCUUUAAAACAAUUCCCUAAUAUACAUGCAUGAUAAUGACAUCAUUUACCCCUGAAUCAAAUGCCUUUCACUGGUCAAGCCACAAGUCUGUGUUUUGGGAAUUGCUGAGCUGCAUCAAUCCUGCCAAUGUAAAUUCUGCCCCUAGGCUCUCUCAAAGUGCGUUUACAACCUAUGCUAACAUAUACUAGAGUUUGUUUUAGUAUCUAGAAAAUGCCAACACUAAUUUCGUAACACGUAGAAAUUGUUACAUAUUGGAAGUUUUUAUCAUUUUUUCUUCCAGUCUCUCCACCACUCACUAAUACAGAUUACUCAUGUGAUGAGUUUACAAAACAUAUUUCUCUACUCCCACAAAGACCAUACUUUUUCUCAAAAGACUAUAUCACUUUAUCUCUAUCUUUGUGAAAUGUAAAAAGUUGAAACUUUAAUGUCAAACCUCGACAAAAGAUGAACAUCCAUCAUCAAUUACAUUGAAUUUGAAUUUGUUGAACUUAAGUAGUUUUACUUCUCUGUCAGCGUUUGAUGACUUGAUUUGUUAUUUACUUCUUCUUUUUUCCUUGGAAAUGUGUUCCAUCAACGUGAGGAAGAAAAAUAUGCACAAAUUAAUAUAUUUAAUAGAAGCAAAAAUUAAUAUUUACAAAAAUAUGCACAAAUCAAGUAAAAUUAAUAAAGCAUAAAUUGGAAAGGGAAAAUAUGUAGAGGAUGCAUUGUAGGAUUGCUCAUGCCAAUAAUUGUACCCUCUAAAUAUAUAGGGACAUAUUUUUUUUUGUUUUCAUGACAUGUGGUCCUAAAAUUAUUGUUCUUAGCGGGCUCUCCACCCCUCUCGACUGAAAACCUAUUGUGUAAAUCUUCAAUCCUGAAUGAUGCACCUAAAACUCAUGUUGCAAUACACAUCCACCCAUUCUCAGGCCAAUUAUUACUCCUAGUGGGCUCUCCACCCCCUCUCAAAUUUAAGUGGUCCAUUAUUAUUAACCGUAUAUUUUAUGGACCAGCCAGCUGUGAGGUUUUAUCUCAAAAACCUUUCUCCCACAUGCCACAAUUUAUGUCUGAUACAUCACAUCAUGCCAGUUGUCUCAAAUGAAUUUAAGUGAGUGAGGCAGUGUUACUUCUGGGUACCCCUCAUUAUUCGUCUAUAAAUUGGUGAAGCCAGUUGCUACUGUUACCAUAAGAGCCAGCUCCGACUUUCAAAAUAAAAAUUCCAACAACGGUCUUAGUGCCUUCAAUUGUAUGAGUCAUUGAACAUGCAAAUGAAUAAAAUAUGAAUGAUAAAAGUGUUUGAUAAAUCACCAAGUUAUAGAACACUUGAUGAUUUAUCUCAAAUAAAAAUUCAGCUUUCUAAAGUUUGUGAAUUGAAAAUAUAAUCGUUAAAGCUCUCUAAACAAAGAAGACGAAAGUCUUAUUUUAUAGAAUUUUUCUUUACAAGAAAGAAAACAUGUUGAAAACCAAAUCUCCAAUUUCCAAGGCUUGACAGAAAAUCAAAAAAAUAUCUUUCCUAUUCUAGAGAUUGGUCACAUGUAGUUCAACCAAUAGGAAAUGAGAUAUUUAAGAAAGCAAGAUUUUGAUCAAUACCAAUAUCAAAUGAAUUCUUAUACGCCUAGUCAACUAUUAAGGGUAUCUUGACUCCUUGAUAUUGUGAUAUGAUUGAAACAUGAUUUCCAUGUUAGAAAAUUAAGGGGAUGUUAAAACAUGAAAGUAAUAGGAGAAUCAAAUUGAUUUGGACUAAAAUUGCCUAAAAAGAAAACACUCUUAAAUAAACUUCAAUUCACUUUUAAAAACAGUAAAACAUGAUUGAAUCAUUUUUUAAAACAAUUCCCUAAUAUACAUGCAUGAUAAUGACAUCACUUACCCCUAAAUCAAAUUGUCACGCCCCGGACCUGGGGGUCAGUGGAAACCCCACGUUCGGUGCGUGAGAAAAUAAAAAGUAAAAUAAAAUAAAAAGAAUGCCGAAACAAGGGUUUAAAAUAAACUUCUCUUAUAAAAAUAACUCCAAAAUCUUACAACUUUACAAGAAAUAAAUAAAGCCCUAUCAUUCUUAUCUAAUUCAGCCUCAACUGGUUUAGUCCUUGUCUUGCCCACUAAUUCAUCUAAAAAAUGAAGAGUGUUGCUAAACGAACCCUAAAAUUAAUUGAGUACACCCUACUACCAAACGAUUUAUUGAAUUUGUCACAUCUCGGGAUCAACUCCGCCGUAGCACGAUAUUGUUCGCUUUGGGCCCUCCCUCUCUGGCUCGCAUGGUUUUGUUUCUGGGAACUCACGAGUAACUUCCCAGUGGGUCACCAAUCCUGGGAUUGCUCUAGCCCACAACUCGCUUAACUUCGGAGUUCCUACGACUCCGAAGCCUGUGAGCUCCCAAAAGGUCUCGUGCUAGAUGGAUGCGGGUGUGCACAUAUAAGGCACAUCACCCCCUCUCCGUUGGUUGAUGUGGGAUCUUAUAGAAUUACUAAUUUAUCCUAAUAUAAAAUGACCAAAGAAGAUAAAAUAAUAUUGGUAUCUAUUGCUUUGAAUCCAUGCCUUCAAACAAAUUGACUUAAUUUUUAACAAACAACACGGAGUCCAGGAGAAGUGUAUUGAUCCAAGUUGAUUUUUGUAUGCGUAAAACUUAAACAAUCAAUAACACAAAGCAGUUCAUGCUGAAAUAUUGGAAACCCACACCCAAAGAGUUCUCCGCUGCGAGGUUGAAGGCAGGAGAGAUGGGUGACAGAUUUUACUUCCACUGCGAAGUUGGAGGCUAGGAGAGUCUGUGACUGCCAUGGUUGAGGGAGAAGAUGCGUUCAAAAUGCCUAUUGAUAUUUUACAUUAUUGGCUUUUUUCAAAAGUGAAAGUUUUUUUAUGGGUAAAACCUAAAUUUACUUUUUCUAUACAAGUUAACAGUGUUUGUGUAUUGUGAAAAGGUGGAGAGACGUGUCAAAAUUUUAGACAAAGGACAGGAGGAGAUAGGGAAUUUGGGGACAGCAGAUCUCAACUCCCUUGAGACCCUAUUCUCUACGCCACCCCUCCCCCUCAACAACCCUAGUCACCAUUUCUCCUUCAACUCCAACGGCAACUCAUUAAAACCCAAUUCUCAAAUGCAACAAUCUAAUCCCAAUCCCAAUUCAGAUGUUUCUAAAAAACCCAUUGUCGUGGUGGAGAACUGCAAUUCCAGGUGGUGGUGGUGGUACCACAUGGGAGAGAGAAAAAAGAAGAAGAAGAAGCAGGAGAGAGAGAGUUUUUUAUUUUAUUAUUAUUUUACUGUAAUUUUUUAAUUUAAAUAAUUAAAAAAAUUAAAAGUUAAAGAGGAUGUACCAUGGGUAUUUUUGGUAGUUAAAUAAGGUGUACUUAGGGUCAGUUUGGCAUUGCUGUGCUGUGAAAAUAAUAGCUGUCAGAUUUGCUGUGAGAGAAAUCAGCUGUGAGAGAAAUCAGUUUGGCGUUUGAUAAAAUUUUUGUUAAAAGUGUGUUGAUAUUGAUUUUAUGCUUAAUCCGAAAAUGAUUGCUGCAUAAUCAUUAAACCCAGCGCCUCUUCGAAACUGAUUCCUAUAUAAUCAGAAAAUGAAAGCACCUCAUUAGCUGCUUUCCUUUAUAGCUUUCUCUCACAGCAAUUUUUAACAAUAAGUGAUUUUCUCACAGUUUACCAAACGGGUUGGGCUUCUCAAAAUUUUUUAAAAAUCACUUAUUACCCCAAAUAAGCAAUACCAAACGGGCACUUAGUUAAUUUUACAUUUUAAUUUAAACAUUAGGGUGUACUCAGUUAAUUUUAGGGUUCGUUCAGCAGCACUCAAAAUUAAACAAGGUGAGGGAUGAGCAAGUAGGGACAUGAGACAUUGCCACAGUAGAUUGAUAUAACUAAAUAUUAUUAUAAACAUAGAAAUAUAUAAGUAUUAUUAUAAUAGGAUUCAUAAUAAUUAAUAUAAAAGUAUAACAACAAUAUUUACAUUUAUGUACCAAGAUAAUUACACAUAUAAAUAUAACCAAUAUAUAUUUUUAUAUAUUUUAAAAUAUAAGUCUUUACGUAAAUGCCUUUCACGGGUCAAGCCACAAGUCUGUGUUUUGGGGAUUGCUGAGCUGCAUCAAUCCUGCCAAUGUCAAUUCUGCCCCUGAGCUCUCUCAAAGCACGUUUAAAACCUAUGCUAACAUAUACUAGAGUUUAUGCUGUAUCUAGAAAAUGCCAACACUAAUUUCGUAACACGUAGAAAUUGUUAGAGAUUGGAAGUUUUUAUCAUUUUUUCUUCCAGUCUCUCCACUACUUAUUAAUACAGAUUACUCAUGUGAUGAGUUUACAAAACCUAUUUCUCUACUCUCGCAAAGACUAAACUUCUUCUCAAAAGACUAGAUCACUUUACCUCUAUCUCUGUGAAAUGUAAAAAGUUGAAACUUUAAUGUCAAACCUCGACAAAGUGUUCUACUUUACAAACUUCUUGUGUCUACCAAUUUGUACUAAAAUUAAUUUCUCUACAGUGCUCAGAUUCAUCAUAUGUGUGUCCUUAAUUUUAGUGGAAAUUGGAAGUUUCCAUAAUUUUUGCUUUAAGUCACUCUUCUGAAGGAAGUUGAGGUUCCACUUCAUAAUCCAAAAUGUCAGGUUGACUUAUGGCAAACAAUGUAAAUAUGUAGGAGUACUAUGACCUUUUAUAGCAUUUUUAGUUUGAAUUUGGGUUUUAUACAUAGAUUUCAAAAUUAAUAGGUUGAUGCCUAGGAAAUAGAAAUUGUAAGGGCCUAUAUUAGAGUAGCCCUCUUAAAAAUAAUAUUAAUUAAUGAAUAUUUGUUCUUCUUGUUGUUUUGAAGUAGUGGUGGGAGGCAGACCAACAAAAAAAAAAUAUAGUGAAGGCUUAUAAGAGCAUUUACAAUCAUGCUCCCUAUUUUUUAGUUAAAAUUUAGCUAAAAAUAGAAAAAAAGUUAUUAUAGGAGCUCUUUAUAAAGCUCCUUUAUAAAAUUUGAACUCCAAUCAUACUCCCUAGUUUAGGGAGUCAAAAAUACUAUAGUUAUUUUUUAAUUCAAUUUGAUUUUGGUUAAUCUCUAUAAAUAUGAAAAAAUAGUUAGCAUUAAUUAAAAGUUUAAACUAUGCAUAAAACAAAGAAACAUUAAAUUAUAGGGAGCCACUAUGAGUCAUUACUCUCUCCUCAGAUUUAGGAGCUCCUAAAGGUCUCCCUAUUUUAUGAGGUGGAUAAGGAGCAUGGUUGGAGUUGUAUUUCUUCAAUUUCCUCCCUAAAAUUUGUCUAAGGAUGUGGUUUAGGGAGCCCAUUGUGAAUGCUCUAACUCUGGUAAAACACGAGUGACAUGGACAACAUAUGUUACGUCGUACUGAAGAUUUUUGGGUUUCUUUAAUUGGUUAAGUAGCAUCCACACAGCUUCCUAAAUCAUCUCCUUAGACAAAUUUUAGGGAGGAAUUGGAAAAGUACAACUCCAACUAUGCUCCCUAUCCACCAACUAAAAUAGGGAGACUUCUAGGAGCUCCUAAAUCUGAUGAGAGAGAAAGGACUCUUAAUGACUCCCUAUAAUUUAAUGUUGCUUUAUAUUAUUUUGUAUACAGACGGGUCAAUUAUAUUAAAUUAAAAAAUAAUUAAAGUAUUUAUGACUCUCUAAACUAGUGAGCAUAAUUGUAGAUCAUCUUAUAUACCUUAAUUUGAAGAUUCUUUAUUUGGGUUUCUUUCAAGACUUAUCACCUUAGCCACGCCACCUACACGUCUGCAAGCUUUCCUAACAAGGAAGGGGAGGCUGCGCAAUACUUAUCACCUUAGCCACACUACACCAAAUUGACGUCUGCAAGCUUUCGUAAUCUAACAAGGAAGGGGAGGCUGCGCAAUACUUAUCACCUUAGCCACACCAACACCACAAGACCAAUAUGUGUAGUCCAGGAGGCUUUCCCAUUUUAAUAUAUAUUAUCAAAUAAAAUAAAAAUCAAUCUAUUAUCAUAUAUAUUAUAAAAUAAAGAUUAUUGCUCCAUCCUCCAUGCACUUGCAUGCCUCUUACAAAGUGUGAAGUAGAUUUUGUGUGCUCCAAGUCAUUGACGAGAGCUGUAACAUGGUUAGCUGGAUUUAUAAGAUCUUUUCUUUUCUGGGAAUUUUCUGAAUCAAGAAAAAUUAAGUAAAAUUAAUAAAGCAUAAAUUAGAAAGGAAAAAUAUCUAGAGGAUGCAUUGUAGGAUUGCACAUGCCAAUAAUUGUAUCCUCUAAAUAUAUAGGGACAUAUUUUUUUGUUUUCAUGACAUGUGGCCCUAAAAUUAUUGUUCCUAGCGGGCUCUCCACCCCCUCUCGAUUGAAAACUAAUUGUGUAAAUCUUCAAUCUUGAAUGAUGCACCUAAAACUCAAGUGUCCCAGGCCAAUUAUUGCUCUCAUACCACUUGUUGUAAUAAACAUCCAUCCAUUCUAAAGGAAAGAUAACCAUCGAUAUUAUCUCAAAUUUAACCACUUAAGUUCAUUAUGAUUAACUAUGUAUCUUAUGGACCAAUCCAAUCAUGAGGUUUUAUACCCAAUUAGAUCGACUAAUACAAAGUUCACACGUGGAUUGAAAAGCGCUAUCAGUAGGGGAGUGUUCGGCACCCUUUACUGCCGAACGCAACACAAGACCCCUUGCAUGCCUUCACUAAGUUGAGCCUAUCUAUUUUUUAGCAUUAACAAUAUAUAUAGAUUGAAAAAAUAAAAUAAAAAUCAAUCUAUUAUCAUAUAAAAUAAAUAUUAUUGCUCCAUCCUCCAUACACUUGCAUGCCCUCUUACAAAGUGUGAAGUAGAUUUUUUGUGCUCCAACUCAUUGACUAGGGCUGAAACAUGGUUAGUUGGAUUUAUAAGAUCUUUUCUUUUCUGGGAAUUUUCUGAAGCACGGAAAAUCAAAUAAAAUUAAUAAAGCAGAAACUGUACCCUUUAAUUAUAUAUGGACGUAUGUUUUUUUGUUUUCAAGUCUUAGAUGACAUGGGGACCUAAAAUUAUUGCUCCUAGUGGACUCUCGACCCCUCUCAAAUUUAAGUGGUCCAUUAUUAUUAACCACAUAUUUUAUGGACCAUGCAGCUGUGAGGUUUUAUCUCAAAAACCUUCGGUACAUUUCUCCCACAUGCCACAAUUGUAUAUUCACAAUUACGGCUGUUACGUCACAUCAUGCCACUUGCCUCACAUGCAACAAGUCUGUGUUUUGGGGAUUGCCGAGCUGCAUCAAUUCUGCCAAUGUCAAUUCUGCCCCUGGACUCUCUCAAAGCACAUUUAAAACCUAUGCGAACAUAUAUUAGAGUUUAUGAUGUAUGUAUCUAGAAAAUGCCAACACUAAUUUCGUAACAUGUAAAAAUUAUUAGAGAUUGGAAGUUUUUAUCAUUUUUUCUUCCAGUCUCUCCACCACUUAUUAAUACAGAUUACUCAUGUGAUGAGUUUACAAAACCUAUUUCUCUACUCUCGCAAAGACUAAACUUCUUCUCAAAAGACUAGAUCACUUUACCUCUAUCUCUGUGAAAUGUAAAAAGUUGAAACUUUAAUGUCAAACCUCGACAAAGUGUUCUACUUUACAAACUUCUUGUGUCUACCAAUUUGUACUAAAAUUAAUUUAUCUACGGUGCUCAGCUUCAUCGUAUGUGUGUCCUUAAUUUUAGUGGAAAUUGGAAGUUUCCAUAAUUUUUGCUUUAAGUCACUCUUCUGAAGGAAGUUGAGGUUCCACUCCAUAAUCCCAAAUGUCAGGUUGACUUAUGGCAAACAAUGUAAAUAUGUAGGAGUACUAUGACCUUUUAUAGCAUUUUUAGUUUGAAUUUGGGUUUUAUACAUAGAUUUCAAAAUUAAUAGGUUGAUGCCUAGGAAAUAGAAAUUGUAAGGGCCUAUAUUAGAGUAGCCCUCUUAAAAAUAAUAUUAAUUAAUGAAUAUUUGUUCUUCUUGUUGUUUUGAAGUAGUGGUGGGAGGCAGACCAACAAAAAAAAUAUAGUGAAGGCUUAUAAGAGCAUUUACAAUCAUGCUCCCUAUUUUUUAGUUAAAAUUUAGCUAAAAAUAGAAAAAAGUUAUUAUAGGAGCUCUUUAUAAAAUUUGAAUUCCAAUCGUACUCCCUAAUUUAGGGAGUCAUAAAUAUUAUAGUUAUUUUUUAAUUCAAUUUGAUUUUGGUUAAUCUCUAUAAAUAAAUAAAAAUAUGAAAAAAUAGUUAGCAUUAAUUAAAAGUUUAAACUAUGCAUAAAACAAAGAAACAUUAAAUUAUAGGGAGCCACUAUGCCAAUAAUUGUAUCCUCUAAAUAUAUAGGGACAUAUUUUUUUUGUUUUCAUGACAUGUGGCCCUAAAAUUAUUGUUCCUAGCGGGCUCUCCAACCCCUCUCGAUUGAAAACCAAUUGUGUAAAUCUUCAAUCUUGAAUGAUGCACCUAAAACUCAAGUGUCCCAGGCCAAUUAUUGCUCUCAUACCACGUGUUGUAAUAAACAUCCAUCCAUUCUAAAGGAAAGAUAACCAUCGAUAUUAUCUCAAAUUUAACCACUUAAGUUCAUUAUGAUUAACUAUGUAUCUUAUGAACCAAUCCAAUCGUGAGGUUUUAUACCCAAUUAGAUCGACCAAUACAAAGUUCACACGUGGAUUGAAAAGCACUAUCAAUAGGGGAGUGUUCGGCACCCUUUACUGCCGAGCGCAACACAAGAUCCCUUGCAUGCCCUCACUAAGUUGAGCCCAACUAUUUUUUAGCAUUAACAAUAUAUAUAGAUUGAAAAAAUAAAAUAAAAAUCAAUCUAUUAUCAUAUAUUUUAUAAAAUACAUAUUAUUGCUCCAUCCUCCAUACACUUGCAUGCCCUCUUACAAAGUGUGAAGUAGAUUUUUUGUGCUCCAACUCAUUGACUAGGGCUGAAACAUGGUUAGUUAGAUUUAUAAGAUCUUUUGUUUUUUGGGAAUUUUCUGAAGCAAGGAAAAUCAAAUAAAAUUAAUAAAGCAGAAACUGUACCCUUUAAUUAUAUAUGGACAUAUGUUUUUUUGUUUUUUUGCUCUCGACCCCUCUCAAAUUUAAGUGGUCCAUUAUUGUUAACCACAUAUUUUAUGGACCAUCCAGCUUCGGUACAUUUCAAAAAGCUUCGGUACAUUUCUCCCACAUGACACAAUUGUAUAUUCACAAUUACUUCUGGGUACCCCUCAUCAGUCGUCUAUAAAAUGGUGAAGCCAGUUGCUACUGUUACCAUAAGAGCCAGCUCCGACUUUCUUUAAUUUCUUGCUACAUCUGUUGCUAAGUUAAUUUCAGUCCUAAUGGGGUUUCAUCUCCCACUCAUCUUUGCUAUUCUCAGUGUAAGCUCUGCAAUUUGAUUAACUUUUCCAUUCUCUCUCAUUGUACUCUAUAUAUAUAAAUGAAAGUUUUGUGUUCCUAUAAUUCUCUCCGAUUUUAUUUAGUACGUACUUAAGUGUCGUCCACUAAUUAAUUACACUUUGUGAGAUUUGAUUUUAAUUAGAGUUCGAAUUAAUGUUGCAGCUAGCAGCGGUUGCACUGGCAAACAAUGCUGCUCAACCAGCACCUCAACUUUACUGGAACUCCGUCCUGCCAAACACACAGAUGCCAAGAUCUAUCAGUGAACUUCUGCAUCCUGGUUUGUGUUCAGCUCUUUAUAAUCUUAGAUAUCUCUUCUACCUGCCAUUUUACUAAAAUAUGUUCGACCACAUAUUUAUCAGCUAACUACUGUGAUUACAAGAAUGACACUUAUUUUCCAAUAUAAUUUGCAGACUCCACAAAUGAAGAAAAGAGCAAACCUGAAAUUUUCCCAUUGCAGGGCAAUAGAGUUUACACUCAAAGCCAUUAUAAAAAACGUCCUCCUCCUCCAUCUGACGAGGGCAAACCUGAAACUUUCCCAUUGGGCAAUAGCCAUUACACUCAAACCCGUUAUAAAAAACGUCCUCCUCCUCCAUCUGACGAGGGCAAACCUGAAAAUUUCCCAUUGGGCAAUAGCCAUUACACUCAAACCCGUUAUAAAAAACGUCCUCCUCCUCCAUCCGACGAGGGCAAACCUGAAAAUUUCCCAUUGGCCAAUAGCUUUUACACUCAAACCCGUUAUAAAAAACGUCCUCCUCCUCCAUCUGACGAGGGCAAACCUGAAAAUUUCCCAUUGGCCAAUAGCUUUUACACUCAAAGCCAUUAUAAAAAACGUCCUCCUCCUCCAUCUGACGAGGGCAAACCUGAAAAUUUCCCAUUGGCACGUUCUCCUCCAUCUGACAGUCAACUAAAGCAUUACAAAGACUUAGCUAUUUUCUUCUUCGAGAAGGACAUGCGCCCGGGCACAACUAUGAAGUUCCAAUUCCCUAGAAAUUCAAACACGG
This 181076-nucleotide long non-coding RNA is filed under the name Prunus persica (peach). Its description in RNAcentral is "long non-coding RNA (PPER_LNC001496)". Lineage: Eukaryota; Viridiplantae; Streptophyta; Magnoliopsida; Rosales; Rosaceae. The record is from RNAcentral.